GAAUCCAACAAUUAACAUAGUUCAUUGACGCCUAGACCUUAACCUUAGAUUGAGCCCCUGGUGCCUUUUGGUUUAUCCUCUUCUAUUCUUCUAUGGUGCUUUUUAAAUCCUCUUGUGAUUGUCUCUGUCAUGGGCCUCAAAGGCUUUCAAAAUUUUUGGGCCCCCCACCCGCUUCCACAACGGUCCGCCAUUGAAUGCAUUUGCCAUAUCGUGCAAACAUGUUGCUUCGACAAGAGACUUUUCCAGAAAGAAGGAAAGAAUGAAACAGAACUGAUGGCAGACGUCAAAAUUUACAUUUUCUUUUUAUUACAAAUUUUUAUUUAAAUUUAAGUUUAUAUAUAUUGAGAACUAGCAAUUGACGCUUGUGGUGUUAUGAAAGAACAAAUAGUAAAGAUUUUUAAUUUUCCUCUUGCCUUAAAUUGUGCACUGUUGUAUUUCAAUUUUUUUCUACUUAAAGAAAAUAUAAAAUAUUUUUUCUAUAUUUACUCUGCGUGCAGUAGCUGACUUUUUUUUUCUUUUGUUUUCUCUCUUUUCAUGGUUUUGUCAUGUAUAAAAAGUAAGAACUAGUAUGGUACAUAAGGCUAUAAACAAAAAUUAAUGAUAAUAAUUUGUAACUAACAUCAUUUUGGUUGGUUGUUGUGCAAACAAGUCAUCCUUCCAAGUCUUAAUUUCUAUGCAACGUGCUUUUUACUUUGAUUUGAAUGAUCAUAGCCGGAACAGUUACUUUUCAACACGUAUAUUUUACUAAUUGAAAGCAACUUUACUAGCUGUUAAGGGCUGAAGGCAUUGUUUUGCCCAAUCGACACUCUGAAGGUUUGAGUUUUUGAUUUUUCUAGUGCACUCAAACCAAUCCCACAACAUUGAAGUGGAGCCCAUGCUUUCAGCCCCUAACAUGGGUUUUAUGAGUGUAUACGUUUAAACGUUGAAGCUUUUUCUUGCUUCACUGUACUGGUCUUGACUUUGAACGAACUUUGCUUUAAAACUCACUGGUUAGCACAUUUUCUGGACACACAUCAAGUGAAAGCGACUUUAGUUGCCUUCCAUGGUUCGUCGCUAACCAUCGCUUAAAGCUGUUAGGCAGAGAAGGAUUGUGUGGCAUCUAUAUGUUGCUUUUUAAUUUGUGGACUUGACAGCAAACUUUAGGCAAAGUUAAGUCUUCUUGAGCUAAGCUACGUACCAAAACCAGCCCCGCAACGUGUACGAAGGGACAUUAAAUUUGAUCCUUUGAACUUUGAAGUUCGCUGAUGGGAAGGCAGGUGGAGCACGUCACAGCUAUUUCUAAGAAAAUGUGGUCAUGGGUCUUUGGAUUGGACUUAAUGGGUAUUAGUUGAACGUAUGCUUCGGUUUUGAUAGUUGCCUUUGAGGCCCCAUUUGAUGGCGCACCUUCAAAUUUGGCCCCAUUUGAUGGUACUUUCUUACAUUAAUUGAUAGACUAGCCAGAUGGGUUUUGGCUUUGUGCAUGCACUUAAGUUAACAUAAAGACUUUGACUUUGAAGCAACUUAAGUAAUUCUAGAUUUAAUUUGAAGCGUUUCAAUGUGAGAUAUUUUGUAAUUCAGUUGUAGUAUAUAAGUAAAAAGUUUGAAUUUAUAUUUGUAAAGUAUUUUUUGUGAAAUAAAAUUAUAAAAUUUUUUAGCCAAUAAUAUCUAUUAAUUUAAGUGUAAUGAAUCUUUAUAAUUGAUAUAAAGCAAUUAUAAAUUAAAAGACAAAAUGCUAUACCAUAAAAAUUGCUUCAGAAUCUUAGCAAAAGAGACCCAAGUACCAUACGACAUGAGUGCCACCUUUGGAAUUCUCAUUUUUAGUGUGAUUUUAAUUUUGUGUUUAAUAUGAUCCUAAUUUUGUAUAUUCUAUAUUAAAUUUGAUAAAAACAUUAAACUUUAAUCAAGAAAUUUAAAACGUCCAAUCUUAUACCAAAAUAUUUUAAAAAUUUAUUAUGAUAUAUAUGUAUAAAUCUAAAUUUAAAAAUUUUAAAAAUUUUUAAUUAAAAUAAAUAAUAUUUCAUGAGCAGAUAUAACAUAAAAAUUGUAAAGAGCGAGAUAUCAUUUUCUGGUUGAAGGCUCUAGGUAAUCUUGCUUUUCCCCCAUUUUGGCAUUAACAUUUUGAGAUUUAGGGUACUGAUUAAUAUUUUUUAGAGAAAAAAAAAAGAAAUAGUACUCCCUUUGUCUUAAUUUAUUUAUAUCCAAAUUUGGUUCUUUUGAUCAAAAUUGAUUGAACUUUUUACCUUCAAUUAUUAAAUUAUUUGAUUGAUUAAUUCAAAAUUUAAAAAAGUUUUAAAUUAUUUUCUUGAGUACAUAAGGAUUUUGAUUUGCAUUAAUAUGAGAAAGUUUUCUCCAUAAUUUUAUUAAUAAAUAAUUAAAAAUUAAUAUAAAUUAAAAUAAAUUUUAUUUAUUUAUUAAUUUUAUUAUAUAAUAAUAAAAUUUAUUUAUUAAUUUAUUAUAUAAUAAAAAAUCAAAAUGAAAAAAAUAAAUGAGAGAAUUUUAAGUAGAGAUAUCAAAUGGACUAUACUAAGUCGACACUGCCUAUUUAAAUAUUAGUCCAUAUAUUAAUGGAUUAUGUUGGCUCAAUGCUGUUUUUUAAUGUGUCGUGCUGGCAUAGCCCAUGAAGUUAAAGGUAUGACCUAGAAAUGGCAGAUGGUUUGUAAUUUUCUUAGGUCAUACCGUGCUAGUUACAAUAUUAUUUUUCGUGUUGAGUUAGGCCUAGCACAGUCUAAUAAUAUUUUUUUCAAAAUUUUAAUUAUUUUUUUAAAAUUCUAUCUAUUAUUAUUAAAAUAAUAUGUAGGAGAUAAUAAACAUAUAAUGAAAUAAAAAGACACAUAAUUUAUAUGGUUUGGCAAAAUGUCUAUGUUUAUGAAAAUGGAUAAUAGAAUCCAUUUAAUAAAGAUAUUGAAAUUACAAUCUUAAUAUCUAAAAAAUGCAUAAACACAUCAUUUAUCCAAUGGCCAAUAAUACACAUAUAACCAAGGUUUUAUCGACUGGUCCAAAUUAGAAAUAAGUAAAAUUCUCAAAGAAAUUUUUUAUAAACAAGAUAUUAUAAGAAAAAAUAUUUUAAAAACAUCUGAUCUAUUAGUAUUUUUAGCAACUAUUUUAUAAUUGGAUAAUAUACCAUUUCUAAUUAAAUUUAGCUAAUAGAUUACAUCAAUUAUUUUGUGAAAAAAAUAAAAUGCAUCUAAAAACCUAUUAGGAUGCUAACUAAGUGUAAUUUGUUUAGGAUCAUUAGAAACGACGAUGCAGCCUCAUAUUUUUUCUUAUCCCUUUUUAGAUAACUAGUCCAUCAUUUUGUUUUACAACUAAAAUCUUAUAUAUUAUCUAUAUAUAAAAAUAUGAACUCUAAAAGUAAUAAUAAUGAACGAUCAAAAUACCCUUAGUAAAAUUUUUAAUAAAUUUUAAUUAAAAUAACUUUUGUUAUUAUUAAAUAUCUAUUGAGAUAAAUUAUAAUUUGAACUCUUUUAUUAUUAUACUUCUUAAACAUUGUAUUUAAACUCUUUUUUUUAUUAUUAUUAGACUUCUAUUGAGUCAUAAAAAAGAAUUGACCAUUAAUUACAAAUACAAAAAGAAUUAAAUAUUCAAGCUCCUUUAGAGAAACAAUUUGCAAUAUUAACUAGAAAUUUUCUUUUUCACAUUAAUAUUAGAUUUUUUACUACCCCCGUUCAGAUAACUUUGCAAAUAAUACUAAUUUUCAAUUAAAGUUAGUUAAUUUAAUUAUUUUUUCUUUGAUUUUAGAGUGUUUAAUGCUUUGGCACCUUUUGUUAAACUAAAUACAAAUUUAUAAUUAUAAGAAACAUUUGCAAUUUUUCUAUAAAAGUACAUGAUUGGAGACUUGAGAAUUCAGAGAGCAAAGGUUUCAGCAUUGUAGGGAAAAAGAUCAAGUGCAUGAAUCAUCACUAUUUAAGGUACAUUUACUUUUUCCCAUGCAACUUAAAUAGAUUCUUUUAGUUAGGUUUUGUAUCAUUUUUAAUAUGACAUUUAAAAUUAUUGAGCAGCAGAAACAAUAAAGUUAAAGGUCUUAUAAAUUACUUAGUUUAAAAAGUGUGGUUAGGACCUGCUAGAAGAAACAUUUACCUUUAGUUGAUUUAAGUUCCAGAGGUUUAUAGAAGUGAAUCUCGAAAUAGACACAAAUGAGAAAUCAUUAGCUUGGAUGAUCAUUAUAAAAUAUUUUCUAGAGCUUUCAGAGGUAGUUGUUUCAUUUGAUAACAAAACAAUUUGACCUUUUUGUUUUAGAUUUUUUUUUUAAAAAAUGAUCAAUUAAGUUAGAAAACAUCUCAUAAAACUCAGACUAAAAAAAUGAAGGUUGAAUCAUUAAAUAACGAAAAACACUUUGACUUUUCUUUGUUAGAUUCAAAAAAGAAAAAGAUAUGGGUUUUCACCUCGUAUAAAGAUAGAUCUACACAGUGAUAACCAUAAAAAAUAGAAAGUAAAAUAGAUUCCAAAGAAGCAAACUCAAUACUGUUGCUAAAACUAUGCAUGAAUCCCUUUGAUAUGCCUAUAUCAUUAACAAUAUCUAAGGAAGAGUAACUAGGUAUUUGGAAAGAAAUAUAAUUAAUAAGUCCAUGUUCACGAGUCUAAUAAGAUGAUGUAACUAUGGAGCCAUUGUACACCAAAAAAAGAGAAAACAUUUUAACACAGAAUAAUUAAACAAGAUACAAACCUAAAUUACUACUAAUGUUGAAAUGAUAAUACAAGAUAUGUAGCAUUUACAACUUUCAUUUAAAUAUAAAAACCAAGAAAAUGUGUGACCAUGAUUAGAGAUUAAAAAAAGGGGGAGGGUAGGCAAGGGAUUACCUUGUAGCAUGUUAUUGACAUAGAAAGACUUAAAGACAUAGAUGUUAGUGAAAUAUGACAGAAAAGCAAUGCAAAUGAAUUGAAGAUAGAAGGCUAAAUUACUACAUAUAUAAGUGUGAUUCUAAUGAAAACCCAAUUUCUUGGAAGCAAUAAUCAUUAACAUAAAGUUCUGUUUCAAUAAUCAAUCAUUUAUAUUUACAUUUACAUAAUUUCUAUGCAUAUUUACGAGUCAGUAGAACAUGGUUUAUGCUUUAACCAUCAUAAAAUCUCUAUUAAUAGUAUUUACUGAUUGCAUAAUGAAAGUAAUAGAAAGCAGAAGUACCUAGACUCCAUCUAUUGAACUUAAUCGGCUAAUGUUCUUCGUAAAUAUUCACAAUUUGAAAAUCCCCUAAAAUGAACCAACUCUCUAACUUUUUGCAAUAUUUCCUUGAACAAAUACAAACAGCAAAUUCUUUUAAGGAUUAAAAAUGACAUUCAUGAUGUAUAAAAUGUCUACCUACAUACAUCAUACAUCUAUUAGAGAUACAUGCAUAAGUUCACAUUCAUGCAUGCCAUAUGUAUAUGUUGUUAAAUUAACUGUCAUUAAAGGAGAUUUAAUAUUGAAUAUGUCACCUGAUAAGUACUAAACUAGAAAAGUUUUACAUUUUUACAUCCUUAAUCAACAUGUUUAGCAUCAUUUGAAUUUAAUAUACAUAAUGUCAUUAUCAUCCAAAAGUUUAGAUAAGGUUAGACAUCAAAUAGUAUCUUUUAAAUGAAAACUUUUAUGUCAUUUUUUGUGCAAAACUUAUGCAUGUUUAUCUUCUUAUCUUUUUAUGUAAAAAAAUCUUCUAUUUUUUACAAAUAAGUGAUUGGCUCAUCUUUAUUAUAAAAUGGUUUGCUAAUUACUUGGAAUUUCCUACGUUCGAUUUAGCCAGAAUUAAGAAGAAAAGUUACGCAGCAAUAAAUUCUUUUAAGGUGAAACAAAAUUCAUUGAAACAUGACAAGAUAUAAAGGUUAGAAAUUUAUUUUAUUUUAUUUUUUUAAAAUUAUGUAUUUUAAUAUUUAUAUAUAAUAAACAAUUUUUUUAGAUAACAGAAGAAUUAAUCUUUCAAUUAAUAGAACAUGCAAUUACUUUCAAUUUAUGAAAGCACCAAUAGAGGAUUAUCGUAAGAAAAAAAUGACGAAAGAAUGACUUGUUAUACGUAGCUAUAUCUUUUUCAUAUGACAAACAAGGUUAGUUUUAUAUGAUUUAAAUGAAAAAAAAUAAAAUUAUUUUUAUUUCAAAUUUCUUUAGAAUUAAUGUGAAACUAUUUAUUUCGGGAAACAUUAUAUACUUAUUCAUUUUCUCCAUUACAUCAAUUGAAGAAUAUUCUAUGUUGUAACUAUUGUGGUGCUAAAAAGUUCCAAUAUGAGCCUUCAUCAUUUUGUUGUCAAACUGGUCAAGUAAAAUUAGCUACCAUUUCUAUUCCAAAAUAGUUAUACCUUCUUUUUGCAUCUCAAACUGAAAAAGCCAUUGAAUUUUGAAAGCAUAUUAGAUUUUACAAUAAUAUGUUUUCAUUCAUAUCUUUUGGAUUUAGGUAAGAUAAGGAUUAGUAUGUUUAACUCUAUUUACACCUUUCAAGCACAAAGGCAAAUAUAUCAUGAUAUUCCAUCAUUAGUUCUAGAAGAAAAUACUUCAUGUUAUUUUUAGCUAUACUUUUAUGAUACUGGUAAUGAAUUUCAAAAUAGAAUGAAAACAUAACAUAAUAAAAAUUUAAGUACAAAAGUUGUGGAGAUGUUAAUAUAAAUAGUAAAAAAAAAUUCUUAAGCCCAAGUCUUAUAGAGAUUAAAUGAUAUAUUUUCUUUUAAGGAUUUUGAAAUAUGUAUUGCAACAAAUGCUAAUAUAGAUCAAUGAGUUUAUAAUCAUUUAUUUGUGAUCAAGUUGUUGCUAUAUGAGUUAAAGGAAACAACUCAAGCAUUUCAUUUGAAGAGAUAUCAUAAUUUAUACUCAUUUAGGAAAACAAUAUAGAGUUAAAUAUUAUUUCGAUUAUUAUGACCCCUUACAGUAUCCUUUACUCUUUUCAAAUGGAAAGGUUGGUUGGCAUUAAAAUAUCAAGAAAUUUAUUUUGAAUAAUGCUAACGAGAAUGAAACAAUAAUUGGAAAUAGACCAUCUUUUCAUUCAGUAGACGAAAUUUUUGAAGGAGAAUGUAAAUGUAAUUAUUGUGAACUUAAUAUUUUUAAAAUAAUUGUAUGUUUAAUUUUUUAAAUGUUAUUUAUUUCUAAUUACUUUUAUCAUAUCAUAUAUAGCAAAAUUUUUGUGUAGAAUUUGUUACUUUCAUUGUUAGUAGAUCAUUUUAAAAUUCUCACUUUCUUAUAUAAAAUUAUACUUUGCUAAUUGGUAAAAAGAUACAUACACUAUUCAUUCAAUCAAAUCCUCAAUAAAUAUUAGCUUCCUAUGAAAAAGAUUCUAAUUUUUUAUUUCAUAAUAUCUAAUCAUACUUUAUUAAUUUUUUAUUUUUAUAUACUUUAUUAAUGUUAGUUUUAUGUUAAAGAUUUGUAGCAAUAGUUACUUUUUGUACAAGUUUUUAGCAUUUCUUUAACUUAUUGAUAUUUUAUUUCCUAUAAUGAUCUUAUGUUUUAUUGUUAAAUUGGUAGUUAAAAUACCAAACUUUAAAAUAUGUUUAUUACUUUAGGAAUUGUUGUAGAAAAAAGUAAAAAUGUGUCAAUAAAGGACUAUUAUUAUUUCAAAUUCCAAACAGAGAGUUUGAAAUAAUAAUAACUAUAUACCUUUUGGCUGGGUAAUUGUUUCAAUAAUUUUUUGUAGAUGUGUAUAUUAAAAUUGAAACACUAAGGCUUGAUUUGUACAGGGUAAAGUAGUCAAAUAUUCGAUUUAAAUUGUAUUAGAAAAUUAUUGAUAGUGUAAUAGCUGAAGAAGUAAGAGAAAGCCAAGUGAGAAAAAUGAUAGUUCUUUUUGUAACUUUUAUUGAUAACCUUAGAGACAUGCGGCAUAGGUACUAUGAUGCAAUGACUUUGGUCCAAUGAUUUGGGAAACUAGAUUUUUUUAUAACUAUAACAUGUAAUCUAGAAUGGAAAAAAUUUAUAAAUGAGCUCAAAGAAAGUCAACUUGCUCAAGAUAGACCAUAUCUGACUUUUAGAAUAUUUCAUACUAAGUUACAAGAUUUUAAAGAUCAACUUUUCAAGAAAGAAAUAUUUAAAAAAGUUGCAUCACAUGUCUAUGUUAUUGAAUUUCAAAAAAGAAGAAUUCUUCAUGCCCUUAUAUUAAUCUUAUUACAAGAAGGAAACAAGAUUUUAUCUAAAGAUCAAUUUGAUAAAUGUAUUUAUGUAGAAUUACUAGAUAAAGAACUUCAUCCAAAACUAUAUGAAUUAGUUGUGAAAACCAUAAUACAUGGUCCUUAUAUUAAUCAUUUUACAAGAAGUAAACAAUAUUUUAUCUGAAGAUCAAUUUGAUAAAUAUAUUUACUUAGAAUUACUAGAUAAAGAAUUUCAUCCAGAACUAUAUGAAUUAGUUGUGAAAAACAUGAUACAUGGGCCUUAUGAAAAAUACGGACAUAAUCAUGCAUAAUUGAUGAUAAAUGCAAGUUGCAUUAUCUUAGAGCUUUCUACUCACAACCACUGGAAGGAAACAAAAGAUACUCAAUGUAUAAAAGAAGAACAAAUGGUUUGUCAAUGAAGAUAAAGAACAAAAUUGUUGAUAACAAAUGGAUUGCGCCAUAUAAUUCAUAUUUUUUGACAAGAGAUACUUGUUACAUAAAUGUUAAGAUAUGCUCAAAGGUGAAAACGGUCAAGUGCCUUUAUAAGUAUAUAUAUAUAAAAGACAUGAUAAAGUUGUUAUUUAUAUUGCAUAAUAUGACGAGGAUAAUGUCAUUGAUGAAAUUAAUCAAUUUCAAGAUGCAAGAUGGGUAUCUCUUCAAGAGGUUAUAUGGAGAAUUUUUCAGUUUGAGUUGAAUGAAAUGUCUUCUCUAGUUAUAAAUUUGUAGUUAUAUCUCCCAAACCAACAAGCUGUAUAUUACUGAAAAAAUCAAAAUUUGUAAAAUGUGUUAUAUUAAGAUCAUGUGUCAAGAACAAUGUUGACAGAAUAUUUUGAAAUAUGACUAAUGAAGGUAAUGCAAGAAAGUAUUUGUAUAUGGAAUUCCUUAACCAUUAUGUAUGGAACAAGCAAAAUCAAAUAUGGACAAAAUGAACAAACAAAAUUGUGAUUGGCUGAAUAAAAGUGCAAAUCCAAAAGAAAGUGAAAUAUUUUAUCUGAGACUUUUAUUAAAUCAUGUUAGAAGGCCUAUUGCUUUUGAAAAUUAAUUAACAGUUAUUGGAAUAUGUUAUUUGUCUUUCAAAAAAGUAGUGGAGAAAAGAGGUCUUUUAGAAUUAGAUAAAAGUAACAAAGAAUGUUUAAUUGAAGCAACAACAUAUUAAAUGCCAAAAGCACUUCAAAAAUUAUUUGCUAUGAUAUAUAUCAUUGUGAACCUAAAAAUUAAGGAAAUUUUGAGAUAGAUAUUUUGAAACAAUGUCUGAAGAUUUUAAUAGGAUUCAUAAAGAUGCAGUCUUUAUAAUAGUUUUAGAUAUAUUAACAAAUAUAAAUCUUUUUUUGAAGGUAUGUACAGAUAAUCUUUUCCUCAAUUAAAUUAUUUUACUUUCAUUCUUAAGUUUUACUUAUAUAAUGUCGAUUAAUUUUCAUACUUUUUUUUAUAGACUUUAAUGUACGAUAAUGUGGCAUUUGAUUUUGAACUCUGUGAGACUAAAGUUUUAAAGUUUGAAUAUAAAUGGAAUAUUGUAAGACAUUAAAAAAUUUAAAAGUAAUGGAAGAAGGAAAAAAAAAAGAUCCAUAAUCCAUUUAAAUAGUUUGAAAAAGACAUGAUAAGUGUUUUUUAAAUUUAUAGAGUUAGAUUAAACAAACUUGCCACAUUAUGCUUGUAAAAAUAUCUUUAGAAUAACAUAGCAAUAGAUAGAUAUACCAAUGAUAAAAAAGUUUAAUGUCUUUCUCUCUCUAAUUAUUUUUUAUACAAGAAGAUUAGAAUAGCAGUAUUACUUGAAUACUCAUGUAAAAUUCUAUGAAAUUUCUAACCCUUAUAUGCGAUCUGAGGUGAAAAUUUUUCUGAUGACAAUGUGCUAAAUUUUAUUAUAUUAUCAAGGUAUGGGGAACAAAACAAUUAAUGAUUAUGAUUUAUCUUCUUUACAUAUUAACUAUUUAGAAGUCAAAGGACCAAAUUGUCAACAAAUAAUGGAGAAAUAAUCAAUACAAAUUCAUUUUAAAGAUUACGAUGCAGAAACAAAAUAAAAUUUUAAACAAGAGAAAGUAUUCACAAUUAUAAUGAAAAAGAUUAAUUGAUAGAUUUGAAGGUAUGGGUAAAACAUUUCUUUAUCGAGCCUUGCAUAAGAUCAAGACAUAUGAUAGUAUUAGCUACAACAACAUCUGUUGUAAUAGCUACAAUAUUGCCUGGGGGUCGAAUAACACAUUCACAGUUUGUUUCACUAUUAAAUCCUAAUAAAAUGAAUUUUUGUGGUUUCUUUAACCAAGAUAGGAUUGUAAAGUUACUAUGAAAGGUAGCCUUAAUCAUAUGGGAUGAAACACCUAUGGUUAAAAGAUUUUCCAUCAAAAUUAUUGAUUUUAAGAGAUAUCAUGGAUAGCACAUAAAUUUUUGAUGGAAAAGUAAUUAUUUUUAAGAGAGAUUUUCUUCAAGUGUUACUUGUUGUUCUUCAUGAUAUAAGAGCAAAAAUAGUUUAUGUUAGUUUUGCAAAGUCUUAUUUGUGGAAUAAGAUGAAAAAAUUGAAACUGACAAAAAAAUAUGAGAGCAAGACUAGAAUGACAACUUUAGUGAGCUUUUGCUUCAAAUAAGAAAUGGCGUUAAACCUACAAUAAGUAAUGACUUAAUUCGUCUUCCAAAGGAAAUGGUGAUAAAAUAUGAGAAUGAUGAGAUUUUAGAUAGAAAGUUGAUUGAUGGUAUCUUUGCUUUUCUUAUAGAGAAUGAUAGGUCAAAAAAUUAUAUGAUGAAAACAAAAAAUGAGUAUGUUGAUGAACUCAAUGCAAAAAUGACAAAAAUAUUCUCAAGUAUCAAUACCAAUAAAAGUUAAAUAAUUGUUAAUCUUGCCAUAUUGAUAUUUAUAUAAUGUAUAUGACUAAUUUUGAUUAUAUAUUUUCAAGUGAAAGCAAAAUUUUUUAUAGUUUUGAUAAAGCAAAAGAUGAAAAUAGUAACUGCUAUGAAAAUGAGUUUUUUAAUAUAUUUUCAUCAAAUGGACUUCCACACCAUAAGUUGGAACUCAAAGUAUAUUGCCCAAUUAUACUGUUAAAAAAUUUCAAUCCUUUGAUCAGAUUGUGCAAUGGGACAAUGAUGGUAUGUAAAGGAUUUGACAAAAAUGUUAUAUACGUAGAAAUUACAAUUGGACAACAUACAGGUGAAAAAGUUCUUCUACCAAAAAUUCAUUUUAAAACAACAAAGGAUAAAGAUUAUCCAUUUAAAUUUACACGCAAACAAUUUUCAAUAUGACUUUGUCUUGCGAUGACGAUGAAUAAAGCACAAGGGCAUACGAUUCCACAUGUUGGAGUCUAUCUUCCUAAUCAUGUUUGUUUCACAUGUUCAGUUGUGUGUUGCAUUAUUAAGAGGAAUCUUAAUGAUUACAACGAAAGUUUUAGUCAAAACUGAGAAUUUUAUAUAAAAAAAAAGAGAUAUACAUAAAAAAUGUAGUUUACAAGGAAGUUUUACUUCUAGAAACUUGAUGAAAUAAUAUUUAAUUUUUUUGCCUAAGACAUUUGAUAAAUGUCAUUUUUUUUAUUAAGGUGUACUCUAACCAUCUAUUAUUCAAAGUAGAUGUAGUGAGUUAAUUUGUUCAAUAUGUUCUACAAACAAGCAAGCAGAAAGAAAAAAUGGUAGUUAAGUUUACUACUUAAAAGAGUAUAGAUUAUUACAAUUAGUUGACUUGAAAUUUUUCGUCUAUAAAAAACUUAUAAGAUAAAAAACCCUUUAGAUUUCCUACAUUUUCACAAGCAACCAAACAUAAAAACAACAAAAAAACCUAUGAAGCAAACAUCAAAGUAAAAGCCCAAAAAGAACCCAUAAAGAAUUAAGAUUCAAUCAAAGUUGCUCAAAGAUUAAAAAAAAGGGAUAAAAAUAACCAAAACCAUUCAUAUAAUACAAGAAAAAGAGAAAAGAAAAACUAGGUUUUGCUUGGUGAACAUGAAAGCCUUGUUUGUUUCAACAAGAACAAACAAGAAAACUAAAACAAACUAUAUACAAAAAUUAAGGCAAAAAUGAAAAAAAAAAGGAUAGAACCAGAGGUAGUACUUGCAGAAACGAAAAUGUAGAGAAAACCUUGCAAAAUUUAAUAGAAAACAAAGUUUAAAGUACAAAAUUGAAAGAAAAAAAGUUUUUUAACGGUUUAUUUAAAGAAAAGGAAGAGAACAGAUGCCAUAAGACAUGUCAAAGACCUAACGAGACAAAGUUUUGAAAAUGAAAACUGAUAAAAAACUAGCGAAACUAUAAUUAUUAAAGUUAUUAUUUAAUUAAAGAGAUUUUGGAAGUUAAAGGCUUUGGUAUGAGCAAGGGUAAUCAAUACCACUAAAAUUAUCAACUAACUUGGCUGACAACAGAAAAAUAAGGUUCACAGAGCAGAUAGCCUUCUCAUUUUUCCCUUUAUAUAUAGAAACGAAAAUAUUGGUUACAAAAUUGUUUAUUUCAUUUAAACGCCACUUUUUCUACUUCUUUUGUUUUUUGCAAACAAUUUAAAGUAAAUUUAGGUUCUUUAAUUACUAUAUUAUUGAAUGCAUAACAAUUCUAAAUAUAUACAAUAUAUGCAAUAUAUACAAUUCUAAUUUUCCUAAUAAUCCACAUUUCUAAUCUUAAGAGCUUAUUACAAGAACUAGCUGUAAGCAGGCCAUAUAUGUGCAUAUAUCCCAAAGGUGAGAAGACAAUCCUUCAAUAAUUAGGAAUUCAAGAUCAUCAAUGCCACACUUAUGAAAAGAAAGUCAUUAAGAUUUAAAGUUUAUAUCAAAUAAGAGUUUGGUAAAUUUAUGCCUCUCUCACUUUCAUUUUGGAUUAAUUUUAACAAAUUGGAAAUUAUUUUAAAUUAAAUUAAUCAUAUAAUAAAAUUAUAUUUCUUAUUUCUUCUUUUCUUAUUUUAUUUUUUUGAUAUUGCUACUACACCUAUAAGUUUGGUAAAUGAAUGUAACUCUUCCACUUUCAUUUCAUAUUAGUAUUUAACUUAAUAAAUAAAAUUUACAAAAUCCAAUGCUCAUGUUACAAUCUUCCUUAAUAACAAAGUCUAAUUAAACAAAACAAUUCAUUCAAAGAACUUUAAUCGAUAUCAAAGUCUUAAUGUUUUAAUAUAAAAACUACAAAGCUAAACAUAUUACUCCAUAGUUAUAUCAAAUACAUAGGUAUUCUUUCUUUAUAUAAGUUUGAAUAUUUCUUCAUAAAAGUAUCAAAAAUAAAUUUUACGAUUAUUCGAAUAAUCUAACUAUUUAUUAUUUAUUUUGUCAUUGUGGCUUCAAAUCUUCAUCAAAGUAGAAGAAAAGAGGUAAGUAUACAUAUUUAUUAUUAUUUUUUUAUACUUUUAAUUUGUUUUUAGAUAAACUUAUGAUAGUCUUUUAAUCUUUCCUUAUUCUUUUCUUUAUUAUCUGCCUUCUAAUCCAUAUGUUUCUACUUCUUUUCCAUUUUCCCUUCCAAGCAUUAGAUUAUUAUAGGAUUGGUUUUCGUUGGAAUUAAUAUGGUUUGUUUAUAUUGAAUAUUCAUAGUAUAUUGUAGUUUGCACUCACUUGAUUCUAAGUUGCAUUUUUUCCUUUUUAAUUCGCAUAUGAAGUUAGUUGUUUUUAUAUGUCACAAGUGGUUGGCCUUAUAUGAUAUCCAAAUCAUCUAUUAUUUUUUUAAAAAAUAUAACCAUUAUCCUCACAAGUCUACGGGGAAAAACUAUAUCUAAGCUAUCAACCUUAAUUAGUAUAUAAAAUUAAUUUAAGCAAUUAAUUUUUUUCAUAUUGUUGAACACAAAUCUCAAGAAUAAUUUGUUAGAGAGUUUGUGAUUUCUCAUAAACACAAUAUCUAGAUUUUCUGCUCUACUUUUUAUUAACUUUUAAAUUGUUGAUUUUUAAUUUAUUAAGAGCAUAAAUAUUAUAAUAAUGUUGAUUAUGAAUUUGUAGUACUUAGAAAGGAAAUAUGGAGGAGUAUAAUAAUGCAAAACGAUUGAGAAAAUUUUUUAAAUUGAUAUUCAUUGAUGAAGAGGUAAAAAUCUUUAGCCUUUUUUUAAUAUAAUUUUGAUAUAACAUUUGAAUAUUUUAGUAUAAAUUAUGAAUUUAAUCUUAUUUGUUAACUACAAAGAACAAAAAUUUUAGCUAUGAUGUUUAAUGAGACAAUAACAAAAUUUCAAUUCUCUUUAAUGAAAAACAAAUCAUAUAUAAUAUCAAAUGCAUUUGUCAAAUCUAUUAAGAAGGAAUAUUUUAAUGUUAACAAAGAGUUGAGUUAACAAUUACAGCUUAUACCAACAUAAGAGAAGCAAAAACUCUUAUAAGUUUGGAAAGAAUGUUGCUUGAUUAUCAUCCAGUGGAUAAAGUGAUGGAAAUCCCAAAAAGGGAAAUAUUUGGUAAGUUUUCUUCAAAUUGAUAUGAAUUUAUUAAAAUAAAUAUAUGUUUAAUUUAAGUAUUUACAUUAAUAUAUGUUAAUUAUAGACUUAUUGGGCUUUGUUAUUGAAGUUAAAUCUUGCAUUAUAGGACGCAAUGCCAGGUCUCAAACAACAAUAAUGAAUGACAAGUAAGUAUAUAUUAUAGUAUAGUUAUUUUUAUAUAUUUGCAUCAUUUUAAAACUUAAUUAAUAAAGAUCAUUAUAUAUAUAAUUGUAGGAUGAUAUCCAUGGAAGUACUAUUGUGGGGAAGUUUGGUUAAAUUGAAGGUUAAUUACUUGAAGACAUGAAAGAAGAAAGACAAAUUAUUGUAUUAUUAAAUGUACAAGGAAAUAUUUAUCAAGGUAAUUAAUAUAUUUUAAAGUUAUAUUUUAUCUUGGCUAAAACUUGCUCAAAAUUUUAACAUUUCUUAAAAUUUUAAAACUUAUUAUUUACAAUUUAUAAACUUGGUCAAAUUUUUAAUAGUUUAAUUUUUUUUUAAACUUAUCAUUUAUUAAUUGUAUAUUUUUCAAUUGUUUAUCUACUAAAUACAUUCGCAAUAUCUUCCAUCAUUAUUAAUCCUACAAUAAAAAAGGCAAAGAAAUUAAGAAAGUAAGUUUAGAUUCAUAAGAACCCUUCAGCUUCAUAAGAAUUCACUAAAAUUUGACUCUCAAAAUUUCAGUUUCACAAGAAUUCAAAUUUGCAAGAUCUUCAAAUUCACAUUCAUAAAUUAUAAGACUCGCAUCCACAUUCAAAAAGUCUCAUUUGAAUUUUGGAGAUUCACAUCCAAAAGUUCAAAGCUUCGCAUUUGAGUUCAAAGCUUCUCAUUUAAGUUCAAAGGUUCACAUUUGAUAAAUUUGGGGUUCACAUUCAAAAGUUUAAGCUUUCAUUAGAAUUUUAAAAUUAAUCCAAAUUCAUAAGCUUCUCAUUCAGUUCAAAUACUAAUGUAGAAACUUAAAGUUCACUUCUAUUCUAAGUUCUCUAUAAAUUAGAGAUCUCAUCUAAAGUUCAAAAUUCACAUUCAACAAGAUUUAGGGCUUAACUUAAGAUUCUAUUUUAAAAUUCAAAUAUUCAUUAUUUGAAAAUUCUCAUUCGAUUCAAUAAUUUAUAUCAAAACGAAUUUGAAUCUAAUGAAGCUAAUGAGAUAUUUACUGAAUAGUAUUUAGAGAUAUUUCUUUCAAUCUAAUCAUUAUUCUCUAAGUUAUAUUUUUUUCCUCCAUCUAUUUAUUUACUUUUAAAAAUUUUCAACCAAGAUGCAUAAUCUUUUUAAAAUUGAUGAUUAAACCUAAUAUAAAGGGCAUCAUGGUAUUCAAAUAUACGUUUCACCAUGUGUAGCCAAUCUAAGAAUUCUUUAGGUUGCAUCUUUCCCUUGAAUUCAGGAAUUUUUAUCUUUGAAUUGAAUAUGCUAGGUUAAAGUUAGUUUCUGAGUAGAUAAUCUCUAACUUAUCGUGGGUGAAAUAGGGUGCUAUCAUCAGAAUCACUGUUGUUUCCAUGGAAUGGAUUGGUUUCUCCUUUAUCUUUUUUGUUUCUCCUUCGUUGCCUCUUUAUCUUCUCUUUCUUUUCUUUUAUAUGCAACUGAUUUUAUAGUUGAAAGAUCUGUUACCGCAUCUCUUCCAUAAAGGCAUCCAUUGGGUCAACAUUCAUAGUUGUUAUAACGUUAGUGUUGGCUUUAACCUCUUCUAUUGAUGCUUGAUGAUGACGACCUACCAUAACUCUGAUACGAACUUGAUGCCUAGAAUUGAUGUUUGAGAUAUGAAGAUUAACUGCAAACAAAAAACUCACAAAAAGAUAACUCACAAGNNNNNNNNNNNNNNNNNNNNNNNNNNNNNNNNNNNNNNNNNNNNNNNNNNNNNNNNNNNNNNNNNNNNNNNNNNNNNNNNNNNNNNNNNNNNNNNNNNNNNNNNNNNNNNNNNNNNNNNNNNNNNNNNNNNNNNNNNNNNNNNNNNNNNNNNNNNNNNNNNNNNNNNNNNNNNNNNNNNNNNNNNNNNNNNNNNNNNNNNNNNNNNNNNNNNNNNNNNNNNNNNNNNNNNNNNNNNNNNNNNNNNNNNNNNNNNNNNNNNNNNNNNNNNNNNNNNNNNNNNNNNNNNNNNNNNNNNNNNNNNNNNNNNNNNNNNNNNNNNNNNNNNNNNNNNNNNNNNNNNNNNNNNNNNNNNNNNNNNNNNNNNNNNNNNNNNNNNNNNNNNNNNNNNNNNNNNNNNNNNNNNNNNNNNNNNNNNNNNNNNNNNNNNNNNNNNNNNNNNNNNNNNNNNNNNNNNNNNNNNNNNNNNNNNNNNNNNNNNNNNNNNNNNNNNNNNNNNNNNNNNNNNNNNNNNNNNNNNNNNNNNNNNNNNNNNNNNNNNNNNNNNNNNNNNNNNNNNNNNNNNNNNNNNNNNNNNNNNNNNNNNNNNNNNNNNNNNNNNNNNNNNNNNNNNNNNNNNNNNNNNNNNNNNNNNNNNNNNNNNNNNNNNNNNNNNNNNNNNNNNNNNNNNNNNNNNNNNNNNNNNNNNNNNNNNNNNNNNNNNNNNNNNNNNNNNNNNNNNNNNNNNNNNNNNNNNNNNNNNNNNNNNNNNNNNNNNNNNNNNNNNNNNNNNNNNNNNNNNNNNNNNNNNNNNNNNNNNNNNNNNNNNNNNNNNNNNNNNNNNNNNNNNNNNNNNNNNNNNNNNNNNNNNNNNNNNNNNNNNNNNNNNNNNNNNNNNNNNNNNNNNNNNNNNNNNNNNNNNNNNNNNNNNNNNNNNNNNNNNNNNNNNNNNNNNNNNNNNNNNNNNNNNNNNNNNNNNNNNNNNNNNNNNNNNNNNNNNNNNNNNNNNNNNNNNNNNNNNNNAAGGAAGUUUUACUUCUAGAAACUUGAUGAAACAAUAUUUAAUUUUUUUGCCUAAGACAUUUGAUAAAUGUCAUUUUUUUAUUAAGGUGUACUCUAACCAUCUAUUAUUCAAAGUAGAUGUAGUGAGUUAAUUUGUUCAAUAUGUUCUACAAACAAGCAAGCAGAAAGAAAAAAUGGUAGUUAAGUUUACUACUUAAAAGAGUAUAGAUUAUUACAAUUAGUUGACUUGAAAUUUUUCGUCUAUAAAAAACUUAUAAGAUAAAAAACCCUUUAGAUUUCCUACAUUUUCACAAGCAACCAAACAUAAAAACAACAAAAAAACCUAUGAAGCAAACAUCAAAGUAAAAGCCCAAAAAGAACCCAUAAAGAAUUAAGAUUCAAUCAAAGUUGCUCAAAGAUUAAAAAAAAGGGAUAAAAAUAACCAAAACCAUUCAUAUAAUACAAGAAAAGGAGAAAAGAAAAACUAGGUUUUGCUUGGUGAACAUGAAAGCCUUGUUUGUUUCAACAAGAACAAACAAGAAAACUAAAACAAACUAUAUACAAAAAUUAAGGCAAAAAUGAAAAAAAAAAGGAUAGAACCAGAGGUAGUACUUGGAGAAACGAAAAUGUAGAGAAAACCUUGCAAAAUUUAAUAGAAAACAAAGUUUAAAGUACAAAAUUGAAAGAAAAAAAGUUUUUUAACGGUUUAUUUAAAGAAAAGGAAGAGAACAGAUGCCAUAAGACAUGUCAAAGACCUAACGAGACAAAGUUUUGAAAAUGAAAACUGAUAAAAACUAGCGAAACUAUAAUUAUUAAAGUUAUUAUUUAAUUAAAGAGAUUUUGGAAGUUAAAGGCUUUGGUAUGAGCAAGGGUAAUCAAUACCACUACAAUUAUCACUAACUUGGCUGACAACAGAAAAAUAAGGUUCACAGAGCAGAUAGCCUUCUCAUUUUCCCUUUAUAUAUAGAAACGAAAAUAUUGGUUACAAAAUUGUUUAUUUCAUUUAAACGCCACUUUUUCUACUUCUUUUGUUUUUUGCAAACAAUUUAAAGUAAAUUUAGGUUCUUUAAUUACUAUAUUAUUGAAUGCAUAACAAUUCUAAAUAUAUACAAUAUAUGCAAUAUAUACAAUUCUAAUUUUCCUAAUAAUCCACAUUUCUAAUCUUAAGAGCUUAUUACAAGAACUAGCUGUAAGCAGGCCAUAUAUGUGCAUAUAUCCCAAAGGUGAGAAGACAAUCCUUCAAUAAUUAGGAAUUCAAGAUCAUCAAUGCCACACUUAUGAAAAGAAAGUCAUUAAGAUUUAAAGUUUAUAUCAAAUAAGAGUUUGGUAAAUUUAUGCCACUCUCUCACUUUCAUUUUGGAUUAAUUUUAACAAAUUGGAAAUUAUUUUAAAUUAAAUUAAUCAUAUAAUAAAAUUAUAUUUCUUAUUUCUUCUUUUCUUAUUUUAUUUUUUUGAUAUUGCUACUACACCUAUAAGUUUGGUAAAUGAAUGUAACUCUUCCACUUUCAUUUCAUAUUAGUAUUUAACUUAAUAAAUAAAAUUUACAAAAUCCAAUGCUCAUGUUACAAUCUUCCUUAAUAACAAAGUCUAAUUAAACAAAACAAUUCAUUCAAAGAACUUUAAUCGAUAUCAAAGUCUUAAUGUUUUAAUAUAAAAACUACAAAGCUAAACAUAUUACUCCAUAGUUAUAUCAAAUACAUAGGUAUUCUUUCUUUAUAUAAGUUUGAAUAUUUCUUCAUAAAAGUAUCAAAAAUAAAUUUUACGAUUAUUCGAAUAAUCUAACUAUUUAUUAUUUAUUUUGUCAUUGUGGCUUCAAAUCUUCAUCAAAGUAGAAGAAAAGAGGUAAGUAUACAUAUUUAUUAUUAUUUUUUUAUACUUUUAAUUUGUUUUUAGAUAAACUUAUGAUAGUCUUUUUAAUCUUUCCUUAUUCUUUUCUUUAUUAUCUGCCUUCUAAUCCAUAUGUUUCUACUUCUUUUCCAUUUUCCCUUCCAAGCAUUAGAUUAUUAUAGGAUUGGUUUUCGUUGGAAUUAAUAUGGUUUGUUUAUAUUGAAUAUUCAUAGUAUAUUGUAGUUUGCACUCACUUGAUUCUAAGUUGCAUUUUUUCCUUUUUAAUUCGCAUAUGAAGUUAGUUGUUUUUAUAUGUCACAAGUGGUUGGCCUUAUAUGAUAUCCAAAUCAUCUAUUAUUUUUUAAAAAAAUAUAACCAUUAUCCUCACAAGUCUACGGGGAAAACCUAUAUCUAAGCUAUCAACCUUAAUUAGUAUAUAAAAUUAAUUUAAGCAAUUAAUUUUUUUCAUAUUGUUGAACACAAAUCUCAAGAAUAAUUUGUUAGAGAGUUUGUGAUUUCUCAUAAACACAAUAUCUAGAUUUUCUGCUCUACUUUUUAUUAACUUUUAAAUUGUUGAUUUUUAAUUUAUUAAGAGCAUAAAUAUUAUAAUAAUGUUGAUUAUGAAUUUGUAGUACUUAGAAAGGAAAUAUGGAGGAGUAUAAUAAUGCAAAACGAUUGAGAAAAUUUUUUAAAUUGAUAUUCAUUGAUGAAGAGGUAAAAAUCUUUAGCCUUUUUUUAAUAUAAUUUUGAUAUAACAUUUGAAUAUUUUAGUAUAAAUUAUGAAUUUAAUCUUAUUUGUUAACUACAAGGAACAAAAAUUUUAGCUAUGAUGUUUAAUGAGACAAUAACAAAAUUUCAAUUCUCUUUAAUGAAAAACAAAUCAUAUAUAAUAUCAAAUGCAUUUGUCAAAUCUAUUAAGAAGGAAUAUUUUAAUGUUAACAAAGAGUUGAGUUAACAAUUACAGCUUAUACCAACAUAAGAGAAGCAAAAACUCUUAUAAGUUUGGAAAGAAUGUUGCUUGAUUAUCAUCCAGUGGAUAAAGUGAUGGAAAUCCCAAAAAGGGAAAUAUUUGGUAAGUUUUCUUCAAAUUGAUAUGAAUUUAUUAAAAUAAAUAUAUGUUUAAUUUAAGUAUUUACAUUAAUAUAUGUUAAUUAUAGACUUAUUGGGCUUUGUUAUUGAAGUUAAAUCUUGCAUUAUAGGACGCAAUGCCAGGUCUCAAACAACAAUAAUGAAUGACAAGUAAGUAUAUAUUAUAGUAUAGUUAUUUUUAUAUAUUUGCAUCAUUUUAAAACUUAAUUAAUAAAGAUCAUUAUAUAUAUAAUUGUAGGAUGAUAUCCAUGGAAGUACUAUUGUGGGGAAGUUUGGUUAAAUUGAAGGUUAAUUACUUGAAGACAUGAAAGAAGAAAGACAAAUUAUUGUAUUAUUAAAUGUACAAGGAAAUAUUUAUCAAGGUAAUUAAUAUAUUUUAAAGUUAUAUUUUAUCUUGGCUAAAACUUGCUCAAAAUUUUAACAUUUCUUAAAAUUUUAAAACUUAUUAUUUACAAUUUAUAAACUUGGUCAAAUUUUUAAUAGUUUAAUUUUUUUUUAAACUUAUCAUUUAUUAAUUGUAUAUUUUUCAAUUGUUUAUCUACUAAAUACAUUCGCAAUAUCUUCCAUCAUUAUUAAUCCUACAAUAAAAAAGGCAAAGAAAUUAAGAAAGUAAGUUUAGAUUCAUAAGAACCCUUCAGCUUCAUAAGAAUUCACUAAAAUUUGACUCUCAAAAUUUCAGUUUCACAAGAAUUCAAAUUUGCAAGAUCUUCAAAUUCACAUUCAUAAAUUAUAAGACUCGCAUCCACAUUCAAAAAGUCUCAUUUGAAUUUUGGAGAUUCACAUCCAAAAGUUCAAAGCUUCGCAUUUGAGUUCAAAGCUUCUCAUUUAAGUUCAAAGGUUCACAUUUGAUAAAUUUGGGGUUCACAUUCAAAAGUUUAAGCUUUUCAUUAGAAUUUUAGAGAUUCACAUCCAAAAGUUCAAAGCUUCUCAUUCAAGUUCAAAAGCUCACAUGCAAAAAAACUUAAAGUUUCACUUCUAAGUUCAAAGGUUCUCACUUAAAAAUUUAGAGAUUCUCAUCUAAAAGUUCAAAGAUUCACAUUCAACAAACUUUAGGGCUUUACAUCUUAAAGAUUCUCAUUUAAAAUUCAAAUAUUUUCAUUUGAGUUUGAAAAUUCUCAUUCGCAUGCAAUAAUUGUCAUGAUCAAAGACGCAAGUGUUUUCUCCAUGAUGCAAAUGCAAUAAUCUAGAUUCUCACAAUGCCAUAUUCUUAAUCAUGAUUCACAUGUUUACUACAUAAUGCAAAUGCAUAUCCAAACCAAAGUUUUAAACAUCUUUCAAAAAAAUAAUGCUAAUGUAAUGCAUGUAAUGCAGAUAUCAAAGUCAUGAAAUUCUAAUCAAAAUGUAGUAAUAUGGUCCUCAAGACUCCACCAUAUCUUAUAUUUCUUUUCCAACUCUAGCUUCUUAGCACCUAGAACAAGUUUUGUCAAUGAUCUUUGCCAUCUUGAUCAUCAUUUAUAGGACUCUCAAUACUAACAAUUUCAAGACAAGUUUUAUCCAUUGCCCCAUAUCAUUUAAUCAUGACUCACAAGCUCUUCAGUACUAGCAAUUUUAGUAUAAAUUUCAUCCAUUGACCUAUACUAUUCUCACUAUUUGAUCACAACUCAUAAGUUAUGUAAGCCAAUCCAUCACUAUGUUCAUUUUUGGGUCACAUCAUUUUUCUAGAUUUUGUUGAGCAAUCGAUCCCCAUGUUCAUCAUUUGGCCAUCCCAUGUCAUUUUUCAAGUUUCUGCUAUCUCUUCAUCAUUUUUGCCUUAUCAUCUUGGGUUUCUUUCAAAUGAAUACAAGACUUUUUUUUUUGCACAUUGUCAUUCAUUCAUCAUCAUUUCAAAUCAUGACAACUACAAUGCAAUCAUAUAUUUUCUUGAUUUGUUCUGGGGAUAUAACAAUAAAAGAACACAAGGUGAAUUACGGGAAAAGUAAUCAAUAAAGAACGAGUUUGAUACAAAACAAAUAGGGAAAGAAACAAAUGUCAUUGGGAUGAAUGCUAUAUCCAAACAAUGAAUAUUCAGAUAAUUCUGAAUAUGAAUCCAGGGUUCUUUUUCAAAAACUCAUUCCAUUGACUGUUUAAAUCAUUUUGAGCUCAUCAAACUUUACCUCAGUUUCUAGAAAUCUUUAGAUACUUCGAUCAUCCAUAUGAUAGAACUGUCCAUCAAACUUUUUAGUUCAAAUAUUUUUUUCUACCCAAAUUGCCCUUUUAGGUUUUCAAUUUGAGUCAUCAUUUUCUUUCAUUUCCAUUUUUUUUUUCUUUUUCAUUUUUUCUCUCUUUUUUUUUUCAUUUUUUUCUUUUCUUUCCUUCAUUCAUUCACCUAUCUUUCACAUCAAUCUUUAGAGCAACCAAACAUGAUUAUGUCAUUCCAUCAUGAGCAUGCCUUAGCCCAACAUGUAACCAUUCAAUUCAAUCAUUCACAUUUGAUCCAAAUGAACUUUUAAAGGUUGUAAUGUAGACUAUGGUGAAGGGUCAUAAAAGAAAUGGAUAUAAUAGGCUCAAAACAUGUAUUAAAAGGGUUCAAAACCAAAGGAUCAUCACUUGAUGCAACUUGGCAUUUUGCCCCCAUUUCACGUUAUUUCACUACUUUUUUCUUUUUCAUCAAUCUCAUUCUUCACAAAAAGGAUUCUCAUUUCUUUGCUCCAAAUCAAGUGUGGUAUUUUUCUUUGCUCUCUUUUUUUUUAGACUUUUUAGACUAUUUUCUUUCAAAAAUUAUCCCCUAGUGUAGAGGGUGAUCUUUGGUCGGUGCUCUUUUUAGAGAAAAAAAUCAUAACAAGCUCAAAGGGGUAGCAAUGAAUGAUUUUUCAAAUGGUAAAAAAAAUGACUAUUUUUUAUCUCAAAUGUGAAUAAAAAUUUCUUUGAACAUCAUCUAUUAAGCAAAAAAAAGCUCAUGAAUUUGUUUAAAAGACUACACAUCUUCAAGAUAUAUUAAUUUCACAUUUGUUAGUAGCUGACUUUCAUCGCUCAAAUAGUCUCAUCAGAUCAACGUGAAAGAGUUCUCAAAAUUAAAUCCCAAAAUUAUUGUUAUCAUUGUCUUAAUAUUCAUCAUUUAAAAUUUGAGAAUAAGAAUGAAAAAGUUAUGAAAGGUAACAGAGCAUGAAAUAUGGUUGAGUGAAAAAAAAUGAAAUGAAAUGCAUUAAAUUGCCUUUUAUUGAAAUGAUAACAAAUGAAAUUCUACUGCCUAAAAGAAACCUAACAUUACUCUAAAAGAAAUCCUAAAAUGAUAAGAAACUUCCAAUCAGCUUUAUAGUCAUUCCCCAAAAUUGUACCCCUGUGUAAUCAGGUGAAAGAUCUUUAUUAACAUCUUGCCCCUCAAUUCAUUACAACUCUCUGGGCCUUUUCUGACCAACAUGUUCUUGAUUUUCACUUAGAGCAUUGACAUUGUGAUUUGAUAAUAGAUUGUCACUAAUAUUAGGUGUUGUUGCUCUUCUUUGAUCAAAAAUUACCAUUCCAUCAUUGAUUAACCAUUGCACCUUAUGCUUUAGAAUAGUCUAAUUUUUAGUGAAAUGGCCAGCAAUUCUAUAGUGAUAGUCAUAGUGAGUUGUAGCAUCAUACCACUUAAGAUAUGAUGAUUUGAGUGGCUCCACACGAUUGGGGCCAAUCAAGUGGCUGUUAUAAAGCUCUUGAUAUAACUCUAUAUAAGUCAUGGAGAUUGGAUCGAAUACGAGUUUUUCUCGGGUAAUUUGUGUUCUAGUAAACCACUUGUUGGGUUAGCAAAAUAAGCUUGGGGCUUUGUGAAAGGUUGAAUAUUAAGGCUGUAUGUGGGAGCUUGAGGGCUAAAAAUAGGUUGAUAUGUGGAUGAGUAAGAUGGUUGGUGUAUAGGUUGGUAUGGGUAGGAUAAAGUAUUAUUCACAGCAGAGUAGUAUGUGAAGUAACCUUGUGGAUAAGGUUGGUAUCCCCUAAACUGUCUGUCCAAGCCCACAUCUUGAGCUUCAAUCUCUUUCUUCUAAGGUACCUUCUUGAUUUUUUCUCCUUUCAACUUAUCAUUUUUAAUGGUAUUCUUAAUAAUUUUACUUGAAAUCACCAUGUCAGUAAAAUUCUUUGUGACAUUCCCUAUCAUCUUUUUAUAAUAGAAAGAUUUCAAAGUGCUGACAAACAAUACAAUGAUCUCAUUUUCAAUCAAAAGAGGUUGCACCUGAGUAGCCAUGUCCCUCCACUUCUUAGCGUAUUCUUUGAAUGAUUUAGUCAUCUUUUUUUUCAUAUUUUACAAGAAAAUACGAUCAUGAGCUAAGUCUAUGAUAUGUCAAUAUUAAUUGAUGAAGUCAUGGGCCAUAUCACUGUAAAAAUGAAUACAAUUCCUGUCUAGCUGGACAUACCACCUAGCAGUAGAGCCAGUGAAGCUAUCUUGAAAUACGUGCAUCAAGAGUUUUUCAUUAUUGAUAUGGGCAGCCAUUUUUUGAUAAUACAUAGUAAUGUGAGUCUUCGGAUACUUUGUACCAUCAUACUUCUCAAACUCUAGCACCUUGAACUUCGAAGGGAUAACCACAUUUGGGAUUAAGCAAAGUCUAGUAGCAUCAACAGAACCAUAAAACCUAAUUCUUUUUAUAGCCCGCAACCUUUAUUCAAGUAUACUAAUCUUCGAAUCUUCUUGAAAUUCUACCACCUUUGUCAUUUUUUUGUCCUUCCCUUUCAAGUCAUCUAGAUCAAGAACUUGAAUUGGUUUUACUACUUUUUUAGUAAAGACAUGAUUCACAUAGCUAUAGUAAUAGCCUGAGUUCGAAGUUGAUGGCAUUUCAGGGAAUACAAAAUAUGUGAAUUAUUGUGGUGGUAUAUCCUGUGUGGACUGAGCUUGUUGUGGCCUAAAACUUGAAGGAUAUAGAGGGUCAACCACUUUUUGUGAUAGAGGGCCCUGUUGGCUUGUGUUAUCUUCUAUCUGUUUUCUCUUGUUCAACUUAUUGAGGACAUCCAGAAUCUUACUCAACUCAUUUUCAAUCUUUUCCUAUGCUUUUUCUAAUUUUUCAAAUCGGUGAGAGUUUUUUUGCUCCAUUUAUCUAACUCAGGCUCUUGUGUUAUAUUGAUGGGUGAGGUUCUUGCUAGAUGAAACUAUUUUUGAACCUUGAGUACCACAAUUAUAUGGUUAUUAGAAAUUAUGAGUUCUAUGUAUAAUAUGCAAAUGUAUGCAUGAAAUAUACUAAUAUUUGCCACAUCACAAUUAUUGAUAAAAGAAAUCUCUGUUUGAAACUUUAUUAAAUAAAAUUUCAAAAUUACAUCCUAAAAAAGUCAAAACAAUAUUCUAAAGUCCUAAACAUCAUCCUUUAUUUCUAAUGCCUCCUUAUAAACAUCCUAGCUUACUGGUAAUGAUUUUAUGCUUCAUCUAGAAAAUCAAGCAAUUGUUGUCCAUGCACUCCCACUGGUUGCACCAUAACCUUCAAAUUUUCCACUUUUUUUCCAUUUAUGUUGCUUUAUUUGCAACAAUGCAUAUUUGAUCAAACAAAUACCUUAGAUGCCUUUGUUUUUCUGUGCACAUGUCUUUCCAUAACUUACUCUAUUAAGCUUGUUUCCUGCAUUCAUCAGACAAAGCUUCUACUUGUGCUAUGUGUCGAUCCACUAUGUCUGGUAGCAUUUGGCUAUGUCUAUGUAAUCUGGCAGUGGCCUUUUGUUCUUCCUCCACCCUCACUUUUAACAAUUCAUUUUUUUUUAAAAGCCGGGCAAGCUCGAGUGUGACUGAUGAAUGUGUCAUGUCUAGAUAAUUAAAUAAGGCUUUCCAUUGAUCUUUUUGUUCUGUCAGACUCUAGAUUUUCAUUAAUCUUUUUGUUCUUUCUUGAAAAUUUUAUAUUAAAUAAUCCAACGAUGGAGUUUCUAUAAGUGAAACAGUAAUUUUCUUACAUACUCUUGAGGUGAGAGAAUUUUCUUAAUUUUCUGCCAAAAGUAUUGGAGUUAAUUAAGAAUAAUUUUUAAAAAAAUAAUUACUUGGUAAAAAUUUUAAAGUCUUUUGGAUAAUAUGAAAUUAAGCUGGUAUCAUCUUUCGAUGAGCGUUGUAAGGGUGCUAUAACCUUCCUCACACGUAACCGUACUCUUGAAUCCUGUUUUGGUUAGUAAACCCGAACAUAUUCUUUUAAGGACCCUUAAGCUUAAGUGUUCCUUGAAAGAAUAGAUUCUUUAGGUGGUCAAUCGUACCUAAACAAAAAAGAUUGGUGACGACUACUUAAAGUUAAUGUCAAGCGAUAAAUCUUCAGAUCUAGACGUUAUGACAGUUUGAUGACUCCACUAGAGAAUCAAGAGUCAUGCUAGCAAAUAAAUUCGUGUUAUCUAAAAAACCUAAUAAAAUUGAACCUUUUUGUAUAAAUUUUUUUAUUCAUUCAUUCUAUUUAUUUACUCUAUUAAUAUUAUCAUUCAUAUGCAUGUACAUAACAUGAGCUCUAUACCUGAGCUUCGUCUCUUAGGAGGGAGUAAAGUACCUAUUACUUUCAUGAGGUUUUAAUACCUCCAAAGUGCUUACAAAAUACUCUUACUCAAAUUGAACAUUUUUUGCUUGUAUCCUGUAAUGGGUGAGGAUUGAGGUACCUUACUAGUUUGUAAUAGACAAUGAUGUAAGAAAUAAUUUGGAAACCUUUAGACUUUAACUUAGCACUACAUAUAGUGAACCCUAGAAGUGCCUAGCCUAUAGAUAGAACCAUCUCUUUCCCUUUAGAAUUGACAAAAAGUAUAAGAUUCAUUUUUCUUAUUAUAUGUGACAUUUUAAUUUCUUUAGUUAUUUGUUUAUUUAUUUCUCUUUAUUUGAUGUAGUAACCUCUUCUCUUAUUCAUGUUUGCAUGAUCCAUACUCAUAUCAUAAAGUUACAUAAAAAACAUUUGUCUGAAAGAUGAUCUUUAACAACGAGUUUUUCAUGGACUUCACAAAAUGAUCAGUUUGCUCUUCAUCUGUAUUUGCUCCUUGUGAGUCAAUCAAUGAAGUAAAGGUCCAGUCAGAAAAGAUUCAACUAAAGAUAAGGGAUUGUUUACCAAUCAGAUAUGAUUUUACUUUAUCUUAAGAGACAUUUAUCUUCCUCAAACAAAAUAAUCUAGAGGAUUUGGUUGAUAUAUGAAAGAAAAUGAGUCCAUUAAGAUAAGAGGAGUUUUGCCAAGAUAUGGGCACAUAGCACACUUUUUUACAGUAAAUGUCAACAAUCAACUAAUUAGAGCUACAAUGCAAUUUUAGGAUCCUGCAUACAAGUGUUUCAUCUUUAAUGAAGUGGACAUAACGUCAACCAUCGAAGAAUACUUGACCUUGUUGGGCCUGUGACAAGAUAUAUGUUAAAAAAACACAAUUCAAGAUUUCAUAAGGAUUUGGCUCAUCUCAUGGGGAUAAACAAGGAGAUUGUAGAUUCUCAUAUAAAGAAGAAACAAGAACAACUUUGCCUACCUUGAAAGUUCUUUCAUGAUUUCCUAGUGCAACAUACCGAUGAAGAACGAGGGUUAGACAUAUUUACCUUAGUCAUAUACGAAAUGGUGAUAUUUUCAAAGGUUCUGAGUUAUAUUGAAAUAGCAGUGAUCGACUUCUUCGAAAGUGUGAUUAAUGGCUGUAACCCUUCAAUGAUAAUAUUAACAGAAACUAUCAGAUCUUUGAGUUAUCUUCAUCAAAUUGAAAGACGUUUUAUAAAUUACAUAAAGUUAUUGUACCUAUGGAUGAAAAGCCACUUCAAAUGAAAAAAAAGGUACUUUCUUGAAGCUUUAUGUCGCAAUUGAGCUUUGAUGAAGGAAUUCUAUGAAAGUGGGUAGUCAAAAGGAAAAUCUAAAAAAAAAAUGUUUGGCUUUCUUAUAAAAACUGAUAAGUGCCAAUGUAAGAUAGUUAGUCCCAUGGAUGAAUCAUGAACCUAUACUAUAUCAAUGUAGAGAUAACGUUGUGAUCCCACUUCUAGGUUUAUGGGGAGUAACAAGUUAUGCUUCACUUCUAGUGAGGAGACAAUUUGGGGUAAAACAGUUCAUUCCUAUGAUGCAUAAGCUUCGUCAAUCAAAUUUUUCUUACAGUGAGCCAAAAGCAUUUCAGAGGAUGAAUGAGCUGAUUAAAGCAUGAAAAAACCCUCAUAUAGUGAGUCUUGGACCAUUCACUAAUAAGAUCACUCAGAGGUGCUUGGGUUGGAGAGCAAGAUGAAGACAAGAAAUGGUAUUCACUUAUGAAAAUUUUUUACCACCAACAACAAAAAAACUUGAAGGGACACCAUUAAAAUUGGAGCUUGCAGUAAAAGAAUUUGAGUCUGAAAAAGAUAGGCUAAAGCAAGAGAUUCAGAAGCUUCAAGAGGAGAAAGAUCAGUGGAAAGAUAAGGCUGAAAAAUAAGAAGCUAAAGUCUACAAGAUUGCUAAAGAACGUGAUACAACUAUUGAAGACCUAGCGAAGCUGCACCAACAUAAAAGGUUAUGUGUCAAGGUAAAAGCUAAAAAGAUAACAAUCGCUGAGUUGAUAGAUGAAAAUAAGCGAUUAAAGGAAAAAUAUGCUGAAUUAGAGGAAAAAAGUACCCAAGUACAAAUAAAGAAUAAUAUGUUGAACAGCUACCAAAGCAAAUUAAGACAAAGGUUGAAUGAACAAGAAGACUACAUUGCUGCACUGGUUAGAAAACAUAGAAAGUGAUCAUACCAAGUUUGGUGUGGUGAAAGGAAAAAUCUAGGAAGACAGAAGUGCAUUGAGCACUUAACUACCCAAAUUUACAAAGAGGUAUGUAAGACAAGAGAGAUGAUAAAAAAGGCAGAGGCAUUGAAACAAAUGGCAACCCCAGUACGAAAAUAUGGGCAGCCUCUCCUGAACUUCAUCGAGGAAGCCAAAGACCAGUAUGAGUAGAUCAAAUAAUUUUAUGGUUAUAACUCUAGGAUGAUAAAAUCUAUGUAAACGAAAGUUCUUUGGAAUAAAUGAAAUGUUUUGGUUGAAUACUAUCUUAAGGCAAAUGUUCUUUUUAUGUAUGUAUUUUCAUCCAUUGCAUUUUCAUUCAAUACAUUUAACAAAGUAACCAUAAGAUAGUUAUAUAAACUUACUAAUUCUAAGAUAUAGUAUUCAAGGUUCAAGAAUAGCUCAAUCCAGCAAGAACCUCACUCACCGAUAUAACACAAGAACCAAAGCCAAAUAAAUAAAGCAAAAAAACUCUCAACGAUUUGAAAAAUUAAAAAAAAACACAAGAAAAAAUUGAGAAUGAGUUGAGUAAGAUUUUGAAAGCUCUCAACAAACUCAACAAAAAAAAAGGGAUAAAAAAAUACAAGCCAACAGGGUCCACCAUCACAAGAAGUGACUGACCCUCUAUAUCCUCUAGGUUUUGAUCCACAAUAAGCUCAGUCCACACUGGAUAUACGGUCAUAGCAGUUCACAUAUCCUGCAUACCUUGGAAUGCCAUCAACUUCAAACCUUGGGCAUUACCAUAACUAUUUGAAUGCUGUCUUUACUGAAGAGACAGUAAAACCGACCCAAGUUUUUAACCUCGAUGUCUUGAAAGAGAAGGAGAAAGAAAAAACAAAAUUGAUGGAAUCUUAGAAAGAUAAGAAGAUUAGUAUGCUUAAACAAAGGUUACGAGCUAUAGAAGAAAUUGAGUUUUAUGGUUCUUUUGAGGCUACUGGGCUGUGUUUAGUCCCAGAUGUGGUUAUUGCACCCAAGUUCAAAGUAUCAAAAUUUAAAAAAUGUGAUAGUAUAAAAUACUCAAAAAUUUAUAUAACCAUGUAUUAUCGAAAAAUGACAACCCGUGCCCAUAAUGAAAAACUAUUAAUGCAUGUUUUUCAAGAUAGUCUUACGAGCUUCGCUGCUAGGUGGUAUAUUCAGCUGGACAGAACUCACAUCCGUUUUUAGAGAGACAUGGCCCAUGAUUUCAUGAAUCAAUAUCGACAUAUCAUGGAUUUAACUCUUGAUCGUUUGUCUUUACAAACAUGAAGAAAAAAGUAAAUAAGUCAUUUAAAGAAUAUGCCCAGAGGUGGAAAGAUGUAACUUUUCAAGCACAACCACCUCUAACUGAAAAGGAAACUACAAUGUUAUUCGUCAGCACUCUGAAAUCUCCCUAUUAUGAAAAGAUGGUAGAAAAUACAACUAAAAAUUUGGUCGACAUGGUGAUUUAAGGAGAAAUUAUUGAGAGUGCCAUCAAGAAUGAUAAGUUAGAAGGAGGAAAGGCAUCAAGUAAAAAAAAAUUGAAGCUCAAGUUGUGAGUUUUGAUAGGCAACAAUUUAGAGGAUAUCAACCCUACCCACCACAAGGAUACUUUCCAUAUUAUCAUACUGUAAAUAACACUUUUCCUUACCCAUAUCAACCAAUCCACAGUCAUCUUACCCCCAAACAUAUCAACCUUCUUUUAAGCCUUAAAGUACCGCAUACAGUUUCAACACUCAACCUGCCUCAAGACUUCAGACACGUCCAGCUAGCCUGAUGGGUGGAUCACGAGAGCAACAAACUACUUGUGAAAAACCUGUAUUUGACUCAAUUUUGAUGACCUAUACAGAGCUAUAUCGUGAGCUUUACAAUAUUCAUCUAAUUGUUCCUAGCAAAUUGGAGCCACUCAAGUCACCUUACCCUAAAUGGUAUGAUCACAUAGCCUAUUGUGACUAUCACUACGGGAUUACUGAUCAUUCCACUGAAAAUUACACUAUCUUGAAAUACAAAGUACAGCGACUGAUCAAGGAUAAAAUGAUUAGUUUAGAUACAAGAUAGGUAACUACACCAAAUGUUAGUGGCAAUCCUUUGCCUAAUCACAAUGUGAAUGCUCUGAGUGAGAAAUAAGAGCAUCUUUUGAAGAGAAAAAUGACAGAUAUUAAGACCUCUUAGUCAGCUGUUUGAUGCUUUAUGGAGAGCUAACGUGAUACAACUAGCGGGUUUGCACAGUUAUCAUGAAAUAUAUAUAGCAGGCACUAGUUGUAAAUAUCAUAGUAGAACAAUUGAUCACUUUGUUGAAGCUUGUGAGCAGUUUCACCAAGAGAUACAAAAACUCUUGAAUUCAUACCAGAUGAAAGUUCAUGAAGAGGGGAAAAUGUAAAAAGUGCGAAAGUAUCCAUGACUGACAAGCCAACAAAGUUUUUUCUAAAACCAGUGAUGAUUCACUGUAGGAAUAAGCCAAAGUCAGUCAUAGACAAACUUAUUCCCAGGUCGAUAACUUUUAAAAUUUUGACUCUAUUCUCAUAUAAAGAUGAUAAAGUUGUACCUUAAAAAUAUGGUUGUGAUACAAUAGUUCAGGGGCAAGAGAAAAAUGUCUCUAAGACUGACAUCGCUAUUAUAACUGGUGUAAGGAGCAUUACUCGAAGUGAAAGAUGCUACACUCCAAAAAUAUUGAAGAAGGCUAGAAGAGAAAAAGUCAAGGUAAGUGAAAAGCGAAACAACCUUGAAGUGAAACCUGAAAAGGAUCGUCUGAAGUCGGUGUCAAAAAAAGAGACUUGUAAAUUUUUAAAGUUGGUAAAACAUAGUGAAUAGUUAGUUGUUAAACAGUUGAAUAAAAUACCAGCACAAAUCUCAUUAUUAUCAUUACUGUUAAACUCAGAACCACAUCGAAAUACCCUAUUGAAAGUGUUGAACUAAGCAUAUAUGACACAAUAUAUCUGUUGAAUAUGUGAACCACCUGACUGGAAAUCUAGUUAUGCCAAAUUAUAUUUCAUUCAGUGAUGAUAAGAUUUUUCAAAAAGAAGGAAAAGUGCCAACGCUCUACUUAUCACGAUUAAGUGCAAGAGCUAUAUCAUAGCUAAAGUUCUUAUUGAUAAUGGCUUUGCUAUCAAUGUCAUGCCUAUGUCAACUUUGACAAGGCUACUAAUUGAUUAAUCUCAUAUGAAAAAUAAUCAAAUGAUCGUCCAAGCUUUUGAUGGGACCACAAGAGAAGCAUUAAGAGAUAUUGAGAUGCCUUUGUAAAUUGGGCCAUGCACUUUUAAUGUAAUGUUUCAAGUAAUGAAUAUCUCUCUAUUUUACAAUUAUCUGUUAAGAAGACCAUGGAUUCACAUGACAGAGGCUAUUCCUUCUACUAUGCAUAAAAAAAUUAAGUUCAAUAUGAAAAGCAAGUUAAUGGUAGUGUUUAAAGAAAAAGACAUUCUAGUGACUCAGCCAUUGAAUGCUCUAUAUGUGGAAGCUACUAAGGAAACGAUGGAAUGUUCCUAUCAAUCUUUUGAGCUGGUUAAUUUUAUGGGUGAAAGACCUAAAAAUCAACCAUUUUCAAAGAUAGUGAUGAGCCAAGUCAUUAAUAAGGGUUGGUAUUCAGGAGUAGAGCUAAGUAAGAACUUACAGAGAAUAACAGAGCCUUCAACAAUAGUAGACAAUAAUGAAAGGCUAAGCCUAAGCUAUGAAAUAACAGAAUAAAAGAUCAGAAGAAGACCAAUGGGUAAAACAACAAGAUUAAUGAUCAUCCCACACUCAUACGAGACUUUUAAACCUGAAAGAUUCAUGUACCUAAAUGCAAAAGAAAGUUUGAAAGAGGCAUUCGCCCAAUUGACCAUCCAUGCUAUUGAAGAUGAAAUAGAGCUUGAAUAAAAUGGGUAGAUUCGCCCUUGUUCGUCAAAUUAUGAGCUAAACAAUUGGAGUAUCAUUGAGAUGCCAUAUACCUUUGAGACUAAUGCAAUGUAAUCAUACAUCCCAAUAGCUAUUACGCAAGGCAUUGGGGUGAUCUUUCUUAUUUGAACCGUUUAUCUUUCAUUAUUUUAAUAAAAAUUAGGAAGGAUGCAUUUUCAUUCAUUUUUUCUUGUGCCUUCAUUAUUGUCAUUUUUUCAUUUUUCAAACACAUCUUGUCAACAUAUCCCAUUUCAUUUAAUUUCAGCUCUUUAAAUGAACAAGAAAAUUAUGAUGACGAUCAAGAGGUUAAUUUUAAGAAUUCAAUUAACACUGAUGAAUUUAACAAUAAAAAUGAUUCUGAAGAGUAUGUUAUACCUUCGGACCUAAUGAGACUAAUUGAGCAAGAAAGUAAGCUAAUUGAGCCUCAUCAAGAUAUAACUGACUUAAUGAAUUUAAAAGAUGAAAUGAAUAAGAAAAAAAUCAAAAUCAAUACUUCACUUUCAUCGAAAGAUAAGCAACGUUUGAAAGAUCUACUUCGAGUAUUCAUAGAUGUGUUUAUUUGAUCUUACCGAGAUAUGUCAAGUUUAAAUACAGAGAUAGUAGAGCACAGACUGCCCCUAAAGUCAGAAUGUAACCAGUCUAACAGAAAUUAAGGUGAAUGAAACCUGGAAUGCUAUUAAAAAUCAAAAAAGAGAUAAAUAAGCAAUUUGAUGCAAGUUUCUUACAAGUGGCUAAGUAUCUAAAGUGGGUAGCCAAUAUAAUACCAAUUUCAAAGAAAGAAAAGUAUGAAUAUGUGUAGACUAUCUUGAUUUGAAUAGGGCUAACCCAAAGGAUAAUUUUUUUUUGCCUCAUAUCGAUACACUGGUAGAUAACACGGCUAGACAUUCUAUGUUCUCUUUUAUGGAUAGGUUCUCAAGGUAUAAUCAGAUAAAAAUGACUAUAGAUGAUAUGAAAAAGACCACUUUCAUGACCAUGUAAAAAAUUUUUUGUUACAAAGUCAUGCCUUUCGGGUUAAAGAAUACUGGGGUAACAUAUCAAAGAGCUAUGGUGACACUCUUUCAUGAUAUGAUGCACAAAGAGAUUGAGAUGUAUGUAGACGAUAUGAUUACAAAAUCUCGUGAGAAUAAAGAUCAUGUCACCAACCUUAGAAAGUUAUUUGAGAGGUUAAGAAAAUUUUAACUUAAGUUAUACUCAGCCAAGUGCCCCUUCGAGGCAAAGUCAGGAAAGUUGCUAGGCUUUGUGGUCAGUGAAAGAAGAAUUAAAGUUGAUCCAGAUAAAAUACGGACCAUUCAAAGUUUGUCACCUCCGAGUACACCAAAAGAAAUUCAAGAUUUUUUGGGAAGAUUAAACUACAUUUUGCAAUUCAUAUCUCAGCUUACUUAUAAAUAUUAUCUCAUUUUUAAGCUUCUCUGUAAAAAUAACCCUGAAGCAUGGAACGAGAAAUGUUAGGUGAUUUUUGAUAAAAUUAAGCAAUACUUAUAAAAUCUUUCAGUAUUGGUGCCAUUUAUUCUAAAAAAAAUCUUAAUUUUAUACCUAACAGUGUGCAAGAAUUCAAUGAGAUAUGUGCUGGGGCAAUAAGAUGAGUAUGAUCGAAGAGAGAGAGCUAUUUAUUAUCUGAGCAAAAAAUUCACUGAAUAUGAGUUCAACUAUUCUCCUUUGAAAAAAAUAUGUUGUACAUUAACUCGGACUGCCAAAAGACUCAGACAAUAUAUGCUUUAUCAUAUCACUUGGCUUUUAGUAAAACUGGAUCCAAUUAAGUACAUUUUUUAAAAGCUUUCUUUGUCUGAGAGAAUUGCUAGGUGACAAGUAACGCUCUCAGAAUAUGAUAUCAUAUAUGUGAGCCAAAAGGUAAUCAAAAUGAUUGUAAUAGCUAAGUUUCUUGCAUAUCGUACUAUCAAAAAAUAUGAACCAAUAAGAUUAGAAUUUCCUGAUGAAGAUCUGAUGACUGUUUCUCAAUUAGAAAAGGGGAAGCAUGAAAAAAAAUGUUGGAAGAUAUAUUUUGAUGAAGCUGCCAAUGCCUUGGGACAUGAAAUUGGGAUAAUUUUGAUUUCUUCAGAAAAACAAUACUAUCCUAUAACAGUGAGGUUAAAUUUUAACUACACAAAUAACAUCGUUGAAUAUGAGGCAUGUGUCAUUGGUCUACAAGCUGCUAUAGAUAGAAGAAUGAGUAUUAAAAGUGUUUUGAAAACUCAGAUCUAGUUAUAUAUCAUUGAAAAGAGAAUGAGAUACGAGAGAUUCAAAACUUGUUUCAUAUAUUUUAAAAUUGAUAAAGUAAUUUGAAGAUAUCAAGUUUGAUCAUUUACCCCGAGAGAAGAAUUUGAUUGUCGAUGCAUUAGCUACUUUGGUUGCAAUGAUCCGAAUUAAUGAUAGUUCUGACAUUCAGCCCAUCAAGUUAGAUGUCAAAAAUAUGCUAGCUCACUGCUCAAAUGUAUAAAAAGAGAAGGAUGAGAGGCCUUGAUAUUAUGAUAUCUUACAGUACAUUAAAAAUCAGCAUAUCCAGUCCAAGCAACAGAGAACGAUAAAAAGGUCAUUCGAAGAUUAACUGUGAGCUUUUUUCUAGAUGAGAAUGUUCUGUACAAAAAGAGCCAUUAUCAAGUAUUACUAAGAUGCGUAAGUAAAGUUAAAGCAAAAAAAAAUCAUUGAAGAGGUGCAUGAUGAAAUAUGUGAAGCAUAUGCCAAUGGAGAUAUAAUGACAAGACAGAUCAUGAAAGUAGGGUACUAUUGGUUGGCAAUGGAAAGUGAUUGCAUUGACUAUGCUCGUAAAUGUCAUAAAUGCCAGAUAUAUGCUGAUAAGAUUCAUGCUCCGUCAUCUGCUCUAUAUGUUUUGGCAUCACCUUGAUCAUUCUAGAUAUGGGGCAUGGAUGUCAUUGGUCCUAUUAUCCCAAAGGCUUUUAAUGGGCAUAGGUUCAUUUUCGUGAUGAUAGAUUAUUUCAUGAAAUGGGUAGAGGCAGCAUCAUUUGUAAAUGUAACACGAUCUGUGAUUUGCAAGUUCAUAAAAAGAUAAAUCAUUUAUAGAUAUAAACUUUCAAAGAAAAUUAUUUCAGACAAUACUAAGAAUCUAAAUAGUAAGAUGAUGCAAGAAAUAUAUGCCUAGUAUAAGAUCAAGCAUCAUAACUCAACAUCAUAUCGGCCGAAAAUGAAUGGGACAGUAAAGGCAACUAACAAAAAUAUAAAAAAAUUCUUGAGAAGAUGACUGAGACCUAUAAAGAUUGGCAUGAGAAAUUAUUGUUUGCACUGCAUGUAUAUCGAACGUCAGUGCGUACCUCUACUAGGGCCACUCUAUUUUUUUUGGUUUAUGGAAUGAAAGCUGUAUUAUCAGUAAAAGUAGAGAUCACAUCCUUGAAGGUUCUAAAAGAAAUUGAACUGAAAGAGGCUGAAUAAAUUCGAGAGCACUAUGAAUAGUUAAAUUUCAUUGAGAAAAAAAGAUUGACGACGCUGUGCCAUGGUCAGCUAUAUCAAAGAAAAAUGAUAAAGGUUCAUGAUAAAAAAGUUUGACCUCAUUGCUUUCGAGAAGGAGAGUGGAUCUUGAAAAGAAUUCUUGCAAAUCAGCAUGAUAAUAGAGAAAAAUAGACUCCAAAUUAAAAAGGACCAUAUGUGGUGAAACGAGCUUUCUCGGAUGAAGCACUGAUACUGACUGAAAUGGAUAGAAAAGAUUUGCCCCAUCCUAUAAAUUUUGAUGUUGUGAAGAAGUAUUAUGCGUGAAAAAAAAAUUAAAAAAAUAAAAAAAAAAACUCAAUGCAAAAACUCUAAGAAGGUGAUUCGAGUCAUAGGGGAUUAUCUAAGUUGAAAACCUAAAAAUACAGCUUAGGUAAGGAAGAUAUAGCAUCAAAUCUAAAAAUUCGUUGGAAUGAAGGCUAGCAUAGUCUGAUAAGCUCUAAACUAUUAAGUGCAUCAGGUGGUUGAGUUUUUCAAAAAUGACCUUGGGAUGUGUUAUCAUGAUUGUCCGAUUGUUUAUUUUUGGGUAUUUUUCCCUUACCUAUCUUUGUAAUUCUUUCAUGGCCAAAGUUUAUCGACGUUUUGCUAAUAAAAGACAUUCUACUUCAUAUUUUAUGUGUCCCUUUUGUUGAUUAUUUCCUAACCAUCUUUAUUCUUUUCUCCUCCAUACCUUACAAUGAAAGAAAUAUGUGAAUGCAUUCUUACUUUUUUAGUUUGAAAUAAUGAUUAAUAAAUGAAUAAAAGCAUAAAAGAUUACUACAUUACAUUAGAGAAGUCAAGAGUGAUAAAAACAAAUUCGAAAUGUUCAGUUUCUGAUGAGGACAUUAAAUUUGGGAAAGGGUUUUAAAUGAAAGAGAUAUCUGAAAGUUACGCUGACUCGAUCUUUGAAGAAUAGUGUAACAUGAUCUUUGAAGAAUAAAGGAUUCAAGGCACAAGAAAAGAGCUUGAAAAACUCAAGUACCAUAACUGAAUGAGAAUUAAUUAGUCAGCAUUUGUAUAGCAUGCAUUGAAUUCCACAUGCAUUGCAUAUAUUACAUUUUUAAAAAAAAACACAAUGCAUAAAUUCAAAAAGUAGGGGUAUUCCAAGAUCUCACAUGAAAAAGGCAGAUGUGAAGACUUUUCGAUGUAAAAGUUUCAAAUUUGAAGAAAAGCUUGUGAGAUAGGUUUCUAAUCCUUGAAAUUGGAUAUCUUUUACCAUUAUGAUCGAUUUGUAAAACCCUUGGACAUAAUCUCUUGAAAUUCCUUCAAACACGAUCUUUGACUUCUCCAGACAUGAUUGUCAAUGAGAAAAUUAUUUUUCAAAAGUCGUGGUGCCUUUGUUUAUAGGAGCAAUUUAUUUUUCAAAGUUAUGGUGCUUCUAUUUAGAGGAACAAUUUAUUUUUUAAAAAUUUUAGUGCAUCUAUUUAGAUAAGCAAUUUAUUUUCAAAGUUGUAGUGCCUCUGUUUAGAGGAGCAAUUUGUUUUCAAAAGUUAUGGUCCAUCUGUUUAAAAAAGCAAUUUACUUCCAAAAAUCGUUAAACAUUUGUUUAAGGAGCUUUGCUUAUUUUUCCAAAGUCGAUGAGCCUCUAUUUAGAUAAGCUUUGUUUACUUUCCAAAGUCAUUGAACCUCUGAUUAAAGAAACUUUGAUCAAGAUUUUAAUAAAAAAAACAACAAAAAAUGUCGAGUUAAGUCUUAAAUGAAUAUCUACGUCUUUAAACAAUUUUUGUUUCACAAAAAAUAUGCAAAGAAGGACAACUAUGACACCCAAUUUAGUCUAGGCCCGGAUCAAUUGGGCCUCGCCUAAAUGGGCAAGAUGGGCUAUUUUUUUAUUUUUUUAUUUUUGUUUAUUAUUUUUAUUAUUUACUAUUAUUUAUUAGUUAUAUUAUUAUUUAUAUUACUAUUAUUAUUAUUAUUAUUAUUUAUUUUAUCUUUUUUUUUAUUAAAUUAGGUGAUAAUGAUUAGAUCAAUUAAAAAUAAUCCAAAAAAAUGGUGAAAGUUGAUUUGACCGUGAAUUUGGGGGCUGACAGAGUUGAAAUUGAAUUCAAAGUUUGAAUCUCAAUCCCAGAUGAAAUUGGGAUUGAUCAAAAACUCUUUUGAUCAAUCCCUAUAAAUAGAUGCUGAAACGUACAGGAAAAGACACAACAGAGAAGUGAAAUAGAACCAAAAAGUGUUUAAAGGUAGUUUAGAAAUUUUAAAAAAAAUUUUUGAAUUUUUUAGAGUUUUUUUUGGAAUUUUUGGAAAUUUUUCAAAAUUCGACAAAAUUUUUCGGUGAGAUUUAAGUUUUCGAAAAGUUUUUCGACGAAAAACCCAGAUUCUAGCCAUAUUUUCCAAUUUUUGAUGUACUUUUUUAAUUUUUGAUUAAAUAUUCAACCGAAAACUGGGUUCUACUAGAGAGAGGGAAAAAAAAAAGAGGGAAACAAAGAAAGAGGGAAGAAAAGCAUCUGAAGAAAAUCAAAAGCUUUUGCCUUUUAUACCCAUUGAAAACGACCUCGUUUUGACCUUACUAAGACCCAUGAUCCGCGCGUUUUCCAUUUGGGCCAUCUGACCUAUAGCGCAACCUGCUUUUGACCCAAGUUUGACCUACACCUAAGCCAGUCUUUCCAGUCAAGCCGAGCCACCAAGCCGCAUCAUCCAAGCCAUGGUCUGUGCUUGUAACCGAACUAAAUCCCAGCCGUUAAACCAAGCCGCCUUAAGGUUUUUUUUUAUUAUUAUUAUUAUUGUUGUUAUUAUUUCUAAAUUAAAAUUAUUUGGUAUUCUUUAAUUUUUUUUUUUUUUUAUUUUAUUUUAUUAUUAUUUUUUUAUGAUUUUUUUAAAUAAAAAUUUAUAAAAGCAUUUUUAGAAAAAAAUUGAAAGUAUCAAUUUUUCUUAAAAAUAAAGUUUCUAAAAUAAAAAAUUUCCAAAAGCAUUUUAGGAGAGAGUUGAAAGUAUCAAUUUCUCUUGAAAAUAAAGUGUUAAAAAUUAUAUACUUUUAAAAAAAAUUGAAAGUAUCAAUUUUUUUAAAAAAUAAAAUUUUUAAAAUAAAAAUUUUUAAAAGCAUUUUGGAGAAAGUUGAAAGUAUCAAUUUUUCUUGAAGAUAAAAAGAUUUAAAAAAUAUUUUUUAAAAAAAAUUGAAGUAUCAUUUUUUCUUUGAAAUUAAAUUAAAAAGAAAAGCAUUUUAAGAAAAGUUGAAAGUACUAAUUUUUCUUAAAAAAGUUUGACAAGAAAAAUAUUUUUGAGAAAAAGUUAAAAGUAUCAAUUUUUCUUAAAAUAAAACUUUCAAAUGCUUUAAGAAAAAAUUGAAAGUAUCAAUUUUUCUUGUAUAAAAGUAAAUGAAUUUUUUUAAAAAGAAAAAAAUUUAUAUCUAAAAUUGAGUUUUUAUUUUCUUUUCCUUUUCUUUCUUGAACACAAUGAUUCAAAUGCAAUUUCAAGCUCAAAUCCAAAAUUUUCACAAACAAUGAGAGGGAAUACUUUAAUUCAAUUCUUGGUGAUUAUUUGAAAGAAAAUGAGAUUUUUCACCAAAGUUCUUGUGUUAAAACCUCCCAACAAAAUGGGAUUGCAUAACAUAAAAAUUGUCAUCUAUUUAAAGUCGUUCAACUAUCAUAUUUAUCAAUAAUGCUUUUAAGUUUUUUUAGGGAGAUGCUAUUUUAACAGCCCCAUACUUGAUCAAUAAACUUCCUAGUAGAAUUUUCAAUUUCAAAACACUAUUGAAUAUGUUACUUGAAUCAUAUCCACAAACUAUGCUGUUUACCUCUUUACACCCAAAAGUCUUUGGUUGCACAUCUUUUGUUAACAACAAAAGUCCAUCUUAUGGGAAACUAAAACCCAGAGAUAUAAAAUUUAUCUUGAUUGGUAUUCUCCUACUCAAAAAGGAUAUAAGUGCUAGUAUCCAUUCACAAAACAAAGAUGUCACAAUUUUUGCAAAUCAACCCUUUUACCCAAAACCAACUCUUCAUGGGGAGAUACUAGGUAAAGAUAGGCUUUGAAAAUUUUCCAUUCCACUUUUUAUAACAUCUGUUAUUCCUAUUACGUCACCAACAUAAGCUAAGUUGGAAACAGGGACAGGUUCAUUUAUGCUUAAUCCUCAACAAGAAACAAAGCUCGAUGUUUAUUCACGACGUAAACCACAGCCUUAGGAAGUACAAAUUUAGUACAAAUUUUUGUGGCCCAGCCAUAUUGUCAAGAAUCUGAUCCAUAAGUAAAUUCUAAAUUAGAAAAUACUAAGCCUAUAACACUAUCACUAGUGAAUACCAAUUCGUAAGCAAAUUUUGAAUUAGAAAAGUUUGUCCCUACCACACCAUCACUAGUGACUACUCCACCUAAUGAUCUAGACAAACCUAUAGCACUUAAGAAAGGUAUAAGAUCGUACACUCAACACCUAUUGUCUAAUUAUCUAUCUUAUAGUCAUUUGUCUACUUACAUUUUGUACUAUGAUAAAAAAAAAGAUUAAGGAAACUAAAAUCUCACAAAUAUUCAUAAAACUCUAAAAAUCCCAAAAUAGGAAGUUGCUAUGCUUAAAGAGAUGAGAGCAUUGAAAAAGAAUGAGACAUGGGAUGUUGUAGAGUUACCUAGAGAAAAAAUACGAAUUAGAUGUAAGUGGGUGUUUACUAUUAAGUAUAAUUAAGAUGGUGGAAUAAAGAGACAUAAGACCCGCUUAGUUGCGAAAAGAUUUACUCAAACUUUUGGAGUAUAGUACACUAAAAACUUUGCUCCAGUUGCUAAAUUGAAUACUAUAAGGGUAUUACUUUCACUAGCUACUAAUCUUGACUCGCCAUUACACCUAAUGAAUAUUAAGAAUGCAUUUCUUAAUGACAAGUUGGAUGAUGAAGUUUAUAUGGAUUUGCCUCAUAGCUUUGGAAGGGGAAACAAUGAUAGGAAGUUAUGCAAAUUGAAAAAGUCUCUCCAUGGUUUAAAACAAUCACUAAAGGCUUGGUUUGAUCGCUUUGCAAAGUCAGUAAGAAGACAUAGAUUUAGCCAAGGACAAAUUGAUCACACUCUAUUUUUUUCAAACACUCACAACGUGAAAAAAAAGACUAUUUUGAUCGUUUAUGUUGAUGAUAUUAUAUUGACAGGUGAUGACACUGAAGAAAUAGAAAGGCUAAAAAAAACUCUUGGAAAAGAAUUUGAACUUAAAGAUUUUGGACAACUAAAAUCAUUUUUAGAGAUGAAAGUUGCAAGAAGCAAGAAUGGCAUUAUUGUUUCCCAAAAGAAAUAUACGGUUGAUCUCUUGAAAAAUACCAGCAUGCUUGGCUAUAAACCAACUGAUACACCUAUAGAUCUUAAUACAAAGCUUGGCAAGAAAAGAGAAAUUCUAGUAAAUAAGGAGAGGUAUCAACGACUAGUUGAUAAGUGGAUCUACUUAUCUCAAACAAAACCUGAUAUUGUCUUUAUAGUUAGUGUAGUAAAUCAGUACAUGCACUCUUCAUUUGAGGAGCAUUUUAAAGCUGUGUAUUAAAUCUUAAGGUAUUUGAAGGCCACACCUGAUAAUGUUUGUUGUUUGAGAAGAAUGAACAAAAAAAAAAGCAUUCACAGAUACAGAUUAGGUAGGAUCAAUUGAAGAUAAAAAAUCCACAUCUAGGUAUUGUACAAAGAUUUAGGGUAAUCUCAUGAGGUGGAGAAGCAAGAAACAGUCUAUUGUUGCUCGAAGUAAUGCAAAAACAAAACUUAGAGCUUGUGCACAAGAAACUUGUGAACUUAUUUAGCUAAAGAGACUUUUAGGAAAACUAAAAAUGACAAUUGAAUAACCUAUGAAACUGUAUUAUGAUAACAAGGUUGCUAUAAAUAUUGCUUAUAAUCUAGUGCAUCAUGAUCAAACAAAGCAUGCGAAAGUUGAUUAGCAUUUUAUCAACAAGAAAAUUGACAUAUAAGUGAUCUAUAUGACCUAUGUUCCUGCAAAGUAACAAGUAACAGAUACCCUAACAAAAGGACUACAUAAACCAAGCUUUGAGACUCUUGUUGACAAGCUGAUAAUGAUAACUAUCUAUUCUCCAGCUUAAAGGGGAGUGUUGACAUAUUAUGUAUCAAAUUAGGAUCAAUAUCCUGAUUUGUUGAGAUUUAUAUUUCUUGUCUUUUAUUUGCUUUUAUGUUUGGAUGAUUGUGCCUUGAUUUUGUAGGUUUCUUUGUACAUAUCAAUACCUCUAUAUAUUUAGGGUUUCCUUUUAGUAUAAUAACACUAAAAAAACAUUGUUUUUAUCAUUGUUUUCAAUAUUUCCUCAAGAGAUUAUAGUAAUAAAUAAGUUUUUUAUGUUAGGUUGAUAUAAUUUUAGAAAGUUUAAAAUUAUACUAGUAUUAAUUUAUAAAAAGUACUUUUUGAAAUUAUUAAUUAUUAUUUACUUAUGUUUGAUUAAAUGUUAAAACAUUAUUUGGGUAUAUUUCAUUUCUUUCUUUUAAAAAAAAAAUCUAACUUUAUUCGUAAUCGGAUUUAAUUUUAUAUUCUUUGAUAAAAAUUUAAAAAUAUAAGGAAAAUAAAAUUUGAUAAAAAUAAAAAUAAAUAAAGGAAAUAAAACCAUGGUGAACCCAAAAUUAUUACUUUUUGCUAUCAUACUAAAAAUAUAUUUAUUAGAAAGAAAAUAAAAUUUUUAAAAUUAUUAAGAAGGAAAUUAAAAUAACAUUUUUUCUCUAAUUUAAGUUGAAUUUUGAAAACCAAGUGCAGAAAUGAUAAUUCUAUUUCGUUAUUAAAAAUUUUAAAAGUUAUAUUUAUUUUUUAAUAAAUAUAUUUUAGUAUGAGAGGAAAGAGUAAUAAUUUUGAAUGUAUUAUCUUAAAUUGUAAUUCUCUCUUAUUUUUAUGCUAAAAUUGAUUAGAGAACCAUAUUGACACCAUUUUAAAAGGUUUGGGACUAUCAUCCAACAAUUUAAAGAUUAGGGAUCAAAAUCAAAUCCAAAUAGAAGGUUUAGGACUAAAAAUGUACUCAAAAAGUUAAACCUAAACAAAUAUUUUCCUUUAACAAGCUAGCCUUCCUGUAACUUGUACCAAACUGAAAGGAAAAAGUUACUGACAGCAAAAAGAUAUGUAUAGAAGGUUUCUGCAACCAACACAUCCUUCAGCCAAUAACAUGUCAUUCUUAAUCACCCAUCUUUUGAUUAAUUUAAUUUAUUCACCAACCAACAAUGAGAAUAAGUAUGUCAGCUUUUGUUUGGGCUUCCUCAACAGAAAGGCCAAGUAAUCUAAAAGUGGCCCCCAAUCCUCCCUUGUGACCUAAAGACAUGCUCAUAUUUCCAUAAUUAAAUAUUGCUAAAUUAAAGAUAUCCAAACAAAUAUAACACAUAGACCAAUACUAAUUGCACAUCAAUCGAACCAGCUUAAGUACGAUUAGCACUGUUUUCUGCUAAAUAUAUCUGACACUAGAAACUUGUUAUGGUAAUAUGAUUGAACUUCAUAUCUAUUAAAUAUCAUAAAAUUAACGGGCCAAGUUGUCUUUCUCAAAUCUAGAAAGCAAACUUUAUUUGGUAAUUCUCCAUAGAGGAAUAAACAGAUACCUAUCCGUUCCUGAACCAGAUAUUCACUUAUGGCUUACUACGAGGGAUCAAUAUUGAAAUUAAUAAUCGCCAACACGGUUGUCUAUCUUAAACUAGAAAAGCAAACUUUAUUUUGAGUACAGACUCCACUGGAUGAUAAACCACGAUACUUAUUCUGAUUCCUCGACCACAUAUUCCACUAAGGGCUCCUACCUGCUACGAUAAUUGAAAUUUAUGACUGCAACUGUCUUCUUCGACUGAAAGAAUGAUUUGUUCAGUUUCCUAGAAAUGUCAUCAACUUUGUGGCUUACAUCACCAUGCUGGAGAGUCAGAACUAGUUCAAGGAAAUUUUUCAUAGCGAAUGGAGAAUUAAUACUAUUAGCAUUCACAUGAUCGCUUGCUUAUAAACUCUUUUAGUAAGUAUAUACCAUUUAGAGCAAUUAAGACAGCAGCAUCAAGAAAUUAAUCCAGGUUAAGGUAAAACAACAAAAUUAAGUCCUGAACUAAAACUGCUUAAGACAAAAAAAAAAAAAUUGAUGCCACAUUUUUCAAAUUCAUGAGAAAAAUUAAAAAGAUAUCAAAUCUUCAAGAAACCAGCAUAAAAAAUAACUCUAGGUAGUUAAAAGUAAAAUUAGUAAAUUAAUUGAAUGUAUUGAAACCUUCCACAAAUGAUGCAAAAGGGUUAAUUUAAAAGUACAAUUUAUGUGAUGUGUUAUCUGUAUUACCUGCUUCCUGGGUCUGUCGCAUCAUCAUUCUCCACAUCAAAUGGACAAGGAAAUUCAGGGUCAUCAAAAUCAUCCCGUAAAGACCUUGGAACUUCGGGAAAAUGAAACUCGAGGUGAGCUGCUGGAAGAUGCCUUCACUCUAGAAUAUUUCCAAUAGUCUUCUUUCUUGAUAGCAAACAGCUAGACGAGACAAAAAUAAAUAAACAAAUUCCAAAGGGCAAAACAAGAUACACUAGAAAACACAACAUACCAAUGAUGAGUAUAUGAAAUACCUUCUCAACGGUUACACGAAUUCGAACUGGACCCAUAUUAUUAUCAGACUUAGAAGUACCAGCUUUUGUAAUUAAGGGGAGAUGAUGGUGGCAAAUUUUGCUUGCAGGACAACACAGGGGAAUUAGCAAGCUUAGGAGCAGGUACAUUUACAGGAGCACUUUCAGAACGUAAAAGGGCUUUUGACAGAUGACUCCCAGUAAUGUGUAUAGGGGGUGAUGGUGAGGGGGAAGGGAAAGGGGAGGCAGAGAAAUUGGGAGGACAAUACUCAUCAAAAUUGAUAUAUUCUUAUGAGCUAGUAAGGUCUCAAGAGGAUGAGGAGGUAAGCUCAUAGGUGGCAAACAGUGAGAGCUUGGGUUGGAAACCGAAGAAUGAGAUUCUAAAUAUGUUCAUGAUGGUGAAAAAGAAACCAAAGGCGGUGAAGCCUUGUAAUGGUCAUAACUCUAACCAUGUCUUCUUGAGAAUGGCAAAGAUGAAGGAGAGUUGUGCGACACAGGAAAAGAUGGGAACCUCCUCAGUGGGUCUGCCAAUGGGCUUCCAACAUAAUCUGGUAUAAAUUGAGGGAACAUAUGGGUUGAUGACUCAGAGCUUAUAUCUGAGAUUGAUGACCGGAACAAAACUGAAAAGCAAAGCCUUCCACAUGAUGUGUCCAAAGGGGUAAACCAAAAUCGUUGCAUUUCUGCCACUUCUUUACAAGUGAAGGGUUUCAACAAAAGAGGAUACCAUAGGAACAAGCUUAAAGGCAUGAAGUUGACCAGAUGAAUUGAGAUCACAAAAAAUCUUGUAUGCAGGUAAAAGCCUAACAGUCAUGUAUAAGGACCUCAACAGCAAUAUCAAUUUCUUAUAUAGCGUACUCAAAUUAUUACUACUUAACCUUACACUUCUUGUUCUACAAUCCCUACAGUUUCUACUUUCAUGCUGCAUAAACCAUCUUUCUAUAGUCUUUUCACUUUUUUUCUCACUACCUGAAUCUUUUUAAUCAGAAUCAGAGAUUCAAAUUGCGUUGUGGACACGUUUUCGGUCGUGUUACGUUUAUCACAAUUGCGUAUAUAACGAAAAUCAUUGCAGUCAUCAAAGUCGUGAAUUUUUUUUAAUUUUUCAUAAUUUACUAUAAAAUGUAGUAAUUAUAAUUAUAAUAAUAAAAAUUAGUACUUAUAAUUUUUAAAGUAAUUUAUGAUAUUUUAAUUUUUAUUUAUAAAUUAAAAUAAUUUUUUCAUGUUUUGUAGUUAUAAUUCAAAAUGAAAAUGCAUAUUAUAAAUAUUUUUCUUUAUUAUACGCAUGAAGUUCAAAGACAUAAGUAUUAUAAAUGCAUAUGAUGAAAAAAAAUAUAUCUUAUAUGAAGUUAUUUAAUAUUAUAAUUAAUUUAAUUAAAAAAUUAGUGAUGAAUAUUUUAGAUAUUUUUAUAACAUAUGUUUAUUGGAGGAAUAUGAUAAAACUAACUGAUUGACUAUAGAUAAAUAUACCUUAUUAUUAGAUCAAAUUUUCAAGUGUAACAUUUUAAAUAACUAAAUUAAACCAAAAUAAUAUAAUAAUAGCAAACUAAUCUUUAUUAACUAAUAAAAAUAUACAAUUAACAAUAACAUUAAUAAUAUUAAAAUUAUAUAAAAAACUACUAAUUACUUUUAAAAUGAUAAUAAAUAAAAAUAAAUUCACUAAUUAAUAUCUCACAUUCUCCUUAAAUUUUUAUCAAAAUCAACAAAAAAAAUUCUCUAAAAUAUUUAAUUUCUCACCAAAUCAUUUGCUUUUUCCUUUUCAUAUUUUCACCUAAAUAAGAAAAAACAAAAUAUAAUGUACUUUUAAAUAUCACAUGUACCUAAAUUUUAAGUUAAAAAAAAAUACUAUGAUUGGUUGAUUUGGCUCAACUGAAUCCAAACCCUCCAAACUUUUCUCAUAUCCAUGUAUUCUUCAAAUUUCACCAUUAAAUUUCUAAAAAAACAAGACAUGACUGAAGCGAAAAAGUCUAAGCUGGAUCCAGCAAUAGUAUCCGAGGACUUAGUAAGAAAGCAAGUGAAAUAGCUAGGUCAUUCAAAGGAGCAGCUAAAAAAGCCCUUUAUAGGGCAGGGUAGGAAAACCAGAAUAAAGAGAGAACCUUUCAAUAGACUCCGAAAGAAAGAGAUCGGCUUGGUGGGCUCAGAAAGAGAUGGUCGAUGAAUGCGAACGGGAGCACCAAUUGCUAGAGCACAAUCAGUAUCAGUACGAGUGAGAAUUGUAUCACGCUCGCUCCAUCGCUCACUCUCUAAAAAUCGGCGGGCAUGUACCUUGCUUCUUCUAUCUUCUAACCUCUUCCAAAUUCCAUCCACGCCAACUUUGUCUUUGUCCUCAACCCAAGGCACUUGCGACGCUAUUAUCGAAUCCAAACCUCUCAUCUUCUCAUUUUGUCAGUUAAAAAAUAUUUUACUUUUUCUCGACUUUUAAAGUCUGAGAUAAUUAUUGAUUGACUUCAAUAACAUAUUCUUUGAUCUUGAUUUAAGUUUGUAUUUACUGAUUAAAUUAUAAAUUUAAAAAAAAAUUUUGUUUAAAAUGUGAUUUUUUAUAUGAAAUUCUUUAACUGUUUUGUGAAUUUUAUUCACAACCCAAUUUCGGGUAUGUAAUAGUGGCGGAAGCUAUUGAAACCUCGAAAUAGCAGCCGCAAUGCCGCUGCACAACCAUUAUUUGAAACCUAAUCAGAAUUAGAAAAACAAAUUCCUAUAAUUUGACGACAAAUGCCUAACGAGAUCCACUUCGGGGGAAAAGGUCACAGGUUCCCAAUCAAGUGGCUUCUGCUCCAUUAUAACAUCAACCACUACCGGCUCAAAAUUACUCUGGCCACAAAGAUCAAGAUUUUCUAGCCAUGAAGGGCACUCCCUAAGAGCUAAAUUGAACCACCUAUCUCUUGGCCUCACACUUGACGAAGAUGAUGAGGAUGAAGAUGGAGAUGACACAGUUUGUUCACCACUAUAAUUACACGAUGACACAUACGGAGACCUUGAUUCAAGAAUUAUAAGAAGACUCUUAUAGAAGAAUUCAGUGAUAACUUUUUCCAUUUUUGCUGCUUCAUUGUGAGUGUUGCCAUGAGAUGAUGCCAUACCUUUUAAAUUAGCUACAAAUGUAACAAUCAAACCCUUUAAGGGAAAUUGAGAUUGUAAACCUGAAACACCCGUGGAGAUAAUCUCACUGCAAGUAGGAAAGCCAUAAGGAAAAAUCAAAAGCUCAUUCAUUCAUAAAAACAAAACCCCAGCAAGAAAUAACUCAAAAAAUAGCAAUUCAAUUAGUUUAAAAAAAAAAAAGACAGCUUAGACUCUUGUUUUCUAUGUUCUCUAUAAUUAACCGGUCUGGUUGUGUAAGAAACACGUUUUGGGAAAAUGGGUCUUUUUUCAUCUUAUUUCUUAUUUUUGCUUUUUGGUUUUUUCUUGUCUUCAUCCAGCUUCCUUUUCGUAGAAAUUUUCUUUGCAAAAAUAGAAGAAUUUUCUAAGCAAAGCUCAAGAUUGCAGAACCAGAAAAACCAAACAAAAUUAAAAACUUAGAACAAUUAAAAAAAAAAAAAGAAAAGAAAAGGGCAAACGAAGCUGCGAGGGAAGCAACUCACCAGUUUGUUAAUAGAGUGAUUUUUUUUUUUCCUCUUUUGAUAGGUUCAUUAUCCCCUUUUGAGUCCUUGUUUUGUAAAACUUCAGAAGUUCAGUAAAAAAACACAGGAUGAAAAAAGGGAAAUUUAUUCAAUAGAAAAAAACAAAAGAGAAUAUCUUCGUGAGCUGACACCCCAGCAUGCUUGCCACGUCAUCACUGGGUCCCUUGUUACUCCCUCCUGCUCUUAUUGCGUAUUGGACUUAAUUGGUAGAGUUAGACCAUGGGCUUCUGGGCUCUUGUCAUUGAUUUUUGUUUUGGGAAAACCUUAUUAUUAAUCCCAAAUGGACUGGACUUUUUGUGUCCCAAUCAAAGCCCAAACUUAGGGAUUUGUUUCCCUUUGUGUUUGAUUAUCCCUUAUUUCAAGCUCCUGAGUUGUUUUGUUUUGUCUAAUUAAAUUUAUAAAAAUAUAAAAAUUAUUUAUAUUAAUAUUGUUUUUAAUAACAAAAAAUCGUUAAACGUUUUAGUGUCAUGUUUCAAGUCUCAUCACUUAUUCGAUUAGUGCAACUUAACAUUAACUUUUGUCCAAUUAUUAGUUAAUUUGUAGAUUGAUUUGUUUACUGGAAUUGUCUUAUUAAUUUCUUAUACUAACUGUAAUGAUAAUUUAUUGUGACUAUAAUUUUUAUUUGUACAUUGCAACUUCAUCAUUAAAAAUGAUAGUAAUAGCGAUUAUCCCAAAUGCUCUUGUUUAUUUCCACUGGUCGUGAAAAUAAUUCAAGGAUUUUGGUUCCUAUUUUCAAUAUCUGGAUGCAUUCCAAUGAAAAAUCUCAAGUAAAUUACUCAGCAGAGAUGAAUCUGCCAGGGCUGGACAGCGAAUGCGUCAUAUGCCUAUCAGAGUUUGUGUGUGGUGAACGCCUGCGGUUUCUACCCAAAUGCAACCGUAGAUUCCACGCUCGUUGUAUUGAUAAGCGGCUUAAAUCACACUCAUCAUGCCCGAAAUGUAGCCAUUGCUUGAUUGAAGCAUGCCAAAAAAUCAUGGGGUGUAAUCAAACUAGGUCAUCAGAACCAUGUUUUCCAGCUCAGGACAUGGUACGUGAUUAUAGAGGAUGGAUAUGAUUCUAUUCGUUUGGCCACUUGUGAAAGCCCUCUGGCACUCUGGAGGUCUUAUCCAUAGGAGAGCUCAAUUUGGAGUUUGAAUGGCACCAAAUUGACAUCAUUGAUGUUCUUGAUUAACGCCUAGGCAAGUUCAAUUUAUCAAGCAAAUCAAACUUGCCAAGAAAAAAAAGGCCGGUGUCAACAGAGUUUAAGAUGAGAGUUUGCGGUCGUGACUUUGGAAGACAUAUCUGAAUCAAAUUCUUACACGAUCAACAUUUUCAUGGAUGCUGCUUCACCUGAAGUUCAACCUUUUAAACGCUCUUUCUUUGCAAUUACUAAUUCCAUGGAGCCAAUGGGAUGUGGACGUAUUCAACCUCAUAUUUCCUUCAGCUGUUGUGGCUUAAUGAUCACCUUAGUCAAAGAUAUUUUGUUGUCUACUAUAUCAAUGAUAAAAUUUGUUCAAGUGAGACUUGGUUUUACUUAGUUCAGAUAAUUUUUAUAUUUUGUAAUGUUUUUAUUUCGUGUUAAGUAUAUAUAAAAUAAGAAAAUUAUCUUAUCAUAAUUUGUGUUCAUACGUUAUAUAUAAAACUUUUUUUACUUUUACCUGGUUUUUAUCAAAUUUUAAACUACUUUCACAUUUUUUCUUAUAUCAUUUAUAUGUCAUGUCUAAAAUUGUUAGGCCUAAUUUUACUACAAUUAAUCUUUCCCCUGUGAAAAUUCUGUUAAGAAAGACAUUUGAUGAUUGAAAGUUGAUCAAUAUCUAUCCAAAGUUAAAAAGCAGCUCCCUCUCUCCUAAUCGUUAGUGCGAAAGAGUAGUCAGGGAUGCCUGAUAAGAAAGGCACCACCAACAGACAAGCAAAAGGGAAAGCAAAGACAACACUGAAAACACACAACUUUAGUUAACCAUAUUAUGGAGACCCCAUUAUACUCUAUCUUGAGCCUUUUGAGACAAAUUUAAAUUCAAGCAACAAAACCAAGGCAUCAAGAUCGAUAAGACGCUCAAACAUUUGCUAUUUAAACUUAUCUCAAAUUUAAAUAUUGAUUUGCCAAUUGAAUUCAUAUGAAGUUAAGCUGUCUGGAACCAUCAUGUUGGGGCACCUCCACUGCAAAUUUUAUCUCCUCUUUGGACCAUAUUCUUGGCUGUGAAUGAGUACAAAUAAAGGAAUUAAAUUAGUUAAGGAGUUGAUAACAAAAGUGACCUGAAAUUUCACAGAUUGUACAUGGUUGAUAAUGGAUGGGAGGGAUUCUAAUUCUCAAAGCUGUUGGGUGAAGCAACUUUCUGGCUUUUAUUAUUUGUAUUUAUUAUGAAUAUAUGACAUAUCUCUUUUCAGAAUAUUUUCAACUGAUAUUAUCCCACUCAUUGCUUUUAGUUAAAAAAAGAGCAUGCUCUAUCUUGUUCAUUUUUUUUCAUUUUUUCAUCUUUCAAAGGAGACAUAUGGGACCCUUCUCCAGAAAUCCUUCGGAACUUGGCUCCUAAUGUGCAUGCUUAAAUAAAAAACUAAAACCAUCAAUGUUUUACAAGGUAAUAUACCUCCCAACCAGAGGUUACAAAUGAAUGGAUUGUGUUGGAUUUGGUUGAGCCAAUUCAAGUAAAGUCAUUUGGGAUAAAAAAAAAUUCAAAUCAUUUUGAAUUCAAAUUAAUUUUGAAUUAAAUUAUUUUUUAUUUUGUUUAAUUCAAGUUCACAAUAUUAAUUUUUUAAAUUGAAAUUACAUGAAUUUACAGUAUUAAUUUUUUUUAUUCAAUUAAAAUCGAUUGGAUAUAAAUUGAUCGUACAAAUAUUUCGAAUCGAGUAAGCUUUUGCCUGCUUUACUCCCAAGACAUUGAUCAAGCAACCUCAAAGGCCUGCAAACAAGUCCUCCUGAAACUUAUUAAAAAGCACUGUUUUCUGUUAAAACUAAUUCCAGAUUGGUGCCAUAUAUACCAGAAUUUUUUACACUAGCAUAUUGCAAAGGAAAAUGAUUUUCAUUAGACUGAAAUGUUACCAAAAACAUGUGCUAAGAAGAUGUUUUGAAUCAAAUUCAAUGUUGCCGGAGUACAUGAAAGAAAACAACAACUUGCCCCAAGGUCUCACAUGAUAAUUUUGGAUUCUGUGGAACUGAUCACUAAAUACUUGGAAUGAGUGCUGCAGUUUUAAGUGCUCAGCAUUCCAUGACAUUUAUGCCAAAAAAGAGAUGAGAACAAUCUACUAAAAAAGCUAAAAGCACCCAUUAGUACUGGAUAUCUAGCAGUACAAGAUUUGAUAGCAAUAGCAUCACUUUAGUUUUCGAGUAGUACUUCUCUCUCGUAAUAACAUUUGCUGAAAACAGCUUGUAUUUGUUUACUGAUUUCCAGACAACAUGAUUUUUUUUCCCAUUCUGUUUCUUUCUUUCUCUCUCCAACCUUUGUGCAAUCCAACCGAGAGGAUAUGGAUACAUUUAGUGGUACAAAUACGUCGCUUUAGGAUUAGCCUAUCCUUGAUUUAUCUGUUUUAUAUGAAAAUAUAAACAUAGCAGAAAAGUAGAAAAGAAGUAUCCCUACUUUUCUUUAAACAACUUUGGUCCAAAAUCUAUAAUAUUUCCUUGUGUAUAAAGUACUUGUUAUAUAGAUGGUACUGCAGUUUCCAGGUAGAUUCAGUUCAACCUUUUUUAACUUUGGCUUAAAUAUAAAAAAAAAAAAAUUCUGAACUAAAAUUAAAUAAUUUGUUUUAUUACAAUCAAUUGACUUUUAAAAUAUUUAUUUUUUAUCUAAUUAAAUUCUUAAAUAUUUAUUUUUUUCAAAUUAAACUUUCAUUGGAUGAAAAUUGGUGAUAAUAAUAAAUGUUUAAAAAUUUUAUUGAUUGCAAUAAAAUGAUAGAGAUUUAUUUGAUUAUUUAAUUUUAGUUCAUGAGUUUUUUUUUCUUAUAUACUUAAACCUUUAACUUUUGAUUGCUUACAUCAAGUACCAAUUAGGAAGUUUAAAAAUAGCACGAGUGUUUCUGAAGAUCUCAUAGAUAAUUCAGCUGCAUUGUAGCCACAAGUGGAAGCUGAUUUAUUCUAAUUCUUAUCAAGUGCGCAAAGGAAAUCAGACUACUUGCACGGCUGAAGGAUAAUGACCUGAUUUGAUACAAAACUAAAAAAAUUAAAGAAAAUGGAUUCUAGAAACAGAUAUUUUCUAAAUAUCUUAUCUAAAGCCAGCGAAUUGUUGUAAAUUUCUGAUUAUCCAAAAUAAUAAUAAUAAUAAUAAUACUAAGUGCAAGUAAUUUGUAUUAGUUUCGACUGCUAAAGCGCAUUCACCAUCGCAAAAGGCAACUUGCAUUGUAAUAUGGCAACAUCAUUGGCCUAUCACUUACAAGCAGGAUAACUGAGCUUUCCCUGUGAAACAUAUGUUAAUUUAUUGUGAUAAAGCUGGCUUGCAUAUCAGCAUACAAGUUGAUAAAUGGCUAUGCAAUAUCUGCAAAUAGCGGAUUGUCCAUUAGGCUAAUUUGCUGGUUAGAAACCAACUCCACUACCGUCCCUAUCAUGGUACCUCAAGGAUUCAAAAUAGUUCUAUAACAUUGUGAUUGGUGCUUUGUUUUCAUCACGUUUAACAUCCAUUGUUCCACAGAUUCCAAUGUUCCUGUGCCCACAGUAACUUGUUACAGCAGUGAAGGUUCAUAUUCAAGAUUGGAAAUCCACACUCGAAAAGCAGACAAUAGAGAGAGUUCAUAUCCUUGAUAGCUGAACAGGUUUUAUCAGAUAACUCCAUAAAACAAAAUCCAGUCUCACUGAGAAAACUUUUGCGCUGCAUGAAAGUUGAAUUGGCCUUUUAAGUUAUAAGAUUAUAUAUUGAGCUAAAGUAGAGGGGGAUUCAAAUGGAGCAGUAAGGUGUCCAUAAACACUCAAAAAUUUGAAAAACAAUAAAAUUUGAAAGAAAAUUUUCUUUUUGGUACAUCCUCAAAAUUUUUGCCUAACACCAUUGAUAAAAUUAAUAAAUUUGUAGGCAGAUUUUAUAUAUAUUAUAAUUAGACACUCAAAAAAAAAAAAAAAACCAUGGAUCCAUCGUUAUACAAAAGGCUUAACGGGGAUCAAACUUGUUGAAGUACUAAAUAAAUCAUGGAGGGGGUUAAUUAUCCUCAACUCCCUAAGAAGAUAUUCUCCGAUAUACAUGCCUCCUUUAAAAAAAUCUCAUAUUAUAAGGCCCUGACCCACUUUUCAAUUAACUUUUUAAUGUAUAUAUAAUCCUUCAAUGGAACUAACUCCUAGAACAAGCAGUGCAGCCAUCUGAACUAAAACACUACGAAAUUAAAUAUGUCAACUUCUUCAACACCCAUCCAAUUCACCCAGUCACUUGAAAACUUUCAUUCAAGAAAAUUUCUUCUACAUUCCUCUGUUUACCAAACAGAAGCCCCAGCAAUUUCCCCUGCUCAAGAAAACAGUUAUGUCAUCAAUAACAACUUUGAUGGAAAUGUAAUCAUUGUGCUCUUAGCCCUCAUAUGCAGCUUGAUUUCCUCUUUGGGGUUGUUCUGUGUUGUCAAGUAUGCCCUUAGAUGCUCAAGUUUAGAUGCUGCUCAAUCUGGUGCUAACCCUUCAGCCAAGUUAGAAAAUACAGGAGUUGAACAGAAAGCCUUGAGGACCUUCCCAACUGUAAAAUACACAACCGAGUUGAAACUUCGAGUCUUAGACACAGCUUGUGUUAUAUGCUUAUCUAAAUUCGGUGCUGGGGAGUGCCUGCGGAUUUUGCCAAAGUGCAACCACGGAUUUCAUACUCGUUGUAUCGAUAAAUGGCUUAGUUCACAUUCUUCAUGCCCUACAUGCAGGCACUGCCUGACUGAAACAGACCAAAAGACCCUUAACUGCAGCCAGGCAGACUCAUUGGAACAGUCUCUCCCAACGCAGGAAAGCACAUAACAAAGAACUAGAAAGGGAACAAACUCAUUGAUUUUCAGGGUUGAAAAUCAUGAAUAAACUAUUUACCAUAGAAAUUCUCAACUUUCAUCAAAAUUCAUAUAUGGUAGGGUCAGACUCCACCACUUAUGCAAAGCUUGUAGCAAUAUGAUUCAAUAAUGCAAUCUUGUGUCUGGGGUAUCAUCUGUGUGCUAAACGUGCACUAGAAUUUUCUAUUCAGAAAAUUUCACAGUUGAAGCAACAAAGUGUUACUUGAAUUGAAAAUUUUUGUGAAAUUAAUCUAGCAAAAUGAUCUGAUUGGUUCAAAAUAUUCAACUAAUUGUACGAUCAAUCAUGCACAAUGAAAAUGCAAUGUAGCCUAGAGAAAGGGCUAAGCAUUCAACCUGAAAUUAGGUGAUAGGAUCCCAUUGUUCAAACUCUUUCUCAAGGAAAAGGGUCUUAGAUUGGAUGCAUAACGUAAUAUCAAAGUAAAUCUAACUCUUCACUUAUGUGAAACCUCAUAAGAGAAAUAAGGUCAAAGUAGGCUUGAAGUUAAGAUGUUGGCUUCACAAAGACCAUAUGAAAAAAAUGGGAAAAGUUAGCUAAUAUUGGGAUAAGGCCAUAAGGGGUAAAUUUAUCAUUUUACUUAUAUGAGUGGUCCAACUUUAUCAUUAAUUUAUCAACUGGUGUAAUUUUAAUUUUAUCACUAUACUUUUAGUUUUGAAGUAAAUUUAUAAUCACACUUUUAAAUUUGGAACAAUAAACAAUAUUCAGCAAAAAUAUUUUGGCUAACCUAUUUUACAAUUCAAAAAAUAAUUUUAAAAAUGACAUGAAUGAAAAAUAAUAACCACGACGCUAAAAUCUAAAAUUUUUAUUUUAUUUUCUUUUCUUUUUUAUCAUGAUAUUUUAUUAAAAUAAUACUACAUAAUAAAUAUUUGUAUUUUUUAUUAUGACAAUUUUUACUAAAGAUAAUGUGAUCAUACCAUACCUUUUCAAUUGACUUUGAUUUUUUUUUUACCAAGUCAAUUUCAAUUUUUUAAAAAUAUAAAACAACUUUUAACGAAAUAUUCUAUGAAAUAUAUAUUUUCUAACUAUUACAUUUUGAUCAAAUAUUUUCCAAAAUUAGAAGUAAUAUGCUGAAUUUAAUUCAAAAUUAAAAGUAGAAUGAUAAAACUACACUAAUUAAAAGAUUAAUGAUAUAUUAGGACCAUUCAUAUAAAUAGAAUAAUAGAAAUUCUUUUAAGACAAGAAAACAUUUUCAGUAUCUACGAAGGAUUGACAUCUCUCUAUUUUUUUCCCCAUUUCUAAUGCACCUAUAACAACUAUUGAAAUGGAGUUGGAACUAUUUUUUUUAAAAUAAAUAUUCUUUGUUUUUUGUUUUCUCACUACAAAUAAAAACAAGAAAGAAAUUUGAUUCGAAAAUUUAAUAUUCUUUCAAGCGUCUUUAACCCCUAAAAGCUCUGGACAAAUAUUCAUAUAUUACUCAAGUGAUUUUGUCUCAACAAUUUCCACGAUGCUUGUGGGGCAUUCCCCUAUCCACAUAUCAUCAGAAUGGUGUUGCAGGCCUAUUUUGGCUAAUCUGUGGGCAGCUUUGUUUGCCUCUCUUCUGACCUGACCUACACUGAAAGAACAAAAGGUCUUUCCUUUUUCUUUAAUAUCAGCAAUGAUGUGUCCCAUGGCUGACAGGUCGUCCUUCUCUAAUCAAAUAUUAUUAAUGAUGUUUAAUGCAUCUCCCUCCAGUAUCGGGUUUGUCAGUCUCAUCGAUGUUGCCAUGUCCACCGCUUUUGCCGCUGCCCAUGCUUCCACCAUGCUUGCCUCGUGCACGUUAUACACCCUGGUAAUCGCUGCCCCUAGCACCUUACUUGUGUGGUCCCGUGUUAUGACUCCCAAUCCCCCUGAACUGUUUGCCCCUAUGAAUGCACCAUCAAAGUUUAUUUUAACAAAACCCACAUGUGGUGGUCUCCACACUGUCUGAGUCGUUGCCAUUUUCUCCAUCCCUCGCGCUUGUGCUUGCUUAAACUCCAACAGAUAUGUUGUAGCAAACUGGGCUAGCGCUUCCGAUGAUCUAUUUUCUUCUGCUUUCACCACCAUAUUCCUCCCAUGCCACACGACCCAACUAACCAUCAACCCCAGUUCCCAGCUUGCAGCAUCUACAUCCCUAACAAUCUCAUGCAACCAACCGCUCUCUGCAUUCUGGUUUACGUCCCUCCAGUUCGCUUGGAGAGUAACAACAUUCCAAAUAGCCUUUGCAUAUGGGCAUUCCCAUAUGGCAUGAACUAUGGUUACCUGCUGCUGACCACAUCUAGGGCAUAUGCCUUGUAUCUAAAUUCCUCGUUUCAUCAGCGUGUUAUAGGUUGGUAGGAAUCCAUGGUUGAGUUUCCAUCCAAAGACUUUAAUCUUACUCGAUGUGCUCGCGGACCACAGUUUUUGCCAUGUAUGCCUUGUCACAGUUUUUGUUAUAAAUCUCACACACGUGAGCACGGUAAUAGAUGUAUUUCUGGGGAUUAAACCAUGAAUUUUGUGUAAUCUUUGAGUCAAAAUCAUUCAACACAAUGUGUGAUACGUUAAUUCUUCUAAAAAAAAGUCACAUACUUUGAAUCGUUCUAGAAUAUCAAAUUUUGAUUUAGCUUAUAAUAGGGAAUUAAACAGAUUUGUGUGUUAAAAAGAAGUGUUAAGAAGGGGCAGGCCAUUAGAGUAAGUGGAAUACAUUCCAAGAUCCAAACAUAUAGCAGCCGACAUAGAAAUUAUUCAAUGUUUAUAAUUUGAGCAGUAAGAUGUUAAAUUAAUUUUCAACUAUACAUUCCAUGAUCAAGUACCAACUCUUUUUUAGCAGUUUUAACAAACAGUUGAUGUGCAUGAUACAAAUUUUGUUUUCCUUUUCAAAAUUUAGUAUUAUAUCCGUCUCCAUUUGACUAAAAAUCGGAUUUUUAUCAUAUUUGAAUAUAAUUAAUGUCUCUAAACAUGAGCUGCAUAAGAAAAAAAACUUAAAUGGUCCUUUUGCAAAUCAAAUUUUGAGGAAUGGCUAAUGAUAGGUAGAUACCAUAUCCCUAAAAAAAGUAUAGAAAAGAAAGCAACAGUCGUUACAAAUAGUAAUGAAAAUGAAGCAAUUAAUGAUCAUGUUAAAGUGAGUUAUCCUCAUUAAAUAAAUAUAUAAAAUUUUAUAAUUUUAUACUUAAAUUAAAUUUUUUUAUUUAUUAUCAAUUAAUUUUAAAUUAAAUGUUUAACAAAAACAAAAAAAAAGUUGAUACUUAAUAUUACAUAUUCGAAGAAUGCGUACAAUUAGGCCCAAAAUCAGUUGUAAGUAAUGUCUUCUUAUCUCUUUUUAAUUAUUUGCAUAAUUUUUUUUGUUUGGCACCUUCGGUAUUCAAUAGCCACUUUAAGUCUCAAUUAUUUUAAAAUUAAAUCAGAAUUCUAUAAAAGAAAAAGCUUUUUUAGUGCUUACUUUUUUCAUUUACGAAACUUAAAAUCAAUAUCUUACUUGAAAAAAAUCGAAUUCAUUAUCACUCGGAUCAAUUAAAAUUUAUAAUUAUUUACAUAAUUAUUAAUAUGUAAACAGCACCUCAGUAAGUUAUGCAAAAUAUCAUAUAUAUUUGAACUUGUGAUUGGAUUGGUUUUAGUAAAAUUGAUAAUAAUGAUAGAUGAAAUUAAUUUUUUUAAUAGUAAGAAUGGAUAUUAUAACAAUAAGAUCAAAAUUAAUAAUGAGAUAUAUGCUUAAACAACGAUAAUGGUGUGAUGAAGUGCAUAAAGAAGAAAAAAUUAUCAUUAAAAAAUCAUCAUUAAGGACAAUAAACCAAAAUUUGUAUAUAAUAUAUUUUAUAAUAUAUAUUUGAUACUUGCAAAAUUAAUAAAUAAUUAAAAAUAAUGAACCUAUUUAUAUAUAUAUAAUAGUAUUUUUGUUAAUAAAUUAAAAAUUAUUAAAAUUAUUUUGUAUAAUAAAUAAUACUUAUAUUUUAAUGUUAUUUAAUAUUUAAAAACUUUUAAGUUUUAUUUAAUAAAUAGUGACACAAUAUUAUUUUAAAAUAAUAUAUACAGGAUUUUUGAGUAAUAAAAAUUUAAUAAUUAUAUUUCAUAAAUAUAAAAUAAUAGUUUAUAUAUAAAUUUAUAUAUGUAAACGUAUUUAUACUUUAAAUAAAUGUAUAAUUAAAACCUCAAAAUAAAAAAACAAUAAAAAAUUAAAAAAAAAAAAAGAACCGAAGCAUCAAGGGUAAAGGGAAAAAUGAGAGAAUUAAGAAAAAUAAAUAAUUUAAAAACUUUUUAAGUUUAAAAAGAAAAUUUACCAAAAACGAGAAAGAAAAAACGUUGAGGUUUUAAAAUUAAAGACACUUUAGAAAAUACAUUAAAAAUUCAAGGGUGGAUGUGAAAAGAAAAAUAAAUACUAUGGAUAAAAUUAACAUGUAAUUUAUAAAUUUAAAAGGAUAUUUUAAUCCAAAAAUUAAAAAAGAAAAUAAGGUAAAAUUGUGAGAAACAUAACUUAAUGAGGAUAAAAUUAUCCAAUUAUGGGUCCAACUCCAAUGAAAUUUUAACCUCUGAUACGAUCCAGAAGAUUCCAUCACAGCUUGCAUGUGUAACCCAAAUACUAAUCUCCAGUGUGAUUAAACCAUAAAGUUACAUAAACGUAAUGAACUAAAUGUCCGUUACAAACCAAAUGGGCCUUAAUCUUAGAAAACGAAACAAUAUUUAUUUGAAUGAUAUUCAUUCUAGCGUUCAUGCCUGAAAUUUACCUUCAGCAUCAUGGUAAUUUUGCUAUCUUACAUAUGUUAAGUUCCUUUCUAUUAAUAUUUUCUCAUUCUUUUAACUGUCUUCAUAUUUUUUUUAUUUUUAUUUUUUUAUAAAGAAAGUUUUAAAUUAAGUUAAAAAAUUAUAAAUAUUAAUAUUUAAAUUUCAAAUGCUAAAUAAUAUUAUUUAUAAAUAAUUUUAUAAACCAAUUGAAAUAGAUUCCCAAUUCAAUAUAUUAUUACCUUAAUCUUUCUGUUUUCUUAGAUUAUAUGGACCCAAUAUUUACCCAAUUAGGAAAGACUUUCAGAAACUUCAAAGACUUUCCCAAUUAUCUUAUAUUGCAUGAUUUUCAACUAAAGUACCAUCACGAGCAACCACGAGGAAUUUUGACCUCAACACUCAGCAGUUCCAAAUUGUUUUUAUGUGUCAAUAAGUGAUACAACAAACAGAUCAAGCAAAAAGGAAGAGCAGGGGCCAGUGGAUGGACGAAAAAAUAAAAAUCAUGACUGAUUUUUAACAAAUGGACUCCUACAUGUGUUUUAAGCUGAAUAGAAUGGAUAUAACGAGUAGAUAUCGGUUUUAUCCGGGUCUACUAUUUUCAGUUCCUGUUUAAUAUUAAUAAUAAUAAUUUUAAUAAUAAUAACAAUAAAAUUAAUUUAAUUAAAAUUUAAAAAAAAAAAAGACAAACAAAAAAGUUUAAAUGGAGAAAAACAAAAACAUAGAAGCUGAUGUCAGUGGGUGUCGUGCACGGCACCACUGGCUGUCCACCCCCUGCCAAGCCAUCAUGCCACUACCCAUAGCCAUCAUGCCACCCAUUAUCCAGUCUUUUCGCUAGGGCACUGUAGCUCCAUUAGCACACUACUGCUCCCAGCCCUAUAAAGCAUUCAUUCUCUUCCCCUUUCGGUCGAAUCGAAACUCUCUCAAAUAAAAGCCCAAAAGACGAACACCCAGAAAUCCAAAAGCUUUCUCACACUUUCACCAGACUCUUUCACAAAAAAAAAAAAAAGCGAAUAAUCCUUUAAACACCCAAAUAAAAAAAAAAUAAAUAAAUAAAUAAAAAAACAACAAACAAACAAUCCUACCCGUAAGGAGGAACCUCAACUCCAAGUUUUCUUAUAACAAAGAAAAAAGACAGUCAGUUAAUCUUAAAAAAAUAAAAAAAUACAAAAAACUUUAAACUUCGAUCUACAUCGAUUGGAGCUUUUUCUCGCGAAAAAGAUGCUAGAUCUAAGCUCAGGAGGUCGAGAAUAGCAUUUUAGUGAAUUCUAGAAAUUUUUCGAUAAUCAGCGAUCACCGACCAUCUAGACGGUCGUCAGUGCAGCGAUCCGACACUGGACUCUGGCCAAGGCCAGAGAAUUCCUUAGCUUUGAAAUUUUUUUUUUUUGAAAAAAGGUGAAAAAUGAUCCAAACAAAUUUUUGGCUUAUAUAUAUAUAUAUAUAUAUAUAUAUAAAGAAAGCCCAAAAUGACGUCGUCUGGACCAGGAAGGAUCCGCGCGAGCCCAGACCUAACUCGGGAUCCGCACAAUUAACCCGCUGACCCAGUUCCUCCAACAGCUCUGAAACAGUUCGGUCCGAUUCAGUUCGAUCAAAUCGGACCGAACUGUUCCUCAACUGGUUCGACUGAACUGCGCGUCAAACCAACCCCUUUUUGGUACAGCCAAACCGAUUGUUGAUCGAACUAUUAACCAGUUCGGUUCAGGUAAAAAAAAUUUUUUUAAUUUUUUAAUUUUUUUAUAUAUUAUUAUUUUUAUUUUUUUAUGUGUUUUUUUAUACAUGAUAAAUUUUUAAAUUUGUUAGAAUAAAACAUUUGAUUGUUUUUAGUAAUAAUAAAAUGAGAAUUAAAAAAUUAAAAAAUUAAUUAAAAUAAUAAAAAAACUAAAAAUGCUAAAAAUAAUAAUAACAAUAAUAAUAAUAGUAACCUAAAAAAAUUAUUAAUAUUAAAUAAAUAAAAUAAAAUAAAAUAAGAUAGGAUAAUAUAUUUGUUAUUUUUUCUACCUAGAUGUUGGAGAGAAUAAAAACCUUUUAAAAUAUAAUUAUGUCUAGACGUUGGAGAAUUAUAUUAAAAAAAAGUAUAAUGAUAAUAAUAAGAUUAAUAACAAAAAACUACUAAUAAUAAUAAUAAUAAAUUUUCAUUAAAAUAUAUGUAUAAAGUAUGCAAAAAAUUUUUAAUUAAUUUUCAAAAAUCAUAAAAAUCGAACUUACUCUGAAAGUUUGCCUAGAUGUUAGAGAUUUUUAGAAAUGUUCUUAUUUUCUUUUAAAUAAUAAUAAAUAUAAUAAAAAUAAAGAUAUUAAAUAAUAAUAAAUAAUAAAUAAAUCCUAAAACCUCAAAACCCUAAAAUCGAAAUUCUAAACCCCUAACCCUAAAAUCCAAAUCCUAAAUUUCAAAACCCAAAAAAUGAAACCCUAAAGAUUAAGCCCUAAACCUCCAAAUCCUAAAAUUAAACCCUAAACCCUAAAAUUCGAACAAUAAAUCUCUAAACCCUAAAAUUAAACUCUAAACCCUUCAAACCCUAAAAAUCCAAACCCUAAACCUCCAAACCCUAAAAUUAAGUCCCAAAUCUCUAAACUCUAAAAACGAAACCCUAAACCCUCUAAACCUUAAAAUCAAAAUCCUAAACCCUCCAAACCCUAAAAUUAAGUCCCAAAUCUCCAAACCUCAAAAUGAAACCCUAAACCUUCCGAGCCUUAAAAACGAAACCUUAAACCUUUCAAACCUUAAAAAAUGCUAAAACCUCUAAACCUCAAAAUUGAAACCCUAAACCUUCAAAACCCUAAAACUAAAACCCCAAACCUCAAACUCGAAAACUGAACCUUAAAUUCCAAAAUUCUGAAAACCUUAGAUUUGGUACAAAAUCUUGAAUCAUUGCUCAAAACUCACUAAAUCUUAAAACAUCGACCUAAACCUAUACUCAAAACCAUUUCAAAACUUUAAAGAUACGUGCAAAAAUUUCAAAUAGAGUAAUUUGUUCUCGAAUACCACCUAAAUGAUGGGGUAUUUAAAGAAAUAUUAUUCCAUUAAGUUUUUCUUAUGAGUCCUUAAUUCGCUUUAACAAUGGGAUUAAUAACUGAUUAAUAAAAAUAUAUUAAUAAUAAAAUGAGAUCUUAAAUAUAAAUAGUCACACCUAAGCUCCCCUAGAUGUUGGAGAGUCAAUGUGGUCUCAUUAUAUUUAAGAAUUCAAAUUUGAAUUUGCAUUUCAUUAUACAUAACACCUAUUAGCUUAAAUGUGUUUAUUGUUAUUAUUUGCACUCAUUUCGUAUAAUUUUACUUGAUAGUAUCAUCAUUUACCUUUUUUGCAUAAAAUGUUUUUUACUUACUUUUAAAAUUGUGAUAUUAUAAAAUAAAACAAAAAUAAUAUUCUGAAAGAAAUAAUUAUUGGUACUCUGCUUAGAUGUUGGAGAGUCACCAAUAAUUAUCAUCUACAAAGAGUGUUAUUUUUAUUUUAAGGAGUAUUCUGUUAAAUCUUAAGUGAAAAGAGUUAUUUUAAAUUUUGCCUAGAUGUUGGAGAAUUUUAAGAUAAUUCUUUAACUUAAAGAUUUUCUCAAUAUUUCUAAAUAAAAAAUUUUAGCAAAAAUAUUUUUUUUCAAAUAAAGGGAAUUAGUAUUAAAUUUCAAAUUGAAAUCAUUUUAUCUAACAUCAAAAAUAGUGCAUAAUUAAAUGGUAUCAAUUUAUGGGCGUUAUAGGGGUAUUAAUCAUUCUCCACACAUAACCGACCUCCGAAUCCAACUUGAUUUUCGUAGAUCAAAAUUUAUCUUUUUGAUAAACUUUAAACCUUCUUUUAUAGUUUUAUUAAAAAGAUAUUGGGUAGCCAAUCACAUCCUUAAAAAGAUUGGUGGUGACUCAUCUUUUUUUUUUAUUUUAAAACACUUUACGUCUGACGGUCUCAAAAUCGUUACGACACAGGGAUUAUAGACUGUAGUCAAGUCCGACUAAAAAAAUUUUGGCAUGUAUUUAACUUACGUACAUUGAAACAAGAUUAUAUUAAAAAUAAAAUAAAAUCUCUAAUCCUGACAAAGCUUCCAAUAUCCAUCUGAUUGUUGAAACAACAUGAGAAAUGUAUUGUCCAUCUAAUCCCAAGACUGCAAUGGCUCAUUGUUCAUUCCUAGCUCUUACAUAAAUUGGUCUAAUAGAGCUUUUCAAGAUAUCUAAUUUUGUUUGGAUCAAUUUAGCUUUGUUUGAUUUUUAUACUUGAUUCAAAUAAUUUAAUAUAGAUCAAUUUAAGUGUUUCAAUUAGUCUAACUCAUUUAGGACCUUUUCAGAUAAAUUGUCAAGUCCAACUCUAUCGGAGUUAAGGCUCAAUUUAAUUGAGAUUAAUUCAAAUUUUAGUCAUUUGAGCUUAAAGGCCCAAACUUCAAUUUUAAGUCUAAAUUAAAUUUUAAACCUGAAUUUUAAUUUUAAUUUUUUUGUUAUUGUUUUUAUUGAACUAAUUAAAAAAUUUUAAAUUUAAACAAAAAAAAAAAGCAAAGUAAGAAGAUAGAUUGAUGCUGGCACUACCAACAACCAAUCAAAGUCCCACUACCUUAUACCCGACAACUAGUAACUUGUUGGUCACUACCUUACAGCUCUGAGAAGCUAUUAAACCUUGGACUGUUGCAACCCCAAUUAACAGAUAAAACUUCACAAACACCAUUUGGCAAAAAGGGACAAGAAAACUAGCAAAAAAAUUUUCCCAAAAACAAUCCAGCCACCUUUCAAAGAAAAAGCUUUCAACAUUAAAAAUCCCAAUCCUUUUACCAUUUUGGCUUUACCAAUCUCUUCCAACAAAAAAAAAACUCCUUUCACUAUAAUCUGAUCUUACCAUAUUCACAGCCUUAAAACACAGUAAAAAUUAGAAGUAAAAAAGUUACGAUUCCCAUUCGGCCAUCUUUCCAUUAUUCACCAUUGACAAUCCACCUUCAAACAAGUAAAUUUCACUACUCUUGAACUUCAACAAAAAAACCAAUAUUAAACCCAUCAUCGAGACCACCACACUAACCACUAUCACCAUCAAGUAUCCCUCAACCUGAGAUAAACACCAUCAACCAUCCACCAUCAUGUAACCUCUACUCAAUACCCACCUCAACUCCAACCACUACCUGAAAGCCCUCACCAAACACCCAUACAUCAACAAGCAGAACCCAAAAAAAAAAAAAAAAAACAAAAAACAAAAACAAACAAAAACAAGAAAAAAUCAACCUCAUUUCCCAAAAAGGUAAGCCACAAAAGAAACCAAAGAUAAAAAAAAAAAAAUAGGGAGGAGGUUUCAGUUUUCUUGAGAUUAAUUAGGCUUUGCAGAUUUUUUUUUUUUUUAAGAAAACUUGGUUUGGAUUUGUAAAUGGGAAACAAGGAAAGAUAAAAGGGGAGGCCAUCAACACCAUUAGAAAUAAUGGCGACUUAAGGAGAAUGAUGACUGCGGUGAGCCUUCUAAGCAAUCUGAAACCAUGGUUUGAAAAGUCAUGGAAUAGAUAAAAACAUACUUUGGUUUUAGCUGGUUUAGGUGACAGCAAAGGUGUUUUCCAACCAUAAAAAAUUUUGGUCUUCACACUUAGAUCAAGGAAAAUCUAGGGGGUUUUUGAAAUAUAUAUUUGGAAAUUUGAGAAAAAAAGGUAAAGAAAAAGCCAUGGUGAAAAUUUGGAAUUCAGAUGAUGCUAGCCAGCAUCGAUGAUCGACGAUGAUGGCGACAAUAACGAUGGGCUAAUGCCAAAAACUAGGCAUGGCUAAGGGAAGCAUUUGGCUUGUGAUUUGUUUUUUAUGAAGAGAAUUUUUUUUUUAAACAAAGAAAGAAAAUGAAUUACAAAAAAAGAAUGAGUUUUUAUAGUGAGAAAAAAAAAAUACAAGCUAUUGGGUUAAACCUGAACCACGUAAAGCUAGAUUUGAAACUCGUUGCCUGACUUGCUUUGAAGCUGACCCAAUUAACCUACUCAUCUAGUGGCUUGCAACCUAAGCAUAACUCAAGUUUUGUUUGGUUCUGAUCCACACCUAUUAGACCCACCACCAAAUAAGGCCAUAAACAAAGCCUAAGCCUCAACCCAAUUGCUUUGGACUCUUCCAUUAAAUUAGGUUUUAACCCAACUUAUGGUAAUUUAUUUUAAACUAAUUUAGUUAUUUGUUGAUUUUUGUAUGUAUAUUUUAAGAUAUAUAUAUUUAAUUAUUUUAAAUCAUUAAUAAUAAAAAAUAAAAUUAGUGUUAUUAUCAUUUUUAAAAUAUAUUAAAUGACUAAGGUUAUAAUUUUAAUUUAACUUUGUGAAAUUAUAUUCAUAUAUGUAAUGAAAUUAAAAUUAAAUGAAAGUCUUCCAGUAUGAGAUUUUAAAAAGUUUGAGUAGCAAUUAUCGAUAACUCCUUAGGUGAGAAAAGUUUCUAGAAAUUAUUAAAAUAAUGUAAUUUUUAGAAACUCUUUUCAAUACAAGGAUUUUUUUUUUUAAUUUGAAUAAUUUUCUUGUAAAAAUAUAAGAAUAUUUAUAAAAAAAAAAUGCAUCUUUUAGGAAAUAGAUCUAUUUAUGGAUAAUUAUAUUGUUGCAUAACUUUUCAAAUGAAUUAUUAAUAAUUAAUGAAGAUUUUUCCUAGGAUGAGAUACUAAAUAAGUCCAAGUAAUGAUUUUUUAAAAAUUUUUAGGUAAAAAAGUUUAUCUAAAAUAUCACCAAUGUAUUGGAGCAUUUAGAAUAAUUUUUUAUAAAAUUUUUUUGUUUUUUAAAUAAAUAGAAUAAGAAAUGAAUUUUCUAGAAAAUAUUAUUUGGAUUAAAUUAUAGACAUCAUAUUUUAUUAUAUGCUUGGUAAAUAUAAAUAUUAUGAACCAUCAAUGAUGAGAUUCUUAAAAAGUUCGAGUAGUGAGUUUUAAGAAAUUCUUAAGUGAGAAAAUUUCUCUUAAUAUUGUCAGAUAUUUGAAUAUUUUUAGAGAUUUUUCAAUAUACAAGGUUUUUAAUUUUUUAGCAAACAACUAAAAAUAAAAAUAUGUUGUUUUAUUACAAUAAAGAAAAUAAAGAAAAUUAAUUUUAAAUACCAAAAUUAAGAUAUUUUUAUUAAAAUUAAAAGAUAAUACAUAAUUAAUUGAUAUCAUUUUUUUACGGGCUUAUGAGAGUGCUAAUCCUUUCCCAUAAGUAAUUGACUUUCGAACCCAAAUUAUUUUCACAAACCCAAAAAUUAUCUUUUUAAUAAAUUUUAAUUAAUUUUGAGAUUUUAUUAAAAAGAUAAAUUUUAAUAAGUGGCUAAUCACACCUAACCAAAAAAAAAAAUUGAUGGCCACCUAACCGUUACCAUAAACAUGAGAGGCAACGACCACGUGGCACCUUCUUUACAAAAUGUGGGAUGCAUGCAAGUAGAAACAUAAAUGAGUAGUGCUUCGAUGAAUCGUUUGUGAAUAUGUCCGAUUUUUACUCUUUUAUACUCAUUUAUUAAGUUUAACAAAUGAUCUUGAAUAGUAUUUUUAUAUUUGUUUAUUAAACAAAUAGAACAUAAAUAGAGAUUUAUUUAGUUCAUUUAUAUUCAUAAACAAACUCGUUUAAAAUUCAUUUAAAACUCAUUUCUUUUUAUUUGUUUAUUGUUCAUUUGUUGUUUGCUUAUAAUAAUAAUAAUAAUAAUAAUAAUAAUAAUAAUAAUAAUAAUAAUAAUAAUAAAUUUACAUUUUUAUCUUUUACCCUAAUCAUAUUUUAAGAUUUGUUUAGGUUUAUUUGUUUAAACUUAUUUGAUCAUGAUUUGUUUAUUACUCAUGAACAUAUUCACUUAUAUACAUUUAUAAACAUAUUCGUUUAGUAGUCAUGUACGAAUUUAUUUAAUUUAAUUAAACCGAAUACAAAUGAGAUAAUAUAUUUUAUAGUUUUCUAAAUUUACAACUUUCAGAUUUAACAUAUUUUUUUUCAAUAUGUAAUAUAUAUAUAAUAUUGUAUUUAUAUAAUCAAAGUUGAAAUAUGACCCAUUGAAAAUUUUUUCUAGUUAUGCCGCUACAUGUAAGGCUAUAAACGAAUAGAAAAUGAAUAAACAAAUGUAUGUAUAUGGUUUGUUCGUUUAUUCCAAUUAGCAAAUCAAAUUAACAAUCAAUAAUCAAUCAAUAUGUUCUUUUAGAUAAAACCAACAUUUGAUGAAACUUGAACCUAGAGAUUCAAAGGUUUGAAUGCUUCCUCUUAUUGUUAAGAUAAGAAAUCAUUAACGAAUAAAUAAUAUUUUCAACUAAGUUAAAAUAUUAUAUGUACAUUAGAUUAUUUUACAGAUCUCAUGUAUCCACUACAAGAAAUCUGACAUAUAAUGAUGCUUAAAAAAGCAUUGGUAAAACCUUAAAAUCCAUUAGUAUAGCACCACAAACCCUAUAUUGAUAGUCAAAAUGUAUUUUCAGAUGAUUUUUUAAUCGUCAGUAUAUCAUUUAUCUGUAUAGACCUAUAUUGACUAUUUUUCAGAUAUCAAAAUAGCUUACAGAAAUAUACCUAUGGUUUAAGACCAUCAGUAAAUGUAUAUUUGUUAGUAUAGCAUCUAUUGUGUGUUAAACCAUUAUAUUUUUUACCGACGGUUAAUACCCGUAAGUAUAGACUUGUAUGUUUUAAUUUUUCUUGCCUAUAUUAACAGUUAAUGCUCAUCAAUACAAACUGUCAAUAUAACCUGAAAUAUUUCAAUAGUAAAACGCGUCGGUAUAAAUUUUAAGGCAUCGAUAAAACUUUUUUUAAUUAUAUUUUUAAUUAUUAAUAUUGAUUUAUUUAUAAUCAUAAUAUGAUAUGAUUUCAUAUAAAGUAAAAAUAAACCAAAAAAGUAAAAAUAUUUAAUAACAUUUGAAAUAAAACAAUAACCAAAUUGUUUUAUAAUUCAUAAAUUUAAAAUAAGUCAAGAACCAAUAUCAUUGUACCAAAUCCAAUAAAAAAAAACAUUAAUAUAUAUGAUUGAAUGUCUACAAACAUAAUGCUCGAAGUUUGCAUCAAAGAAUCAUCUUGGUGCUAUUACUAAUAAUUGAAUAUCGAAUCCUCUAUAUAUAUUAUGAACAAUGUUUUGAAGAUUGUUCACAUCAUAUACAUAUUGAUCUGCUGCAACUCUUGUUCCAAUGCCUAAGCCACACAAUUCAUUUCUUGAUCAGCUAGAUUGUUAAUUAAAAAAUUCCUAUAAAAGCAAAGUAGGCAUUAAAAUUUCAGAAAGAAAGAUUUUUUUUCUAUGAUGUUUUUAUCUGAGAAGCCUAAGGAUAAGUUGCUUGCUAGAUUAAGAAAAGAAGCUCUUCCCUAGCUACAUGUUUCAAAGUCACAUUUAUUAAGAUGCCACUAAUCCACAGUAAAACAGAUGAAGUUUUCAUCUAUUUUUCCUAUUAAAGUUGUUUCAUUAACAAAAACAAUGUCGUUAAUAAUAUUUUCAAGCCCUCUUUUACUUUUUGAAGUAAGAAAAACUGAGUCUGAAUUCAUCUAAUAUAGCCAAAAAUAUAUAUAAAAAAAAAGCAUGAUCGAUGACAUAAAAUUGAAAUGUAGAAAAUGAAAAAUACCUUUGAGAAAUGACAAAAGCCUUGAUGCUUCAACUUUAAUUCAACUCUAAAACAAAAUUGGUGUCGAUGAGUUUAAGUUUGUAAAGUUGGUGAGAGGUGGAGAGAGUUGGUGGAAGGUGAAGAUUAAAUAUGUAGACUUGAUGGGAGGUAAAGGUAAAGAAAAUGAUUUAAAUUUAUAAGCUCAUCGUUUUUUUUUUUUUUUGAAUUAUUCAAAGCAUUUCUGGUCAAAAACACCUUAAAUAAUCUGUUAACAAAAACAUUGGAGUAACUCAGUCGGUUAAAGCAUACGGUUAUUAACUAUAAGGUCGUAGGUGCAAUCCCUCCCUCUAAUGUUUUGAUGGUUUUUUGACCUUAUGGUUAAUAACCGUAUGCUUUAACCGACUAAGCUACUCUAAUGUUUUUGUUAACAGAUUAUUCAAGGCGUUAGGUGUUUUUGAUCAAAAAUGCUUUGAAUAAUCUUAUUCAAUUUUUUAUAAUAGAUUAUUCAAGCUAAAAAUACCUUCAAUAAUCCUUUGAAAAACUCUUAAAACAUUAGAGGAAAUGAUUGAACCUACGACCUUAUGGUUAAUAGCCAAAUAUUCUAACUGACUGAGCUGCUCCAAUGUUUUUGUUAACAAAUUAUUCAAGGCAUUUUUUGUCAAAAACGCCUUGAAUAAUUUUCUUAUAAAAAUUGAAGGGGAUUAUUCAAGGUGUUUUUGACUAAAAAUACCUUAAAUAAUCCUAUUCAAUUUUUUGUAAGGGAUUAUUCAUGAUGUUUCUAGCCAAAAACGCUUGCAAUAAUCUCUUAGAAAACCCUCGAAAUACUAUAAAGAGGGAUUGAACCUAUAACCUUAUGAUUAAUAUCCGUAUACUCUAACCAACUAAACUGCUCUAGUGUUUUUAUUAAUGAAUUAUUCAAGGCGCAUAUUCAAUUUUUUUCUAAAAGAUUAUUCAAGGCGUUUCUAGCCAAAAACGCUUUCAAUAAUUCUUUGUAAAAUUUUUUAUAUGGAUUAUUGAAGAUAUUUUUUUUACCAAAAACGCCUUCAAUAAUCCCUCUCCAAAAUUUUUUGAAUGGGUUAUUAAAUGCAUUUUUUGUCAAAAAUGCCUUUAAUAAUCCCAUUCAAUUUUUUGUAAGCUAAUAAUUUUUUUAGCCUAUACUGAUGGUUACUUUAAUAACCAUCGGUAUAUAAUAUAUUUAUAUUGAUGGAUAAUCAUAUACCAUAAAAAAAUUUUUAUUUAUACUGAUGAUUAAAUAAAAUGUUGGUAUAAAUAUGAUAUAUUUUGACGGUAUUAAAAAUCCAUCAGUAAAAGUCUCUUUUACUGAUGGAAUUUAAUCGUUAGUAAAUAAUCUAUACAAAAAAAAUUUUGAAUGGAUUAUUGAAGUCAUUUUUGACCAAAAACGCCUUUAAUAAUCCCUCUCUAAAAUUUUUUGAAUGGAUUAUUGAAAGUAUUUUUGACAAAAAACGUCUUCAAUAGUCCCAUUCAAUUUUUUGUAAGCUAAUAGUUUUUUUGUUUUGAACUUAUACUGACAAUUACGUUAAUAACCGUUAGUAUAUAAUAUAUUUAUACUGACGGAUAUUCAUACACCAUUAGAAAAAAUUUAUUUAUACCAAUGGUUAAACAAAGUGAUGGUAUAAAUAUGGUAUUCUAACGGUAUUAAAAAUUCAUCCAUAAAAAUCUCUUUUACUGAUAAAAUUUGACCGUCAAUAAAAUCAAGCGUCAAUAUAUAAAAAUUUUUUUGUAAUAACAGUGAGAGCUUUAUGUAUCAGUAUACUUUUUUAUAAUAUAUUUGAAAAUAUGACAUAUUUCACAUUUUAAUCAUAUGUUCUUAUUAAUAGUCAAUUUGUAUCGAAUAAAAAAGAUUAUAAUCACAUAUAUAAUACAACAUAAAUACAAGAGUUUUUAACCUUUUCUCUUCUUUUAGAUUUUUAUUAAAAUGUUGGUCAAUAUUAGUAAAUUAAAAUUUUAAAAUUUUCAGUGGAUCAAUUCACCCCAUAUUUUAUAUGUGGCUAUGCCACUGGAUGCAUGGUUUCUAUUGGAUAAGAAAGCCUAGUGAAUUUCAUAAAGUCAGUGGAGAAACUAUAUGGUUGUUAUAAUCCUACAUAAAUAUAUAUAUAUAUAUAUAUAUAUAUAUAUACUAUAUGGUAUAAACCCUCAAGAAUAUGCUCAACUAUAAUUCAUUAAAAAUAAAACUAAUCAUAAAUCUCAGAAUUUAAUUCAAUUAAUUAGUUCAUGCAAUUAUUUUUAAAAGUAGCAUUUAGCAUUUAGCAUAUUUGAUUUUUGAAUCUCAAAACUUAUAAUCCCUUUUUCUAUUUCCAAACUCUAAUCUCCUUUAUAAAAACUUAAAAAAAAAAAAAAAAAAAACCCUUAUCAUAAGGCUCAAAAUGGAAAUUCAAAUCCCUAACUUUCCCUUUAUAUAAAUUCCAUGUUCCAACUACCUACAAGAAGAAUUACCUAUCUGAACCUCACAACUCACCCAGCCAAACCAUGUCCAUUUUCAUAUCCACUCAACUUCUUCAAGGUUUGCUUGGAGAAUUCCACUCUAGAAGGUUGCUGCUGCAUACCCCAUCUUUUCCAACCCUAACUACAGCAGCUCCUGCAAACCCUGAAAACAACCUCAAUUCUUCAGAUCCUUACACUGGUAAUAACGGCUUCGAUACAAACAUUGAUUAUGGUUCUGUCCGGUCCUCUUGUGUGCCCUUAAUUUGCUCACUAGGACUGAAUUUCAUUAUUAGGUGUUGGCUUAAGGUGCUCAAGUCUUGGUAGCGCUCAAGAAUUCCGUGGCCAGCGGCUCAGCUCGGGUAGCAACACAAGGGGUCAAGCGAAAAAGCCUUAAAGACCUUUCCAACAGUAAACUACUCUGUUGACUUGAAGCUGCCUGGCUUAGACUCCGAGUGUGUAAUAUGUCUAUCAGAUUUCACACCGGGUGACCGCGUGCGGCUUCUACCAAAGUGCAACCAUGGAUUCCAUGUUCGUUGCAUCGAUAAGUGGCUGAGCUGCCACUCGUCUUGCCCUAAAUGCAGGCACUGCCUCAUCGAGACAUGCCAAAAGAUUGUUGGCGGCGGUAGGCAGGCUAGGUCAUCAGAACCUCCACCAGUGCAGGAAACCAUUGUGACCAUAGCACCGGUAGAUCCUGAAGGUUUGAUACAUAGCUAUAGGUAGUCAAAGCUAGAAUUCAGCUCUGUACCUUGAAAAUUAGCAUCAGAAAGGUCAGCAGCCAGAACACCAUACAAAACCAAGUGUAAAGUUAAAGUUGUAAAUUUGUGCACGGUUUGAAAUUUUUUACUACUUGUUUUUAUCUUUUUUCCCUACCCUUCUUAUGAAAAACACUUCACAACUUAAAACAGAACAUAAUGAAAAUUUUCAGACAAAAGGGCGAGCAGCAUAGUUUAGAUUAAUUUCUUUUAAAAUAGUAAUUAGUAGCAUGAACAAAGGACGAAGCAAGUCAAAGAUUUGUGGUAGCUGACUAUACCUUACCGAAAAUGAAAAUCACUUAAACCAGCAAGUCCUGAAGAGGCACAACCAAUCUGCUUAAUUAAACAAAAUUCUUAAUUUUUUAAUAUGAAAAUUAAAGAAAUGGCCUCAUUUUAAUAAGAAUGGUUUUCAAACCAGGUUCAAAUAUAUUAGUAGUAGUAAAUCAUAAAGUGCAGGACCAUCACAUAGCAUUCUCAUAGGAAAAUAUGAAUGAAAAUUCAUUCAUAUAAUUAUUUUAAGUAGUGACAUUUAUCAGAAUUUAUUAUAAUCUUGAAUAUAAAAAAACUCAUGAACAUUUAUUUUCUGUGAGUUGUAUUAAUUAAAGAGAAUAUCAAAGUGUCUGAUGGUUUGGACUACUCGCAAAAAAUAAAUGUUCAUAAAUGUAUUAAUUUCUUUUGUUUACGUUUGCCGACUUAUGACAAUCAAGCACGUCAACCUAGAAUAUAAUAGUACCAAAGAAAAUUAUUGAGAUAACGCCAUCUCAAUCAAAUCCCACAAAAUUCGAUUCUAAACAUAGAAAGGAAAUUUGACUUAUUUCAAAUACCAUGCAGAGAGGAUGAACACUUUCCCAUGGAAACCCAUAUGUAACCUACCUUGACAAGAAAGAAACCAUAUUUAAAACACAAUAUCUUGAACCAAUGAUGGAGCAGAAAAUCAAUGGAAGCUGAAGGUGAAUCCACUAAUAUACUUUCAAAUCAGAAUAAUUUUUACCAAAAGGUGGAAUUUGUUUCUUAGUACUCACAUGAACCAUUUCGUAGAGGGAGCUGACUAAUAACCACACUAUCCCGGCCACCAGAAUUUGAUUUGUCGAGGCUUAUUGGCACGAAUUAUAGUUGAGAAGGUGGGCAAUUGAUGGCAAAGUAGAGCAUUAGCAUUGAAGGCUCUUACGACUGCAAUGCUGUGAGUGAUAAAUCGAUAUUUCCAGAUUCCAAUACCUCUAGAACUGGGCUCAAUAAAGAAAUCUCCAGCUUAAGAGGAGAUCCUAAUAAAUUAGGGAAACAAAUUGUUGCUAAUCACACAGUGGACCCUGGCUACCAAGAAAUUUGGUGCGUCAUGACAACCAAAGCUCAUAGCAAUCCGGGGUGGAGCUAUACGGGGCUUGGUGGCCUAAAACAAUUUUGAAAUUGUGUGUGUUUUAGAUAAAUUUUAAAAAGUCAUCAUUUUUCUAAUUUAUUUAUUGUUGAGACUAGCUUUGAUUCUAUCAAUUAUCAUUAUUACAAUAAAAAAAUAUAUAAAUUUUGAAGGAUAAACAUUUUGAAAUUUUGUAUACUUACUAAUUUAUUUGUUGUUGAAAUUCUGUGCUUUACAUAAAAUUUAAAAAGUUUUAAAAGUUUUCAUUUUUCUAAUUUAUUUGUUGUUGAAACAAGCUUUGAUUCUAUCAGUUAUCAUUAUUACAGUAAAAAAGUAUAAAUUUUCAAUGAUAAACAUUUUGAAAAUUUGUUUACUUACUAAUUUAUUUGUUGUUGAUAUUGGCAUUGGUUCUACCAGAUAUCAUUUUCAAUGAUAUACAUUUUGAAACUUGUUUACAUUCUAAUUCAUUUGUGGUUGAAAUUAGCAUAGGUUCCAUCUUAGAAAGCAUUUUCAACAAUAAAUAUAUUGAAGAUUCGUUUCUGUAACCGAAUGAAAAAUCACUAAUCGAAUGAUAACUUAGUUGUGUAUAUUAUUGGUAAUAAAGUUAUUAUUUAAUGUUUUUAAAAUAUUAAAUUGCCUAAAGAAUAAUAAUAAAUUUAAAAAAAAAGUUUAAUGUUUAUUAUUGUUAUUGUAUAAUUUAAUUUAUUUAAACUAAAUCUCACAAAAUCAAACUUUUAGCUCCCACUUCAUCAGAAAAAAAAAAAAAAAAAGGGACAGUUGUAUGUACUAAUUAUCAUGUUGAACAUCAUCCCAACUGAAAAAGAAAUAUUCGGUAUCAAACUGAUUGAAAGAAAAAAAAAGCAAGACGAUAUCCACGUAUCCGCACGGCACCAUGCCCUGUCGGACAACCAUUAGACAGGCACAUUGCAUUUCUCAGAUUUAUCCAAAUUUUGAAAGAUGGGUUAUUUGGACUCUUUCCAGGACUGCUCUGAUGCAUAUUGGACAGCCCAUGAACACUAGAGUGACACGUCUACUUGUUCCCUUCUUCAUUUCUAACAGUUCUAACAGAAAGAAUAAGAUUACGUAAAAAAUUAUUUUUAAAAAUAAUUUUUGAAAAUUAUUUAUAAUUUUUUAUUUGAAAUUUUUUUUAAAUUUGGAUGGGUUAAUAAAAAAUAUUUUUUGUUGUUUGAUUUUUUGAAAAAAUUUUAAUUUUUUUCAAAUAAUAUUAAUAUAACUAUUAAAAUAUUAAAAAUUAUUUAUUAUUAAAAUAUAUUGAAAUUAUUUAUUAUUAAAAUUAUUAAUAUUAAAAAAUAAUUAUAUUUUAAUAAUAAUAUUUAGUCUUAAAAUAUUAUGUUAAUAUAAAAAAUACUUAAAAUAAAGUUAUUUAUUAUUCUUUAUAUUAUUUAUUAAUAUAUUAUAAUAUUAUUUAUUAAUAUAAUAUUAUAAUAUUUAUUAAAUUAAUUAAUAAUAUUUAUUAUAUUAUUUAUUAAUAUAUGAUUUUAUUAAUAUAAUAUAUAAUUUUAUAAAUAUAAUAUUAUUUAUUUAUAUAAUAUUAUUUAUAAGUAAUAUUAUGCUCAAAAGUAUUAGUAAAUAAUUUACUUAUAAACAAUUCUUUUCGCAAAGUAAAAAGUCAAAUUAUACUAAAAAAUCGGAGUUUGAGUAAUGAAGCGGGUAUGGAUGAAAGAAGAGUAAAGGAUGAUUCGACUUUGAAGUUAAACGACAGUGUUUCGGGUGAAAUAAGCAUAUAUUUUUUAUUUUUUUUAGCAUUUUCUGGUAAUUUUAAGAGAGGAUUGCAGGGGAAGGGUAAAGGGAGGAAGUGAAGGAAGUAGAGGGUGAGAAGAAGGAGAAGGAGAAGAAGAAGAAGCAGAGGAAGAAAGGGAGAAACAAUUUUUUUUCUUUUUCUUGUGAGGAAAAAGAAAGUAUACAAGGAAAGAGAGAUUUUGAUGAGAUUUUCUUGGGAUUGUUCGGAAAGAUAUAAAAAAGGAGGGGGGGGGGGGGGUGUUUGGAACUUAUUAGAUUGACCUUUUUGGAAAAACCAUGAUGUCAUGAGAAAAGAGGGUGACCCAUAUGUCCAUUUCGGGUACUAUUUGGAUGGCAAAAAAAUAAGAAGGUUUUGAUCAAAAUAAAUAUCAUGAAAAGUAAAUGAAUUUAUUUGUUUAAAUUCGUAUUAUAAAUAAAAGGAGGAAAAACUCAAGUGUUGAUGUAUUUAGUUCAUUCAUUCAGCAUUUUUGCUUUUAAUUUGAGUAAUUUUUUUAUUUAUCUUUUUGUUUUUAAAUUUGAAAAAAAAUUCUUGUUAAAUAAAUGAUUUUUUCUCCUGCAACGAAAUGUAGAUAAUACUUUUAAGUAACGUUUGCUAUAUUUUAUAAAAUCAGUAUAAUAAUAUAAUUACUAGUUUUAUUACCAAAAUAAUUUUAUCAUUUAUGAUUUGAUAUCAUUUUAUUUGAUUAAUAAUGAUUAAUUCUUAAAAAUUAAAGAUCAUAUUUGAUAUUAUUAAAAAUUAAAUACUAUUUUAUUUAAAAGUAUAAAAAUAACUAUACAUAUUGUAAUAAUUACAUAAAUUAAUAAUUUUUUGUUGUUUAAAGAUAAUAAUUUGUAAGAUAUUAGUAAUAUUUAUUUAUUUUAUAAUAAAAUAUAAUUAAAUUAAUAAAUUAAUAAAUAUAUUUAUUGAUAGGUAAAUUUACUUUUAUAAUAUAAAUUAUGAAAAAAAAUAUUUAAAAUAGAAAACGAAACUAAUCUAUUAAAUUCAUAAUAAAAAAGAAAAUAUUAUAUUAUAUAAAUAUUAAAAAGUGAAAAAUAUAUAUACAAAUCAUUUUGAACUUGUUAUAAUAAAUAUUAAUUUAAAAUUUUUAAAUUUUAUAAUAUAAAAUAAUUACAAUUUUAAGAUAUAACAAGAUUUUUAUUUAUAUAUUAAAUUAGUAUAAUUGAUUAUUGUUAAUUUUAUACAUCAUUUCAUUUUAAUGAUAAAAAUUUUUUAUCUUCUUGAUUGAAAAGUAAAUCACCCUCUAAAUUAAUGAUCUAAUCACUUUUUAUGAUCUAAAAUUACCAUCAUUAUAUAAAAUUAUCAAGUAAUUAUUAAAAAUUUAAUAAUCUAAUUAUUAUAUGUGAAUUAUCAUAAUUUUUAAAAUAAUCAUCUUAUACCAAACUCUGUCUUAAUAUUUGUUUAAACAAAACCCAUCUACUUAAAUUUAAAAUGACAACAAACAAAGCUUUUGGUUUUACAAUGAUUGCCUUUGUACUUAUCCUUUUUAUUUAUCUAUCUAUUUAUAUAUUCAUUUUUUAGUGGACCAUUUUAGAGACAUCAACGAGACGGAUAAAGCAUUCCUCAUAUCCAUCAUCGAUUAUAUAAUUUUUUUCUCAUGUCCAAAUUUUUAAUAUACCCUCGUUCCAUUCCCAUCAAUGUGUACGGGGAUCUAACGAAUAUGAGAAAUCCUUGUACUCAUGUUCUUUUAAAAAAAAAAAAAAAAAAACCUAUUAAACCAAAUACAAUACAUGCAUUAAUACAAAUACAAAUCUAAAUAACAAAAAAUCACUUAAAAGCUAAUUAAUCUAAAAUAAAAUUAUAUUAUUAAAUAAAAAAUUAUUUACUAUAUAAAUAUAUUAGAUAAAAAAUGUGAAAUUAUCCGUCUCUAUUCUCUUAUCUAAUAGUUAUUUUAAAAUCAUAUUUAUCUCCAAAAUUUAAUAUUCAUAUUUAUCUUUAUUUGAAUAAAAAAAAUUAAAUUCUCUACCUUUGAAAGUUUGAUCUUGCCAUUGGAUUGGGUGAUAAUAUGAUGUUGUUGAUUUGUUGUAGAUAGAUAAUAUGACCCUGCUUAAUGGUUUGAAUUUAUAUGAAUGGUUUUUUUUUAUAGAUAGAUUCUGAGCAUAAUUUGCCAAGUUUAACUUAAUCUAAUGUUUCAUUUCCAUAGUUUCUAUAAGUUUUUUUCAAAAGUGAAUAAUGACACUUUUUUGGUUUUCCACAAAAAUAAUAUACUUUAUUUUUAUAAAAAUCUAAUACUACUAUGUAAUUUGCUCUAGCCCUUAAUCUAAUUGCUCAAUCAUUUUAAAAUCUGGUUUGCACGCUGAAAGCCUGGAGAGCGAAGGCCCAUGUGUAACAAAAAGGCCUUUUCUUAAACCCUUCGAAAACCAAGGCCCCUGCCGCUGCCCUCCAUUUUUGUUUGAGAAGGGGGCGAAUGGCGGGGCCGGCUUUGGGUGAGAGAUGAAAGAGAAAUUGAUCACUACACUGCAGGCGGCCUGAAACAUGUAGAUGAAAAGAGAAAAAAAAAAUUCUGAGAGGACUCUGAUGUCCGAGUUUCUCAAUUGAUUAUAGUUUUCAAUCUGAAUUUCGAAGCCUGGUCGUGUUUCUUCUUCGCUUUCUCUCCAUCAGCAUGGCCUUCCCUUAAUUCCUCCUCCCUGUGCCUUGUGAUGUUUGCUUUCUUCACAGCUAUAAAACUUCGUUAAUUAUAAUGAAAUAUUUAAUAUAAUAUUUAAAUUUUAAAAAAUUUUAAUAAAUUUUAAUAAAUAUCUAAAUUAAAAAUAUAUCAAUUAAUAUAAUAUUUAAAAAAUUAUUUUUUGUCAUCAUUUAAAAUUAAUGUCACUCUGUAUUACAUUAGUUACAUAUUUAUAAUUUAUGUAUUACAUUUAUAAAAUUUAAAUAUUAUAUUAAAUAUUUUUUAUAGUUUAAAGUCGUGACAUUAAAUUUUAAAAAAAAAAAAUCUUUGCCUGACUUUACUUGUCAAGCAAACCCUUAAUAGCUGACUCGUAAUAUUAAUAAAUGUUUCCUUUCGUGUCAGUAGAUAUUAUAAGAUAUAUCUUACAAAAGUGAAUAAGUAUGUUUUAUCUACAGAGCUGUAGUAGGCCCCCACCAAGCUCAAUGUCUUGAUCCACUUUACCUAUAAUGGACUUCCAUCAGGUUGUUUCCAUACUUUUGCUAAAUGCAUACGAGGACGUAAGUGACUUCUGGGAGGUUAUGAUUUUCCACUCUGAUCUUUUUUUGUCAGUAAGUGUUUCUGUUUUAGCAAAAAUAUUAAUUAAUUAUACAAAGGAAUGAAAACAUGUUAGAUUGCUCAUUAACAUGACUGACAAGCUUACUAUUCUUCCUUCCUAAUUGUAUCAUGCCAUAGAGGCAUUGACACAUCUAAAACAGAAUCAAGCAACCUCUAUCAAACCCUGCUUCAGCAUCUUUUAUCGAUUAAGUGAUGUUAGCUGGUGUUUUUAACCCAAUUUUCAGAAACACAUGGUUACAAGCACUUUGGUGACAAUGGAGGGCCAAGCUGUGCCCGGUCUGCUACCAAAUCAAGCCUCCGAACUCAUUGGAUUGGAGUUCUGGAUGUUAUACUUUACAUAGCAGCGGGUGUAAUCAACCUAAAGAAAAUUGUCUCAGAGUUUAAUAAUAGCAGGUAUGAACUCUCAGCAUGCAUUUGUUGUACAGUUUUUGGUAAUUAAUUUAAAUCAUAUUCAUUGUUUCAAUUAUGAUAAUUUUGCUAUAUUAUUUGGUUCCGUGCCUCUUUUGUUAUUAGCCUUUCCAUCACAUAGGAAAAGGAAUUCACUGGAUAUGCAACUGGUCAUGGAGUACUAUUCACGUAUACAAUGAGGAUGCAUUGUCAAUAAAGCAUUCUCUCCUGCAUCUCUAACAGCUAAUUUGGCUAGAUAUAUGAGUAAAACUGUCAGUUGCUCUGUUAAAAUUAACCAAAAAACUGGCACUGAAAGUUUAAGAGGUCAAUAAUCUUCAAAAUAACCCCAUGGUGAUGGUUUCUUUCAACUGGAAACUGAACCUACCAACAGCCACCAAUGAAUUUUCUCAACAAUUAUCCUGUUAUUGUACAAUCUGAUUUCAGUUGCUACAUUCCUUUCAGUAUGGUGUGAGCUUGUGUCUGUAAAGUGUUGUGCACUGCUCUUCAUUCCACCAAGAAAGUAUUUGCAUCUGAUGUCACUGUUUGGAAACUGGGUGCUGUACUUUCCACCACUCCAUCACAAUUGACUUUACAAAAUCCCUCCAUUAUAAAAUUGCCAAAGAACCCUACCUUCACUCACAUUGCCUUCCAACCUCCAUAUUGCUUCCACAGAUUCACUCAUAAGUCAUACCGCCACCAACAAACUCUACCAACCUCAAUUGUAUUUUAUACUUACUUUCAUGCUGAGCCAUACUGCCAUAUUCCCUGAUGUCAUAGUCAGACCCCCACUUGGAGUAACUUAGCUUCUUCUAAUGAAAAGGUAGACGGAAAAGUCACGCCUUAGCCUCUCCUCUCGCCUCAACUGCAGUCAUACAAAAUGGUAAAAGUACUCCCAUUCCUUUCUAGCAAAACAGCAUGAUGCCACCCAUGGGAGGGAAUUAUUCAAGAUAGCUAAUUGGCCAAACAACAGAUCUCUUCUGGCUUCGGGGGUUCCACAUGAACUUUGGACUAUAAGGAAAGCUAUUCAAAUCGGGCAGAACUAUGACCAUCUGGAUUAACAAAUUGUUUAUACGCUAAAAGUCUACUGUUGAUCAGAUUAUGAGAUCUCUCCAGCUUGAGCUUUCAGCUACCUACUAAUUCGUAAGGCUGUAUGUAACAUCAUAUAGUUUGGGUUCUCUAUUGCUUUUGCACCAAGGUAAAAGGAGUGAGAAAAAUAUUAUUUUAAUUGCAAUUCUAUUGGUGUCUCUUGUAUGUUCGUCGUCACAAUGUAUUGUAUAUCUGCAUCCAAAUGCCUAGGGCAGUAAGAGACCUUGAUAUUUGAUUUUAAAAGGGUCGAUUAAAAUUAUAUAUAUUUUAUUUAUUAUAUUACUUAAAAUUGAAAGUAAGUGUUAGAUAUGAAUAUAUAUCCAAUACGGAUAUAUUCAUUUUUUAAAAUUUUUUUUAUAUAUUUAAACUAUCCUACUUACAUACUGACAUUUAAAAUAAAAAACGUAACGUUUAUUAAAAUUUUAUUUUCAAAAUUUUGAAAUUUUAACAAAGAUUGUAAACAUUGUAAAAUGUUGCCACUCAUAAAAAAUUAAAAUAAAACGUUAAAUAUUUUUACUAAAUAUUAUUACAUAUAAAAUUUAAAAUAUAUUUACUUAAUAUUAUUACCUAUAAAAUUUAUUUUGAGGCUCCACCCACUACAACAAAAUGACGUAUUAGCAGCAGUUUUGUAGCGACCUUUCACUUACAAACGCCGUUAGCUUCCAUAUUUUUAGAAAAUUUCAGGCGUUUAUUAUCCAAACGCCACUAAAUAUUCAAAAAACAGCGCUGUUACUUAUAAACGUCACCCAAGACUUGAUAUUAUAGGCACUUCUCGAUUAAAACACCUUGAAUAUCUUUUAUUAAAAGUUUCGAUGAAUAGUUAAAGUGUAUUUUUGGCAGACAACGCCUUCAAUAAUCACGUCAUAAAAAAUUGUAUGAGAUUAAUGAAGACGUUGUCUAUAAGAAACGCCUUUAAUAUUCAAAAAUUUUUUUAGGCUUAUUAAAUUUAUUUUCUUCAAAAACUCAUCCAAUAUUAAGCUUAUCAAAUUGUUUGGAUCAUACGGAUGUUUACCAUAAAAUUGUUGGUUCGAUCUAUCCUUUAGCCUUUUUUUGGGUUUAGGCAUAGAUUAUUUGUUAGUGAUUAUUCUAGGCGUUUUUUUGGCAUAAAUGUCUUCACCAAUUGCUUUAAAAAAUUUAUCAUAGAAUAUUGAAGGCGUUUUUCGUGGAGAGACGCCCUUAAUAAUUGAUAGAAAAAAUAUGGGGUUGAUUAUUGAAGACGUUUUUUACCAAACUCGCCUUCUAUAAUCCAAUCAGUAAAUUUUUUUUUUGGAUUUUUAAAGGCGGUUUUGUAAUAAACGCCUUUAAUAUUCCAUAGACAAAACUUGAAUAGGAUGGUUGAAGGUGUUUUUGGCUCAAAACGCCUUAAAUAUUCCUAGGGAUAAUUUUUAAUGGUCAGAUUAUUGAAGGCAACUAUAUCCAAAAACACCUUCAUAAACAUUUUGUUUAGAUUAUUGAAGGCGUUACCCGUAGAAAAACGCCUUUCAUAAUUCAUUCGAUUAAUUUUUAGUUGGUAUUAUUGAAUACGUUUUUUAUCCAAAAUGCCUUCAAUAUUCCAGACAAUAAUUUUCUGGGGGAAAUAUUGAAGACGAUUUUGGUAAAAAAUACCUUUAAUGUUUUUUUGCAGGGGUGAAUGAAGGCGUUUUCUUACUAAAAAUGCUUUCAUUAAUCGCAUCAUAAAAGCAUAAUUGAUACUUUAUAUAUGAAGUCAAUUAUAAAUUUAUACCCAGAAAAAUGUUUGCUGUCAGUUGUAUAUUUAUGCUCAAAAAAUAUUUAGUUUAUAUAUCUGAUACUAAGAAUUAUAUUUUGAAAUUUGCAUAAUGAACAUUAUUGUAUUUCAAAAAAUUUACCACACAUUUGAAAUUAAAACUGAUAACGUUACCAUAUUAAUAUACUUUUCUGAAAUAAUCGUACUCAGUAAUUUAAUAAGUACACAUAGUGUUUUCAUAUUAAGUAUAACAAUAAUAUUAAACCAAUACCCCCAAUGUACAAACUUAAAGUUUCCAUUCAAUAUUGCAUGUUAAAAAUAUUAUAACAAUUUGUUCCAUAUAUAUUUAUAAUCAACCAACAAUGUCUAACCUGAAAGUUUAUCAACAUUGACAAAUGACAAUACAUAAUCACACCAUUCUUUACGGACUUCAUCCAGCUCCUCUUCCAUGAAGCUUUCUUUACUCUCCGACUAAAAAAAAUCAUAAGUAAAUGUUAAGAAAUUAGAACAUAAUGUACCAUUUUAUUUUUUUGAAUAUAUAAUGAGUUUAUGAAAUUUAUACUAACCUUGAAUGGUGUGAUCAUAAAAUCAUGUAACACUAUCUCUCGCAUAAAACGAAAGACAUAAUAUCCACAUUCAGUAUUAUCGGGUUGACGAGGUACCUGAAAAUUAAAUUGAAUCGAUUUAGAAAAUAGUUAUCUACACAAACUCAGCAUUAAAAGAAUAAAUUUGAUAUUUACCAAUAAUUACACCAUUUUCGGUUUCUUUAUCUUCUUAUUGAAUACAGAUAUUACCCUAAAUUGAUAAGAAAAAAAAUUAGUGGGAACAUAAAUAAAAUUUCUUAUGAAGAAAUAGAACAUAUAUAAUAUAAUAAAGUACUGUAAUACCUUUUUAUAAAAGUUUCAAUAUCGGGGUUAGGCAUCGUCAUUGGAUUAACUGAAUUAAGAAAGUAUGACGUUAAGGAUUUGGUGUCAAUCACAAUAAGCACCCAAUAAUAACUGCAAAAUAAUAACAAUGAUAUACUCAGAAUAAGCAUCAGAUCAUAGAAUGAAGUACGUUGGAGUAAUUAAGGUUGGAAUAUAGCUUAUUGCACAUUAUACGGGAGCAAAUAAUAAUCAGCCAAUCUUUUCAUGCAUUGGAUCACAUGAUUAGCACGAUACACGACUGUGCCACUCUGCUCACUAAUAAAGUUGAGGUCAAUGAAUCUAAAUAUGUUCGUCAACUGUCUCCCCUUUAGCUUUCUAUAUAGGAAGCUACAUGAUAACAAUCAACACUGUUGGUUAGUAUUACACCUUAAUACUAACUUACUACAUAUUGAAUAUGCAUAUUUGUAUUUAUAAGCUAGCCUCUUAAGUAAUGAUUUCAGCAGCUGAUAAUUCAUCAAUUUCACAAAAUUUUUUCACCUCAUCCACACCAAUGAAAGAAAAUGAUUGUUUAUCAAAUAAGUCUUCCUUAGACUCAAUGGAUAUGAAGUUUCCACCGGUACAAUUCUCUAACAAAUAUUUUGUUAAGUCAUCUAUGCAAGCCUGGACAAGGGUCAGAUGUUGAGUAUGAACAUCCUCCUACAAUAUUUAAUGAAAUAUAAGUAUUAAAACCAAAUCAAUCAAUACAAUAAAUAAAUUAAUAUUCAAAUUAUAAACAAUAUCAUACUUCUUGGGUGGUAGCGAAUGAUGGGAUGGCUUUUUUAUUUGCAACGACAGCUUCUCGCACGGGGACGAUGUUAUCAGGCUGGGGUACUGGCAUUACCUGCUGCAUUGCUGCCAACAUGGACUCCAAAGCAGCGAGUCUUUGCUGUUGGUCAUUGAGGUGUUACUCUUGGUCAUUAAUUUAUUAUUGUUGCUGCGAAAUUAUUACUUCAUAUUGUGCAUUUCUCAUUCAUGGGGUUUUUGGUAGUUUACCAAAAUACGUCGAUGGCAAGACAAAUUUACCAACCCUACGAAUUUGAUCAGGACUUUUUUUAGCGCCUAAUGCUAAAGACAAAAGAUCUUCACCAUACUAGGUUGUCAGUUCACUAGAUUUUACUUUGGAAGCAUAAUUAUCCUAAAAGACAAUAAUAAGUUAGGCUAUUAGAAUAAAUCUACACAAGCUAGUAUACACUCAUGCAUACAACCACAAUGCCAAUCAUACAUUAUAUCAAAAAAAUAGUUACACAUAAAAUCGUUUUUGCCAAUUCCUCGGUUGCUUCAUCUGUGAAUGAUCCAUCCUUCCAUAGAUGUCUUUGUUUCCAAAUAUCCAAUCUAAAAACUUUUGUGUUUGAGCUCACUGAUUCCCAUUAAAUUAUCGCAAUGAAAAAAUCAGAAUGAAUGAAAUGAAUGUUCAUGAAUAUUCAUUAAUGAGUAUAAAAUAAGUGUACGAAGACAUACAAGCUCAUACUUCACAAUUGCAUAUUAUUUUCUUACGUCCGAUGGUGAUAUUGUUGUUUGGCCCAAAUGUCUCGAUGUUGUUCUUUGAUUUUCUACAAAAUUAAGAAAUUAUGUCAAUCACAUAUGAAGAUCAAAGGCUAUAUUGCUUCAAAACUUAUAAACUUGGACUAAUUUGGUAAUGGAUUUGCAUACCGAGAAAUCUUCUGAAAGUCAAUAUUGAAUAAAAUUUAUCAAAUCUUUCACACUUAUGACAUCUAUAUAUGACAUAGGUGGAAUAGCCAAAACAUCACAUUCACCAACCCUCGAUAAAAUAUAUUGGGUUGUUAAUCUGCUUUUAAAGUCUCUUAAAGUUUUUUCAACAGAUUGCAAUACAAUCUUUUUACACUCAAUUGAGACGUCAAACUAUUCCUAAAUAACUUAACACAAAUAGUAUCAACAUAUUGAAUUUCAUUUAAAUGACCAUAUAACAAAUUUUAUGAAAUAGUUGAAUAAACAUAUCACAACAGACUGUCAUAUCUCAUCCUUUAGAUCAUCAGGAACUCAUCGUCAAUUGGUGUAUGUAAUUGAAAUCUUUCAACGGACGAUGGCUCUAAUAUGAGUAGCCAUCUUGCCAGCUCCUUCCGACACAAGUUACCCAUUUUGAUUGAAGUCAACAUGAAUUUUUGUGUCAGUCACUUUGAUUUGUUUAUUUAAGCCCCUUUUCUUUCUUUUUUGGCCUGUAUUUCUUUCUUCUGCAUGUUCAUUAGAAGGAGAAUGAUGUUGUUCGGAGUCCAUAUUACUUGCAAUAUUGAUCAUAAUUAUACAAAUUACACAAUAUUACCCUCUAAAUUAAUCAUUGUACUUAAUUUAAUACAACCAAUGCUAUACUAUGUACAGAAACAACAUUUAGCACACCAUUUAGCAAACCACUCAGAAAACACCAUUCAGUAAAACAACAUCAGACAACAAGUUCAGCAAACUAUUCAGCAUGAAAUAUUAUUCAGACCCCCAAUAUCAUACAAUAUCAUUCGACAAUACAAUAUCAGUCAACAAGGUUCGACAAACCACAAUAUUUAAUGCGUACUACACAAAAAUAGCAUACUUGCAAUAUGAAUAGAAUCUUGGAUGACUAUGCUAACGGUGAUGUUAAUGAAAAUAUAUAAAUGCAUAUGUCCAUAUUAAGGAACUAAAAAAAUAAAAAUUCUCUAUUGAAGGCAUAAAUAAUACAGUAAACUAAAAAAAAAGACUUAUCGGUUAAAACAGAGGUUCCCAGUGGUGAUUUGUUGAAGGUUGAAGGUGAGGAAUGAGAGAAAGAAAGUAAUGGUCUGCUAGAAAUGUGUUUAAGAGUUUGGUUUGUUUGGUUGAAUAACGUAACUUUUAAUCGUUUUGUGUACUAGGCCUUUGCAAAUUCCUAUGUUCAAGGUAGAUAAAUGAAUAUAAAAUUAAUUAAUAAAGGCAUUUCCAUGGAACAACGUCUUCAAUAAUCACUUGAAAAUUUUAUUGAAGAUUAUUGAAGGCUUUUCUUACAAAAAAAGACUCAUUUAAUUAUAAGCCUUUAAAAUUGUCCACCCAACUUAUUAAAGGUAUUUUUUAUAAAAAAAAUAUCUUUUCUAAUUCUUAAAAAUUAUAAAAGGCAUUUUCAGUAAAAAAUCGCCUUCAAUAAGUAUGGAUUUUCAAAGUUUAUAACAAAUUAUUGAAGGCGACUUAUAAUAAAAUACGCCUUUAAUAAUCCAAAAAUUUUUUUUUGAAAAAUUAUUGAAGGCGUUGUUAUUUGAAAUCACCUUCAAUAAUUAUAUACAAACUAUGAUAGAAAUUAUUAAAGGCAUCUAUCUUAAAAAUACGCCUUCAAUAAUAGUGUUACAAUUUAUGUGACGGUAUAUAGAAGGUAUUUUACAUUAGAAGACACCUUUAAUAAUUUUUAAAAUAUUUAGUGGGAAAAUUUUGAAGACGUCUGUUAUUAACAAAUGCCUUCAGUAAUUGAAGGUGCCUUUUUUAAUAAACACCUUCCAUUAUCAUCGUGGUAUAUCAAAGGCAUAUUAUAAUAAAAGACGCCUUUAAUAAUUCAAAAAAAUUUUAUUAAAAAAAUUAUUGAAGGCGUUAUUAUCUAAAACUAUCUUAAGUAAUUAUAUACAAACUGUGAUAAAAAUUAUUAAAAGCAUCUAUCUUAAAUAUACGCCUUAAAUAAUAGUGUUACAAUUUAUGUGACGGUUUAUAGAAGGCAUUUUACAGUAGAAAAUACCUUUAAUAAUUUUUAAAAUAUUUAGUGAAAAAAUUUUGAAGGCGUCUAUUAUUAACAAACGCCUUCAGUAAUUGAAGGUAUUUUUUCUAAUAAACGCAUUCCAUUACCAUCGUGGUAUAUCGAAGGCGUUUUACAAUAAAAUAUGCUUUUAAUAAUCCGAAAAAAUUUUAUUAGAAAAAUUAUUGAAGGCGUUGUUAUCUGAAAUCACCUUCAGUAAUUAUGUACAAACUGUGAUAAGAAUUAUUAAAAGCAUCUAUCUUAAAUAUACGCCUUCAAUAACAAUGUUACAAUUUGUGUGACAGUAUAUAAAAGGUAUUUUACAGUAGAAGAUGCCUUUAAUAAUUCUUAAAAUAUUUAGUGAAAAAAUUUUGAAGGCAUUUGUUACUAAAAAAUGCCUUCAAUAAUGGAUUCCUAAGUUUAAAAGUAUAUUGAAGACGCUUGUUCAAAUAAACGCCUUCCAUUACCAUCGUGGUAUAUUAAAGGUAUGUCAUAAUAAAAGACACCUUCAAUAAUCCAAGAAAAUUUUUUUAAUGAAAUUAUUGAAGGCAUUGUUUUCUACAACCGCUUUUAGUAAUUAACUACAAACUGUGAUAAAAAUUAUUAAAUGUGUCUUUCUUAGAUAUACGCUUUCAAUAACAGUGUUAGAAUUUAUAUAGCGAUAUGUUCAAGGCACCUAUAAUAUAUUCAAAAAAUAUUUAUGAGGUAAUUAUUCUUGACAUUUUUUGUUAAUAAACGCCAUCCAUAAUCUUGUCCAAUAAAAAUCUUUCCAAACUUAGCACAUCCAAUCACCAAUUUUAAGCUUCAUCUUCAUUAUUAUAUCUUUUCAGACCAAGUACAAUUUACUUUGCAUUUUCUUUUGCUUUUAGUAUUCGAGCAUUGUCUUUUAGAAUCCUAUUUUGACUAUUCAUAACUUAUUGACUUUAGUUUUUACUUCAUUCGACUAUUCCUUCAGCUCUUGCAAUUCGUGAUUUUCUUUUUCGUGAAAAAAAUUUUCUACAAAACCCACCUUAUUUCACCUUUUGUCAACCCUAACUACAAAUACUCUUGGGUACUAUCUAUUUAGCAGCAGAGUUUUAACAAUCAUAAUAUCUGGUAGCUGAUAAAUUACUUUACACCAAGGAGUUCAUGUUUUGUGUAAAUAAUAUUCUUGUUAUUAUCUUUUGUUUAAAACAUAGUAAACUAUGCAAUUAAACAUGUUCAUUUUCAUAUGAAUUAUUUAUAUAUAUUUGGUCUGAUAAUGUAGCAACUAAUAAAUGGAUAAGAGUUGGAUACAAAAGUCUAGAUUAAGUCAAGAGUAUAGAGAUGGAGUGAAAAAAUUUUUCAAUUUUGCAUUUGAGAAUACAAGUGAAGAUAAUAUGAUAUUAUGCCCAUGUAUGAAAUUUGCUAAUAUCGAGUGACAAAUGUGUCAAGUUAUUUAUGAGCAUUUAAUUUGUAUUAGAUUUUUAUCUGGAUAUGUUAAUUGAUAUUUUUAUAAAGAGUCUGUACUAUCAAGGUCUUCCACUACAAUUCCUUCAACAUCAAAGGCUUUUCAUCACCAACAUGAUCUCUUUAUAGCAUAUGACAUUGAAGGCAUAUUACGAAAUGCUUUUAACAUUCAUAACCAAAAUUUUCGUAAUCUUUCUCUCCAAAAUGAAAGAUUUAAUCAGUCCAAUGAUGAAAUGCAUGAAUUUGGUGAACCUGAGAUAAGUGUACGUGACUAACAACUUAGAGAAAAAGCAUCAAAGUUUUAUAGAUUGCUUGAGGAGAUGAAUGAAGAACUUUUUGAAGGAUCAAAGCAUUCAAAGUUAUCUUUCUGUGUUCAUCUUUUUCACUUAAAAUGCUUAUGUGGAUGGAUGAGAAACUCUUUGACUUUAUUAUUACAGUUUAUGAAAGAAAUAUUUUUUUUUUUAUAAAAAUCCAUGAAUCUUGUAAGAAAUCAAAGAAUAUGAUCAAGGAUUUAUGUCUUAGAUAUGAGAAAAUUUAUAGUUAUCCCAAUUAUUGCAUGUUGUAUCAGGGGAUAAAAAAAAUAAAAAACUUGUCAUUUGUGUGGUAUUUCUCGUUGGGUCGACAAAAACCUCGAUGAAAGGUUGAAUGAUGAUGGUGAUGAGGUAUGUGUCAAAAAAAGCCUAUUAAAGUUUUACGCUAUUUUUCAUUGAUACCAAGACUUCAGUGACUCUACAUGUCUUUCAAAACUGUAGAUUCAAUGAGGUGGCAUCAUGAUUUACGAAUGGAUGAUGGAUCGUUAAGGCAUCCUGUAGAUUUUUUGGCAUGGAAGUCACUUCAUUCUAGGUUUUCAGACUUUACAUUUGAUCCUUAAAAUAUUAUGCUUGGACUGACAUCUGAUGGAUUCAACCCCUUCCAAAUAAUGAGUACUUCUUAUAGUACUUGACCAGUUGUAUUGAUUCCUUAUAAUUUAUCAUCAUGGAUUGCUAUGAAGCAAUAGUCAUUUAUAUUGUCUAUAAUAAUACCUAAGGAAAAAGGUUCGGAUAAUAAUAUAAACAUCUACUUACAACCUCUUAUUAAAAAUUUAAAGCAAUUAUGGGAAUAAGUUGAGACCUAUGAUACAUCAAAAAUGGAAAACUUUAAUAUGCGUACUACUUUAUUAUAGACUAUCAAUGAUUUUUUUACUUAUGUGAAUUUAUCUGGUUGGAGUACAAAAGGUCAUUAUGCUUGUCCAUAUUGUGCUGCACAGAUAUGUUCAACGUGAUUACUAAUGGUAGAAAGUUUGGUUAUUUGAGACAUCAUCAAUGGUUAGAUGAUAAUCAUCAAUUUAGAUUCUAAAAAUAUCUCUUUGGUGAAACUGAAGAGUUAAAGAGAUCGUCUUUACCCAUUAGUGGGUCUAUUAUUUUGUCAAAGUUAAAAGAUAUCAAUUUCACAUAUGAAAAAAUAACUCCAUCAAGAAAAAGAGUGAGGGACAUCUUUGAAGGUAUCUGGCUUAGUAUUACGCAAGUUGGUGACAGUCAUAUAGAAGUUAGUGAUCUUAAUGUUCAAAGUGAUGAAGAGGACGAUGAAGUAAAUGACCCCAAUGAGUAUGAGUUGUGAAAAAAAGAAGUAUAUUUUUUGAGUUACCUUAUUGAGAAUAUAAUUUAUUACACCAUAACCUUAAUUUGAUACACAUAGAAAAAAAUAUUUACAAAAAUUUUAUUGGGACAAUUCUUAAUAUGAAUAGAAGAUCCAAAGAUGACUUAAAGAGUUGGUUUGACCUAAUUGAUAAGAAGAUUCACUCAGACCUCCAUUUGAUAUUGCUUCCUAAUGGUAAAUAUUGAUUGUCUGCUGCUUGUUUUGGGAUUUCUAAAGUCGAAAAAGAUGUGUUUUACAAAGUUUUAAAAAAUAUCAAAGUUUCAAAUGACUAUGUGUCAAAUAUAUCAAGAUGUGUGAAUAUGAAGAAGCAAAAACUUUCUUCAUUGAAGUCACAUGAUUAUCAUAUUUUGAUGCAAAACUUACUUUUAAUUGUUUUACACUCAUUAAUGUCAAAGCAAGUGACUUCUAUGGUAAUUAAAUUGAGUAACAUAUUAAAAUCUCUAUGUUAGAAAUAUAUGAAUGUGAAAGAGCUUGACAAAGUUCAAGAUCGAGCCGUGAUUACUUUAUACCAUUUAAAGAAGAUAUUUCCUCUAAACUUUUUCACUAUUAUGAUGCAUUUGGUUAUUCACCUUCCAUAUGAAAUAAAGGUCAAUGGGUCGAUUUAUUAUCGAUGAAUGUAUCCUAUUGAAAUGUAUUAUUUGUUAAUAGAUUGAUUACAUUUUUAUUGAUUAUCAAGCCAAUUUACUUAAAAUAAUAUAUGACUAAUAUUUUAUGCUAUACGUUUUUGGGAAGGUUAAAGUCUUAUUGUCGCAACAAAUGCUAUUUAAAAUGUUUUAUUGCUAAAGGAUAUUUAGCAUAAAAGUGUAUGACAUUUUGUUGUCGUUAUUUAAAAGAUGUUGAAACGAGAUUUAAUAGACCUUUGAGAAAUAUUGGUAUGCAACAUACAGACUCAGCCUACAAUUAUCUUUUUCAAAGUUUUAGACAACCCAUAGGCAAAGUUGAAUUGGUAGAGUUAGAUGAUAAAUCUUGGGUACAAGCACAUUGAUAUGUUUUUUUUCAUCAUGACUCAAUUGAAUCGUUUCGCACGUAAGUUGUUUAGCAAGGAAAUUAUUUAUUACAUUGGCAUAAUUUAUUGUGUUUUUUUUUAGUGUUAAUACUUUAUCAUGAUGUUUUAUAGUGAGUAUAAAAAUAAUUUGAGAAAUCCAGCACAUUAUCGACGAUCAAACCCUCAAGAGGUUGAUAAGUUAUUCGUUGAAAACUUUCAUGAAUGGUUAGGAGCAACUGUAAGUAAUGCCAUACUUUUCAUUAUUUUUUAUCUACAUAAAAUGCUUACGGUAAAAAUAACAUUAAUAACAUAUAUAUAUUUAUUCCAUUUUUAUAAGUUUGGAGUAGAAUGCUUAUUAGUAAAGAGGUGAAGUGUCUUUCACACAGUUUGAAUCGGAUUGUGAAACAAUACAAAAGUUUCAUCAUCAAUGGAUUUAGAUUUCACACAAAAUCUUGUGAGAGAUUUAGAAGUACAUAAAAUUUAAGAGUUGUUGUGACUUCAUCAACUACUAGCUAUGCUAGUGCUAGGGACACAAACCCUUUAAAGGAAAAUGUUAACUAUUAUGGCAUGAUUAAUGACAUCAUUGAGUUAAUUAUUAUGACAAGUGAAAAGUUAUCUUAUUUCGAUGUGAUUGGGCAUAUGUGAAUAGUGUGAAGGGUCUUAAGAAAAAUUAGACGGAUUUACACUUAUGAAUUUUUCUCGAUUAAUUCACACUGGACAACAAUUCAUCGAUGAACCUUAUGUAUUUUCAUCUCAAGUUAAACAAGUAUUUUACUCUGAAGAUCUCAAAAAAUUAGGUUGGUUUGUUGUUCUUUGAAACACACCUAGAGAUUUAUUUGAUAUGGGGUUAAAUACCAAAAAUGAUGUUGAACACAGAACUGAAUGUUAUUCUUUUGCUGAACAAAACUUGGAUGAGAAUAUCUUCAAUACCUAUGCUCAGUGGGUCCGCGAAGAUGUUACUGAAGACAUUUACAAACCAUGACUCUGUGCACCUAUAAUUUGUAAGUCGAGUGUUUAAGACAUAAUGUAGUAAAUAAUAGUAUGUAAAUAAUGUCACAUUUGCUGUUGUAUAAUUAUUGUCUUCUAAAUCAUACAUUAUAUUUUGAUUUAAUUAAAUCGAUAUGUUCUUUAUAUGUCGUAGGUUUUGAUUUCUUAAAUUGAAAAUGUCUUUAUAUAUCUUCUGAACUAAAAUUUUUUUUAUAUUCGCUUUUAUUAUAUAGGUAAGCUACAAUGCGAAGAAGUAGGUUGAAAGGAAAAUAUAUCAGAGAUAUUAGUUCAGAACCGUCUGCAGGACCUGUAGAUAUUGGCUAUGGACUGAAUCCUUUGGAAGUAAAUGAACGUACUAUCGGAUCUAACUCCGUCACUUUUAACCCUUCAACCAAUAUUGGAUCUGACAAUAUGAGAGGUUCAGGUUUAGAUAGUACCACAUCAAUUGAUUAUGCUUUAAAUUCGAUUGCAGGUAUGAUAUACUUCAAUUUUAGAAUUCGAGUAUAAUGAUAAUAGUAUUACGAUUUUACAAAUAUAUUAUAUAUUUGUUGCAGUUGAUAACAAUGGUCAACAAAGGACCAGAGGUCGAGCAACUUUGAAAGAAUUGUUUACACUACCUCCUAACGAGCGUAUUGUAGUGUCUGUAAACUCUUAUAGACAACCAAUUGAUGAAGAGACUCAACUAUUGGCUGAAUAUCUAGGCAUGCUAGCCCGUAAUGGAAUGAAAUUGUCUAUUCAUUAUGAAACAUGGCAUAAUAUUCCAGAAGAAGUUAAGGCCGAAGCAUUAAACUUUAUUGAGGUAUUAGUAUAAUUAAUUAGAUAUAUUCAAAUUUUUUAUUUUACAUUUUGUUUACUUAUUCAAACUUUUCUUAUUGUAUUAUUACAGUCAAGAUUUGUACUUGAAAUACCAACUUCAUAUGUGCUUAAGUCAUUGGGAAAGAAAUGGAAAGAUUAUAAGCAUAGUUUGAAGAAUAAAUAUUUUGAUUGAAAUAGUAUUGUAGAGGCAAUGAUGCAAAAUCUAUCCAGUAAUGUGAUUAGGUGGCAAUAUGAACAACUAGUUAGAUUUUGGUUCUAAAAAAAAAGAGAGGUACUAGUUUAUAACUUUGUAUAAUAGAAUGAAAUGAUGAAAGUAUUUGAUGGUUUCAGUUGGUAAUAUUUGUAUUUCUAUCAUAUAAGCAAUUAUUUUUUAUGACAGGAAAAAAACAAAUUGAGAUUAGUAGCAGAAAGUAACAAAAAUAUAGUCACAUAAGUGGAUCAAAAAGUUUUACAAGAAAGCAAAAAGAAAUCGUAAGUUUAUGAUAAUUAACUUAUUCCAAUGAAUGAACUUUUUCUGCCAUUGAAAGGUAAAUAUGGAAAUUAACAUUUAUUGUUCUGUUUUAAUAGAUUUAAUUAUUUCAAUAAAUGAUAUUAAACUUAUCGAAAGUUUUGAAUUUAGUUACAUAGAUGAUAUGUAUGAAAAGUUACUGUUUACAUAUAUUUAUACCUUUAUUAUCUGGUUGUUGUUAUUAUUGAUUUUUAACAGUUUUGAUAGCUUCAAUACUUGAUAUUAAGCUUAUCCGAUUGAUUGAACUUGGUUUCGAUAGUUGAUAUGGGAGAAAAAUUGUCAAUUAUGUCUAUUUGGGAAUAUUUUUACAUAUAAAAGGCAAAUAUACAAAUAAAUUUUGGAUGCCUUUCAACAUAUUGAAUGGCUUCAAUCCUUUAUUUUAAAUCGGGAGAAAAUAAUUGAAUUUAGUUUCCAUAAUCGAUAUGUGUGAAAGUCUAAAAUGCUUUUAUUCUUUGCAUAUAUUUAAGACUAUUGUGUUGUUACAAGACCAAAAUAUAAAUAAAAGAGAUUAAAGUUAUUCAAAAUUUUAAUACUUGAUUGGCAUGAUUGAUAUGCAUAAAUAAGUUACGGUUGAUAUAUAUCAUAUCAAAUAACAUAUGUUUUUGUAUAGGAGAAUGAGAUAGGUGGUACAAUUGGACGUGUGAAACUUUUUUGCGUAACACACACAAAAAAAUAGAUCUUACAUGAAUGUCGAAACACAAAAAAUUAUGAUAAUUUGUAUCAUCUAUUUUAACAUAAAGUAAAUAUUAACUCUUUUUAACAUAUAAUCAAUUAGUCAUUAAACUUGAUAGUUGUAUAUGACAAAUUCACAGGAGAAAGCAAAAGAGAAAAUGACUGCUGAGAUUGAAGUAGCAUCUAAAGGUUCUCUCAACAUGCAAGAAAUGAAAAAUCGGAUAUUCAUAGAAGUUGCUGAAAAAGAAAGGCAUAGACAGGUCCAAGGCCUUGGAUUGAGUCCAACACCAUCUGUUUACUAUGGACAUAACUCUCCGUAAUUUACACUCUCAGCAAGUCAAUUUUUGCAAGACAUUUCAAUAUUGAGAGGGGAGUUACAAACUAUGCAACGUUUUCAGCAAAUGGAAGCAAAAAGAAAACAGGAGCGUGCCAAAAUUGAAGAAGAACGUGCUAAAAUAAAGCUAGAGCAUGUAAAAUUUCAGUAGUUGCAUUAUUGAUUUGAUCAUCUUAUGAAUUUUGUGCAACAAUAAUUUUCAAGAAAUGAUUUUAGUGCUCCAUCAACUUAGGUAUUAUAUUUAGUAAAUAUUAAAAUUUUUAAAUAAAAAAUAAGCAUACAAUGAAGUGUUAAAAAUUGUAUGGUAUUAUUCAGUAAGUUGUUGAGCACGCUAGUGACCAAGGUAAAAAUUUUUCUUCAUCAAUUGACAGCCAGUAAAAUGUAUGUAGUCAUCCAUUUCAUACAUUUUAAUUUUUUAUUUGGUUAAUGUAUUUACAAUAUUUAAAUGUUAUUAUACUAGUUAUUAAACUUUGUAUUAAUUAGAUGUAUAUUUAAACGUGAAUGAAGUUAAUAUUAAUUUCAGUUUUUGAAUUUAAGCUCUUUACUGAAAAUAAAAUUUAUUAUAAAAAAUUAAAAAAAUAUAUUUUUAUAUAAUGACGGUUUUUGCAUUGGGCAAUGCCGCUAAAUGAAUAAUUUAGUCAUGUUUGUAGCAUAAAACACCACUAUAAGUAGUGGCGCUCUUUUCAGCAAACACCGCUAAUUAGGUGACGUUUUUUAUAGAAACGUCACAAAGCAACGACGUUUUUCUCAUAACAACGCCACUGAAUUAGUGGCACCUAAAAGAUACAAACGUCACAAAUAUUGAGGCGUUUUUAAAUUCAAAUGCCAUGCAAAGUAGCGGCAUUUUUUGUUACAAACAUUAUCAAUGUAACGACGUUUUUCUCAUAAAAAUAUCACUAAAAUAGCGACGAUUAAAAAAUACAAACGUCGCUAAUAUUAAGUCAUUUUCAUAUUCAAACGCCUCUAAAGUAGCGACGUUUCAAAGAUAUAAAUACCGCUAAAAUGAUGACGUUUCACAUAUAAAACGUCGCUAAGAUUGAGGUAUUUUUUCUAAAAUGUCGCUAUUUACUGCGACGCAUGUAUAGGCGGUACUCUACAUGAUGUUUUUUCGCAAACGUCGCAACCUUAUAGUAACGUUAAUAAAUGCUGCUAAGCAGUUAAAAAAAUAUCGCUAAAAACUAAAACCCCUGUAAUGACCCCUUGAAACCUUUAGGAAGGGGGUUUAACACCCCCUUUCCAACCCCAUAUAGACCUUAUUGCAAAUAUCGAUUUGUGUAUUUUCUCUUUGCAAAGAUAAUUAAUAUAAGAAUAAUAAUUAGAAUUGUAAUAUUAUCUUUGUUGAAAAUAUUUAAAAAUUUAAAAAAUUUUUAAUUUCAAUGAAAACAUGUUAUUUACAUGUAAAAUAUUAUGAAUGUCAUAUGUUAUUCAUAUAUCAUCAAAAAUAAUAUAAUAAAAAAUUUUAUUAGAUAAUAUUAUAUUUCUCUAAACUAUAUACAAAAUCCUUAUAUUUUUUAAAUUAACAAAACUCAAAAAUUAUAUAUUUUCAUUUAAUAUCAUUUUUUUCUUGAAAUAUAAAAAUCUUUGAAUCAAACAUAUCUUAAAAGUAAAAAAAUCUUUUUCAUUACAGGAUAGCUGUCAUUUUUCAAAGCUCUCAAAUCCUUUUAAUUUAUAGUAGUAUAGAUAAAUUAUAUGCUAGCAUUUGAAUUUCGUUGAAAGUGUAGUUUGUGGGAGGUUGUUGAACUGUAACGUGUUCCACCAUUGGACCUUAAAAUUUGAAGGCGUGUAUAGCCUAUUGUUGAGUACAUCCUCUUUUGUCCAAAUUUGAAAUUCAGUAUGGUAGGCAAUUUACCACUAGUCCUCUUUGAUUGAGAAAGAUACCUCUGGCGAAUGGGGAAUCCAAAGAGACAAAUUCAAUUGCAUUAAUGGCAGUGCCAGCCAUGUCAGUCUUUUCUGUGGUACAAAUAAUAUCAUAUCAUCUCAUCUCACGAAAGCAUCCUUCAUCUGUUUUUGCCGCUUCAAAUUUUCUGUCCUUUUAUCCCACCGCUUGAAAUAAAAGAAUUUCCAUCGACCUCUGCAUUUAGCCAUUCAUAUUGCAAAAAAAGAAAAAGGCUACGUACCUAAAUUACAAUAAUUUUUGGCUAGACAUCCCAUAUUUUUUAGAGUUGGACAAUUUCAAAGGCAAUCGGUAUUUAUAGUGCCAUUACUAUUUAAUUUAGUAUUAUUUCUUAUAAUAAUUAUUUUGGUGAUGCCACUCCCACCAACUCUGACUUUGACACUCUUCCAACAAAACGACCUCUUAUUCUUAAUACCUAAGCAAAAAUUAAUGACUUUAGGGUAACAUUUGUAACUUCAAUAUAACAUUAGUAGAACAUAUGUACCCUAAAAUGAUUAUAAUUUCUUUGCUUUGAAUUUACUUUUACAUUGAUCCAAUGGUCAAGGUAUAAUCUUGGUUAGGGUACAAUAAUUUAAAUAAUUAAUCUCCCUAAUUCUUUGUUUUUAAUUAAACCCAAUAAUUAACUUCAUCUUCAUUAAUUCUUUUAAAAUACUUGGAUAAAAUGAACAUGGUAAGGGAACUAACUUCAUUAAGUUGAUUUGUCUAUUUAUAUUUCUGUAUUUAUUAUAUUAAAAAUAAUAUUUUAAAACUAAAAUUAAAUUAAAUUAAUUAUUCAUUAAUGUAAUAAUAUCCAUUUUAAAAUUGAGGCCCAAGCUUGACCUAAAUUAAGUCAAAUCCAACCCGUUUUCGAUAGGUUUUGACCCGAUCCGACCUUAUGAGAUUGUUUUUUUUUUUUUAAAUUCGAGUUUCAGGUCGGAUCGGGUAAGGUUAUGAAACAAUUGAAGUCGGGUUCGGGUUUUAGACAAAUCCGACCCGAUAUUAUAUAAAAAAUUAUUUUUUAAUUAAUUAUUUAAUUUUUUAUUUAUAUAUAAAUUUAUAUAAUGAUAUGUUUAAAUAUUUAUAUUUUUAAAAUAAUAUUUUAUAUUUAAAAAAUAAUAUUUUAUUAAUUUCAGGUCGGAUCGAGUACGAUUUAUAUAGUAUUGGAUCAGGGUCGAGUUCGGAUAUAAAAAAAUAAAAAAAUUUCGGAUAAAAUUAAGUUCAGAUUUAAUAACACAUAAAAAUCAAGUCAAGUUCGGGACGAAUAAAAUCCAUCCUGAACCCGACCCAAUACUAACCCUAGUCAAGUCCUAGAGUGUAGACUUGGACGCGUUUAUUUCUAAUACAAGUACUAGUUUUUUGCACUACAUGUAACGAAGAGAAAUAAAACUAAUCGUUUAGGUACUUAAGUAUUAAUUAAUAUAUAUUAUAUUAUGAAUUUUGUUAACAACUAUCUUUAAGGCAUUUUUUAAAGUAAGUCGACAUACUAUUUACAGUACUAUUAAAUGCAAUAAUUCACUAUUAAUUUAAUGAUUUUCAAUAUAUUGUGUAACAAUAAAAUAGCAUCUUAAAACACUCCUCAACAUUUGGAAGUGAGUAUUUUAUUUGAGUUCGUUUUUUAUACUUUGCCUAAUAUAAUUAUCUAAUCCUAUAAGUAAAAUUAAGAGACUGAAACAAGCAUACAGCAAACACAACAUGCAUUAAUAUGUAUCACCACUAUGUAAGCAAAUGUUAUUUGGAUAAUCAAAAGGGAAGGUGUAACAUUAUUCUAAUGUAAAGAAUAUUUCCGAAUCAUAUCAUGGAAACUUCAUGGCCCAAGUUAUGGUGUGCCACUAAAUAAAUGAUAUGUCACUUUUUUCUGAUUUCUGUGGACGAAAUGUCUCUUUACAAUGUGGCAUAGCCACAAAGGCCAAACUUUAAUAAUUUGUAAUAAUAAUUUAGUAGGCUUGAUCGAUUAUCCUCGUUUCUUCCUUAAACUGGCUUUGUAUUUUAGGUGCUAACCUAGCCAACCGCUUUUCCAACUUCAUUGAUAAAUUUAGAUAGUAGUGAUUGUACUUUGCACAUGUUACCACGUGCAAGUUUAUAGGCCAAAAGGGCAAAAUUAUGAUCCAUUAUUAAGGUUUUGCUUUCAUGACACCUUGGUGUAUGAUCAAUCACGGUGCAAAUAAUAAAGAGAUUCUCUUUUUUUUUUUUUUCUUUUAUGAUGAAAAGGGAAAAACAUUAUAGAAAAUGUUAAUCGAUAUGUUUAAUCCACAUUUUCAAAUUUUGCUAAUGUAAACUAAUCAAGUUGCUCUCGCUUCACUUGAUAAAUACUCAAAUUCAACUUAAUGGCUGUCCAACCUGAGCUCAAACUCGAAUUAUUUAAGUAAUAAAUUGAGCCAAGUAUGAGCUUUUUAAUUCUUAAAUCUAAUGGUAAAAAUACUUGGAUCACUCAUAAAUCUUAUUGAUUUUUUUUUUAAUUUCUUCAUAUUAUAUGUAAAAAAUUAUAAUAUUAAUUUAUAUAUUUUAAAUUUUUAUUUGAGCUUUUAGAGUAAAUUUCAUCAAUUGAUUGUGAAUUUAUGUGAAGUUUCAUCUUCCUUCAUUCGCAUCUAAUAGCUCGAAUUUUCUUAUUUAUGACCUUUUCAAUUAAUCCAAAUGUAUUCUUCCUUUAACAUAACGCUAAAAUUUAGAUUACAUUUGUUGUGUAUGUCCAUCAAAAUGUCGGUAGCCAAUUUCAUCCAUAUUCUAUUCAAACUUUGUGCUCAACUUCAUCCAUAUUCCAUCCAAACUUUAAUGGUCGAGUAUUGAAGGAUUGAUGAAUUUGAAACAAAUUUAAAAGGUUAAAAAUAUAUAUAAAAAAAAAUUUCAAGUUUCGACUGAAAAUAAAAUUCUGAAAAAGUCAUAAGCAACUAUGUAAUUUAUUAAAAAUUUUAAAUUUGACACUAUAUCAGUUUUUUGAAAAAAAUUUAUUAAUAUUUUAUUUUUUAAAUCAAAUUAUAUUUUUAUUCAAAAAUGACAUAUAACAAUCAUAUAUACAUUUAUGUUAUAGCCAUUGUGCUCCAUGUAGAUGCCAUAUAUAAAAGCCAUAAAUAAUUUUAUGAUGACAUGGCAUGCUAACAUGGCACAUAAAUGCUAUGUGUUAUCAUCUCAUUAACUAGUUGUCAUAUCAACAUAUUUGUUAACGAUAUUAAUUCUAUGUAUCACAUUAUUAUAUAAUUUGAUACAGUAUAAUCGUAAAAGUGUUGCAUUGAACAUUUUUAAAGUGCAUGUUCUACAUCGAAAAAGUGUAUAAUAUAAGAACUAAAUAUGAAGUUAUAAAGUCCAGGAAAACCAACCCUUGCUAUAUGUAUUUUAUGUUAUAUUUUUUAAUUAUCAAAUUUGAAUGAUCUAUUGAUAAAAUGUUAAACUUUUAAUUUUAAUAAUUAAGGUUAGAAUUCUGCCAACAUUAUAUAAUAAAAAAAUAUUAUAAUUUAUAUGGCACAUGCAUGUUUGAUGUUCGUGUAAAUGAGCCUGCUAAUUAGAGAUAUUUCAUGAUAGAGAUAUUUCAUGAAAGGAUAAAUGCUCAAUACUCUCUUGUAAGUUAUAAAAAUAAAAGCCAAAAGGUUACAUGACAUAAAUCCACAAGAUGGCACAAUGUUGAUAGAAAAUGAUCAAUUAUCAGGAAGUAAGUUAAGUAGGCAUCCAGUUUUUAAUAAAUAACGUGUUAUUAUUAUUUGAGGACCAAAAGAUACGACACACGCAUGGCUUAAAACAUUUUAAAAAGUAAAUAAAUUUAGCAUAAUGUAAGGUCAUUAGUCAAUAGAGUCGGAUCUAUGAUCCCAUCCCCUUUUAGCUUCUGUAAUUUGUUCAAUUGUACAAGAAAAUAAUAGUAACAUAUUAAAAUACUAAUAUUUCUUAUAUUCUUUGUUCUUUUUUAUUUUGUAUUCCAUUAAUUAACAACUUUGGUAUACUAUAUUAAUUAUUAUUAUUAUUAUUAUUAUAAUGCGAUGGGCAAAAAGACGAUAGAUGAAGAAAUGUUAAAAGAUUUGUGUUUUGUAAGAUUCAAAUUCGAAAAUUAUGUUAAAUUGAAAAAUCAUUUAUCUUAAAAAUUUAAGUUGAUAAAACUUUAAUUAUUAUAUUUAAAUUCUAACACUCGAAUAAUAAUAAUUUAUUUUAUACAUAUAAAAUACAACAAAUCUAUAUUGGCUUAAGGCUGAAUUGAACUAACUGAUAAGUAAUAACUAUGUAGCAAAAUAGCUUAAAUUAAUUACUAAUAACAAAUGUAAAAAUAUAUAAUAACAAUGUAAAUGGAAAAAAGAAUAGCUUAAGCAGAAAACCAAGCCAAGUCGUAGUAUCUUAGAUAAAAAAUUUUUUUAACGGUGUCAAUGUUAUUAGUAUUUGAUGAAAAUGUCUUAUUUUUUACUCAAAUGAGAAUUAAAAUGGAUAUUAAAGUUUGGGAUGGGAUGAAAAUGGAUAUAAUUUUAAAUAUUUUAUCAAAUAUUAAAAUAGAUAAUAUAACAUUCGUCCUGUAUUUAUAUCCUAUAAAUAUGUUUAUAUGCAUUUAAUAAAUAUAUUUUUUAUUAAAUAAUAUAAAUUUUUAUUUAAAAUGACUUAGAACUAAUAUAUUUCUAUUUUAUAAAAAUAUAUUAAUAUAUAUUUAUAACAAAAUUUACAUAAAUAUGUAUGACAAAAAUAAAAAAGUUAAAAAAAUUAGUUUUUAUUUAAAAAAAUUAUAGGUGAUGGAUUAUUUGUACCCAUUAAGAUUCCGUUUGUUUUAAAUAAAUUUUCUUUCAAAAAAUAUUGCACUUUUCAGAAAAUUAGAGAUUUUUUUUUAUUUAAAUGAAUCAAUAAAAAAUAUUUUCAAUUGUUUGAUUGUUUUUUAGACAAUUUGUUUUUUUAAAUAAUAUUGAUAUAACUAUUAAAAUAUUAAUAAUUUUUUAUGACUAAAAUAUAUUGAAAUUACUUAUAUACUUUAAUAGUGGCAUUUAAUAAUAAAUAUUAUAUUAAUAUACAAAACACUUAAAACAAAACUAGUUAUUAUUUCUAUUAAUAUUUUAAAAUAUUUAAAAUGACAUUAUUAUUCUUAAAAUAUUAUUUUUGUUAAUAUAACAAUAAUAGUAAUAUUUAUAUUAAAAUAUUAAAAAUAUUUAUACUAUUAAAUAUUUAUAUUUUAUAUUGAAAGUAUUUAUUAUUAAAUCAUAACAAAAAAAUUUAUUUAUUUUAUUAUUCAAAUAAUAAUAUAAAUAUAUUAAUAAAUAAAAUAAAAAUAAUAUAUUUUAAAUUGAAAAAAAAUAAAUUAUUAAAAUAUUCCUUUUAUGAAAAUAAUAAUAUUAAUAUAUUAAUAAUAUUUUGGAUUGGGCUAAAUUAAAUUUGAGUAUGAAAAAAUCAUAUUUAAGAUCUGACAUAAAGAAAAUUGUGCUCAUGAGUUUGGUAAGUAAUCUUAUUCCUUUUCAAAUGGAGAAGAUAAUUUUAAAACUUAACUUUUUUUUUCAUUGAAUAAUAAAUUAUUUUUUGUUAACAAACUAAUUUUUUAUCAAACAAAUAUAAAAAAAAAUGCAAAAAUUAUCUUUUAAAGAUUAUUUUUUGUGAAACAAAUAGAUUCUAAAUAAUUGUGAAAAUAAAAAUAAAAAUAAAUUUAAAAUAUCGUUAAAUAUAAAUAAAAAUAUAUAAUAUAAAAAUGAAAAAAAAAAAUCUGCGCACCUCAUUUCCUGUCUGUUAAUAUCCUAUGUCUUUCUACGUGCUUUAACCCGACCCUUACCAAACGGAGAGCUGAUGCCUAGUACAUAGAGUUUAAGCUGAUAUAAAUGGUAGAUACAGCGUAUCUGAGGUUUAAUCCAACGGUAGUAAUUAGAUCAAAUCCCAAGGCGAAGAACAUGGUUGAAAGUGAGAAAACAAAAGCUGUCAGCCAGGUCACCCUAUCUUUUCCCUAUGGUGGCGCAAAUGAUUCCCCGUUCCCCACUGCUCUAUUUUUAAUUUAAUUUCCUCCAAAUUUCAUUUGCAUUUCAAAAAUUCCCCAAAGUCUUCCAAUAUAUAAACGCCCCUUUCUUUUCUUCUGCUCUCCAUCUCCGUCUCACCAGAGAGAAUAGAGAGAAAGGAAAAAAAAAAAAGAGUCCUCGUCAUCUGCUUCCUCUUCUAUUCUCUCUUUCUCUCUGAAACUCCUCGUUCUUUUCUUGUUGAGGUAAAUCUUUUGCUUUUGCCUUUAUUUUACUUCAAAUCCACCGAUCUGUGGAUUUUUUUUUUUUUUAUGUUUUGCCGAUCAUGGAACUGAGAUCUAGGGUUCUAGAAGUUUCUACAGAGUUGUAAGGAGUUAGAUUUGGCUUGAUCUGCUUCACUUUGUAUCUGGAUCUUUACUUACCUUGAUCUGCUUCUUUCCACUUGUGAUUUCUGUGUAGAUCUUAUGAGAGUUGGUUUUUUUUUUUUUGUCUUUAUUUUGAAUUUGAUCUUCUUCCAACUUGUACUGAUUAAUGCUUUCAGUUUGUAUAUUUAAUGCUUUUCGAAGGCCUCUUUUUGAGGUUAAGAAAAGGCUCUAAUCUUGAUCUUUAUUUCCUUUCGUAAUUGAUUUAAUUUGUUGUCCAAACGAAUUAUAGAGUAGCUUGUUUAGAUGCUGACAAAUGAAUGUUGUCUGCAUUUUGAACCGACUAAAUUUGGUCGACCCACUGCAGUAGCAAAACUUAUGUCUUUUAGCUAGCUAGGAUACUGAAUGGUUUUAUUUUAUGCUUUUAAAGAAAUGAAUUUUGAUUUGAGUGUUUCUUUUUUCACUAAGAGAAGCCACGACUUAAUUUGUUUGAAGGCUUUGAUUUGGCUUGUUUAGAUUAGUUGAAAGAGGUAUAUAAUCUAGGUUGGCAAGUGAUUUUUCUAUACUCACUAUCUCAAUUCUUGUUUCUAGUAUUGUAAAAGAUGGCCGAUGCUGAGGAUAUUCAACCCCUCGUCUGUGACAAUGGAACUGGAAUGGUGAAGGUUAGUUGAUUUCUAGACCUGAGUUAUAUUCUCCAUUAUUGUUUAUUUCUUUAUGAAAGAUGUGUUACUUUGCCGUGGUUGAUCUGAUUUUGUUUAUCAUGCAGGCUGGUUUUGCUGGUGAUGAUGCUCCCAGGGCAGUUUUUCCCAGUAUUGUUGGUCGACCCCGGCACACUGGUGUCAUGGUUGGUAUGGGUCAGAAGGAUGCCUAUGUAGGAGAUGAGGCACAAUCUAAGAGAGGUAUCCUUACUUUGAAAUAUCCCAUUGAGCAUGGUAUUGUCAGCAACUGGGAUGAUAUGGAAAAGAUCUGGCAUCAUACAUUCUACAAUGAGCUCCGUGUUGCUCCUGAGGAGCACCCUGUGCUUCUCACAGAGGCACCUCUUAACCCCAAGGCCAACAGAGAAAAGAUGACCCAGAUCAUGUUUGAGACCUUCAAUGUGCCGGCCAUGUAUGUUGCCAUCCAGGCCGUUCUCUCUUUGUAUGCCAGUGGUCGUACAACAGGUUUGUUAAAAUAGAACAUCUUUGGAUUUAUCAUAUUUUUAGAACAUUCCUAAUCAAGCUAACACUGAAUUAUUUCCCUAUUGGAACAGGUAUUGUGCUGGAUUCGGGUGAUGGUGUUUCCCACACUGUGCCAAUCUAUGAAGGCUAUGCCCUUCCACAUGCCAUCCUUCGUCUAGACCUUGCUGGUCGUGAUCUCACUGAUGCUUUGAUGAAGAUACUUACCGAGAGAGGUUACAUGUUCACCACCACUGCUGAACGGGAAAUUGUUCGUGACAUGAAGGAGAAGCUUGCUUAUGUUGCCCUGGACUAUGAGCAGGAACUGGAGACUGCCAAGAGCAGUUCUUCUGUUGAGAAGAACUAUGAGUUGCCUGAUGGACAAGUCAUUACUAUUGGAGCUGAGAGAUUCCGUUGUCCAGAAGUCCUCUUCCAGCCAUCUCUCAUUGGGAUGGAAGCUGCUGGAAUCCAUGAAACUACCUACAACUCUAUCAUGAAGUGUGAUGUGGAUAUCAGGAAGGAUCUUUAUGGUAACAUUGUGCUCAGUGGUGGUUCAACCAUGUUCCCUGGUAUUGCAGACCGUAUGAGCAAGGAGAUCACUGCCCUUGCUCCUAGUAGCAUGAAGAUUAAGGUUGUUGCACCACCAGAGAGAAAGUACAGUGUCUGGAUUGGAGGAUCUAUCUUGGCAUCACUCAGCACCUUCCAGCAGGUGAAAUAUAUUUUCUUAUAUUUGGCUCAUGUUUUACUUUUGUGUAAAUUCAUUGCCCAAGACUGACAUUCUUGCUUUCGCUGUUGCAUCAGAUGUGGAUCUCCAAGGGCGAGUAUGAUGAGUCUGGACCAUCCAUUGUCCACAGGAAGUGCUUCUAAGUUUUAUAAGUGCUUUGAUGGUGAGUUACAUUUUCGAGUUAGUUGGCUUUUUGUGUCCUGUGUCAAGUGAAUUCAAAGUCUGGUUGAUGUGGGAAGGGUUGAAGGUGGGGAUCAUUGAAGGAGGGUGUUCUUUGAUUUUGGUGUAUUAUAUAACCCUUUCAUCAGUUGUGACUUAUUAUGCUCAUGGUGUCACUGCUAUUGAAAUGAUGGCCCUCAAGAUGUGGUGGUGGACUGGUGGACGGACAAUUGGUGCUUAUUUCCUUCCUUUCCAUGCAUCUUUCAACGAUGUUGCCUAGUAGGAUGUUUGUAGCUGGAGAGUGAUUGUGAUGAUUCUGUCUUAUAUUUUCUUUAAUUUCAGAUUAAGGGGUUUUUUUGCCCUGAGAACAUUAAUGUUAAUAGCUAUUGUAUGAGAAAAUUUAAAUUAGUGUCAGUUUGCGGUCAUAAACUUUUAUGGAAACUAUAUUUGAUACCUGAUUUUGAAAUCUAAGGGGGAAUGCUUUCUCUCUGAACUCAUAUGGUGUAAAAUCUGUUUGAAGAUUUCUUGUUAAUUGUGGUGAAUGGGGUUUCUUUAGAGGCAUGCCUCAAAAUAACAAUAUGUCUGCUCAGUUGUAAUUAUUAUGGAAACCAUUAGUAAGUAUGCAUACCGUUGCCCGGAUGAUUCCAGAGUCUUGGGUGAAACCACACCCAGAAUGGGAUGCUAUUUUAUGUUUUAUCGACGUAUCUUUUAAGGCAUCUUUAGGGAAACAAUUUCCAUAUGAUGUUAGGAUUAAAAAUAUAAAAAAUUUAAGUCUGCUAUGAGUAAGGAUUGCCUGCAUUUGCAGAUUGAUCAUAUGAUUCAUGCACUCUGUGUCACUUAUAUUAUGAUUACUAAUAUCCGUUGAAUGGUUGCUUCCUCGGGUAGAUCUUUCUGCUUAUGCACCAUAAUUUUCUGGUCAUGUACUGCUCUCCUUGAGUAUCAUUCUUCGCAGGUUUUUUUGGCUCCUGUCACACUAACUCGAAAGGAAAAUAAAGAAGCCCCAUCCGAAAAACUUAAACCUCUUCUUUUAUAUUAACAACUUGCAUUGUUUUAUAUAAGCAUUUAGCAUGAGGUUUCUUGUUUUGUUGAUGCUUGGAGCAUGAUUCUAGACGUUUGGAGAUUAGGGAUUCGAAUAAAUUUAUGUUUGAAAUAUUCUCUUCAGGCACGUAAGUAGAUAUAACUUGUGUGGAGGUUAGGUGUAGAUUAUGAAAUUCAGAAAGUUUAUUUUAUCUAAAAAUAAAAUUUAACAAAAAUGUAAGUAUUUAUUUUUUUAAUAAAAUAACAACUUGAGGUACAAAUCCCAAAAAAGAAGCCCAAUCAAUGAUGCGUAAACAGAUUUCGCCUGAUGUUAUUAACUAUUGCACAUUUGUCAAUGGAUAUUGUCUUCAAGUAAGGUGAACUUGAUGCAUUGAACUUGUUCAAGAACAUGGAGGAGAAGGGUCACAAGCCUGAUGUUAUUUCUUACUGUGUCCUUCUCGGGGGCUUUGCUAGAAAUGGCCUUGCACGAGAGGCAGUCAAUCUUUUGAAUUAUAUAGAGGCACAACAUAAUCAUUAAAGGCUUAUUAUGUAUAUGUGGUCGUUAAGGUAAGGAAGCUGAAGCUUUCUUUAGAUAGUCUGCCAGAGAAGUAUUUGGGAAAUUAUGCUGCCUUGGUUCAUGGCUAUUUUGAAUCAAGCCUCCCCAAACGUCUGUGAAUUAUUUGUUAAGCUGUCUAAGCAGGGAUUUAUAGUAAGGCUUUUUGCUCAAAACUCCUUGUCUUUGCAUGGAUGGGGAUAAUGUUCUUUUUGAAUACUGAACCUACCAAAUCUUAUAUAUAAAUACUGAACCUACCAAAUCUUAUAUAUAAAUACUGAACGUCACGUGUUGAGCAUUCAUUUUACCAUGUGGCAGUCACUUCAUUUUUAAUUUUUAUUUUAUUUUUUGGACCUUCUAAAUACAUCACAAAAUUUUCUUUAUACAUAAAUUUUUUUUUUCAAAACUACCCUCAUAACAAAUAUAAAUUUUAACCUUAGAUAAAUGAUGAAAAUAUUCUCAAUAGUUUAUACAUCCCAACGCCACUUUUCUUAAAUCUUGAAAAUCGAUUUUCAAGAAUUAUAUUACGUUCUUGAAAAUGGAUUUUGUUUAGAGAUUUUUGAGAAGUCAUCUUGUAUUCUCAAGAAUCCAUUUUUGAAAAUACAUAAUUUUUUGUUUAAAUAUAUAUUUAAUUAUAAGCUCUUAAUAACGUUUAAUUUUAAUUUAAAUAAAAUAAAUACAUUUAAUAUUAAAAUAAAUAAUGCUAAAAUAAAUAAAUUUGAUGUUCUAGGAUCUCCAAACAUCUCUACUAAUUUUUUCGAGGUAUAGCUUAAUUCUGACAAUAAGGAUCUCUAAUCUUUAAGCCACCAGUAUCCUGAUGGCUAAAAAAUACGGAUGGUCGAAAAAUUAGAGGUCUUUACUGUCAUAUUUGUUAGUUUGUUGAUGACAUUGUGAAAGUCAAUGUUCUAUAAAAUGUUCGAGCUUAGACCAACAUAAAUACACACACAUAAGUCAUUGACGUGCCCAUUCUUACUUGAUCAUACGUAUAAAUGGAAGAGACAUAUUAGUUCUCAAGCAUGCAUAAGCAUAAAUGUGCUUUUGUCUUGAGACCAAAACUCAAAAACACAUUUUUAUCUAUACAAAACCAAAAAAAAUCAUAAAAUACUGUUCUUGAUUUUCUAAAGGUUCAAGAAAAAGAACAAGUUUAUGCCAUGCAUGUUGAGAAUGUUGAUUUUAGUUUCAUUUACAUACAUGAUCAAGUAAAUAAAUUUAUAAGCGCAUGCUUAAGGUUUUCAAUUAUUAAAAGUGAAAUCGAAGUUCUCAAAAAUAGAUAUCCAAGAAGACUUAAAGCUUCUUGGAUAUUCAUUUUCGAAAAGAUUCAAAAUUUUUUAAAAAUGAAUAUUCAAGAAGUUUGAGUCUUUUUGAAAAUGAAUAUCCAAAAAUCUUUAAAGCUUCUAGGAUAUGGAUAUUCAAGAAUCCUUAAAACUUAUCGAAUAUCCAUUUUUAAGAAACCUUAAAGCUUAUCGAAUAUUCAUUUUUAAAAAAUUCAAUUUUAGAAAAUAAAGAGAGAAAAAUGAUAGGAAUGAAAAAUAAAAAGAGAGGGGUGACGGUGUAUUUAGUAGAAAUAAAAAUUAAGUUUUUGAAUUUGGUGUGUAUUUAGAAAUUGAGUGUAUAAAAUAGAAAUGGGGUGUAAAUAGAAUUUUUAGUUUUUUUAUCGUAGGUUUCAACUUUUUUUAAACAAUUUUUAUAAGACAUGUAAGCCACAUUUUUCUUUUUGUUUUAAGGUGUGGACUUUUUUUUUCAAUCAUUUUUUUUGUUUUUUUAAUUGGGGGGCUCACAUGAUUUUUUAAAAAAAUUCUUUUAAAAGAUGUGGGACUCAUUUUUUUAAAAAAUUUAUCUUCUGUUUUUUUUUUUUGAAAUUUUUUAUUAUAUUUAAUAUUUUAAAAAUUUUCGUGAGACUCACUUAUGCCAAUUUUUUCUACCCUUUUUAACUUUUUAAACAAAAUUUAUCUUUUUCAUUUUAAUUUUAUUUUCAUAAUAUGAAUUUUUGAUAAAAACUUAUCGUAAUUGACGUCACAUGCAAAAUAAAUUUCUUUAGAAAUGAUUAUAAUGUCCUUUUAAUUACUUCACUAUUGAGUUACAUGCAUUCAAAUUAAUUGUGAUGCAUCUUUUUCUAUGAUUAACUAAAUCUACAACCAUUAUUACGAAAAUACUCUCUUACCAAGAUUUGCCAAAAUGACUAUAAUACCUCUCCUACUAUAUUUAUGAAAAUUCUCAUAUUAUUGUCAAAAUACUAUAAUACCUUCUAACCAUAAUUAACAAAAAUAUUAUUUUAUCAUAAUUACGAAAAUACCUAUUAUAUUUUAAUGAGUUAGAAUUACUAUAAUACCCACUAACUAUAAUUACAAAAAAACCCAUUUUGAUUGCUCCAUAUAAUGCCUCUCCAAUCAUAAUUACAAAAAUACCAAUCAUAUUAUAAUUAAUCAAAAUUACUAUAAUACCCUUUAAGCAUAAGUAUGAAAAUACCUUUGAUUGUUUCAUAAUUAUGCAUUAAUUUUAACAUUCGUAUAAUAAUAUAAAAUUAAUCCUCUUAAAAAUAAUUAUAAUGCUUUUUAAUUACUUGACAAUUGAAUUACAUGUAUUGAAAUUCAUUAUAAUGCCCUUUUUCUAUAAUUAACUAAAAUAACUAUAAUAUCCCUCUUAAUAUAAUUACUAAAAUCCCCCUUUUAUUAUAAUUGCCAAUAUUACUCUAAUGGCCCUACAUCCAUAAUUACAUAAAUGCAUUCCUACCAUAAUUACAAAAAUACCUCUCAUAUAAUUUGCCAAAAUUACUAUAAUAUCAUCUAACCAUAAGUAUAAAAAUGCCCUUUAUUAUAAUUACAAAAAUAACACUUAUAUUAUAAUUGACUAAAAUUACUAUAAUAUCUUUUACCAUAAUUACAAAAUACCCUUUUGAUUGCUUUAUUAAUGCUUUUCCUACCAUAAUUACCAAAAUACCACUGAUAUUAAAAUUUGCCAAAAUUAAUAUAAUUACGAAAAUGCCUUCUAACUAUAAUUAUGAAAAUACCCUCUCAUAUUAUAAUUGGUUAAAAUUAUUAUAAUAUUCUUUAACCAUAAUUACAAAAAAAAAAAAAGAAAAACCCUUUUGGUUGCUUCAUAUAAUGAUUCUCUUACCAUAAUUAUGAAAAUACCCCUUAUAUUAUAAUUGAUCAAAUUACUAUAAUAUCCUCUAAGUAUAAUUAUGAAAAUAUCAUUUUUAUUAUUUCAUAGUUAUGCAUUAAUUUUACAUCCUGCAAUAAUAUGAAAUUAAUCCUUUUUAAAAUAAUCAUAAUACCCUUUUAAUCACUUAAUUAUUAAAUUACAUGCAUCCAAAUUGACUGUAACGCUCUUUUCUUAUGAUUAACUAAAUUAUUAUAAUUGCUCCUCUCAACAUAUUUACUAAGAUACCCUCUUAUCAUAAUUGGCUAAAGUUAAUAUAAUAUCCCAACAAUCAUAAUUACGAAAAUGACCUCCUACUAUCAUUUACCCAAAUUAUUAUAGUGUCUUUUUUAUCAUAAUUACGAAAAUACUCUUUAUAUUAUAAUUUACCAAAGUUACUAUGAAGCCUUUCUUACAUAAUUAUAAAAAUAUCAUUUUUAUUGUUUUAUAAUUACAUGUUAAAUUUGAAUAUACAUAUAAUUAUAUGAAAGUUAAUCUCAUUGAAAUGAUCAUAAUGCUUUCUAAUUAUGUGGACAUUUGAAUGAUAUACAUCCAAAUUGACUAUAAUACCCCUCAUAUAAUUAACUAAAAUUAUUAUAAUUCCCUCCUAACAUAAUUACUAAAAUACAUCUUUUACCAUAAUCAGUCAAAGUUAUUACAAUGCUUUGGCAAUCAUAAUUACAGAAAUGCCCUUCUAUACUAUUGGUCAAAAUUACUAUAAUACCCCUCCUAUCAAAUUAAAAUUAUUGAUUUUUUUCUUUAAAAAUUUAAGUUGAACGGGAGAGAUAUUAGUAGGCUUUGAUUCCAUGAAUAAACGGGUUUGAAUUUGAUAAUUGAUCAAUGUUGAUAAUAGAUAAAUAUUUAAUUGGUAGGUUAGAUUUUCAUGUAUAUAUUAUUGGGUUUUGAUUUAAUUUAUAUAAUUUUUUUAAAGUAAUCUUUUUUAUUUAAAAUAAAAAUUGAUAUCUGACAAUUACAAUUGAAUGAUACAGUUCGAGUAUCAUUUUUUUAUUUUUUUCAAAAGAUAAAAAUAAAAAAAAACCAAUAAAAUACUAAAAAAUAUUUAUUUUUAAUUAUUAAAUAAAUUUUGUAUAAUUUAUAUUUCAUUAAAAUAAAAAAAUUUGUAACGGGGCGUAGUAGGGUAGUUUUUCUAGUUAAUGUAAACUAAACUCAUUAGUGCAUUUUGUCAGGCAGGAAAUUUGAAAAAGGCCCCAGCUGUUGUUUGAUAUUAUGAUUGAGAAAGGGCUAACACCCGAUCUAGUUAUCUACAUAAUAAUGAUAAGUGGCUACUGUAAAGUGAAAUUUUUUGCAGGAAGCCUUGGAUCUUUUCAACAUUAUGAAGGAGAGAGGGAUUAAACCUGGUUUUAUCAGUUACGCGGUCUUGCUUAACAGCCAUGCAAAUAUAAAUUUGAGGUCGCUUUCUAGUCCUGAUGUGACACAAACAAAGACAAGACGAUAAUGGAUGCCUUCAAUUUUAUGGAAAGAAAUUGAAGCACCUGGGGGUAGAACCUGAUGUUGUUUGCUAUACUGUUUUGAUUGAUCAGUAGGGCAAACAACCUUCGGGAUACAAUUAGGAUGUUUGAUGAAAUGAUUGAUACAGGAUUGAAGCCUGAUAAUGUGACAUAUACAGCUCUUAUAUAUGGCUAUUGUAAAAGAGGAUAUGCAGAGAAGGCUGUAAUCCUUGUCAACGAAACGUCAAGUGGGGCAUACAGCCAGACACCUGUAUCAUGUCAGCUUUGCACCAUGGUAUAUUGAAAGGAUUAAACUUUUACAAACCCCUUAAAAUAAAUAUACAAAAAAAAUAAUUUUCACAAGAUUUUCCAAAGAGCAGCAGCACGUUCAGUUCUGAGUGAACUUGGAAUUGAUCCAACCCAAAGAGACGGUUUUUCAGUUUCUGACGCAUCUCCAGCAGUAUCUUUGGGUGGUUAUUUUCUUUUUCUGCAUUGCUCUUUUCUCAAACUCUGGGUUCAACAAGUGCCUGAUCCUUUCAUCAGAUCUAGCAGUCCAUUGCAGGACCAGAGAUCCUUAUUCUGGUAUGUCAAUUUCACCCGUAUCAAGUCCAUUGGCAACAGGAGAAGGGGAUUUGUUUUUGACCAAAACCAAGUUGAAACUCAUAAAACAGGGAGGAAGCCAGUCACCCACAUCUCGUCGAACAAACUGACAGGAUAGUGGUAGUAGGCCUAUCUUAUAGUCUUUUAAAUCAUGUUAUAAAUCAAUCACAUUGUUCAUGUAAUAGAUAAUAACCAAAUGUUAUGGAAGCCAUUUAUGAAUUCAAUUGGAUUAAUUGACAUUUUAUUAUUUUAUUAUGUUAUAUGUGGUGUUAUUUUAUCAGUAUUUUCUUCCUCAAUCGCCCCACUGCCCGCUCGCUGCAUGUUCUGUUUGGUUGCUAAAUCACCAUGAGUUUUUGCAACAAUCACCGCUGGAAGUAUUUAUUGUGUACAAGGUCAAUAGAUAUUACGCAACCAGCGGUAGGCAUAGGCAGUAGGCAAUAGGUAAUAGCAGCCCAAGUUGGUGACAUUUCAAGCUUACAGCUUCUAACACUAGAAUCUCUACUCUCACCUUAUUCAAAAGGGCAAAAGGGGUUAACGAAAUGAAGAUGCUGCCUCACUUUGACGACAUGAUAAUGUUAUGCUAAAACAACCAUGCUGUGAUUUAGAAAGUAAAUUCCAAUAAUUAGCGUUCAUCUUUCUAUAACUCAUGAAGUACCAUUCAAACAUAGAAAAACGCAAAUUAUCUUAAACUAUUUCACACAAAAUUGUCAUAUAGAGCAUUCCCUUUAUACUUCUCUCCACAUAAAGCAAAUAUCGACCAAAGCAUAGCUGAGAAGAAGCCCAUUUAAAACAUUAACGUCAAACUAUACCCAAAAACUCGAACCAUCGGAUAUUACAAAUUCCUUCAAGCAGCUUGUUUUGUUGACUCCAUAAGCUUUAUGAAUUCUCUAAAAGCUGUACCAAGAAAUAACUUGAUUUGAGCAAGAGAAAUCAUUUUAACAAACAUAGAAAUCUGCAAUCUGUCAAAAUUAGGCAUAGGAAAGAAAUUUUUACCUAAAUCUGAAUCAUGAGGUCCUGGCGAUGCUUCAGGAUGGUAUUGAAGAGACAUAAUAUUUAACGCAGGAUAAGCUAGACCAGCGCAGCUUCCAUCAUUAAGAUUAACAUGAGUCACUUCUACACCCUCAGGGAGUGAUGCAGGAUCAACUGCAUAGUUGUGAUUCUGCCAAUCAUAAAUUCUAAGGUGAAAACACAACCCCAAAGAAAUAUUGCAACUUCAAACACAUGGAAGCUGAAUACUUAGCAGAAAUAUAUCCAAACUUAUAAAUACUCCACAACAUUGUCAAAAAAUAUAUUGAUUAGAUCUGCAAUAUUCAAUGAAUAUAUCAAUUUUUUUUUUUAAUUUCUUUUGCGUGUGUGUGUGUUUUGUUAAGUGUGGGGGUUAAGUGGGGUUGAUCAUCCUAGGGGUGUAAUCGAGCCAAAUCAAGACAAUACAGUGAAAAACUCGAGCUUGAGCUCGACUCCUAACUCGCGACUCAAUACUCAGCUUGAACAUAAUCGAGUUUCAUUUUCCUAGCUUGAGCUUAAUUUACGAUUGAAAUCAAACUACUCGAACUCACUUGAUUAAGCUCGAUUAAUAUAUAAAAAUAAACUCGAUUCUUAUACUUGACAAAAGUUCGAUUCUCAAGAUCGAGAUCUUUUAUAACUAUUUUUUAUCAAACCUAAUAAAAAAUGCUUUAAAUAAUCCCCUGUCAUUUUUUUUUAGUUUAUUCAAGACAUUUUUUUGCCUUGAAUAAUUCCUUACAAAAAAUUGAAUGGGGUUAUUAAAUGUAUUUUUAGCCAAAAACCCCUUGAAUAAUCAUCUUCAAUUUUUAUAAGAGGAUUAUUUAAGAUGUUUUUAGCCAAAAACGCAUUGAAUAAUCUCAUUUAAUUUUUUAUUGCGAGUUAUUCAAAGCGUUUCUAGCAAAAAAUGCCUUUAAUAAUUUCCUUCAAUUUUUAUGAGAAGAUUAUUUAAAGUGUUUUUGACAAAAAAUGCAUUGAAUAAUCUCAUCAAAUUUUUUAGAAGGGAUUAUAUAUAUUUUUUGGGAUUAUUCAAGAUGUUUUUGGCCAAAAAUACCUUAAAUAAUCCCUUACAAAAAAUUGAAUGAGGUUAUUCAAGACAUUUCUGGCCAAAAACGCUUUGAAUAAUCCCCUUCAAUUAUUAUGAAAAGAUUAUUCAAGGCGUUUUUAGCAAAACAUGUCUUGAAUAAUCUCCUCUAAUUUUUUAUUAGGGAUUAUUCAAGAAAUUUUUGCUCAGAAAAUACCUAAGCAAAAACACCUUGAAUAAUCUCUUAUAAAAAAUUGAAUGGGAAUAUUUAAAGAAAAAAGAAAAGGGAUUAUUCAGGCGUUUUUUGCCAUAAUCCGCCAAUAAAAAAUUGAAUGGGAAAUAUUUCUCAAAAAAAAAAAAAGGAUUAUUUAAUAUAUAUUUUUUAUAAAAACCACUUGAAUAAUCCUUCAAUUUUUAUUAAGGAAUUAUUCAAGGCAUUUUUACUCAAAAUAACCUUGAAUAAUCCAUUAUAAAAUUUAAUGAAAAUAUUCUAAAAAAAAAAGAGGGAUUAUCAAGAGUUUGGCCAAAACACCUUGAAUAAUUCCUCAUAAAAAUUGAAAGGGAUUAUUUAAGUCCUUUUUUGCAAAAAAACGUAUAGAAAUAAUCCCUUACAAAAAAUUUAAAGGGGAUUAUUCAAGGUGUUUUAGUGCUAAAAACGCCUUAAAUAACUCUCUUCAAUUUUUGUAAGAGAUUAUUCAUUUUUGAUCAAAAAAACACCUUGAAUAACCCCAUCAAAUAUAUAUAAUAGAAAAACUUAUUAGAUUGCGAGCUAUUCAAACCGAGUACUAAUAUGCUCGAACUAGACUCAUUCGAUAAGUCGAGCUACUCGAGCUUUAGCUCGGCUCGAUAAUUAUCGAAUCAAAUUCAAAUUUUAAACGAAUCGAAUCCGAGUAGCUUGCGAGUACUAAUGUAUUAUUUACACCUUUAGGUCAUCCCAUCGUAAAAUCUAAAUCCAUGCUAACAACACUAUACUUGCAUACAAGGGAUGUAUCGGUUAGCGAAUUAUUCAAUGGAAACACAUUGGCUACUUAAACACACCUGAGCACUAAUCUCAACAUGACCAUUGCAAAGAUUGCGAACAGGAUGAUUUCCUCCAUGGUGACCAAACUUCAUCUUAAAGGUUUUACCACCCAAAGCCUGCCCAAGUAACUGAUGGCCCAUGCAAACUCCAAAAACAGGAACUUUUCCCAGAAUUUCCUUGACUGUUUCAACAGCAUAAGGAACAGCAGAUGGAUCUCCUGGACCAUUGCUUAAAAGAACUCCAUCUGGCUUCAGCUUAAGGGUUUCAGCUGCUGGCCAAGUGGACGGCACAACAGUGAUUUUACAGCCAUAAGAUGCUAAACGUCGAAGUAUAUUAUGCUUGAUCCCAAAAUCAUACGCAACAACCUUCAAUUUAAAAGAAAUGGAGAAAUGUAAGAGCAGACACAAAGCAAAGAUCUAAAAGCACCAACAUAAACUUCAAAAAUAUUUCUAACUGUGUAAGUCUCUUGAUCUCUUCCAUUAGAGUUGAACUCCCAUUCUGAUUUUUGUUUUAUCAACCCACUCAUAAGGGGCAUUGCAGGUAACGCCACUUAUUAAAUCAACACCUGCAAAAAUAAAGACAAGAAUAAUAGAGAUACAGUUAAUCUUAAACUUUUAAAAAUACUCGUAACUUUCAAAUAAGAUCCAACUAUUCUUACCUACAAUGUCCCAUGAACGUGACAUCUUCAAAAGUUCUUCAUCACUUCUAGAUUGUUCUGUGCUCAAAACUCCAAUAAGACUUCCAUCUUGCCUCAAUCUGCGGGUGAUUGCACGUGUGUCAACAUCAUCUGCCAUUAUAGGAAAGCAUCAAGAUACAAAGGAGGUCAGAAGCUAUGCCCAGAGAACAAACAAAUUUUUUAUGAGCAUGUUUUCUAAAGUUAAGCAGUCUACUAACUAGAUAUCCAGUGCCAUAUAUACAACUUACAAAUUCCCAUAAUAUUUCUUUCUGCUAAAUAAUAACUAAGUGUUUCUGCACAUCUCCAAUUCGAAGUACUGCAAAACAUUUAAUUAAAAUUUGAUAAAUAAAUGAGGAAACCUUUUGUUCCAAAGCUGUAAAUUGCAUAUCUAAGAUGUUAAAAGAGGAAAUUUACGAAAUACUUAGACUUCUGAUCACCAGACCAGCAAGAAAGCACUGCCUUGAUUCUUCAUCAUCUGAUGGGGUAGGCAUCAACAUCAGAUCAUAUAUAGUUUUCAACAAGUCAGCAUUGAAAUGAUCAAAAGAUAAAUUUCACUUACCAAAAAUUUACUCCGGUAUUGCCAAUAUGUGGAUUGGUCAUCAGGACAAACUGACCAGCAUAACUAGGGUCUGUUAAAAUUUCCUGAUAACUGCACAACAAUUGUAUUUUGGCCAUGAAUUAGACUAUGAAUACAGAAACUUCUUUUUCCAAAGUCAUAACAGGGAAGAAAGUCUACAAAUACACUGCAAAAGAAAUAAUAAGAGCAAAAACGAUCUUUUGAAGGCCAGCCCAAAUAAAAACAACAGUGAAUUAAAACAAGUCUGUAACUUCAAUGAUUCAAUUAUUAUGCAAACUCUAUAUAAUCUUACUGAAAAUAACUUCAAAUUCAAAAUUUUACUAAAACUUUAGAUUUAUCCAACCUCACCUUAUUUCGGGCAAUCCAUUGUUCAAUACCCCACAUUACGCAUCAGUAAAAAAUUUCUUUAAUUUAGUUAAAAUUCUAAAGAGAAACAGAAAUCCAGAAUACUAUAUCAUCUUACCCUGUUAAAGAAGUGUUAAAAACCACCUCGCCGACUUGGGUUCCAGAGGCACCAAAAGAUUUAGCCCUCCAAAUAGAACCAUCUUCAAGAGCCAGCCUAGCAUCCGCUACCUUCCAUGGCCUCUCCGCCAAUCCUUAAACCACCCAUCACCAAAGAUAUUUCCACAUUAUUUCAAAACUAUAUAGGAAAAAAGAAAGACAAAAUUUGGAAGGAAAAAGUGAAAAAGAGUUUACCAGUGGCGGCACCGUCAGAGGAGANNNNNNNNNNNNNNNNNNNNNNNNNNNNNNNNNNNNNNNNNNNNNNNNNNNNNNNNNNNNNNNNNNNNNNNNNNNNNNNNNNNNNNNNNNNNNNNNNNNNNNNNNNNNNNNNNNNNNNNNNNNNNNNNNNNNNNNNNNNNNNNNNNNNNNNNNNNNNNNNNNNNNNNNNNNNNNNNNNNNNNNNNNNNNNNNNNNNNNNNNNNNNNNNNNNNNNNNNNNNNNNNNNNNNNNNNNNNNNNNNNNNNNNNNNNNNNNNNNNNNNNNNNNNNNNNNNNNNNNNNNNNNNNNNNNNNNNNNNNNNNNNNNNNNNNNNNNNNNNNNNNNNNNNNNNNNNNNNNNNNNNNNNNNNNNNNNNNNNNNNNNNNNNNNNNNNNNNNNNNNNNNNNNNNNNNNNNNNNNNNNNNNNNNNNNNNNNNNNNNNNNNNNNNNNNNNNNNNNNNNNNNNNNNNNNNNNNNNNNNNNNNNNNNNNNNNNNNNNNNNNNNNNNNNNNNNNNNNNNNNNNNNNNNNNNNNNNNNNNNNNNNNNNNNNNNNNNNNNNNNNNNNNNNNNNNNNNNNNNNNNNNNNNNNNNNNNNNNNNNNNNNNNNNNNNNNNNNNNNNNNNNNNNNNNNNNNNNNNNNNNNNNNNNNNNNNNNNNNNNNNNNNNNNNNNNNNNNNNNNNNNNNNNNNNNNNNNNNNNNNNNNNNNNNNNNNNNNNNNNNNNNNNNNNNNNNNNNNNNNNNNNNNNNNNNNNNNNNNNNNNNNNNNNNNNNNNNNNNNNNNNNNNNNNNNNNNNNNNNNNNNNNNNNNNNNNNNNNNNNNNNNNNNNNNNNNNNNNNNNNNNNNNNNNNNNNNNNNNNNNNNNNNNNNNNNNNNNNNNNNNNNNNNNNNNNNNNNNNNNNNNNNNNNNNNNNNNNNNNNNNNNNNNNNNNNNNNNNNNNNNNNNNNNNNNNNNNNNNNNNNNNNNNNNNNNNNNNNNNNNNNNNNNNNNNNNNNNNNNNNNNNNNNNNNNNNNNNNNNNCUUUUUUUCAAAAACAAUCCAGCCAUUUUUCAAGGAAAAAGCUUUCAACAUUAAACAUCCUAAUCCUUUUUACCAUUUUGGCUUUACCAAUCUCUUCCAUUAAAAAAAAAAAUUCCUUUCACUAUAAUCUGAUCCUACCAUAUUCAUAGCCUCAAAACACAGCAAAAAUUAAAAGUAAAAAAGCUAUGAUUCCCAUUCGGCCACCUUCCCAUUAUUCACCAUUGACAAUCCACCCUCAAACACGUAAACUUCACUACUCUUGAACCUUCAACAAAAAAACCAAAAUUAAACUCGUCAUCGAGACCACCACUUUUAGCUACACCAACCACUAUCACCCUUAGCCAUCCCCCAACCCGAGAUAAACACCAUCAACCAUCCACCACCAUUUAACCUCUACUCAACACCCACCUCAAUUUCAAUCACUACCUGAAAGUUUUAACCAAAUACCCAUACUACCAUCAAUACGCAAAACCCAAAAAAAAAAAAAAACAAGAAAAAAUUAACCUCAUUUCCCAAAAAGGUAAGCCAUAGAAGAAACCAAAGAUACAAAAAAAAUUUUAGGGUGGAGGUUUUGGUUUUCUUGAGAUUAAUUAGGCUUUGGAGUUUUUUUUUUUUAAAAAAAAUUGGUUUGGAUUUGUAAAGAAAAAAAGGGAAACAAGGAAAGAUAAAAGGGGAGGCCAUCAACACCAUUAGAAAUAGCGGCGACUUAAAGAGAAUGACGAUGGCGACGAGCCUUCUGAGCAAUUUGAAACCAUGGUUUGGAAAGUCAUGGAAUUGAUAAAAACAUACUUUGGUUUUGGCUGGUUUAGGUGACAGCAAAGGUGUUUUCCAACCAUAAAAAGUUUUGACCUUCACACUCAGAUCGAGGAAAAUCUAGGGUGUUUUUGAAAAAUAUAUUUGGAGAUUUGAGAAGAAAAGGCCAAGAAAAAGCCAUGGUGAAAAUCCGGGAUUCAAAUGAUGCUGGCCAGCAUCGACAAUCGAUGAUGAUGGUGACAGUAAUGAUGGGCUAAUGCUAGAAACUGGGCAUGGCUAAAGGAAGCAUUUGGCUUGUGAUUUGUUUUUGAUGGAGAGAAAUUUUUUUUUAAACAAAGAAGGAAAAUGAAUUACAAAAAAAGAAUGAGUUUUUAUACUGAGUUUAAAAAAAAAAAAAAAAGACAAGCUAUUGGGUUAAACCCGAACCACGUAAAGUCAGACUUGAAACUCGUUGCCUGACCUGCUUUAAAUUUGACCCAAUUGACCUACUCAUCUAGUGGCCUACGCACAACUCAAGCUUUAUUUGGAUCUGAUCCAUACCUAUUAGACCCAUCACCGAAUAAGGCCAUAAACAAAGCCUAAGCCUCAACCCACUUACUUUGGACUCUUCCAUUAAAUUAGGUUUUGACCCAACUUAUGGUAAUUUAUUUUAAACUAAUUUAGUUACUCGUUGAUUUUUGUAUGCAUAUUUUAAUAGAUAUAUAUUUAAUUAUUUUAAAUCAUUGAUAAUAAAAAAUAAAAUUAGUAUUAUUAUCAUUUUUAAAAUAUAUUAAAUGACUAAGGUUAUAAUUUUAAUUUAACUUUGUGAAAUUAUAUUUAUAUAUGUAACGAAAUUAAAAUUAAAUAAAAGUCUUCGAAUAAUGAGAUUUCAAAAAGUCUGAGUAGUAAUUCUUGAUAAUUUCUUAAGUGAGAAGUUUUUAGAAAUUAUUAAAAUAAUGAAAUUUUUAGAAACUCUUUUCAAUACAAGAAUAUUUUUUCUUUUAAUUUAAAUAAUUUUCUUGUAAAAAUAUAAGAAUAUUUAUUAAAAAAAAAAAACGCAUCUUUUAGGAAAUAGAUUUAUUUAUGGAUAAUUAUAUUGUUGCAUAACUUUUCAAAUGAAAUAUUAAUAAUUAAUGAAGAUUUUUCCUAUGAUGAGAUACUAAAUAAGUUCAAGUAAUGAUUCUUCAGAAAUUUUUAGGUAAGAAAUUUAUCUAAAAUAUUACCAAUGUAUUGGAGUAUUUAGAAUAAUUUUUUAUAAAAAAUUUUUGUUUUUAAAAUAAAUAGAAUAAGAAAUAAAUUUUUUAGAAAAUAUUAUUUGGAUUAAAUUAUAGACAUCAUAUUUUAUUAUAUGCUUAGUAAAUAUAAAUAUUAUGAACCAUCAAGGAUGAGAUACUUGAAAAGUCUGAGUAGUGAGUUUUAAGAAAUCCUUAAGUGAGAAAAUUUCUCUUAACAUUGUCAGAGCAUUGGAAUAUUUUUAGAGAUUUUUCAAUAUACAAGGUUCUUAAUUUUUUAGCAAACAACUAAAAAUAAAAAUAUGUUUUUUUAUUACAAUAAAGAAAAUAAAGAAAAUUAAUUUUAAAUACCAAAAUUAAGAUAUUUUUAUUAAAAUUAAAGGAUAAUACAUAAUUAAUUAGUAUUGUUUUUUAUGGGCGCUAUGGGAGUACUAAUCCUUCCUCAUGAGUAAUUGACUUCCAAACUUAAAUUGUUUUCGCAAACCCAAAAAUUAGCAUUUUAAUAAAUUUUAAUUAAUUUUGAGAUUUUAUUAAAAAUGUAAGUUUUAAUAAGUAGCUAAUCACACCAAACUAAAAAAAAUUGAUAGUCACCUAACUGUUACCAUAAUCAUGAAAGGCAACAACCACAUGGCACCUUCUUUACAAAAAGUGGGAUGCAUGCAAAUAGAAACAUAAAUGAGUAGCGCUUCGAUUAACCAUUCGUGAAUAUAUCCGAUUUUUACUCGUUUAUAUUCAUUUAUUAAGUUUAACAAAUGAUCUUAAAUAGCAUUUUUAUAUUCAUUUAUUAAACCAACAAAACACAAAUAAAGAUCUAUUUAGUUCAUUUAUAUUCGUAAAUAAAUUCAUUUAAAAUUCAUUUAAAACUCAUUUCUUUUUAUUUGUUUAUUGUCCAUUUGUUGUUUGCUUAUAAUAACAAUAACAACAACAACAACAACAACAAUAAUAAUAAUAAUAAUAAUAAUAAUUUUACAUUUUUAUCUUUUAGCCUAAUCAUAUUUUAAGAUUUGUUUAGGUUUAUUUGUUUAAACUUAUUUGAUCAUGAUUUGUUUAUUUCUCAUGAACAUAUUCAUUUAUAUAUGUUCAUAAACAUAUUUGUUUAAUAGUCACGAACAAAUUCAUUUAAUUUAAUUAAACUGAAUACAAAUGAGAUAAUAUAUUUUAUAGUUUUCUAAAUUUACAACUUUCGGUUUUAACAUAUUUUUUUCAAUAUGUAAUGUAUAUAUAAUAUUGUAUUUAUAUAAUCAAAGUUGAAAUAUGACCCAUUGAAAAUUUUUUCUAGUUAUGCCGCUACAUGUAAGGGUAUAAACGAAUAGAAUAUGAAUGAACGAAUGUAUGUAUAUGGUUUGUUCAUUUAUUCCAAUUAGCAAAUCAAAUUAACAAUCAAUAAUCAAUCAAUAUGUUCUUUUAGAUAAAACCAACAUUUGAUGAAACUUGAACCUAAAGAUUCAAAGGUUUGAAGGCUUCCUCUUAUUGUUAAGAUAAGAUUUCAUUAACAAAUAAAUAAUAUUUUCAAUUAAGUAUAAGUUAAAAAAUUAUAUGUACAUUAGAUUAUUCUGCAGAUCUUAUGUACACACUACAAGAAAUUUGACAUAUAAUGAUGCUAAAAAAAGUAUUGAUAAAACUUCAAAAUCCGUCAAUAUAACACCACAAACCUUAUAUCGACGGUCAAAAUAUAUAUUCUAAUGAAUUUUUAAUCUUUAGUAUAUCCUUUAUCUGUAUAGACUUAUAUUGACAAUUUUUAAGAUAUCGAAAUAGCUUACAGAAAUGUGCAUAUGGUUUAAAACAGUCAAUAAAUGUAUAUUUAUUGGUAUAGCAUCUGUUGUAUGUUAAACCAUUAUAACUUUUAUCGACGGUUAACACCCUUCAGUAGAGACUUGUAUGUUUUAAUUUUUCUUACAUAUACCAGUAGUUAAUGCUCAUCAGUAUAGACUGUCAGUAUAGCCUGAAAUAUUUCAAUAGUAAAACAUGUUGAUAUAAAUUUUAAGGCAUCGAUAAAAUUUUUUUUUUGAAUUAUAUUUUCAAUUAUUAACAUUAAUUUAUUUAUAAUCAUAAUAUGAUAUGGUUUCAUAUAAAGUAAAAAUAAACAAAAAAGUAAAAAUAUUUAAUAACAUUUGAAAUAAAACAAUAACCAAAUUGUUUUAUAAUUCACAAAUUUAAAAUAAGUCAAGAACUAACAUCAUUAUACCAAAUCUAGUAAAAAAAAGAACACUAAUAUCUAUGAUUGAAUGUCUACAAACAUAGUGCUCGAAAUUUGCAUCAAAGAAUCCUCAUCGUGCUAUUACUAAUAGCUGAACCUCAAAUCCUUUAUAUAUAUUAUGAACAAUGUUUUGAAGAUUGUUCACAUCAGAUGCAUAUUGAUCCGCUGCAACUCUUGUUCCAAUGCCGAAGCCAUACAAUUCAUUUCUUGAUAAGCUAGAUUGUUAUUUAAGAAAUUCCUAUAAAAAUGAAAUAAGCAUUAAAAUUUCAAAAAGAAAGAUUUUUUUUCUAUGAUGUUUUUAUCCGAGAGGUCUAAGGAUAAGUUGCUUGCUAGAUUAAGAAAAGAACAUGUUUCAAUGUCACAUUUAUUAAGAGGCUACCAAUCCACAAUAGAACAGAUGAAGUUUUCAUUUGUUUUUCCUAUUAAAACUAUUUUAUUAACAAAAACAAUGUCGCUAAUAACAUUUUCAAGCCUUCUUUUACUUUUCGAUGUGAGAAAGACUAAGCCUUAAUUCAUUUAAUACAGCCAACAAUACAAAAAAAAGGCAUGUUCGAUGACAUAAACUUGAAAUGUAGAAAAUGAAAAAUACCUUUGAGAAAUGACAAGAGCCUUGAUGCUUCAACUUUGAUUCAGCUCUAAAAUAAAAUCGGUUUCGAUGGGUUUAAGUUUGUAGAGUGACAAGUGGAGAGAGUUGGUGGAAAGUGGAGAUUAAAUAUGUAGAGUCGAUGGGAAGUGAAGGUAAAUAAAAUGAUUUAAAUUCAUAAGCCCAUCAUUUUUUUUUUUUGGAUUAUUCAAAGCAUUUCUAGUAAAAAACAUCUUGAAUAAUCUGUUAACAAAAACAUUUGAGUAACUCAGUCGGUUAAAGUAUACGGCUAUUAACUAUAAGGUCAUAGGUGUAAUCCCUCCCUCUAGCAUUUUGAUGAUUUUUCAACCUUAUGGUUAAUAGCUGUAUGCUCUAACCAACUAAGUUACUCUAGUGUUUUUGUUAAUGGAUUAUUUAAGGCGUUAGGCAUUUUUGACCAAAAAUAUUUUGAAUAAUCCAUUUUAAUUUUUUGUAACGAAUUAUUCAAGCUAAAAAAGCCUUCAAUAAUCAUUUGAAAAACUCUUAAAAUGUUAGAAGAAAAGAUCGAACCUACGAUCUUAUGGUUAAUAGCUAUAUAUUCUAACCGACUAAGCUACUCUAGUAUUUUGUUAACAAAUUAUUCAAGGUGUUUUUGACAAAAAAUGCCUUGAAUAAUUUUCUUAUAAAAAUUGAAGGGGAUUAUUCAAGGCAUUUUUAACUAAAAAUGUCUUAAAUAAUCUUAUUCAAUUUUUGUAAGAGAUUAUUCAUAACAUUUCAAGCCAAAAAAGCCUACAAUAAUUCCUUAAAAAAUCCUCAAAACGCUAUAAGGAAUGAUUGAACCUACGACCUUAUGGUUAAUACCCAUAUACUCUAACCAAUUAAACUACUCAAGUGUUUUUGUUAAUAGAUUAUUCAAUUUUUUGUAAAGGAUUAUUCAAGAUGUUUCUAACCAAAAACGCUUUUAAUAAUCCUUUGUAAAAUUUUUUGUAUGGAUUAUUGAAAAUGUUUUUUUAUCAAAAACGCUUUCAAUAAUCCCUUUCUAAAAUUUUUUAAAUGGGUUAUUAAAGGCAUUUUUUACCAAAAAUGACUUUAAUAAUCUCAUUCAAUUUUUUGUAAGCUAAUAGUUUUUUUUAGCCUAUACUGACAGUUAUUUACGAUUACUUUAAUAAUCAUCAAUAUAUAACAUAUUUAUAUUGACGAAUAGUCAUAUACCAUCAAAAAAAAUUUAUUUAUACCGACGGUUAAAUAAAAUAUUGAUAUAAGUAUGGUAUAUUUUAACGGUAUUAAAAAUUCAUCAGUAAAAGUCUCUUUUACUAACGAAAAUUAAUCGUCAGUAAAUAAUCCAUACAAAAAAAUUUUUGUAUAGAUUAUUGAAGUUUUUUUUAGUCGAAAAUGCCUUCAAUAAUCCAUCUCUAAAAUUUUUUGAAUGGAUUAUUGAAGGCGUUUUCGAUCAAAAAUGCCUUCAAUAGUCUCAUUCAAUUUUUUGCAAGCUAAUAAUUUUUUUUUUUUUGUUUUGAGCCUAUACUGACAGUUAUGUUAAUAACAGUUAGUAUAUAAUAUAUCUAUACUGACAGAUAAUCACAUACUGUUAUAAAAAGUUUAUUUAUACCAACGGUUAAACAAAAUAUUUGUAUAAGUAUGGUAUAAGUAUGGUAUUCUAAUAGUAUUAAAAAUUCAUCCAUAAAAGUCUCUUUUACUAACAGAAUUUGAUCAUUAAUAUAACCAAACAUCAAUAUACAAAAAAUUUUUUUAUAAUAAUAGCGAGAGCUUUAUGUAUCAAUAUACCUUUUUUAUAAUAUAUUUGAAAAUAUGACAUAUUUCACAUUUUAAUCAUAUGUUCUUAUUAAUAAUCAAUUUGUAUCAAAUAAAAAAAAUUAUAAUCACAUAUAUAAUAUAACAUAAAUACAAGAGUUUUUAACCUUUUCUCUUCUUUUAGAUUUUUAUUAAAAUGUUGUUCAAUAUUAGUAAAUUAUACAAAAAUUUAUUAAAACACUCGUAGUAAAUUAAAAUUUUAAAAAUUUGAGUCGAUCAAUUCACCCAUAUUUUAUAUGUGGCUAUGCCACUGGAUGCAUGGUUUCUAUUGGAUAAGAAAGCCUAGUGAAUUUCAUAAAGUCAGUGGAGAAACUAUAUGGUUGUUAUAAUCCCACAUAAAAAAAUAUAUAUACUAUAUGGUAUAAACCACCAAGAAUAUGCUCAACUAUAAUUCAUUAAAAAUAAAACUAAUCAUAAAUCUUAGAAUUUAAUUCAAUUAAUUAGUUCAUGCAAUUAUUUUUAAAAGUAGUAUUUAGCAUUUAGCAUAUUUGAUUUUUGAAUCUCAACAUUUAUAAUCCCUUUUUUUUAUUUUCAAACUCUAAUCUUCUUUAUAAAAACUUAAAAAAAAAAAAAAAAAAAACCCUUAUCAUAAGGCUCAAAAUGGAAAUUCAAACCCCUAACUUUCCCUUUAUAUAAAUUCCAUGCUCCAACUACCUUCAAGAAGAAUUACCCAUCUGAACCUCACAACUCACCCAGCCAAACCAUGUCCAUUUUCAUAUCCACUCAACUUCUUCAAGGUUUGCUUGGAGAAUUCCACUCUAGAAGGUUGCUGCUGCAUACCCCAUCUUUUCCAACCCUAACUACAGCAGCUUCUACAAACCCUGAAAACAACCUCAAUUCUUCAGAUCCUUACACUGGUAAUAGCGGCUUCGAUACAAACAUUGUUAUGGUUCUGUCGGUCCUCUUGUGUGCCCUAAUUUGCUCACUAGCACUGAAUUUCAUUAUUAGGUGUACAUUAAGGUGCUCAAGUUUGGUAGCCUCAGAAUCCCUCGCCAGCAGCUCAGCUCGGUUAGCAAACACAGGGGUCAAGCGAAAAGCCUUAAAGACCUUUCCAACAGUAAACUACUCUGUUGACUUGAAGCUGCCUGGCUUAGACUCCGAGUGUGUAAUAUGUCUAUCAGAUUUCACACCUGGUGACCGCGUGCGGCUUCUACCAAAGUGCAACCAUGGAUUCCAUGUUCGUUGCAUCGAUAAGUGGCUGAGCUGCCACUCGUCUUGCCCUAAAUGCAGGCACUGCCUCAUCGAGACAUGCCAAAAGAUUGUUGGCGGCAGUAGGCAGGCUAGGUCAUCAGAACCUCCUCCAGUGCAGGAAACCAUUGUGACCAUAGCACCGGUAGAUCCUGAAGGUUUGAUACAUAGCUAUAGGUAGUCAAAGCUAGAAUUCAGCUCUGUACCUUGAAAAUUAGCAUCAGAAAGGUCAGCAGCCAGAACACCAUACAAAACCAAGUGUAAAGUUAAAGUUGUAAAUUUGUGCACGGUUUGAAAUUUGUUACUACUUGUUUUUAUCUUUUUUCCUUAGCCUUCUUAUGAAAAACACUUCACAACUUAAAACAGAACAUAAUGAAAAUUUUCAGACGAAAGGGCGAGCAACAUAGUUUAGAUUAAUUUCUUUUAAAAUAGUAAUUAGUAGCAUGAACAAAGGACGAAGCAAGUCAAAGAUUUGUGGUAGCUGACUAUACCUUACCGAAAAUGAAAAUCACUUAAACCAGCAAGUCCUGAAGAGGCACAACCAAUCAGCUUAAUUAAACAAAUUUCUUAAUUUUUAAUAUGAAAAUUAAAGAAAUGGCCUCAUUUUAAUAAGAAUGGUUUUCAAACCAGGUUCAAAUAUAUUAGUAGUAGUAAAUCAUAAAGAGCAGGACCAUCACACAGCAUUCUCAUAAGAAAAUAUGAAUGAAAAUUCAUUCAUAUAAUUAUUUUAAGUAGUGACAUUUAUCAGAUUUAGGAUUUAAAUCCCACUGUCUGCUACAUUUUUUCUUAUCUCACUCUAUAACCCCCUUUAUAUGUAUAUAUAUAUAUAAAAAAAAAAAAAAAAAAGGAAUUGGUGUGUUAACAUCUUUUUAAAAACCAACAUUCAAUUCUCCUCAAAGCUCUUAGUUAAGAAUAUUGUUACUUUGUCUGAAAGUUAUGUGAAUGUUCACAAAUAACAUAAAUACAAUAAGUAACAAACACGUCACGGAAAAAUAUUAGAUUCCUAAUUGUACUUAUCAGAAUUUAUUAUAAUCUUAAAUAUAAAAAAACUCAUGAACAUUUAUUUUCUGUGAGUUGUAUUAAUUAAAGAGAAUAUCAAAGUGUCUGAUGGUUUGGACUACUCGCAAAAAAUAAAUGUUCAUAAAUGUAUUAAUUUAUUUUGUUUACGUUAUUUGUGAUGAUUUGCCGACUUAUGACAAUCAAGCACGUCAACCUAGAAUAUAAUAGUACCAAAGAAAAUUAUUGAGAUAACGCCAUCUCAAUCAAAUCCCACAAAAUUCGAUUCUAAACAUAUAAAGGAAAUUUGACUUAUUUCAAAUACCAUGCAGAGAGGAUGAACACUUUCCCAUGGAGACCCAGAUGUAACCUACCUUGACAAGAAAGAAACCAUAUUUAAAACACAAUAUCUUGAACCAAUGAUGGAGCAGAAAAUCAAUGGAAGCUGAAGGUGAAUCCACUAAUAUACUUUCAAAUCAGAAUAAUUUUUACCAAAAGGUGCAAUUUGUUUCUUAGUACUCACAUGAACCAUUUCGUAGAGGGAGCUGACUAAUAACCACACUAUCCCGGCCACCAGAAUUUGAUUUGUCGAGGCUUAUUGGCAUGAAUUAUAGUUUGAGAAGGUGGGCAAUUGAUGGCAAAGUAGAGCAUUAGCAUUGAAGGUUCUUACGACUGCAAUGCUGUGAGUGAUAAAUCGAUAUUUCCAGAUUCCAAUACCUCUAGAACUGGGCUCAAUAAAGAACACUCCAGCAUAAGAGGAGAUCCUAAUAAAUUAGGGAAACCAAUUGUUGCUAAUCACACAGUGGACCCUGGCUACCAAGAAAAUUGGUGCGUCAUGACAACCAAAGCUCAUAGCAAUCCGGGGUGGAGCUAUACGGGGCUUGGUGGCCUAAAACAAUUUUGAAAUUGUGUGUGUGUUUUAGAUAAAAUUUAAAAAGUCAUCAUUUUUCUAAUUUAUUUAUUGUUGAGACUAGCUUUGAUUCUAUCAAUUAUCAUUAUUACAAUAAAAAAAUAUAUAAAUUUUCAAGGAUAAACGUUUUGAAAUUUUGUAUACUUACUAAUUUAUUUGUUGUUGAAAUUCUGUGUUUUACAUAAAAUUUAAAAAGUUUUAAAAGUUUUCAUUUUCUAAUUUAUUUGUUGUUGAAACAAGCUUUGAUUCUAUCAGUUAUCAUUAUUACAGUAAAAAAGUAUAAAUUUUCAAUGAUAAACAUUUUGAAAAUUUGUUUACUUACUAAUUUAUUUGUUGUUGAUGCUGGCAUUGGUUCUACCAGUUAUCAUUUUCAAUGAUAUACAUUUUGAAACUUGUUUACAUUCUAAUUCAUUUGUGGUUGAAAUUAGCAUAGGUUCCAUCUUAGAAAGCAUUUUCAACAAUAAACAUAUUGAAGAUUCGUUUCUGUAACCGAAUGAAAAAUCACUAAUCGAAUGAUAACUUAGUUUGUAUAUUAUUAGUAAUAAAGUUAUUAUUUAAUGUUUUUAAAAUAUUAAAUUGCCUAAAGAAUAAUAAUAAAUUUUUUAAAAAAGUUUAAUGUUUAUUAUUAUUAUUGUAUAAUUUAAUUUAUUUAAACUAAAUCUCACAAAAUCAAACUUUUAGCUCCCACUUCAUCAGAAAAAAAAAAAAAAGAAAAGAAAGGGACAGUUGUAUGUACUAAUUAUCAUGUUGAACAUCAUCUCAACUGAAAAAGAAAUAUUCGGUAUCAAACUGAUUGAAAGAAAAAAAGGAAGAAGAUAUCCACAUAUCCGCACGGCACCAUGCCUUGUCGGACAACCAUUAGACAGGCACAUUGCAUUUCUCAGAUUUUUCCAAAUUUUGAAAGAUGGGUUAUUUGGACUCUUCCCAGGACUGCUCUGAUGCAUAUUGGACAGCCCAUGAACAGUAGAGUGACACGUCUACUUGUUCCGUUCUUUAUUUCUAACAGUUCUAACAGAAAGAAUAAGAUUACGUAAAAAAUUAUUUUUAAAAAUAAUUUUUGAAAAUUAUUUAUAUUUUUUUAUUUGAAAAAAAAAUUAUUUGGAUGGGUUAAUAAAAAAUAUUUUUUGUUGUUUGAUUUUUUGAAAAAAUUUAAUUUUUUUCAAAUAAUAUUAAUAUAACUAUUAAAAUAUUAAAAUUAUUUAUUAUUAAAAUAUAUUAAAAUUAUUUAUUAUUAAAAUUAUUAAUAUUAAAAAAUAAUUAUAUUUAAUAAUAAUAUUUAAUAUUAAAAUAUUAUGUUAAUAUAAAAAAUACUUAAAAUAAAGUUAUUUUUUAUUCUUUAUAUUAUUUAUUAAUAUAUUAAUAUAUUAUUUAUUAAUAUACUAUUAUAAUAUUUAUUAAAUUAAUUAAUAAUAUUGAUUACUAUAUUAUUUAUUAAAAUAUAAUUUUAUUAAUAUAAUAUAUAAUUUUAUUAAUAUAAUAUUAUUUAUUUAUAUAAUAUUAUUUAUAAGUAAUAUUAUGAUCAUUGGUAAAUAAUUUACUUAUAAACAAUUUUUUUCGAAAAGUAAAAAGUCAAAUUAUACUAAAAAAUCGGAGUUUGAGUAAUGAAGGGGGUAUGGAUGAAAGAAGAAUUAAAGGGUGAUUCGACUUUGAAGUUAAACGACAGUGUUUCAGGUGAGAUAAGCAUAUAUUUGUUAUUUUUUUUAGCAUUUUCUGGUAAUUUUAAGGGAGGAUUGCAGGGGAAGGGUAAAGGGGCGAAGUGAAGGAAGUAGAGGGUGAGAAGAAGGAGAAGGAGAAGAAGAAGAAGCAGAGGAAGAAAGGGAGAAACAAAUUUUUUUCUUUUUCUUGGGAGGAAAAAGAAAGUAUACAAGGAAAGAGAGAUUUUGAUGAGAUUUUCUUGGGAUUCUUUUAAAAAAGGAGGGGGGUGGUGGUGGGGUUUGGAACUUAUUAGAUUGACAUUUUUUGAAAAGCCAUGAUGUCAUGAGAAAAGAGGGUGACCCAUACGUCCAUUUCGAGUACUAUUUGGAUGGCUAAAAAAUAAGAAGCUUUUGAUCAAAAUAAAUAUCAUGAAAAGUAAAUGAAUUUAUUUGUUUAAAUUCGUAUUAUAAAUAAAAGGAGGAAAAACUCAAGUGUUGAUGUGUUUAGUUCAUUCAUUCAGCAUUUUUGCUUUUAAUUUGAGUAAUCUUUUUAUUUAUCUUUUUGUUUUUAAAUUUGAAAAAAAAUUCUUGUUAAAUAAAUGAUUUUUUUUCUUGCAACGAAAUGUGGAUAAUACUUUUAGGUAAGGUUUGUUAUAUUUUAUAAAAUCAAUAUGAUAAUAUAACUACUAGUUUUAUUACCAAAAUAAUUUUAUCAUUUAUGAUUUAAAAUCAUUUUAUUUGAUUAAUAAUGAUUAAUUCUUAAAAAUUAAAGAUCAUGUUUGAUAUUAUUAAAAAUUAAAUAUUAUUUUAUUUAAAAGUAUAAAAAUAACUAUACAUAUUGUAAUAAUUACAUAAAUUAAUAAUUUUUUGGUUGUUUAAAAAUAAUAAUUUGUAAGAUAUUAGUAAUAUUUAUUUAUUUUAUAAUAAAAUAUAAUUAAAUUAAUAAAUAUAUUUAUUGAUAGGUAAUUUUAUUUUUAUAAUAUAAAUUAUGAAAAAAAUAUUUAAAAUAGAAAACAAAACUAAUCUAUCAAAUUCAUAAUAAAAAAGAAAAACUUAUAUUAUAUAAAUAUUAAAAAGUGAAAAAUAUAUAUACAAAUCAUUUUGAACUUGUUAUAUAAAUAUUAAUUUAAAAUUUUAAAUUUUAUAAUAUAAAAUAAUUACAAUUUUAAGAUAUAACAAGAUUUUUAUUUAUAUAUUAAAUUAGUAUAAUUGAUUAUUGUUAAUUUUAUACAUCAUUUUAUUUUAAUGAUAAAAAUUUUUUAUCUUCUUGAUUGGAAAGUAAAUCACCUUCUAAAUUAAUGAUCUAAUCAUUUUUUAUGAUCUAAAAUUACCAUCAUUAUAUAAAAUUAUCAAGUAUUUAUCAAACAUAUUAAUCUAAUUAUUAUAUGUGAAUUAUCAUAAUUUUUAAAAUAAUCAUUCUAUACCAAACUCUGUCUUAAUAUUUGAUUAAACAAAACCCAUCGACUUAAAUUUAGAAUGACAACAAACAAAGCUUUUGGUUUUACAAUGAUUGCCUUUGUACUUAUCCUUUUUAUUUAUCUAUCUAUUUAUAUAUUCAUAUUUUAGUGGAUCAUUUUAGAGAUAUCAAUGAGACGGAUAAACCAUUCCUCAUAUCCAUCAUCGAUUAUAUAAUUUUGUUCUCAUCUCCAAAAUUUUAAUAUACCCUCUUUCCAUUCCCAUCAAUGUGUACGGGGAUCUAACGAAUAUGAGAAAUCCUUGUACUCAUGUUCUUUAAAGAAAAAAAAAACCUAUGAAACCAAAUACAAUACAUGCAUUAAUACAAAUACAAAUUUAAAUAACAAAAAAUCACUUAAAAGCUAAUUAAUCUAAAAUAAAAUUAUAUUAUUAAAUUAAAAAUUUAUUUACUAUAUAAAUAUAUUAGAUAAGAAAUGUGAAAUUAUCUGUCUUUAUUCUCUUAUCUAACAGUUAUUUUAAAAUCAUGUUUAUUUCUAAAAUUUAAUACUCAUACUUAUCUUUAUUUGAAUAAAAAAAAUUAAAUUCUCUAUGAAAUUUAGAUAAAAUUAAUAUUUCUAGAUAAAAUCUCUAUGAAAUGAUAACUUAGUUGUGUAUAUUAAUGUUAACAAAGUUAUUGUUUAAUAUUUUUAAAAUAUUAAAUUGCCUAAAGCAUAAUGAUAAAUUUUUUCAAAAAAAUUUAAUGUUUAUUAGUAUUAUUAUUAUUGUUAUUAUUAUAUAAUUUAAUUUAUUUAAACUAAAUCUCACAAAAUCAAAUUUUUAGCUCCCACUUCAUCAGAAAAAAAAAAAAAAAGGGACAGUUGUAUUUUCUAAUUAUCAUGUUGAACAUUAUCCCAACUGAAAAAGAAAUAUUCGGUAUCAAACUGAUUGAAAGAAAAAGAAAAGCAAGACGACAUCCACAUAUCCGCACGGCACCAUGCCCUGUCGGACAACCAUUAGACAGGCACAUUGCAUUUCUCAGAUUUAUCCAAAUUUUGAAAGAUGGGUUAUUUGGACUCUUUCCAGGACUGCUCUGAUGCAUAUUGGACAGCCCAUGAACACUAGAGUGACACGUCUACCUGUUCCCUUCUUUAUUUCUAACAGUUCUAACAGAAAGAAUAAGAUUACGUAAAAAAUUAUUUUUAAAAAUUAUUUUUGAAAAUUAUUUAUAUUUUUUUAUUUGAAAAAAAAAAUUUAUUUGGAUGGAUUAAUAAAAAAAUUGUUUGUUGUUUGAUUUUUUUAAAAAAAUUUAAUUUUUUUCAAAUAAUAUUAAUAUAACUAUUAAAAUAUUAAAAAUUAUUUAUUAUUAAAAUUAUUAAUAUUAAAAAUAAUUAUAUUUUAAUAAUAAUAUUUAAUAUUAAAAUAUUAUGUUAAUAUAAAAAAAUACUUAAAAUGAAGUUAUUUAUUAUUCUUUAUAUUAUUUAUUAAUAUAAUAUUAUAAUAUUCAAUUAAUUAAUAAUAUUUAUUAUUAUAUUAUUUAUUAAUAUAUGAUUUUAUUAAUAUAAUAUAAUAUUAUUUAUAUAAUAUUAUUUAUAAGUAAAUUAUGCUAAAAAAUAUUGAUAAAUAAUUUACUUAUAAACAAUUCUUUUCGAAAAGUAAAAAGUCAAAUUAUACUAAAAAAUCGGAGUUUGAGUAAUGAAGGGGGUAUGGAUGAAAGAAGAGUAAAAGGGUGAUUCGACUUUGAAGUUAAACGACAGUGUUUCAGGUGAGAUAAGCAUAUAUUUUUUAUUUCUUUUAGCAUUUUCUGGUAAUUUUAAGGGAGGAUUGCAGGGGAAGGGUAAAGGGAGGAAGAGAAGGAAGUAGAGGGUGAGAAGAAGAGAAGGAGGAGAAGAAGAAGAAGCAGAGGAAGAAAGGGAGAAACAAAUUUUUUUCUUUUUCUUGGAAGGAAAAAGAAAGUAUACAAGGAAAGAGAGAUUUUGAUGAGAUUUUCUUGGGAUUGUUCAGAAAGAUUUAAAAAAGGAGGGGGGUGGUGGGGUUUGGAACUUAUUAGAUUGAUAUUUUAUUGUUAAUUUUAUACAUUAUUUUAUUUUAAUGAUAAAAUUUUUUUAUCUUUUUGAUUGGAAAGUAAAUCAUCUUCUAAAUUUUUGAUUUAAUCACUUUUUAUGAUUUAAAAUUAUCAUCAUUAUAUAAAAUUAUCAAAUAUUUAUCAAACAUAAUAAUCUAAUUAUUAUAUGUGAAUUAUCAUAAUUUUUAAUUAUCGUAAUUUUUAAAAUAAUCAUCUUAUACCAAUCUCUGUCUUAAUAUUUGUUUAAACAAAACCCAUCUACUUAAAUUUAAAAUGACAACAAACAAAGCUUUUGGUUUUACAAUGAUUUCCUUUGUACUUAUCCUUUUUAUUUAUCUAUCUAUUUAUAUAUUCAUAUUUUAGUGGACCAUUUUAGAGAUAUCAAUGAGACGGAUAAAGCAUUCCUCAUAUCCAUCAUCGAUUAUAUAAUUUUUUUCUCAUGUCCAAAUUUUUAAUAUACCCUCGUUCCAUUCCCAUCAAUGUGUACGGGGAUCUAACGAAUAUGAGAAAUCCUUAAACUCAUGUUCUUUUUAAAAAAAAAAAAAAAACCUACUAAACCAAAUACAAUACAUGCAUUAAUACUAAUACAAAUACAAAUCUAAAUAACAAAAAAUCACUUAAAAGCUAAUUAAUCUAAAAUAAAAUUAUAUUAUUAAAUAAAAAAAUUUAUUUACUAUAUAAAUAUAUUAGAUAAAAAUGUGAAAUUGUCCGUCUCUAUUCUCUUAUCUAAUAGUUAUUUUAAAAUCAUGUUUAUCUUCAAAAUUUAAUACCCAUACUUAUCUUUAUUUGAAUAAAAAAAAUUAAAUUCUCUAUAAAAUUUAGAUAAAAUUAACAUUUCUAGACCACCUGCGUUAUUUUCACUACCUUUGAAAGUUUGAUCUUGCCAUUGGAUUGGGUGAUAAUAUGAUAUUGUGGAUUUAUUGUAGAUAGAUAAUAUGACCCUGCUUAAUGGUUUGAAUUUAUAUGAAUGGUUUUUUUUUUUUUUUUUAUAGAUAGAUUCUGAGCAUAAUUUGCCAAGUUUAACUUAAUCUAAUGUUUCAUUUCCAUAGUUUCUAUAGGUUUUUUUCAAAAGUGAAUAAUGACACUUUUUUUGGUUUUCCACAAAAAUAAUAUACUUUAUUUUCAUAAAAAUCUAAUACUACCGUGUAAUUUGCUCUAGCCCCUAAUCUAAUUGCUCAAAUCAUUUUUGAAUCUGGUUUGUACGCUGAAAGCCUGGAGAGCGAAGGCCCAUGUGUAAGAAAAAGGCCUUUUCUUAAACCCUUCGAAAACCAAGGCCCCUGCCGCUGCCCUCCAUUUUUGUUUGAGAAGGGGGAGAAUGGCGGGGCCGGCUUUGGGUGAGAGAUGAAAGAGAAAUUGAUCACUACACUGCAAGCGGCCUCAAACACGUAGAUGAAAAGAGAAAAAAAAAAAUUUCAGAGGGGACUCUGAUGUCCGAGUUUCUCAAUUGAUUAUUGUUUUCAAUCUGAAUUUCGAAGCCUGGUCGUGUUUCUUCUUCGCUUUCUCUCCAUCAGCAUGGCCUUCCCUUAAUUCCUCCUCCCUGUGCCUUGUGAUGUUUGCUUUCUUCACGGCUUUAAAAUUUCAUUAAUUAUAAUAAAAUAUUUAAUAUAAUAUUAAAUUUUAAAAAAAUUUAAUAAAUAUCUAAAUUAAAUAUAUAUCAACUAAAAUAAUAUUUAAAAAAUUAUUUUUCGUCAUCAUUUAAAAUUAAUGUCACUCUGUAUUACAUUAAUUACAUAUUUAUAAUUUAUCUAUUAUAAUUAUAAAAUUUAAAUAUUAUAUUAAAUAUUUUUUAUAAUUUAAAGUCAUUCAUGACAUUAAAUUUUUUUAAAAAAAAUCUUUGUCUGACUUUACUUGUCAAGCAAACCCUUAAUAGCUGACUCGUAAUAUUAAUAAAUGUUUCCUUUCGUGUCAGUAGAUAUUAUAAGAUAUAUCUUACAAAAGUGAAUAAGCAUGUUUUAUCUACAUAGCUGUAGUAGGCCCCCACCAAGCUCAAUGUCUCGAUCCACUUUACCUAUAAUGGACUUCCGUCAGGUUCUUUCCAUACUUUUGCUAAAUGCAUACGAGGACGUAAGUGACUUCUGGGAGGUUAUGAUUUUCCAGUCUGAUCUUUUUUUGUCAGUAAGUGUUUCUGUUUUAGCAAAAGUAGUAAUUAAUUAUACAAAGGAAUGAAAACAUGUUAGAUUGCUCAUUAACAUUACUGACAAGCUUACUAUUCUUCCUUCCUAAUUGUAUCAUGCCAUAGAGGCAUUGACACAUCUAAAACAGAAUCAAGCAACCUCUAUCAAACCCUGCUUCAGCAUCUUUUAUCGAUUAAGUGAUGUUAGCUGGUGUUUUUAACCCAAUUUUCAGAAACACAUGGUUACAAGCACUUUGGUGACAAUGGAAGGCCAAGCUGUGCCCGGUCUGCUACCAAAUCAAGCCUCCGAACUCAUUGGAUUGGAGUUCUGGAUGUUAUACUUUACAUAGCAGCGGGUGUAAUCAACCUAAUGAAAAUUGUCUCAGAGUUUAAUAAUAGCAGGUAUGAACUCUCAGCAUGCAUUUGUUGUUCCGUUUUUGGUAAUUAAUUUAAAUCAUAUUCAUUGUUUCAAUUCUGAUAAUUUUGCUAUAUUAUUUGGUUCCAUGCCUCUUUUAUUAUUAGCCUUUCCAUCACAUAGGAAAAGGAAUUCACUGGAUAUGCAACUUGUCAUGGAGUACUAUUCACGUAUACAAUGAGGAUGCAUUGUCAAUAAAGCAUUCUCUCCUGCAUCUCUAAUAGCUAAUUUGGCUAGAUAUAUGAGUAAAACUGUCAGUUGCUUUGUUAAAAUUAACCAAAAAACUGGCACUGAAAGUUUAAGUGGUCAAUAAUCUUCAAAAUAACCCCAUGAUGAUGGUUUCUUUCAACUGGAAACUGAACCUACCAACAGCCACCAAUGAAUUUUCUCAACAAUCAUCCAGUUAUUGUACAAUCUGAUUUCAGUUGCUACAUUCCUUUCAGUAUGGUGUGAGCUUGUGUCUGUAAAGUGUUGUGCACUGCUCUUCAUUCCACCAAGAAACUAUUUGCAUCUGAUGUCGCUGUUUGGAAACUUGGUGCUGUACUUUCCGCCACUCCAUCACAAUUGACUUUACAAAAUCCCUCCAUUAUAAAAUUGCCAAAGAACCCUACCUUCACUCACAUUGCGUUCCAACCUCCAUAUUGCUUCCACAGAUUCACUCAUAAGUCAUACCGCCACCAACAAACUCUACCAACCUCAAUUGUAUUUUAUACUUACUUUCAUGUUGAGCCAUACUGCCAUAUUCCCAGAUGUCAUAGUCAGACCCCCACUUGGAGUAACUUAGCUUCUUCUAAUGAAAAGGUAGACGGAAAAGUCACGCCUUAGCCUCUCCUCCCGCCUCAACUGCAGUCAUACAAAAUGGUAAAAGUACUCCCAUUCCUUUCUAGCAAAACAGCAUGAUGCCACCCAUGGGAGGGAAUUAUUCAAGAUAGCUAAUUGGCCAAACAACAGAUCUCUUCUGGCUUCGGGGGUUCCGCAUGAACUUUGGACUAUAAGGAAAGCUAUUCAAAUCGGGCAGAACUAUGACCAUCUGGAUUAACAAAUUGUUUAUACGCUAAAAGUCUACUGUUGAUCAGAUUAUGAGAUCUCUCCAGCUUGAGCUUUCAGCUACCUACUAAUUCGUAAGGCUGUAUGCAACAUCAUGUAGUUUGGGUUCUCUAUUGCUUUUGCACCAAGGCAAAAGGAGUGAAAAAAAUAUUAUUUUAAUUGCGAUUCUAUUGGUGUCUCUUGUAUGUUCGUCUUCACAAUGUAUUGUAUAUCUGCAUCCAAAUGCCUAGGGCAGUAAGAGACCUUGAUAUUUGAUUUUAAAAGGGUCGAUUAAAAUUAUAUAUAUUUUAUUUAUUAUAUUACUUAAAAUUGAAAGUAAGUGUUAGAUAUGAAUAUAUAUAUCCAAUACGGAUAUGUUCAUUUUUUAAAAGUUUUUUAUAUAUUUGAACUAUCCGACUUACAUACUAACAUUUAAAAUAAAAAACGUAAUGUAUAUUAAAAUUUUAUUUUCAAAAUUUUGAAAUUUUAACAAAGAUUGUAAACAUUGUAAAAUGUUGCUACUCAUAAAAAUUUAAAAUAAAACGUAAAAUAUUUUUACUAAAUAUUAUUACAUAUAAAAUUUAAAAUAUAUUUACUUAAUAUUAUUACUUAUAAAAUUUAUUUUGAGGCUCCGCCCACUAUAGCAAAAUGACAUAUUAGCAACAGUUUUGUAACGGCAGUUUUGUAGCGGCCUUUCACUUACAAACGUCACUAACUUUCGUGUUUUUACAAAAUUUUAGGCGUUUAUUAUCCAAACGCUACUAAAUAUUCAAAUAGCGACAUUGUUAUUUAUAAACGCCACCCAAUACUUGAUAUUAUAGGCACUUUUCGACUAAAACGCCUUGAAUAUCUUUUAUUAAAAGUUUCAGUGAAUAGUUAAAAUGUAUUUUUAGCAUACAACACUUUCAAUAAUCACGUCAUAAAAAAUUGUAUGAGAUUAAUGAAGACGUUGUCUACAAGAAACGCCUUUAAUAUUUAGACUAAAAAUUUUUCCAGGCUCAUUAAAUUUAUUUUCUUCAAAAACUCAUCCAAUAUUAAGCUUAUCAAAUUAUUUGGAUCAUUCGGAUGUUUACCAUAAGAUUGUUGGUUCGAUCUAUCCUUUAGCCUUUUUUUGGGUUUAGGCACAGAUUAUUUGUUAGUGAUUAUUCUAGGUGUUUUCUUGGCAUAAAUGCCUUCACCAAUUGCUUUAAAAAAUUUAUCAUAGAAUAUUGAAGGCGUUUUUCGUAGAGAGACGCCUUUAAUAAUCGAUAGAAAAAAUAUGGGGUUGAUUAUUGAAGGCGUUUUUGAUCGAACUCGCAUUUUAUAAUCCAAUCAGUAAAUUUUUUUUUCGAAUUUUUAAAGGUGGUUUUGUAAUAAACGCCUUCAAUAUUUCAUAGACAAAACUUGGAUGGGAUAGUUGAAGGUAUUUUUGGCUCAAAACGCCUUUAAUAUUCCUAGAGAUAAUUUUUAAUGGUCGGAUUAUUGAAGGCAACUAUAUCCAAAAAUGCCUUCAUAAACAUUUUGUUUAGAUUAUUGAAGGCGUUACCCGUAAGAAAACGCCCUUGAUAAUCCAUUCAAUUAAUUUUUAGUUGGUAUUAUUGAAGGUGUUUUUUGUCCAAAAUGCCUUUAAUAUUUCAGACAAUAAUUUUCUAGGGGAAAUAUUGAAGAUGAUUUUAGUAAAAAAUGCCUUUAAUGUUUUCUGUAAGAGUGAAUGAAGGUGUUUUCUUGCUAAAAAUACCUUCAUUAAUCACAUCAAAAAAACAUAAUUGAUACUUUAUAUAUGAAGUCAGUUGUAAGUUUAUGCCCAGAAAAACGUUUGCUGUCAGUUGUAUAUUUAUGCCUAGAAAAUAUUUAGUUUAUAUAUCUGAUACUAUGAAUUACAUUUUAGAAUUUGCAUAAUGAACAUUGUUGUAUUUCAAAAAAUUUACUACACAUCUGAAAUUAAAACUGAUAACGUUGCUAUAUUAAUAAACUUUUCUGAAAUAAUCGUACUCAGUAAUUUAAUAAAUACACAUAGUGUAUUCAUAUUAAGUAUAACAAUAAUAUUAAAGCAAUACCACCAAUGUACAAACUUAAAGUUUCCAUUCAAUAUUGCAUGUUAAAAACAUUAUAACAAUUUGUUCCAUAUAUAUUUAUAAUCAACCAACAAUGUCUAACCUGAAAGUUUAUCAACAUUGACAAAUGACAAUACAUAAUCACAUCAUUCUUUACGGACUUCAUCCAGCUCCUCUUCCGUGAAGCUUUCUUUACUCUCCCACUAAAAAAAAUCAAAAGUAAAUGUUAAGAAAUUAUAACAUAAUGUACCAUUUUAUUUUUUUGAAUAUAUAAUGAGUUUAUGAAAUUUAUACUAACCUUGAAUGGUGUGGUCAUAAAAUCAUGUAACACUAUCUCCCGCAUAAAGCAAAAGACAUAAUAUUCACAUUCAGUAUUACCGGGUUGACGAGGUACCUUAAAAUUAAAUUGAGUCGAUUUAAAAAAUAGUUAUCUACACAAACUCAGCAUUAAAAUAAUAAAUUUGACAUUUACCGAUAAUGACACCAAUUUCGGUUUCUUUAUCUUCUUAUUGAAUGCAGAUAUUAUCUAAAAUUGAUAAGAAAAAAAUUAGUGGGAACAUAAAUAAAAUUUCUUAUGAAAAAAUAGAACAUAUAUAAUAUAAUAAAGUAUUGUAACACCUUUUUAUAAAAGUUUCAAUAUCGGGGUUAGGCAUCGUUGUUGGAUUAACUGAAUUAAAAAAAUAUGACGUUAAGGAUUUGGUGUUAAUCACAAUAAACACUCAAUGACGACUGCAAAAUAAUAACAAUGAUAUACUUAGAAUAAGCAUCAGAUCAUAGAAUGAAGCAGGUUGGAGUAAUUAAGGUUGGAAUAUAGCUUAUUGCGCAUUAUACGGGAGCAAAUAAUAAUCAGCCAGUCUUUUCAUGCAUUUCAGUCUUUUCAUGUAUUGGAUCACAUGAUUAGCACGAUACACGACUGUGCCACUCUGCUCACUAAUAAAGUUGGAGUCAAUAAAUCUAAAUCUGUUCGUCAACUGUCUCCUCUUUAGCUUUCGAUAUAAGAAGCUACAUGAUAACAAUCAACAUUGCUGGUUCGUAUUACACCCUAAUACUAACUUACUACAUAUUGAAUAUGCAUAUUUGUAUUUAUAAGCUAACCUCAUAAGUAACGAUUUCAACAGCUGAUAAUUCAUCAAUUUCAUAAAAUUCUUUCACCUCAUCCACACCAAUGAAAGAAAAUUAUUGUUUAUCAAACAAGUCUUCCUCAGACUCAAUGGAUAUGAAGUUUCCACCGAUACAAUUCUCUAACAAAUAUUUUGUUAACUCAUCUAUGGAAGCCUGGGCAAAGGUCAGACAUUGAGUAUGAACAUCCUUUUACAAUAUUUAAUGAAAUAUAAGCAUUAAAACGAAAUCAAUCAAUAUAAUAAACAAAUUAAUAUUCAAAUUAUAAACAAUAUCAUACUUCUUGGGUGGUAACGAAUGAUGGGAUGGCUUCCUUACUUGCAACGACAACUUUUCGCACGGAGACGAUAUUAUCAAGCUGAGGUACUAGCAUUACCUAUUGCAUUGCUGCCAACAUGGACUCCAAAGUAGCGAGUCUUUGCAGUUGGUCAUUGAGGUAUUGCUCCUGAUUAUUAAUUUAUUGAUGUUGCUGCGAACUUAUUACUUCAUAUUGUGCAUUUCUCAUUCGUGGGAUUUUUGGUUGUUUACCAAAAUAAGUAGAUGGCAAGACAAAUUUACUAACCCCAUGAAUUUGAUCAGGCUUUUCUUUAGCAUCUAAUGCUAAAGAUAAAAUAUCUUCAUCAUACCGGGUUGCCAGUUCACUAGAUUUUACUUUGGUAGCAUAGUUAUCUUAAAAGAUAAUAAUAAGUUAGGCUGUUAGAACAAAUCUACACAAGCUAGUAUACACUAAUGCAUACAACCACAAUGCCAAUCAUACAUUAUAUCAAAAAAAUAGUUACACAUAAAAUCUUUUUUGCCAAUUCCUCGGUUGCUUCAUCUGCGAAUGAUCCAUUUUUCUAUAGAUGUCCUUGUUUUCAAACAUCCCAUCUGAAAAUUUCUGUGUUUGAGCUCACUGAUUCCUAUUAAAUUAUCACAAUGAAAAAAUCAGAAUAUAUGAAAUGAAUGUUCAUGAAUAUUCAUUAAUGAGUAUAAAAUAAGUGUGCGAAGAUAUACAAGCUUAUACUUCACAAUUGCAUAUCCUUUUCUUGCUGUCUGAUGGUGAUAUUGUUGUUUGGCCUAAAUGUCUCGAUGUUGUUCUUUGAUUUUCUACAAAAUUAAGAAAUUAUGUCAAUCACAUAUGAAGAUCAAAUGCUAUAUUGCUUCAAAACUUAUAAACUUGGACUAAUUUGGUAAUGGAUUUGCAUACCAAGAAAUCUUUUGAAAGUCGAGAUUGAAUAAAAUUUAUCCAAUCUUCCACACUUAUGACAUAUACAUAUGACAUAGGUAGAACAGCCAAAACAUCACCUCACCAGCCAUCGGUAAAAUAUAUUGGGUUAUAAAUCUGCUUUUAAACUCUCUUAAAGCUUUCUCAACAGAUUGUAAUACAAUAUUUUUACACUCAAUUGAGACGUCGAACCGUUCCUAAAUAACUUAACACAAAUAGUAUCAACACAUUGAAUUUCAUUUAAAUGACCAUAUAACAAAUUUUAUGAAAUAGUUGAAUAAACAUAUCACAACGAACUAUCAUAUCUCAUCCUUUAGAUCAUCAGAAACUCAUCGUCAAUUGAUAUAUGUAAUUGAAAUCUUUCGAUGGACGAUGGCUCUAAUAUGAGUAGCCAUCUUAGCAGCUCCUUCCGACACAGGUUACCCACUUUGAUUGAAGUCAACAUGAAUUUUUGUGUCAGUCACUUUGAUUUGUUUAUUUGAGCCCCUUUCUUUUCUUUUUUGGCUUGUAUUUCUUUCUUUUGCAUGUUCAUUAGAAGGAGAAUGAUGUUGUUUGGAGUCCAUAUUACUUGUAAUAUUGAUCAUAAUUAUACGAAUUGCACAAUAUGACCCUCUAAAUUAAUCAUUGUACUUACUUUAAUACAACCAAUACUAUACUAUGUAUAGAAACAGCAUUUAGCACACCAUUCAGCAAAUCACUCAGAAACACCAUUCAGUAAAAUAACAUCAGACAACAAGUUCAACAAACCAUUCAGCAUGAAAUAUUAUUCAGACCCCCAAUAUCAUAUAAUAUCAUUCGACAAUACAAUAUCAGUCAACAAGAUUCAACAAACCAUAAUAUUUAAUGCGUACUACAUAAAAAUAGCAUACUUGCAAUAUGAAUAGAAUCUUGGAUGACUAUGCUGACGGUGAUGUUAAUGAAAAUAUAUAAACGCAUAUGCCAAUAUUAAGGAACUAAAAAAAUAAAAAUUCUCUAUUGAAGGCGUAAAUAAUACAGUAAACUAAAAAAAAAAAAAACUUGUCGAUUAAAAUAGAGGUUCGCAGUGGUGAUUUGUUGAAAGUCGGAGGUGAAGAAUGGGAGAAAGAAAGCAAUGGUCUGCUAGAAAUAUGUUUAAGGGUUUGGUUUGUUUGGUUGAAUAACGUAACUUUUAAUCGUUUUGUGUACUAGGCCUCUGUAAAUUCCUAUGUUCAAGGUAGAGAAAUGAAUAUAAAAUUAAUUAAUAAAGGCAUUUCCAUGGAACAACACCUUCAAUAAUCACUUAAAAAUUUUAUUGGAUAUUAUUGAAGGCGUUUCUUACAAAAAAAAAGACUCAUUUAAUUAUAAGCCUUUAAAAUUGUCCACCCAACUUAUUAAAGGCAUUUUUUAUAAAAAAAAAAAAAUGUCUUUUCUAAUUCUUAAAAAUUAUAAAAGGCAUUUUUAGUAAAAAAUCACCUUCAAUAAGUAUGGAUUUUCAAAGUUUAUAACAAAUUAUUGAAGGUGACUUAUAAUAAAAUAUGCUUUUAAUAAUCCAAAAAAAUUUUUUUGACAAAUUAUUGAAGGCAAUGUUAUCUGAAAUCACCUUCAGUAAUUAUAUACAAACUGUGAUAGAAAUUAUUAAAGGUAUCUAUCUUAAAUAUACACCUUCAAUAACAAUAUUACAAUUUGUGUGACGGUAUAUAGAAGGUAUUUUACAUUAGAAGACACCUUUAAUAAUUUUUAAAAUAUUUAGUGGAAAAAUUUUGAAGAUGUCUGUUAUUAACAAACGCCUUCAGUAAUUGAAGGUACCUUUUUUAAUAAACACAUUUCAUUACCAUCGUGAUAUAUCAAAGGUGUAUUAUAAUAAAAGACGCCUUUAAUAAUCCGAAAAAAUUUUAUUAGGAAAAUUAUUGAAGACGUUGUUAUCUAAAACUGCCUUCAGUAAUUAUAUACAAACUGUGAUAAAAAUUAUUAAAGGUGUCUAUCUUAAAUAUACGCCUUAAAUAAUAGUGUUACAAUUUAUGUGACGGUUUAUAGAAGGUAUUUUACAGUAAAAAAUACCUUUAAUAAUUCUCAAAAUAUUUAGUGAAAAAAUUUUAAAGGUGUCUGUUAUUAACAAACGCCUUCAGUAAUUGAAGGUAUUUUUUUUUAAUAAACGCCUUCCAUUACCAUCGCGGUAUAUCGAAGGUGCUUUACAAUAAAAGAUGCUUUUGAUAAUCCAAAAAAAUUUUAUUAAGAAAAUUAUUGAAGGCGUUAUCUGAAAUCACCUUCAGUAAUUAUAUACAAACUGUGAUAAAAAUUAUUAAAGGCAUCUAUCUUAAAUAUACACCUUCAAUAACAGUGUUACAAUUUGUGUGGCAGUAUAUAUAAUGUAUUUUACAGUAAAAGACGCCUUUAAUAAUUUUCAAAAUAUUUAGUGAGAAAAUUUUGAAGGCGUCUGUUACUAACAAACGCCUUCAGUAAUUGAAGGCGCCUUUUCUAAUAAACACCUUUCAUUAUCAUUGUGGUAUAUUGAAGAGGUUUUAUAAUAAAAGAUGCCUUUAAUAAUCUAAAAAAAAUUUAUUAGGAAAAUUAUUGAAGGCGUUGUUUUCUAAAACCACCUUCAGUAAAUAUAUACAAACUGUGAUAAAAAUUAUUAAAGGCGUUUAUCUUAAAUAUACGCCUUCAAUAACAAUGUUACAAUUUGUGUGACGGUAUAUAAAAGGUAUUUUACAGUAAAAAACGCAUUAAUAAUUCUCAAAAUAUUUAGUAAAAAAAUUUUAAAGGCGUUUGUUACUAACAAACACCUUCAAUAAUGGAUUACUAAGUUUAAAGGUAUAUUGAAGGCACCUGUUCAAAUAAACGCCUUUCAUUACCAUCAUGGUAUAUUGAAGGUGUGUCAUAAUAAAAGACGCCUUCAAUAAUCUAAGAAAAAUUUUUUAGUGAAAUUAUUGAAGGCGUUAUUUUCUGCAACCGCCUUCAGUAAUUAACUACAAACUAUGAUAGGAAUUAUUAAAGGCGUCUUUCUUAGAUAUAUGCCUUCAAUAACAGUGUUAGAAUUUAUAUGGCGAUAUGUUCAAGGUGUCUAUAAUAUAUUCAAAAAAUAUUUACGAGGUAAUUAUUCUUGACGUUUUUUGUUAAUAAACGCCAUCCAUAAUCUUGUCUAAUAAAAAUCUUUCCAAACUUAGCACAUCCAAUCACCAACUUUAAGCUUCAUCUUCAUUAUUAUAUCUUUUCAAACCAAGUACAAUUUACUUUUCAUUUCCUUUCGCUUUUAGUAUUCAAGCAUUGUCUUUUAGAACCUUAUUUCGACUAUUCAUAACUUAUUGACUUUAGCUUUUACUUUAUUCGACUAUUCUUUCAGCUCUUGCAAUUCAUGAUUUUUUUUUUUUGUGAAAAAAAUUUUCUACAAAACCCACUUUAUUUUACCUUAUGUCAACCCUAACUACAAAUACUCUUGGGUACUGUCUACGUUAGCAACAGAGUUUUAACAAGUGUAAUAUUUGGUAGCUGAUAAAUUACUUUACACCAAGGAGUUCUAGUUUUGUGUAAGUAUUAUUCUUGUUAUUAUCUUUUGUUUAAAACAUAGUAAACUAUGCAAUUACACAUGUUCAUUUUCAUAUUAAUUAUUUAUGUAUAUUUGGUCUGAUAAUGUAGCAACUAAUAAAUGGAUAAGAGUUGGAUACAAAAGUCUAGAUUAAGUCAAGAGUAUAGAGAUGGAGUGAAAAAUUUUUUUAAUUUUACAUUUGAGAAUACAAGUGAAGAUAAUAUGAUAUUAUGCCCAUGCGUGAAAUGUACUAAUAUCGAGUGACAAAUGAGUCAAGUUGUUUAUAAGCAUUUAAUUUAUAUUAGAUUUUUAUCUGAAUAUGUUAAUUGGUAUUUUUAUAGAGAGUCUGUACUGUCAAGGUCUUCCACUAUAGUUUCUUUAACAUCAAAGGCUCUUCAUCACCAACAUGAUCUUUUUAUAGCAUAUGACAUUGAAGGCAUAUUGCGAAAUACUUUUAACAUUCAUAACCAAAAUUUUCGUAAUCUUUCUCUCCAAAAUGAAGGAUUUAAUCAGUCCAAUAAUGAAAUGCAUGAAUUUGGUGAACCUGGGAUAGGUGUAUGUGACUAACAACCUAGAUGAGAAGCAUCAAAGUUUUAUAGGUUGCUUGAGAAAAUGAAUGAAAAACUUUUUGAAGGAUCGAAGCAUUCAAGGUUAUCUUUCUGUGUUCAUCUUUUUCACUUAAAAUGCUUAUGUGGAUGGACAAAAAACUCUCUGACUUUAUUAUUACAGUUUAUGAAAGAAAUGUUUCUUUUUAUAAAAAUUCAUGAAUCUUGUAAGAAAUCAAAGAAUAUGAUCAAGGAUUUAGGUCUUAGAUAUGAGAAAAUUCAUAGUUAUCCCAAUUAUUGCAUGUUGUAUUGGGGGAUAGAAAAAAUAAAAAAUCUUAUCAUUUGUGUGGUAUUUCUCAUUAGGUCAACAAAAACUUCCAUGAAAGGUUGAAUGAUUAUGGUGAUGAGGUAUGUGUCAAAAAUAAGCCUAUUAAAAUUUUACGCUAUUUUUCAUUGAUACUAAGACUUCAAUAACUCUACAUGUCUUCCAGAACUACAGAUUCAAUGAGGUGGCAUCAUGAUUUACGGAUGGAUGAUGGAUCAUUGAGGCAUUUUGCAGAUUUUUUGGUAUGAAAGUCAUUUCAUUCUAGGUUUUCAAACUUUGAAAUUGAUCCUCAAAAUGUUAUGCUUGGACUGACAUCUGAUGGAUUCAACCCAUUCCAAAUGAUAAGUAUUUCUUAUAAUACUUGACCAAUUGUAUUGAUUACUUAUAAUUUGUCAUCAUGGAUUGCUAUGAAGUAACAGUCAUUUAUAUUGUCUAUGAUAAUUUUCAAGAAAAAAAGUUUGGAUAAUGAUAUAAACAUCUACUUACAACCUCUUAUUAAAAAUUGAAAGCAAUUAUGAGAAUAAAUUGAGACCUAUGAUGCAUCAAAAGUGAAGAACUUCAAUCUGCGUGCUACUUUAUUAUGGACUAUCAACGAUUUUUUUACUUAUGCGAAUUUAUUUGGUUGGAAUACAAAAGGUCGUUAUGCUUGUUUAUGUUGUACUACACAGACAUGUUCAAUGUGGUUAUUAAUGAUAGAAAGUUUGGUUAUAUGGGACAUCAUUGAUGGUUAGAUGGUAAUCAUCAAUUUAGAUUUCAAAAAUAUCUCUUUGAUAAAAUUGAAGAGUUGAAGAGAUUGUCUUUACCCAUUAGUGGGUCUACUAUCUUGUCAAAGUUAAAAGAUAUAAAUUUCACAUAUGAAAAAAUGACUUCAUCAAGAAAAAGAGUGAGAAAAUUUUUGAAGGUAUCUGGCCUCGUAUUACGUAAGUUGGUGAUAGUCAUACAGAAGUUGGUGAUCUUGAUGUUCAAAGUGAUGAAGAGGACGAUGAAGUAGAUAACCCCAAUGAGUAUGAGUUGUGAAAAAAAAGUAUAUUUUUUGAGUUACCUUAUUGGAAAUAUAAUUUAUUACACUAUAACCUUAAUUUGAUACACAUAGAGAAAAAUAUUUACGAAAAUUUUAUUGGGACAAUUUUUAAUAUGAAUAGAAGAUCCAAAGAUGACUUAAAGAGUUGGUUUGACCUAAUUAAUAAGGGGAUUCCUAGACCUCCAUCCGAUGUUACUUUCUAAUGGUAAAUAUCGAUUGCCUACUACUUGUUUUGGGAUUUCUAAAGCUGAAAAAGAUGUGUUUUGUAAAGUUUUAAAAAAUGUCAAAGUUUCGGAUGACUAUGCGUCAAAUAUAUCAAGAUGUGUGAAUAUGAAGAAGUGAAAACUUUCUUCAUUGAAGUCAAAUGAUUAUCACAUUUUGAUGCAAGACUUACUUUUAAUUGUUUUACGCUUAUUAAUGUCAAAGCAAGUGACUUCUGUGAUAAUUGAAUUAAGUAACAUAUUAAAAUCUCUAUGUUAAAAAUGUAUGAAUGUGGAAGAGCAUGACAAAGUUCAAGAUCGAGCCGCGAUUACUUUAUACCAUUUAAAGAAGUUAUUCACUCUAAACUUUUUCAUUAUUAUGAUGCAUUUGGUUAUCCACAUUCUAUAUGAAGCAAAGGUCGGUGGGUCGAUUUAUUAUCGAUAGAUGUAUCCUAUUGAAAUGUAUUAUUUGUUAAUAGAUUGAUUACAUUUUUAUUGAUUAUCAAGCCAAUUUACUUAAAAUAACAUAUGACUUAUGUUUUAUGCUAUAGGUUUUUGGGGAGAUUAAAGUCUUAUUGUCACAACAAACGCUAUUCAGAAGGUUUUAUUGCUAAAAGAUAUUUAGCAUAAGAGUGUAUGACAUUUUGUUGUCAUUAUUUAGAAGAUGUUGAAACGAGAUUUAAUAGAUCUUUGAGAAAUAUUGGUAUGCAGCAUACAGACUUGGCCUACAAUUAUCUUUUUCAAAGUUUUAGACAACCCAUAAGCAAAGUUGAAUUGGUGGAGUUAGAUGAUAAAUCUUGGGCACAAGCACAUUGAUAUGUUCUUUUUCAUCAUGACUCAAUUGAAUUGUUUCGCACGUAAGUUGUUUAGCAAGGAAAUUAUUCAUUACAUUAGGCAUAAUUUUUUGUGUUUUUUUUUUAGUGUUAAUACUUUAUCAUGAUACUUUAUAAUGAGUAUAAAAAUAAUUUAAGAGAUCCAGCACAUUAUCAACGAUCAAACUCUCGAGAGGUUGAUAAGUUGUUCGCUAAAAACUUUCAUGAAUGGCUAGGAGCAACUGUAAGUAAUGCCAUACUUUUCAUUAUUUUUUAUCUACAUAAAAUGCUUACGGUAAAAAUAACAUUAAUAACAUAUAUAUAUUUAUUCCAUUUUUAUAAGUUUGGAGUAGAAUGCUUGUUAGUAAAGAGGUGAAAUGUCUUUUACACAAUCUGAAUCAGAUUGUGAAACAAUACAAAGGUUUCAUCAUCAAUGGAUUUAGAUUUCACACAAAAUCCUGUGAGAGAUUUAAAAGUACACAAAAUUUAAGAGUUGUUGUGACUUCAUCAACUACUAGCUAUGCUAGUGCUAGGGACACAAACCCUUUAGAGGAAAAUGUUGACUAUUAUAGCAUGAUUAAUGACAUCAUUUAGUUAAUUAUUAUGACAAAUGAAAAGUUAUCUUAUUUCGGUGUGAUUGGGCAUAUGUGAAUAGUGCAAAAAGUCUUAAGAAAGAUUAGUAUGGAUUUAUACUUGUGAAUUUUUCUCGAUUAAUUCACACUGGACAACAACUCAUCGAUGAACCUUAUAUAUUUUCAUCUCAAGUCAAACAAGUAUUUUACUCUGAAGAUCUCAAAAAAUUGGGUUGGUUUGUUGUUCUUCGAAACACACCUAGAGAUUUAUUUGAUAUGGGGUUAAAUACCAAAAAUGAUGUUGAACAUGGAACUGAAUAUUAUUCUUUUGCUGAACAAAACUUGGAUGAGAAUAUCUUCAGUACCUAUGCUCAGUGGGUCCGCGAAGAUGUUACUGAAGACAUUUACAAACCUUGAUUCUGUGCACCUAUAAUUUGUAAGUCGAGUGUUUAAGAAAUAAUGUAGUAAAUAAUAGUAUGUAAAUAAUGUCACAUUCGCUAUUGUAUAAUUAUUGUCUUCUAAAUCAUACAUUAUAUUUUGAUUUAAUUAAAUCGAUAUGUUCUUUAUAUGUCGUAGGUUUUGAUUUCUUAAGUUGAAAAUGUCUUUAUAUAUCUUCUGAACAAAAAUUUUUUCUAUAUUCGUUUUUAUGAUAUAGGUAAGCUACAAUACAAAGAAGUAAGUUGAAAAGAAAACAUAUCAGAGAUAUUAGUUCAGAAUCGUCUGUGGGACCUGUAGAUAUUGGUUAUGGACUGAAUCCUUUGAAGGUAAAUGAAUGUACUGUCAGAUCUAAUUUCGUCACUUCUAACCCUUCGACCAAUAUUGGAUCAACAAUAUGGGAGGUCUAGGUUUAGAUAGUAUCCCAUCAAUUGAUUAUGCUUUAAAUUCGAAUGCAGGUAUGAUAUACUCCAAUUUAGAAUUCGAGUAUAAUGAUAAAAGUAUUAUGAUUUUACAAAUAUAUUAUAUAUUUGUUGCAAUUGAUAACAAUGGUCAACAGAAGAUCAGAGGUCGGACAACUUUGAAGGAAUUUUCUGCACUAUCUCCCAACGAGCAUAUUGUAGUGUCUAUAAACUCUGAUAGGCAACCAAUUGAUGAAGAGGCUCAACUAUUGGCUGAAUUUCUAGGCAUGCUAGCCCAUAAUGGAAUGAAAUUGCCUAUUCAUUAUGAAACAUGGCAUAAUAUUUCAAAAAAAGUUAAGGUCGAUACGUUAAACUUUAUUGAGGUAUUAGUAUAAUUAAUUAGAUAUAUUCAAAUUUUUUAUUUUACAUUUUGUUUACUUAUUCAAACUUUUCUUAUUGUAUUAUUACAGUCAAGAUUUGUACUUGAAAUACCAACUUCAUAUGUGCUUAAGUCAUUGGAAAAGAAAUGGAAAGAUUAUAAGCAUAGUUUGAAGAAUAAAUAUUUCGAUUGAAAUAGUACUGUAAAGGCAAUGAUGUAAAAUCUAUCCAUUAAUGUGAUUAGGUGGCAGUAUGAACAACUGAUUAGAUUUUGAUUCUAAAAAAAAAGAGAGGUACUAGUUUAUAACUUUGUAUAAUAAAAUGAAAUGAUAAAAGUGUUUGAUGGUUUCAGUUGGUAAUAUUUGUAUUUUUAUCAUAUAAGCAAUUAUUUUUUAUGACAGAAAAGAGAACAGAUUGGGAUUGGUAGCAGAAAGCAACAAAAAUAUAGCCAUACAAGUGGAUCAAAAAGUUUUGCAAGAAAGCAAAAAGAAAUUGUAAGUUUAUGAUAAUUAACUUAUUCUAAUGAAUGAACUUUUUCUGUCAUUGAAAGGUAAAUAUAGAAAUUAACAUUUAUUGUUCUGUUUUAAUAGAUUUAAUUAUUUCAAUACAUGAUAUUAAACUUACCAAAAUUUUGAAUUUAGUUACACAGAUGAUAUGUAUGAAAAGUUAUUGUUUACAUAUAUUUACGCCUUUAUUAUUUGGUUGUUGUUAUUGUUGAUUUUUAACAGUUUUGAUAGAUUCAAUACUUGAUAUUAAGCUUGUCCGAUUGAUUGACCUUAGUUUCAAUAGUUGAUAUGGGAGAAAAAGUUGUCAGUUAUGUCUGUUUGGAAAUAUUUGUACAUAUAAAAGGCAAAUAUACAAAUAAAUUUUGGAUGCCUUUCAACAUAUUGAAUGGCUUCAAUCCUUCAUUUUAAAUCGAAAGAAAAUAAUUAAAUUUGGUUUCCAUGAUCGAUAUGUGUGAAAGUCCAAAAUACUUUUAUUCUUUGCAUAUAUUUAAGACUAUUGUGUUGUUACAGGACCAAAAUAUAAAUAAAGGAGAUUAAAGUUAUUCGAAAUUUUAAUACUUGAUUGACAGGAUUGAUAUGCAUAAAUAAGUUACGAUUGAUAUAUAUCCUAUCAAAUAACAUGUUUUUGUAUAGGAGAAUGAGAUGGGCAGUACAAUUGGACGUGUGAAACUUUUUUGCCUAACACACAAAAAAAAUGAAUCUUACAUGAAUGUCGAAAUACAAGAAAUUAUGGUAAUUUGUAUCAUCUAUUUUAACAUAAAGUAAAUAUUAACUCUUUUUUACAUAUAAUCAAUUAGUCAUUAAACUUGAUAGUUAUAUAUGACAAAUUCACAAAAGAAAGCAAAAGAAAAAAUGGUUGCUGAGAUUGAAGUAGCAUCUGAAGAUUCUCUCAACAUGCAAGAAAUGAAAAAUCGGAUAUUCAUAGAAGUUGCUGAAAAAGAAAGGCAUGGAUGGGUCCGACGCCUUGGAUUGAGUCUAACACCAUCUGCCUAUUAUGGACAUAACUCUCCGUAAUUUACACUCUCAGCAAGUCAGUUUUUAUGAGACAUUUCAAUAUUGAAAGCAGAAAGAAAACAAAAGCGUGUCAAAAUUGAAGAAGAACGAGCUAAAAUAAAGCUAGAGCGUGCAAAAUUUCAACAGUUGCAUGAUUGAUUUGAUCAUCUUAUGAAUUUUAUGCAACAACAAUUUUCAAGAAAUGAUUUUAGUGCUCCACCAACUUAGGUAUUAUAUUUAGUAAAUAUUAAAAUUUUUAAAUAAAAAAUAAGCAUACAAUGAAGUGUUAAAAAUUGUAUGGUAUUAUUCAGUAGGUGGUUAAGCACGCUAGUGACUAAGGUGAAAAUUUUUCUUCAUCAAUUGGCAGCCAGUAAAAUGUAUGUAGUCAUCCAUUUCAUACAUUUUAAUUUUUUAUUUUGUUAAUGUAUUUACAAUAUUUGAAUGUUAUUAUUAAACUUUGUAUUAAUUAGAUGUAUAUUUAAACGUGAAUGAAGUUAAUAUUAAUUUCAGUUUCUGAAUUUAAGCUCUUUACUAAAAAUAAAAUUUAUUAUAAAAAAUUAAAAAAAUAUAUUUUUACAUAAUGACGGCGUUUGCAUUGGGCAAUGCCGCUAAAUUAAUAAUUUAGUCAUGUUUGUAGCAUAAAACACCACUAUAAGUAGCGACGCUCUUUUCAGCAAACACUGCUAGUUAGAUGACGUUUUUUAUAGAAACGUCACUAAAGUAACGGUGUUUUUCUCAUAACAACAUCACUAAAUUAGUGACGCCUAAAAGAUACAAACGUCACAAAUAUUGAGGCGUUUUCAAAUCAAACGCCAUGCAAAGUAGCGGCGUUUUUUGUAACAAACGUUAUCAAUGCAACGACGUUUUUUUUUCAUAAAAAUGUCACUAAAAUAACAGCGAUUAAAAGAUACAAAUGCCGUUAAUAUUGAGCCAUUUUCAUAUUCAAAUGCCUCUAAAGUAGCGGCAUUUUAAAGAUAUAAAAUACCGUUAAAAUGACGACGUUUCACAUAUAAACGCCGUUAAGAUUAAGGUAUUUUUUUUUUAAAACGUCGCUAUUUACUGCGACAUAUGUAUAGGCGGUACUCUACAUGACAUUUUUUCACAAACGCCACAACCUUAUAGUAACGUUAAUAAAUGCUGUUAAACGAUUAAAAAAACAUCGCUAAAAACUAAAACUCCUGUAAUGACCCCUUGAAACCUUUAAGAAGGGAGUUUAACACCCCCUUUCCAACCCCAUAUAGACCCUAUUGCAAAUAUCGGUUUAUGUAUUUUCUCUUUGUAGAGAUAAUUAAUAUAAGAAUAAUAAUUAGAAUUGUGAUAUUAUCUUUGUUGAAAAUAUUUAAAAAUUUUAAAAAAAUUUUAAUUUCAAUGAAAACAUGUUAUUUACAUGUAAAAUAUUAUGAAUGUCAUAUGUUAUUUAUAUAUCAUCAAAAAUAAUAUAAUAAAAAAUUUGAUUAGAUAAUAUUAUAUUUCUCUAAACUAUAUACAAAAUCUUUAUAUUUUUUAAAUUAACAAAACUCAAAAAUUAUAUAUUUUCAUUUAAUAUCAUUUUUCUUCUUGAAAUAUAAAAAUCUUUGAAUCAAACAUAUCUUAAAAGUAAAAAAAUCUUUUUCAUUACAGGAUAGCUGUCAUUUUUCAAAGCUCUCAAAUCAUUUUAAUUUAUAGUAGUAUAGAUAAAUUAUAUGCUAGCAUUUGAAUUUCAUUGAAACUGUAGUUUGUGGGAGGUUGUUGAAACGUGUUCCAGCAUUGGACCUUAAAAUUUGAAGGGGUGUAUGGCCUAUUGUUGAGUACAUCCUCUUUUGUUUAAAUUUGAAAUUCAAUAUGGCAGGCAAUUUACCACUAGUCCUCUUUGAUUGAGAAAGAUACCUCUGGCGAAUGCGGAAUCCAAAGAGACAAAUUCAAUUGCAUUAAUGGCAGUGCCAGCCAUGUCAGUCUUUUCUGUGGUACAAAUAAUAUCAUCUCAUCUCAUCUCACGAAAGCAUCCUUCAUCUGUUUUUGCCGCUUCAAAUUUUCUGUCCUUUUAUCCUACCGCUUGAAAUAAAAGAAUUUCCAUCGACCUCUGCAUUUAGCCAUUCAUAUUGCAAAAAAAGAAAAAGGCUACGUACCUAAAUUACAAUAAGUUUUGGCUGGACAUCCCAUAUUUUUUAGAGUUGGACAAUUUCAAAGGCAAUCGGUAUUUAUAGUGCCAUUACUAUUUAAUUUAGUAAUAUUUCUUAUAAUAAUUAUUUUGGUGAUGCCACUCCCACCAACUCUGACUUUGACACUCUUCCAACAAAACGACCUCUUAUUCUUAAUACCUAAGUAAAAAUUAAUGAUUUUAGGGUAACAUUUGUAACCUCAAUAUAACAUUAGUAGAACAUAUGUACCCUAAAAUGAUUAUAAUUUCUUUGCUUUGAAUUUACUUUUACAUUGAUCCAAUGGUCAAGGUAUAAUCUUCGUUAUGGUACAAUAAUUUAAAUAAUUAAUCUCCCUAAUUCUUUGUUUUUAAUUAAACCCAAUAAUUAACUUCAUCUUCAUUAAUUCUUUUAAAAUACUUGGAUAAAAUGAACAUGGUAAGGGAACUAACUUCAUUAAGUUGAUUUGUCUAUUUAUAUUUUUGUAUUUAUUAUAUUAAAAAUAAUAUUUUAAAACUAAAAUUAAAUUAAAUUAAUUAUUCAUUAAUGUAAUAAUAUCCAUUUUAAAAUUAAGGUCCAAGCCUGACUUAAAUUGAGUCAAAUCCAACCCGUUUUCGAUAGGUUUCGACCCGACCCUAUGAAGUCAUUUUUUUUUUUUAAUUCGGGUUUCGGGUCGGGUAAGGUUAUGAAAUAAUUGAAGUCGGGUUCGGGUUUUAGGUAAACCCGAUCCGAUAUUAUAUAAAAAUUAUUUUUUAAUUAAUUAUUUAAUUUUUUAUUUAUAUAUAUAUAUAUAUUUAUAUAAUGAUAUUUUUAAAUAUUUAUAUUUUAAAAAUAAUAUUUUAUAUUUUAAAAAUAAUAUUUUAUUAAUUUCAAAUCUGAUCGAGUAUGAUUUAUAUAGUAUCGGAUCGGGUUCGGGUGUAAAAAAAUAAAAAAAUUUUGGAUAAAAUUAAAUUCGAAUUUAAUAACAUAUAAAAAUCAGGUCGAAUUCGAAACGAGCAAAACACAUCCCGAACCCUAUCCGAUGUCAACCCUAAUCAAGCCCUAGAAUGUAGACCUGGACGCGUCUAUUUUUAAUACAAGUACUAGUUUUCUGCACUACAUGUAACGAAGGGAAAUAAAACUAAUUGUUUAGGUACUUAAGUAUUAAUUAAUAUAUAUUAUAUUAUGAAUUUUGUUAACAACUAUCUUUAAGGCAUUUUUUAAAUUAAUUCAAUAUACUAUUUAUAGUACUAUUAAAUGCAAUAAUUCACUAUUAAUUUAAUGAUUUUCAAUAUAUUGUGUAACAAUAAAAUAGCAUCUUAAAACACUCCUCAACAUUUGGAAGUGAGUAUUUUAUUUGAGUUCGUUUUUUAUACUUUGCCUAAUAUAAUUAUCUAAUCCCAUAAGUAAAAUUAAGAGACUGAAACAAGCAUACAGCAAAUACAACAUGCAUUAACAUGUAUCACCACUAUAUAAGCAAAUGUUAUUUGGAUAAUCAAAAGGGAAGGUGUAACAUUAUUCUAAUGUAAAGAAUAUUUCCGAAUCAUAUCAUGGAAACUUCAUGGCCCAAGUUAUGGUGUUCCACUAAAUAAAUGAUAUGUCACUUUUUUUUUUAUUUCUGUGACGAAAUGUCUCUUUACAAUGUGGCAUAGCCACAAAGGCCAAACUUUAAUAAUUUGUAAUAAUAAUUUAGUAGGCUUGAUCGAUUAUCCUCGUUUCUUCCUUAAACUGGCUUUGUAUUUUAGGUGCUAACCUAGCCAACCGCUUUUCCAACUUCAUUGAUAAAUUUAGAUAGUAGUGAUUGUACUUUGCACAUGUUACCACGUGCAAGUUUAUAGGCCAAAAGGGCAAAAUUAUGAUCCAUUAUUAAGGUUUUGCUUUUAUGACACCUUGGUGUAUGAUCAAUCACGGUGCAAAUAAUAAAGAGAUUCUCUUUUUUUUUUUUUUCCUUUAUGAUGAAAAGGGAAAAACAUUAUAAAAAUGUUAAUCAUAUGUUUAAUCCACAUUUUCAAAUUUUGCUAAUGUAAACUAAUCAAGUUGCUCUAGCUUCACUUGAUAAAUACUCAAAUUCAACUUAAUGGCUGUCCAACCUGAGCUCAAACUCGAAAUUAUUUAAGUAAUAAAUUGAGCCAAGUAUGAGCUUUUAAUUCUUAAAUCUAAUGGUAAAAAUACUUGGAUCACUCAUAAAUCUAUUGAUUUUUUUUUAAUUUCUUCAUAUUAUAUGUAAAAAUUAUAAUAUUAAUUUAUAUAUUUUAAAUUUUUAUUUGAGCUUUUAGAGUAAAUUUCAUCAAUUGAUUGUGAAUUUAUGUGAAGUUUCAUCUUCCUUCAUUCGCAUCUAAAGCUCGAAUUUUCUUAUUUACGACCUUUUCAAUUAAUCCAAAUGUAUUCUUCCUUUAACAUAACGCUAAAAUUUAGAUUACAUUUGUUGUGUAUGUCCAUCAAAAUGUCGGUAGCCAAUUUCAUCCAUAUUCUAUUCAAACUUUGUGCUCAACUUCAUCCAUAUUCCAUCCAAACUUUAAUGGUCGAGUAUUGAAGGAUUGAUGAAUUUGAAACAAAUUUAAAAGGUUAAAAAUAUAAAAAAAAAAUAAAAACUUUCAAGUUUCGACUGAAAAUAAAAUUCUAGAAAAAUCAUAAGCAACGAUGUAAUUUAUUAAAAAUUUUAAAUUUGACACUAUAUCAGUUCUUUUGAAAAAAAUUUAUUAAUAUUUUAUUUUUUUAAAUCAAAUUAUAUUUUUAUUCAAAAAUGACAUAUAACAAUCAUAUAUACAUUUAUGUUAUAGCCAUUGUGCUCCAUGUAGAUGCCAUAUAUAAAAGCCAUAAAUAAUUUUAUGAUGACAUGGCAUGCUAACAUGGCACAUAAAUGCUAUGUGUUAUCAUCUCAUUAACUAGUUGUCUUAUCAGCAUAUUUGUUAACGAUAUUAAUUCUAUGUAUCACAUUAUUAUAUAAUUUGAUAUAGUAUAAUUGUAAAAGUGUUGCAUUGAACAUUUUUAAAGUGCAUGUUCUACAUCGAAAAAAUGCAUAAUAUAAGAACUAAAUAUGAAGUUAUAAAGUCUAGGAAACCAACCCUUGCUAUAUAUAUUUUAUGUUAUAUUUUUUAAUUAUCAAAUUUGAAUGAUCUAUUGGUAAAAUGUUGAACUUUUAAUUUUAAUAAUUAAGGUUAGAAUUCUGCCAACUUUAUAUAAUAAAAAAAAUAUUAUAAUUUAUAUGGCACAUGCAUGUUUGAUGUUCGUGUAAAUGAGCCUACUAAUUAGAGAUAUCUCAUGAAAGCAUAAAUGCUCAAUACUCUCUUGUAAGUUAUAAAAAUAAAAGCCAAAAGGUUACAUGACAUAAAUCCACAAGAUGGCACAAUGUUGAUAGAAAAUGAUCAAUUAUCAGGAAGUAAGUUAAGUAGGCAUCCAGUUUUUUAAUAAAAUAACGUGUUAUUAUUAUUUGAGGACCAAAAGAUACGACACACGCAUGGCUUAAAACAUUUUAAAAAGUAAAUAAAUUUAGCAUAAUGUGAGGUCAUUAGUCAAUAGAGUCGGAUCCAUGAUCCCAUCCCCUUUUAGCUUCUGUAAUUUGUUCAAUUGUACAAGAAAAUAAUAGUAACAUAUUAAAAUACUAAUAUUUCUUAUUUUCUUUGUUCUUUUUUAUUUUGUAUUCCAUUAAUUAACAACUUUGGUAUACUAUAUUAAUUAUUAUUAUUAUUAUUAUUAUAAUGCGAUGGGCAAAAAGACAAUAGAUGAAGAAAUGUUAAAAGAUUUGUGUUUUGUAAGAUUCAAAUUCGAAAACUAUGUUAAAUUGAAAAAUCAUUUAUCUUAAAAAUUUAAGUUUGAUAAAACUUUAAUUAUUAUAUUUAAAUUCUAACACUCGAAUAAUAAUAAUUUAUUUUAUACAUAUAAAAUACAACAAGUCUAUAUUGGCUUAAGGCUGAAUUGAACUUACUGAUAAGUAAUAACUAAGUAGCAAAAUAGCUUAAAUUAAUUACUAAUAACAAAUGUAAAAAUAUAUAAUAACAAUGUAAAUGGAAAAAAGAAUAGCUUAAGCAGAAAACCAAGCCAAGUCGUAGUAUCUUAGAUAAAAAAAAAUUUUUAACGGUGUCAAUGUUAUUAAUAUUUGAUGAAAAGUCUUAUUUUUUACUCAAAUGAGAAUUAAAAUGGAUAUUAAAGUUUGGGAUGGGAUGAAAAUGGAUAUAAUUUUAAAUAUUUUAUCGAAUAUUAAAAUAAAUAAUAUAACAUUCGUUCUAUAUUUGUAUCUUAUAAAUAUGUUUAUAUGCAUUUAAUAAAUAUAUUUUUAUUAAAUAAUAUAAAUUUUUAUUUAAAUGAAUUAGAAUUAAUAUAUUUUAUUUUAUAAAAAUAUAUUAAUAUAUAUUUAAAACAAAAUUUACAUAAAUAUGUAUGAUAAAAAUUAAAAAGUUUAAAAAAUUAGUUUUUAUUUAAAAAAAAUUAUAGGUGAUGGAUUAUUUGUACCCAUUAAGAUUCCGUUUGUUUUAAAUAAAUUUUCUUUCAAAAAAUAUUGCACUUUUCAGAAAAGUAGAGAUUUUUUAUUAUUUAAAUGAAUCAAUAAAAAAUAUUUUCAAUUGUUUGAUUAUUUUUUAGACAAUUUUUUUAAAAAUAAUAUUGAUAUAACUAUUAAAAUAUUAAUAAUUUUUUAUGACUAAAAUAUAUUGAAAUUACUUAUAUACUUUAAUAGUGGUAUUUAAUAAUCAAAUUUUAUAUUAAUAUACAAAACACUUAAAACAAAACUAGUUAUUAUUUUUAUUAAUAUUUUAAAAUAUUUAAAAUGACAUUAUUAUUCUUAAAAUAUUAUUUUUGUUAAUAUAACAAUAAUAGUAAUAUUUAUAUUAAAAUAUUAAAAAUAUUUAUACUAUUAAAAUAUUUAUAUUUUAUAUUGAAAGUAUUUAUUAUUAAAUCAUAACAAAAAAAUUUAUUUGUUUUAUUAUUCAAAUAAUAAUAUAAAUAUAUUAAUAAAUAAAAUAAAAAUAAUAUAUUUUAAAUUAAAAACAAUAAUAAAUUAUUAAAAUAUUCAUUUUAUGAAAAUAAUAAUAUUAAUAUAUUAAUAAUAUUUUGGAUUGGGCUAAAUUAAAUUUGAGUAUGAAAAAAUCAUAUUUAAGAUCUGACUUAAAUAAAAUUGUGCUCAUGAGUUUGGUAAGUAAUUUUAUUCCUUUUCAAAUGGAGAAGAUAAUUUUAAAAUAUGAACUUUUUUUUCAUUGAAUAAUAAAUGAUUUUUUGUUAACAAACUAAUUUUUUAUCAAAAAAAUAUAAAAAAAAAUGCAAAAAUUAUCUUUUAAAGAUUAUUUUUUGUGAAACAAAUAGAUUCUAAAUAAUUGUGAAAAUAAAAAUAAAAAUAAAUUUUAAAUAUCGUUAAAUAUAAAUAAAAAUAUAUAAUAUAAAAAUGAAAAAAAAAAUCUGCGCACCUCAUUUCCUGUCUGUUAAUAUCCUAUUUCUUUCUACGUGCUUUAACCCGACCCUUACCAAACGGAGAGCUGAUGCCUAGUACAUAGAGUUUAAGCUGAUAUAAAUGGUAGAUACAGCGUAUCUGAGGUUUAAUCCAACGGUAGUAAUUAGAUCAAAAUCCCAAGGCGGAGAACAUGGUUAGAAGUGAGAAAACAAAGGCUGUCAGCCAGGUCACCCUAUCUUUUCCUCAUGGUGGCGCCAAUGAUUCCCCGUUCCCCCCUGCUCUAUUUUUAAUUUAAUUUCCUCCAAAUUUCAUUUGCAUUUCAAAAAUUUCCCAAAGUCUUCCAAUAUAUAAACGCCCCUUUCUUUUCUUCAGCUCUCCAUCUCCGUCUCACCAGAGAGAAUAGAGAGAAAGGAAAAAAAAAAAAAAGUCCUCGUCAUCUGCUUCCUCUUCUACUCUCUCUUUCUCUCUGAAACUCCUCGUUCUUUUCUUGUUGAGGUAAAUCUUUUGUUUUUGCCUUUAUUUUACUUCAAAUCCACCUAUCUGUGGAUGUUUUUUAUGUUUUGCCGAUCAUGGAAUUGAGAUCUAGGGUUCUAGAAGUUUCUACGGAGUUGUAGGGAGUUAGAUUUGGCUUGAUCUGCUUCACUUUGUAUCUGGAUCUUUACUUAGCUUGAUCUGCUUCUUUACACUUGUGAUUUCUGUGUAGAUCUUAUGAGAAUUGGUUUUUGUUUUUGUCUUUAUUUUGAAUUUGAUCUUCUUCCAACUUGUACUGAUUAAUGCUUUCAGUUUGUAAAUUUAAUGCUUUUCGAAGGCCUCUUUUUGAGGUUAAGAAAAGGCUCUAAUCUUGAUCUUUAUUUCCUUUCGUAAUUGAUUCAAUUUGUUGUCCAACGAAUUAUAGAGUUGCUUGUUUAGAUGCUGACAAAUGAAUGUUGUUUGCAUUUUGAACCGACUAAAUUUGGUCGACCCACUGCAGUAGCAAAACUUAUGUCUUUUAGCUAGCUAGGAUACUGAAUGGUUUUAUUUUAUGCUUUUAAAGAAAUGAAUUUUGAUUUAAGUGUUUCUUUUUUCACUAAGAGAAGCCACAACUUAAUUUGUUUGAAGGCUUUGAUUUGUCUUGUUUAGAUUAGUUGAAAGAGGUAUAUAAUCUAGGUUGGCAAGUGAUUUUUCUAUACUCACUAUCUCAAUUCUUGUUUCUAGUAUUGUAAAAGAUGGCCGAUGCUGAGGAUAUUCAACCCCUCGUCUGUGACAAUGGAACUGGAAUGGUGAAGGUUAGUUGAUUUCUAGACCUGAGUUAUAUUCUCCAUUAUUGUUUAUUUCUUUAUGAAAGAUGUGUUACUUUGCCGUGGUUGAUCUGAUUUUGUUUAUCAUGCAGGCUGGUUUUGCUGGUGAUGAUGCUCCCAGGGCAGUUUUCCCAGUAUUGUUGGUCGACCCCGGCACACUGGUGUCAUGGUUGGUAUGGGUCAGAAGGAUGCCUAUGUAGGAGAUGAGGCACAAUCUAAGAGAGGUAUCCUUACUUUGAAAUAUCCCAUUGAGCAUGGUAUUGUCAGCAACUGGGAUGAUAUGGAAAAGAUCUGGCAUCAUACAUUCUACAAUGAGCUCCGUGUUGCUCCUGAGGAGCACCCUGUGCUUCUCACAGAGGCACCUCUUAACCCCAAGGCCAACAGAGAAAAGAUGACCCAGAUCAUGUUUGAGACCUUCAAUGUGCCUGCCAUGUAUGUUGCCAUCCAGGCCGUUCUCUCUUUGUAUGCCAGUGGUCGUACAACAGGUUUGUUAAAAUAGAACAUCUUUGGAUUUAUCAUAUUUUUAGAACAUUCCUAAUCAAGCUAACACUGAAUUAUUUCCCUAUUGGAACAGGUAUUGUGCUGGAUUCUGGUGAUGGUGUUUCCCACACUGUGCCAAUCUAUGAAGGCUAUGCCCUUCCACAUGCCAUCCUUCGUCUAGACCUUGCUGGUCGUGAUCUUACUGAUGCUUUGAUGAAGAUACUUACCGAGAGAGGUUACAUGUUCACCACCACUGCUGAACGGGAAAUUGUUCGUGACAUGAAGGAGAAGCUUGCUUAUGUUGCCCUGGACUAUGAGCAGGAACUGGAGACUGCCAAGAGCAGCUCUUCUGUUGAGAAGAACUAUGAGUUGCCUGAUGGACAAGUCAUUACUAUUGGAGCUGAGAGAUUCCGUUGUCCAGAAGUUCUCUUCCAGCCAUCUCUCAUUGGGAUGGAAGCUGCUGGAAUCCAUGAAACUACCUACAACUCUAUCAUGAAGUGUGAUGUGGAUAUCAGGAAGGAUCUUUAUGGUAACAUUGUGCUCAGUGGUGGUUCAACCAUGUUCCCUGGUAUUGCAGACCGUAUGAGCAAGGAGAUCACUGCCCUUGCUCCUAGUAGCAUGAAGAUUAAGGUUGUUGCACCACCAGAGAGAAAGUACAGUGUCUGGAUUGGAGGAUCUAUCUUGGCAUCACUCAGCACCUUCCAGCAGGUGAAAUAUAUUUUCUUAUAUUUGGCUCAUGUUUUACUUUUUGUGUAAAUUCAUUGCCCAAGACUGACAUUCUUGCUUUCGCUGUUGCAUCAGAUGUGGAUCUCCAAGGGCGAGUAUGAUGAGUCUGGACCAUCCAUUGUCCACAGGAAGUGCUUCUAAGUUUUAUAAGUGCUUUGAUGGUGAGUUACAUUUUCGAGUUAGUUGGCUUUUUGUGUCCUGUGUCAAUGAAUUCAAAGUCUGGUUGAUGUGGGAAGGGUUGAAGGUGGGGAUCAUUGAAGGAGGGUGUUCUUUGAUUUUGGUGUAUUAUAUAACCCUUUCAUCAGUUGUGACUUAUUAUGCUCAUGGUGUCACUGCUAUUGAAAUGAUGGCCCUCAAGAUGUGGUGGUGGACUGGUGGACGGACAAUUGGUGCUUAUUUCCUUCCUUUCCAUGCAUCUUUCAACGAUGUUGCCUAGUAGGAUGUUUGUAGCUGGAGAGUGAUUGUGAUGAUUCUGUCUUAUAUUUUCUUUAAUUUCAGAUUAAGGGGUUUUUUUGCCCUGAGAACAUUAAUGUUAAUAGCUAUUGUAUGAGAAAAUUUAAAUUAGUGUCAGUUUGCGGUCAUAAACUUUUAUGGAAACUAUAUUUGAUACCUGAUUUUGAAAUCUAAGGGGGAAUGCUUUCUCUCUGAACUCAUAUGGUGUAAAAUCUGUUUGAAGAUUUCUUGUUAAUUGUGGUGAAUGGGGUUUCUUUAGAGGCAUGCCUCAAAAUAACAAUAUGUCUGCUCAGUUGUAAUUAUUAUGGAAACCAUUAGUAAGUAUGCAUACCGUUGCCCGGAUGAUUCCAGAGUCUUGGGUGAAACCACACCCAGAAUGGGAUGCUAUUUUAUGUUUUAUCGACGUAUCUUUUAAGGCAUCUUUAGGGAAACAAUUUCCAUAUGAUGUUAGGAUUAAAAAUAUAAAAAAUUUAAGUCUGCUAUGAGUAAGGAUUGCCUGCAUUUGCAGAUUGAUCAUAUGAUUCAUGCACUCUGUGUCACUUAUAUUAUGAUUACUAAUAUCCGUUGAAUGGUUGCUUCCUCGGGUAGAUCUUUCUGCUUAUGCACCAUAAUUUUCUGGUCAUGUACUGCUCUCCUUGAGUAUCAUUCUUCGCAGGUUUUUUUGGCUCCUGUCACACUAACUCGAAAGGAAAAUAAAGAAGCCCCAUCCGAAAAACUUAAACCUCUUCUUUUAUAUUAACAACUUGCAUUGUUUUAUAUAAGCAUUUAGCAUGAGGUUUCUUGUUUUGUUGAUGCUUGGAGCAUGAUUCUAGACGUUUGGAGAUUAGGGAUUCGAAUAAAUUUAUGUUUGAAAUAUUCUCUUCAGGCACGUAAGUAGAUAUAACUUGUGUGGAGGUUAGGUGUAGAUUAUGAAAUUCAGAAAGUUUAUUUUAUCUAAAAAUAAAAUUUAACAAAAAUGUAAGUAUUUAUUUUUUUAAUAAAAUAACAACUUGAGGUACAAAUCCCAAAAAAGAAGCCCAAUCAAUGAUGCGUAAACAGAUUUCGCCUGAUGUUAUUAACUAUUGCACAUUUGUCAAUGGAUAUUGUCUUCAAGUAAGGUGAACUUGAUGCAUUGAACUUGUUCAAGAACAUGGAGGAGAAGGGUCACAAGCCUGAUGUUAUUUCUUACUGUGUCCUUCUCGGGGGCUUUGCUAGAAAUGGCCUUGCACGAGAGGCAGUCAAUCUUUUGAAUUAUAUAGAGGCACAACAUAAUCAUUAAAGGCUUAUUAUGUAUAUGUGGUCGUUAAGGUAAGGAAGCUGAAGCUUUCUUUAGAUAGUCUGCCAGAGAAGUAUUUGGGAAAUUAUGCUGCCUUGGUUCAUGGCUAUUUUGAAUCAAGCCUCCCCAAACGUCUGUGAAUUAUUUGUUAAGCUGUCUAAGCAGGGAUUUAUAGUAAGGCUUUUUGCUCAAAACUCCUUGUCUUUGCAUGGAUGGGGAUAAUGUUCUUUUUGAAUACUGAACCUACCAAAUCUUAUAUAUAAAUACUGAACCUACCAAAUCUUAUAUAUAAAUACUGAACGUCACGUGUUGAGCAUUCAUUUUACCAUGUGGCAGUCACUUCAUUUUUAAUUUUUAUUUUAUUUUUUGGACCUUCUAAAUACAUCACAAAAUUUUCUUUAUACAUAAAUUUUUUUUUUCAAAACUACCCUCAUAACAAAUAUAAAUUUUAACCUUAGAUAAAUGAUGAAAAUAUUCUCAAUAGUUUAUACAUCCCAACGCCACUUUUCUUAAAUCUUGAAAAUCGAUUUUCAAGAAUUAUAUUACGUUCUUGAAAAUGGAUUUUGUUUAGAGAUUUUUGAGAAGUCAUCUUGUAUUCUCAAGAAUCCAUUUUUGAAAAUACAUAAUUUUUGUUUAAAUAUAUAUUUAAUUAUAAGCUCUUAAUAACGUUUAAUUUUAAUUUAAAUAAAAUAAAUACAUUUAAUAUUAAAAUAAAUAAUGCUAAAAUAAAUAAAUUUGAUGUUCUAGGAUCUCCAAACAUCUCUACUAAUUUUUUCGAGGUAUAGCUUAAUUCUGACAAUAAGGAUCUCUAAUCUUUAAGCCACCAGUAUCCUGAUGGCUAAAAAAUACGGAUGGUCGAAAAAUUAGAGGUCUUUACUGUCAUAUUUGUUAGUUUGUUGAUGACAUUGUGAAAGUCAAUGUUCUAUAAAAUGUUCGAGCUUAGACCAACAUAAAUACACACACAUAAGUCAUUGACGUGCCCAUUCUUACUUGAUCAUACGUAUAAAUGGAAGAGACAUAUUAGUUCUCAAGCAUGCAUAAGCAUAAAUGUGCUUUUGUCUUGAGACCAAAAACUCAAAAACACAUUUUUAUCUAUACAAAACCAAAAAAAAUCAUAAAAUACUGUUCUUGAUUUUCUAAAGGUUCAAGAAAAAGAACAAGUUUAUGCCAUGCAUGUUGAGAAUGUUGAUUUUAGUUUCAUUUACAUACAUGAUCAAGUAAAUAAAUUUAUAAGCGCAUGCUUAAGGUUUUCAAUUAUUAAAAGUGAAAUCGAAGUUCUCAAAAAUAGAUAUCCAAGAAGACUUAAAGCUUCUUGGAUAUUCAUUUUCGAAAAGAUUCAAAAUUUUUUAAAAAUGAAUAUUCAAGAAGUUUGAGUCUUUUUGAAAAUGAAUAUCCAAAAAUCUUUAAAGCUUCUAGGAUAUGGAUAUUCAAGAAUCCUUAAAACUUAUCGAAUAUCCAUUUUUAAGAAACCUUAAAGCUUAUCGAAUAUUCAUUUUUAAAAAAUUCAAUUUUAGAAAAUAAAGAGAGAAAAAUGAUAGGAAUGAAAAAUAAAAAGAGAGGGGUGACGGUGUAUUUAGUAGAAAUAAAAAAUUAAGUUUUGAAUUUGGUGUGUAUUUAGAAAUUGAGUGUAUAAAAUAGAAAAUGGGGUGUAAAUAGAAUUUUUAGUUUUUUUAUCGUAGGUUUCAACUUUUUUUAAAACAAUUUUUAUAAAGACAUGUAAGCCACAUUUUUCUUUUUGUUUUUAAGGUGUGGACUUUUUUUUCAAUCAUUUUUUUUUGUUUUUUUAAUUGGGGGGCUCACAUGAUUUUUUAAAAAAAUUCUUUUAAAAGAUGUGGGACUCAUUUUUUUAAAAAAUUUAUCUUCUGUUUUUUUUUUUUGAAUUUUUUAUUAUAUUUAAUAUUUUAAAAAAUUUUCGUGAGACUCACUUAUGCCAAUUUUUUUCUACCCUUUUUAACUUUUUAAACAAAAUUUAUCUUUUUCAUUUUAAUUUUAUUUUCAUAAUAUGAAUUUUUGAUAAAAACUUAUCGUAAUUGACGUCACAUGCAAAAUAAAUUUCUUUAGAAAUGAUUAUAAUGUCCUUUUAAUUACUUCACUAUUGAGUUACAUGCAUUCAAAUUAAUUGUGAUGCAUCUUUUUCUAUGAUUAACUAAAUCUACAACCAUUAUUACGAAAAUACUCUCUUACCAAGAUUUGCCAAAAUGACUAUAAUACCUCUCCUACUAUAUUUAUGAAAAUUCUCAUAUUAUUGUCAAAAAUACUAUAAUACCUUCUAACCAUAAUUACAAAAAUAUUAUUUUAUCAUAAUUACGAAAAUACCUAUUAUAUUUUAAUGAGUUAGAAUUACUAUAAUACCCACUAACUAUAAUUACAAAAAAACCCAUUUUGAUUGCUCCAUAUAAUGCCUCUCCAAUCAUAAUUACAAAAAUACCAAUCAUAUUAUAAUUAAUCAAAAUUACUAUAAUACCCUUUAAGCAUAAGUAUGAAAAUACCUUUUGAUUGUUUCAUAAUUAUGCAUUAAAUUUUAACAUUCGUAUAAUAAUAUAAAAUUAAUCCUCUUAAAAAUAAUUAUAAUGCUUUUUAAUUACUUGACAAUUGAAUUACAUGUAUUGAAAUUCAUUAUAAUGCCCUUUUUCUAUAAUUAACUAAAAUAACUAUAAUAUCCCUCUUAAUAUAAUUACUAAAAUCCCCCUUUUAUUAUAAUUGCCAAUAUUACUCUAAUGGCCCUACAUCCAUAAUUACAUAAAUGCAUUCCUACCAUAAUUACAAAAAUACCUCUCAUAUAAUUUGCCAAAAUUACUAUAAUAUCAUCUAACCAUAAGUAUAAAAAUGCCCUUUUAUUAUAAUUACAAAAAUAACACUUAUAUUAUAAUUGACUAAAAUUACUAUAAUAUCUUUUACCAUAAUUACAAAAUACCCUUUUGAUUGCUUUAUUAAUGCUUUUCCUACCAUAAUUACCAAAAUACCACUGAUAUUAAAAUUUGCCAAAAUUAAUAUAAUUACGAAAAUGCCUUCUUAAUAUAAUUAUGAAAAUACUAAUAUUAUAAUUGGUUAAAAUUAUUAUAAUACCUUUUGCCAUAAUUACAAAAAAAAAAAAAGAAAAACCCUUUUGGUUGCUUCAUAUAAUGAUUCUCUUACCAUAAUUAUGAAAAUACCCCUUAUAUUAUAAUUGAUCAAAUUACUAUAAUAUCCUCUAAGUAUAAUUAUGAAAAUAUCAUUUUUAUUAUUUCAUAGUUAUGCAUUAAAUUUUACAUCCUGCAAUAAUAUGAAAUUAAUCCUUUUUAAAAUAAUCAUAAUACCCUUUUAAUCACUUAAUUAUUAAAUUACAUGCAUCCAAAUUGACUGUAACGCUCUUUUCUUAUGAUUAACUAAAAUUAUUAUAAUGCUCCUCUCAACAUAUUUACUAAGAUACCCCUCUUAUCAUAAUUGGCUAAAGUUAAUAUAAUAUCCCAACAAUCAUAAUUACGAAAAUGACCUCCUACUAUCAUUUACCCAAAUUAUUAUAGUGUCUUUUUUAUCAUAAUUACGAAAAUACUCUUUAUAUUAUAAUUUACCAAAGUUACUAUGAAGCCUUCUUACCAUAAUUAUAAAAAUAUCAUUUUUAUUGUUUUAUAAUUACAUGUUAAAUUUGAAUAUACAUAUAAUUAUAUGAAAGUAAUCUCAUUGGAAAUGAUCAUAAUGCUUUUCUAAUUAUGUGACAUUUGAAUGAUAUACAUCCAAAUUGACUAUAAUACCCCUCAUAUAAUUAACUAAAAUUAUUAUAAUUCCCCUCCUAACAUAAUUACUAAAAUACAUCUUUUACCAUAAUCAGUCAAAGUUAUUACAAUGCUUUGCAAUCAUAAUUACAGAAAUGCCCUUCUAUACUAUUGGUCAAAAUUACUAUAAUACCCCUCCUAUCAAAUUAAAAUUAUUGAUUUUUUUCUUUAAAAAUUUAAGUUGAACGGGAGAGAUAUUAGUAGGCUUUGAUUCCAUGAAUAAACGGGUUUGAAUUUGAUAAUUGAUCAAUGUUGAUAAUAGAUAAAUAUUUAAUUGGUAGGUUAGAUUUUCAUGUAUAUAUUAUUGGGUUUUGAUUUAAUUUAUAUAAUUUUUUUAAAGUAAUCUUUUUUAUUUAAAAUAAAAAUUGAUAUCUGACAAUUACAAUUGAAUGAUACAGUUCGAGUAUCAUUUUUUUAUUUUUUUCAAAAGAUAAAAAUAAAAAAAAACCAAUAAAAUACUAAAAAAUAUUUAUUUUUAAUUAUUAAAUAAAUUUUGUAUAAUUUAUAUUUCAUUAAAAUAAAAAAAUUUGUAACGGGGCGUAGUAGGGUAGUUUUUCUAGUUAAUGUAAACUAAACUCAUUAGUGCAUUUUGUCAGGCAGGAAAUUUGAAAAAGGCCCCAGCUGUUGUUUGAUAUUAUGAUUGAGAAAGGGCUAACACCCGAUCUAGUUAUCUACAUAAUAAUGAUAAGUGGCUACUGUAAAGUGAAAUUUUUUGCAGGAAGCCUUGGAUCUUUUCAACAUUAUGAAGGAGAGAGGGAUUAAACCUGGUUUUAUCAGUUACGCGGUCUUGCUUAACAGCCAUGCAAAUAUAAAUUUGAGGUCGCUUUCUAGUCCUGAUGUGACACAAAACAAAGACAAGACGAUAAUGGAUGCUUCAAUUUUAUGGAAAGAAAUUGAAGCACCUGGGGGUAGAACCUGAUGUUGUUUGCUAUACUGUUUUGAUUGAUCAGUAGGGCAAACAACCUUCGGGAUACAAUUAGGAUGUUUGAUGAAAUGAUUGAUACAGGAUUGAAGCCUGAUAAUGUGACAUAUACAGCUCUUAUAUAUGGCUAUUGUAAAAGAGGAUAUGCAGAGAAGGCUGUAAUCCUUGUCAACGAAACGUCAAGUGGGGCAUACAGCCAGACACCUGUAUCAUGUCAGCUUUGCACCAUGGUAUAUUGAAAGGAUUAAACUUUUACAAACCCCUUAAAAUAAAUAUACAAAAAAAAUAAUUUUCACAAGAUUUUCCAAAGAGCAGCAGCACGUUCAGUUCUGAGUGAACUUGGAAUUGAUCCAACCCAAAGAGACGGUUUUUCAGUUUCUGACGCAUCUCCAGCAGUAUCUUUGGGUGGUUAUUUUCUUUUUCUGCAUUGCUCUUUUCUCAAACUCUGGGUUCAACAAGUGCUGAUCCUUUCAUCAGAUCUAGCAGUCCAUUGCAGGACCAGAGAUCCUUAUUCUGGUAUGUCAAUUUCACCCGUAUCAAGUCCAUUGGCAACAGGAGAAGGGGAUUUGUUUUUGACCAAAACCAAGUUGAAACUCAUAAAACAGGGAGGAAGCCAGUCACCCACAUCUCGUCGAACAAACUGACAGGAUAGUGGUAGUAGGCCUAUCUUAUAGUCUUUUAAAUCAUGUUAUAAAUCAAUCACAUUGUUCAUGUAAUAGAUAAUAACCAAAUGUUAUGGAAGCAUUUAUGAAUUCAAUUGGAUUAAUUGACAUUUUAUUAUUUUAAUUAUGUUAUAUGUGGUGUUAUUUUAUCAGUAUUUUCUUUCCUCAAUCGCCCACUGCCCGCUCGCUGCAUGUUCUGUUUGGUUGCUAAAUCACCAUGAGUUUUUGCAACAAUCACCGCUGGAAGUAUUUAUUGUGUACAAGGUCAAUAGAUAUUACGCAACAAGCGGUAGGCAUAGGCAGUAGGCAAUAGGUAAUAGCAGCCCAAGUUGGGUGACAUUUCAAGCUUACAGCUUCUAACACUAGAAUCUCUACUCUCACCUUAUUAAAAGGGCAAAAGGGGUUAACGGAAAUGAAGAUGCUGCCUCACUUUGACGACAUGAUAAUGUUAUGCUAAAACAACCAUGCUGUGAUUUAGAAAGUAAAUUCCAAUAAUUAGCGUUCAUCUUUCUAUAACUCAUGAAGUACCAUUCAAACAUAGAAAAACGCAAAUUAUCUUAAACUAUUUCACACAAAAUUGUCAUAUAGAGCAUUCCCUUUAUACUUCUCUCCACAUAAAGCAAAUAUCGACCAAAGCAUAGCUGAGAAGAAGCCCAUUUAAAACAUUAACGUCAAACUAUACCCAAAAACUCGAACCAUCGGAUAUUACAAAUUCCUUCAAGCAGCUUGUUUUGUUGACUCCAUAAGCUUUAUGAAUUCUCUAAAAGCUGUACCAAGAAAUAACUUGAUUUGAGCAAGAGAAAUCAUUUUAACAAACAUAGAAAUCUGCAAUCUGUCAAAAUUAGGCAUAGGAAAGAAAUUUUUACCUAAAUCUGAAUCAUGAGGUCCUGGCGAUGCUUCAGGAUGGUAUUGAAGAGACAUAAUAUUUAACGCAGGAUAAGCUAGACCAGCGCAGCUUCCAUCAUUAAGAUUAACAUGAGUCACUUCUACACCCUCAGGGAGUGAUGCAGGAUCAACUGCAUAGUUGUGAUUCUGCCAAUCAUAAAUUCUAAGGUGAAAACACAACCCCAAAGAAAUAUUGCAACUUCAAACACAUGGAAGCUGAAUACUUAGCAGAAAUAUAUCCAAACUUAUAAAUACUCCACAACAUUGUCAAAAAAUAUAUUGAUUAGAUCUGCAAUAUUCAAUGAAUAUAUCAAUUUUUUUUUUUAAUUUCUUUUGCGUGUGUGUGUGUUUUGUUAAGUGUGGGGGUUAAGUGGGGUUGAUCAUCCUAGGGGUGUAAUCGAGCCAAAUCAAGACAAUACAGUGAAAAACUCGAGCUUGAGCUCGACUCCUAACUCGCGACUCAAUACUCAGCUUGAACAUAAUCGAGUUUCAUUUUCCUAGCUUGAGCUUAAUUUACGAUUGAAAUCAAACUACUCGAACUCACUUGAUUAAGCUCGAUUAAUAUAUAAAAAUAAACUCGAUUCUUAUACUUGACAAAAGUUCGAUUCUCAAGAUCGAGAUCUUUUAUAACUAUUUUUUAUCAAACCUAAUAAAAAAUGCUUUAAAUAAUCCCCUGUCAUUUUUUUUUAGUUUAUUCAAGACAUUUUUUUGCCUUGAAUAAUUCCUUACAAAAAAUUGAAUGGGGUUAUUAAAUGUAUUUUUAGCCAAAAACCCCUUGAAUAAUCAUCUUCAAUUUUUAUAAGAGGAUUAUUUAAGAUGUUUUUAGCCAAAAACGCAUUGAAUAAUCUCAUUUAAUUUUUUAUUGCGAGUUAUUCAAAGCGUUUCUAGCAAAAAAUGCCUUUAAUAAUUUCCUUCAAUUUUUAUGAGAAGAUUAUUUAAAGUGUUUUUGACAAAAAAUGCAUUGAAUAAUCUCAUCAAAUUUUUUAGAAGGGAUUAUAUAUAUUUUUUGGGAUUAUUCAAGAUGUUUUUGGCCAAAAAUACCUUAAAUAAUCCCUUACAAAAAAUUGAAUGAGGUUAUUCAAGACAUUUCUGGCCAAAAACGCUUUGAAUAAUCCCCUUCAAUUAUUAUGAAAAGAUUAUUCAAGGCGUUUUUAGCAAAACAUGUCUUGAAUAAUCUCCUCUAAUUUUUUAUUAGGGAUUAUUCAAGAAAUUUUUGCUCAGAAAAUACCUAAGCAAAAACACCUUGAAUAAUCUCUUAUAAAAAAUUGAAUGGGAAUAUUUAAAGAAAAAAGAAAAGGGAUUAUUCAAGGCGUUUUUUGCCAUAAUCCCCAAUAAAAAAUUGAAUGGGAAUAUUUCUCAAAAAAAAAAAAGGAUUAUUUAAUAUAUAUUUUUUAUAAAAACCACCUUGAAUAAUCCCUUGCAAUUUUUUAUUAAGGAUUAUUCAAGGCAUUUUUACUCAAAAUACACCUUGAAUAAUCCAUUAUAAAAAAUUUAAUGAAAAUAUUCUAAAAAAAAAAAGAGAGGAUUAUUCAAGACGUUUUAGGCCCAAAACACCUUGAAUAAUUCCCUCAUAAAAAUUGAAAGGGAUUAUUUAAGUCCUUUUCUUGCAAAAAACGUAUAGAAUAAUCCCUUACAAAAAUUUAAAGGGGGAUUAUUCAAGGUGUUUUAUGCUAAAAACGCCUUAAAUAACUCUCUUCAAUUUUUGUAAGAGAUUAUUCAUUUUUGAUCAAAAAACACCUUGAAUAACCCCAUUCAAAUAUAUAUAAUAGAAAAACUUAAUUAGAUUUGCGAGCUAUUCAAACCGAGUACUAAUAUGCUCGAACUAGACUCAUUCGAUAAGUCGAGCUACUCGAGCUUUAGCUCGGCUCGAUAAUUAUCGAAUCAAAUUCAAAUUUUAAACGAAUCGAAUCCGAGUAGCUUGCGAGUACUAAUGUAUUAUUUACACCUUUAGGUCAUCCCAUCGUAAAAUCUAAAUCCAUGCUAACAACACUAUACUUGCAUACAAGGGAUGUAUCGGUUAGCGAAUUAUUCAAUGGAAACACAUUGGCUACUUAAACACACCUGAGCACUAAUCUCAACAUGACCAUUGCAAAGAUUGCGAACAGGAUGAUUUCCUCCAUGGUGACCAAACUUCAUCUUAAAGGUUUUACCACCCAAAGCCUGCCCAAGUAACUGAUGGCCCAUGCAAACUCCAAAAACAGGAACUUUUCCCAGAAUUUCCUUGACUGUUUCAACAGCAUAAGGAACAGCAGAUGGAUCUCCUGGACCAUUGCUUAAAAGAACUCCAUCUGGCUUCAGCUUAAGGGUUUCAGCUGCUGGCCAAGUGGACGGCACAACAGUGAUUUUACAGCCAUAAGAUGCUAAACGUCGAAGUAUAUUAUGCUUGAUCCCAAAAUCAUACGCAACAACCUUCAAUUUAAAAGAAAUGGAGAAAUGUAAGAGCAGACACAAAGCAAAGAUCUAAAAGCACCAACAUAAACUUUCAAAAAUAUUUCUAACUGUGUAAGUCUCUUGAUCUCUUCCAUUAGAGUUGAACUCCCAUUCUGAUUUUGUUUUAUCAACCCACUCAUAAGGGGCAUUGCAGGUAACGCCACUUAUUAAAUCAACACCUGCAAAAUAAAGACAAGAAUAAUAGAGAUACAGUUAAUCUUAAACUUUUAAAAAUACUCGUAACUUUCAAAUAAGAUCCAACUAUUCUUACCUACAAUGUCCCAUGAACGUGACAUCUUCAAAAGUUCUUCAUCACUUCUAGAUUGUUCUGUGCUCAAAACUCCAAUAAGACUUCCAUCUUGCCUCAAUCUGCGGGUGAUUGCACGUGUGUCAACAUCAUCUGCCAUUAUAGGAAAGCAUCAAGAUACAAAGGAGGUCAGAAGCUAUGCCCAGAGAACAAACAAAUUUUUUAUGAGCAUGUUUUCUAAAGUUAAGCAGUCUACUAACUAGAUAUCCAGUGCCAUAUAUACAACUUACAAAUUCCCAUAAUAUUUCUUUCUGCUAAAUAAUAACUAAGUGUUUCUGCACAUCUCCAAUUCGAAGUCUGCAAAACAUUUAAUUAAAAUUUGAUAAAUAAAUGAGGAAACCUUUUGUUCCAAAGCUGUAAAUUGCAUAUCUAAGAUGUUAAAAGAGGAAAUUUACGAAAUACUUAGACUUCUGAUCACCAGACCAGCAAGAAAGCACUGCCUUGAUUCUUCAUCAUCUGAUGGGGUAGGCAUCAACAUCAGAUCAUAUAUAGUUUUCAACAAGUCAGCAUUGAAAUGAUCAAAAGAUAAAUUUCACUUACCAAAAUUUACUCCGGUAUUGCCAAUAUGUGGAUUGGUCAUCAGGACAAACUGACCAGCAUAACUAGGGUCUGUUAAAAUUUCCUGAUAACUGCACAACAAUUGUAUUUUGGCCAUGAAUUAGACUAUGAAUACAGAAACUUCUUUUUCCAAAGUCAUAACAGGGAAGAAAGUCUACAAAUACACUGCAAAAGAAAUAAUAAGAGCAAAAACGAUCUUUUGAAGGCCAGCCCAAAUAAAAACAACAGUGAAUUAAAACAAGUCUGUAACUUCAAUGAUUCAAUUAUUAUGCAAACUCUAUAUAAUCUUACUGAAAAUAACUUCAAAUUCAAAAUUUUACUAAAACUUUAGAUUUAUCCAACCUCACCUUAUUUCGGGCAAUCCAUUGUUCAAUACCCCACAUUACGCAUCAGUAAAAAUUUCUUUAAUUUAGUUAAAAUUCUAAAGAGAAACAGAAAUCCAGAAUACUAUAUCAUCUUACCCUGUUAAAGAAGUGUUAAAAACCACCUCGCCGACUUGGGUUCCAGAGGCACCAAAAGAUUUAGCCCUCCAAAUAGAACCAUCUUCAAGAGCCAGCCUAGCAUCCGCUACCUUCCAUGGCCUCUCCGCCAAUCCUUAAACCACCCAUCACCAAAGAUAUUUCCACAUUAUUUCAAAACUAUAUAGGAAAAAAGAAAGACAAAAUUUGGAAGGAAAAAGUGAAAAAGAGUUUACCAGUGGCGGCACCGUCAGAGGAGAGAGGGAGGGAGCACCUGACAGUGAUAAAUCGAAGUUUGGAGGAAGGUUUUGGCGGGUUUCGGGAAAAGCAAAAAGAUGGUUUGUAACUGAGUGAAAAAUCCAUUGCUUUGAUGCCCAUUUUCUUUCUCUGGAAGUGGUUUUUGUAUUUUGUAGUUAGGGUUUUAUUGUGAGUCCGAGUUACAAAGCUAACAACAAUAAAGGUUUGUCUUUUGGAUUUCGGCUAAACAACAACUAAACAAUUGCUGCUCUGAGACGUGUAGGCUGCCCUUUGCUCAUUUGCAAAAGAUUCUUGUGGGUUUCUGGACAUAGCUAAAGCUGGGUAUUUUGGGAAAUCCAAGGUCAAGGCGUUUGGGCUAUCAUCAACCUCUUUCCUUCUUUUCAUACGAGUAGGGUUGUACAAGGUCGGGCCGACUUAGGUUAAAUCCGGUUAAUAUUUUUAGGGAUUUAUUCAAGUUCGGCUUACUUCAAGAAAAUUAAUUUAGGUCUAUUGUUAUUAUUAUUUAAAAUAUUAAAAUCAUUGCACAUAAAUCCCUCAUGUAAUCAAAUUAAACUUUAAUAAAUCAAAUAAAAAGUAAUUAAAUUUUAAAACCAUUAUGAAAAUUAUUUAAAAUAGUUAUCCAAUUUUUUUAAAAGAUAAAAAUUUCUAUUUUUCUUUUAACAUAUUGGCCAUAUCAAGAAUAAAAUGAAAAUGAAAAUGAAAAUAUUUUACAAAAUUAAAUGGGUCCUAAAAAUCCACUAUAGCAAUUAAAUGGUACAUGGGCCACAGGUGGGUUCAGGUUCGGGACUCCAACUAGGUUUAAUCAACUUCCCCGAAGACCAUUUCUGAUAAAACCCGAAAGCACAGUUGUUUGAUACAAAGCAAAGGCAUUUUUCAAUUUCUGUGAUAAACCCUUAAACCCCAGAAACACCAUGAUCCGAAUCGCGAGAAACCCAAGGCCUCUAACAACUCUGAGUAACCAACUCCUCCAACGCUUCAACGUCAGCGGAACCGCGAAAGGCAAGUCCAAACUCAAAGCCGGCCAACCUUUAAAACGCUCCAAAAUCUCCACUAAAAAAGGCAAGGGCGGUGCUCCUAUCGACGAUUCCCUCCCAAAAGGCGGCCGUAUCCCCGACGAAAGGCAAAGACUUUACGAACAGUGCCUCAAUGCACCCACGCCGGUCCGUCAUCUCUCCCCAAAAGAGCGAGCUCGUGAAUCCGAACGGGAAAAAUUGGGAUUAAUUAGCAAAGAAAGGCAACGAGAAAGGGAGAUUUUGAAGAAAGGAGGAAGACAAGCAAUGGGGGUUCCUGAUGAGCCUAUGAUAAUGGGAACACCUGGGCUGGAUUUGAUUACUCUGGGCCUUGUUGAUGCUGAUAAGAUACCCAAGUACGAUCUGACGGUGGAGGAUGGACGGAGAUUGGCUAAGGAGUAUAGUCGAGUUUUAAUGAGGAAGCAUAGGGCAAGGCAGGCUGCUGAGACUAAUUUGUUGAGAAUGAAAAAGGAGGCGAUUGAGGCAUUGCCGGAGAAGCUUAAGGAGGCGGCUAUGAUACCCGAUUUGACCCCAUUUCCUGCAAAUCGGUUUAUGGCGACUUUGACUCCGCCUAUCGAAGGGUAUAUUGAGAAGGUUAAGGAAGCGGCGAAGCAAAGUUCCGCCAAACAGAAGCUUAGGUGAAGUUUGGGUGAAGGUAAUUUUUUUUCUGUUCAAAGUGUUUUAAUUUUAAAACUGGGUUCUUGAUGAAUUGUUAGGUAGGUGUUUUAGAAUAAAGCUGUUUUUGUUAUUAAAAUUUCUAUUUUUGACCGAAUGUAUAUGCAACUUUUUGUUUUUUUUUUUUUUUUUUGCGGGGGUCGAAUCUAAUUCAGUUAAAAACCAAAUAUGAGUUUAGUUUUGUUGGUUUGAUAUCAGUUUGGCAUCACUUUGACGUUCUGAAUUAGUUUAUAGUUGAAAUUCACCUUACUUAGAAACCAUUUUUGGUUUGGAACAGAAUGGCUGGAGUUUUUUUUGGCCAAAAGAAUGCUUGGAGUUGGACACUUCUUUUUUCAAUCUUGGUUAACUGAUAACAUUUAGCGCUCUUUUGAUGGCGCUGAAAUUGACUAAUCUCUUAAUUCCAGUUGGUUCAUGCAUGCAGUAAUUCUUAAGUGAUGACAUCCAACAACUCUAGGAUUCAAAUCUUAAUAUCUGUAAUUCUAUCUUAAGUUGCAACCUUCUUUAUACCAAAAAAAAGAAAAUCGACUAAUCUCUAGGCUUGAAAUUGAUUUGUUAAAGGCGGAAGUGAUAUGUCAGCCGAUUGAUUUUUAUACUUGCUAGUGCUACCAUUCAAAACUCAAGUUUGUGAAAGAAAGGGCCUGCUUGUGUGACAUCCCAAGGCUAGAAGGAUGCUAUUUGUGACUGAUUUUGACAAAAGAUGUUCCAUUACUUGAUGGCUUUGUUUGAAACAGUCAUUUUGACAAUGUUCAUUAGGACGUAGGACAUGAUUUUACUUGAAAAAUUCCAUUGUUGGAUCACUAGUCCUUUAAUUGCCAAAGACAACAAUAUUGGUGAUCAACUUAUGUUAUACAAAAAGUGUUUCCUGCUCAGGCUGAGUUCUAAUGAGGGCAUCUUGUUCUUGGUCCUUAAAAUCCACCAUAUUGGCAUGUUAAAGUUUCAUAGUAUUGGCAUCAUUUUUAUUGUUCAAUCUGACUUCCAAUUUGAGAAAUUUUUGUACAAAUCUUUCUUUUUAAUAUUUGUUGUGGAUUAGACAUCUAGUUUUAUCUGAUAGUAAGAAUUUGUUGAAUAUGGUCCAGAAUACAAACAUCACACAUUCAUUUCUUAUGCAUAAAGUAUUUAGGAGCAGUGAUAUUUUUUAUUUUUACUUGAUUCAUUAAUUGCUUGCUGGCAAGAACUUCCCGUGCUGCUCCUGUAUCAUUAACCUUUGCAAUUCUGGCACCUUAUUGCUAUCCUUGUGGCUCUACAAUUUGGAACUUUGAUGGUUUUAUACUAUGAACUUGCUUGUUUUAGUGAAUACUGUAUAUGUUUUUCUUAUUCUAGAAUCUUUUGUGGCUGCAGCAGGCAGGGAUGAUGCUCACUUAUGAAACUGAUGAUCCAUUAUAUAGCAGCAGUGUAGUGUGAUUUUCUGGAUGGAAGAGGGUUUGAAAAUAGUUUGGUGAAAAUUGAUGAAUGUCCUACUUUCUAGUUCAACAUUGAAACUGCCUUCUUCAUGGUUUGUUGUAACUGGUAAUCCAAGCAUAGUCAAGUUACAAUGAUGCUUUUUGAUAAUUGCAUGCAAUAAUCUGAUGGCUCAAAUUGAAGUCUUUGUUAUUGUUGUUGUUUUUUACUGGAUUUCACCUUGGUUUUUUCCAGAAUAGAAGCUUUAGAAUUUUCUUGUGGAAGGCAUGGGACUGGAUUUGUAUCAUCAACUUCAACCUUGUUGAAUGUUGAUUGUGCUUGUGUGUAUUUUUGGUUGUUACCUAGUUUUACUUUUUUUUUUUUUUCUAAUUUUAGCAAUAUCAAAUCAUCUUGAAUUGUUCAUAGUCAAUUAAAGUAAUUUUAAGUUACAAAUGAUAAAAUUAUUUUAAUAAUAAGAUUAUUUCUAGGAUUAAAUUAAUACAAUGAUUUUAAAAAUAAUAUAAAAAAAUAAAUUUGAAAAAUGAUGAAAUUUAGACACGUGCCUUGCACGAGCCGCCUAAAUUACUAACUUCCCUCGUCUUGUUGGGUAUUGUUGGUUCUUAUCAACUUUCAGUAGGGGAGUGCUGCACCAAGCUUCACCAAUUAACGCUCGACGCAGCAAAGGGCCACAUAAUUGCACUUUCUAAGUUCAAAACCGGUAACUUGUUUAUCACAAGUUUAAUGAGACAAAAUCAAUGCUUUACACUUUAUGGCUUUUCAAACAUGUUAGCCCAAACUCCACGUAGCAUUCGAAAAGAAAAUAAUAAUAUCAUAUUUCAUUUUUUUAUAGUUGUGGUGCAUUUGUUUUUACUAUAUAUUUGUUUUUAUUUUUUGAAAAAUAAAUAAUAAAAUGCAUAAUCGGAUAUAAAUAAAUCAAUAUUUUUUAAGAUUUGUAAAUAAAUAUUUAAUUUAUUUAGUUAAUAAAAUGGUGACCGUGCUUUUAUUAAUUAUUACUUGCAUUUUAAAUCAAUGUUACAUUUUAAUUAGUUAUAAUUUUACUUUUUAUAUCUUUCAGUUCAAAAUGACUUUUGAAGAGCAAAAAAAUCAGAAUUUUAUACUUUUUGUUCUAUUUUAUAUUCAUAUAUAUAUUUUUUAUUUAAACACAAUUUUUUACUUAUUUAAUUAACUCAUUUAUAUAGGCAAGAGCGGAGUUCAAAUAAAAAAACAUUUGAAAUCAUGUGUGCUUAAAAAAAGUCCAAAUAGUUUUCUUUUUUUUUUUUCAUUUAGUUUACUUCUUGUUGAGAUUAAUAUUAAUUUUACAAGUUGCCGGUAUAACAACAAAGAGCAUUUUCAACAAAUAACAUCUUGAGAAUUUAUUUACGUAAUCCAAUGUAGAAUCAAUGACUGAAUGCUAACUUAAAUUGUAUAUAUUAAAAAAAACAUGUUCAAAAAUAUUAAUAACAACACAGUACAACGUUUACAAAAUAUAAAAACAUAACAAAAAUAAUUGUAAAAUUUUUAAUAAUUAUAACGGAUAUGAAAAUUUUAAUUUUUUAUUACUAUUAUCAUUAUUAUCAUUAUUGUUAUUUUUUAUAAGUUAAUAUAUUCGAAUUAAUUUCCACUAUAUAAAAUUUUUGGCUCACCAGUGUAUAUAAAUGCAUGUAUAUUUUUACCUACAAUGUAAAUCUUGAUGAUCUACAUCAACUCGAAAUUGUGGUACACUUGAUGAUAUAAAAAAUUGUUUCCCAGUAAUAAAUAAAUUUAAUGCAUGUUUACUGAUGAUUUUAUUAAAUAAAAAUAAUAAUAUGUAAAUAUGAUUUUAAUAGGGAAAAUAACAAACACCAAAUUUCCUUUGAUAUUUUUUAAAAUAUCAUACUUUCUUUUAAUAAAAUUUAACUAUAAAAAAAUUUAGAUUUAAAAGAAUUUUUGAGCAAAUAUAAAAAAAAAAGUGAAAAGUAGUAUAAAACAAUUUCAAUUUAAUAAAAGAAUUCUAAAAGGUAUUAGGGUAAAAACACGUUCAAGAGUUUAUAUAUUAUAUAAUAUUUAUGGCAAAAAAGGUUAUUUUGAUUAAAAUACUAACACAGCAUGAAUGGGAAUUUUGUCUCAUAAAAUCUUUAUUUUUUAAUUUAUUAUCUCAUAAAAUCAUUGGUAAAAAAUGCCAACACCAACUCCCUCUUACUUUUAUUUGAUUUAACCCUCUUACUUUCAUCUUUACCGUAUGGGAACAAGUUACCGGUUUUAAACUUAAAAAAUGUGAUUACGUGGCCUCGACUGUUGGACGGCGAUAAGAUGUUAAGGUAUUGGAAGGUACAGUCUUUUUCAUUUUCAAUCUUAAAUUUUUAUAUUAUAUUUAUUUUUAUAUUCUUAUUUAAUGAGUAUUUUAAACUCAUUUUUAUUUUCAUUUUCAUAAAUUUUUAAUAGAAAUAAAUAAUUAUUAUACCCAUAAUUUUAAAAAAUAAUAAAAACCAAAAUUUUUUUUUAAUUUUUAUCUUAUAUAUUUAUGUAAUUUUUUAUAAAUAAUUAUUAAUUUUUUUAAUAAAAAUAUAUUAAUUUUAAUUAUUUUAAUAAAAAUUUAUUUAUUAAAUAUAUAAAAAAUAAAUAUAUAAGUAUUGAUACAAUACGAGUGUUAUAGUACUCAACUUUAUUUUUAUACCUAAUAAAAAUUUUAAAUCAUAUUUAUCUAAAUUUUAUUUUCAUAUUCAUAAUGUAAUAUUUAUUUGAGUUAAAAAUUAAAUUUUUCAUUGGAUAUGAAUAAAAUUAAUAUUUUUAAUAGUCAAAUCUAGUUGGUGUUACCCUUAGCAUCUUUUUUUUUUUCAAUAGGGAUGUGCAAAUUUUAGUUUUAAUCAAAUUAAUCAACUAAAUUGAUUUAAUUUGAUUAACUAAUCAAUUAAUAAAUUAAAUCGGUUGGAUUUUUUAAAAUAAUUUUGAACAAAAUUUAAUUUUCAAUUAAUUUGAUUUAAAAAUUAAAUUAAUUGAGUUGAUUAAAUAAUUAACUAAAAUUUUGGUAUGUCAUUCAAGUAAAAAAUAUGUUUUCAAACUCCACAAUAAAUUUUAUAAUAUCCUACAUCAAAAUAAACUUGAAUUUUGUAGCACUUUACAAUCCAAGUGAUGAAAACAUAUCCAAAGAGAUCGUUGUAAUUUUCUUUUACAACUUGUGUGUGACCUUUAUAUCUCUACCAAUAAGCUUACUAGCAGAGCCAAACUUAGAGCUCUUGGAGAUUAAGUCUAACACCUAGUAUAGCAAUUGUAGGAGAUUACCGAUACACUCGGUAAUAAUAGUAAUUAAUUGCAAUUGUUUAACUACAUAAUUUGUAGUAUCUAAAUGUAAUUUUUUUAAUCAGUAUGAUAUAAUCUAAAUGGUUUGAAUAUUCCAAGAGCAAUAACAAAAAAAAAAAAAAAAAACUGAAAUUUACCCGAAUCAAUUAAAAUUAAUUCAAUCGAUUAAUUUUUAAAAAUAAAAAUUUCAGGUUAAUGAAACAAAAAUAAAAUAUUUUGAUUAAUUUAAUUUUUAAAUAAUUGGAUUCCAUUUAUUUAUAGGUUUAACUCUCAUUCUCUGUCGCUAGAACUUAAACCCUCUCAGAAUACACCUCUCUCCUUUUCAACACCCCAAUCGGAGAAAAAAAAAAUGGCUCGAAACGAAGAGAAAGCCCAGUCCAUGCUCAAUCGAUUCAUAGCCCUAAAAGCCGAGGAAAAGAAGAAACCCAAAGAACGCCGUCCUUUCCUCGCAUCCGAAUGCCGCGACCUUGCCGAGGCCGACAAAUGGCGUCAACAAAUCAUGCGAGAGAUCGGCCGCAAAGUCGCCGAGAUUCAAAACGAAGGCCUUGGAGAACACCGCCUCCGCGAUCUUAAUGACGAGAUUAACAAGCUCAUCCGCGAGAAGUCACAUUGGGAACGCCGUAUCGUUGAACUUGGCGGCCCGAAUUACGCCAAACACGGCGCUAAAAUGACGGAUUUAGAAGGGAAUAUAGUUGAUGUUCCGAAUCCUAGCGGACGUGGGCCUGGAUAUCGGUAUUUUGGAGCGGCGAAGAAGUUGCCGGGGGUUAGAGAAUUGUUUGAGAAGCCGCCGGAGUUGCGAAAGAGGAGAACUAGAUAUGAUAUUUACAAGAGGAUUGAUGCGAGUUAUUAUGGGUAUAGGGAUGAAGAGGAUGGGGUUUUGGAGAGAGUGGAGGGGCCAGCGGAGGCAAAGAUAAGGGCUGAAGCUGAGGAGGAAUGGAGGAGAGUAGAGGAGAUUAGGAGAGAGGCAAGGAGAGGGGCGAAGGAAGUGGUUAGUGUGGGGGCUGUGGCGAGGGAAGUGUUGUUUGAGGAAGAGGAGGAUGUGGUGGAGGAGGAGAGGAGGGAGAGAGAGGAGAAGGAGAGAAAAGAUAAGGAGAGGGAGUUUGUCGUGCACGUGCCUUUACCUGAUGAGAAGGAGAUUGAGAGGAUGGUUGUGGAGAAGAAGAAGAUGGAGCUUUUGAGUAAGUAUGCGAGUGAAGGGUUGUUGGAGGAGCAGACUGAAGCCAAGGAUAUGCUUAACAUUCAGCACUAGAAUAGCUGAUGGUAAUGUUGUAUUUUUUUUACUUUAAAUUUAGACUCUGAUUACAUAACAUUUCUGUUUUGGUUAGAUUGCCUUUAUAUUUAUGUGGAAUUUGAGUUUGAAGAAUUACUUUUCCAUAUGCAACUUCGUGAUUAUGUGGAAAAGAGCUAGAAAAUUGUUUAUAUUUGCAAAUUGUGAUAAUGGCUUUCUUUGUUGGAUGAAAUAAGAGAUUAUAAGGGGAAUGUUGAUUAAUCAUUGAUGUUGCUUUGAGUAACAGUCAUUCGCACUAGUGUUGGAUGUAAAACUGGAAUUGUUGUGUCAGUAAAAUGCUACUCAACAUUGGCCUCUGAGUCUUUUGCAUAUUUAUAACAGUUUACAGGCACUAUAACAAGUUUUGCUGGGUUUAAAAGAGAGUCCAUAGAUAGUAUAAAUUCUGCUGAUAGACAACAUUUAUGUGAUCUGAUGAAAUAUAAAGACAAUUUUAGACCAUUUAACCCAUGCUGGCCUUCCAACAUGUUUUAUUCCUUAAACUUUAACUCCAUUUUUGGAGUUGACUUUAAGUGAAAGAUAUAUAACUUUUGAAUGAACCUAAUGUUUUAGGCUAGCAUGAUCUAGGGAAUUCCAACACGGCAGUAGAUUCUAAUCUAACUGAUAAGAUCUUAAUUAAAGGAAAAAUAAGAAAAAAAAAUCUCAUGCUGGUGCUGUUCUGGUACAUGAGUUGUUGUAGGUUUUCUAACCUGUUUAAGUACCUAUACUUUGUGAAAAUGUUGCAUGCUUUCACUUUAACCAUGGUAUUAGUAUGAGGGAAACCUUCCUAGAAUUAGUGGAAAAUGAAUUAAUCAUUUUAAUAGAUAGAAAAUUGGUGUCAUUGCAGUUUAUCAUAGCAUUUAUUUUUUUAUUAAUGAUGUUUGCUAUCAUACAGGAAAAUGACAUGCCACCUGUGAUCUUUAUCAACAAAGAGAUGCCACCAACCUGUUACUUUAAAGAUCUGUGCUGGUGAUAAACAUAUAGUAGAAAUUUAUGUCUAAAACAUAGAUGCUAUAUUUUAGUAACUUUUGACUUAGCAGUUUUUAUGAAGUAACUUUAGGAUAUCUGAUCAUGCAUAGGGUUCUUUGAGUCAAGACUGUCUGAUCUUAAAUUGAUCAAGGAAACUCCUAGGACAAUAUGCUGUAAUAGUGUAACCAGUUGCUGCAUUUAGUUGUUCUCUAGUUCUCAUUCAUAUAUCCUUUUUAUCCUUUGAGAAAGCAAUUUUUUCUUGAAACAAAAUCUGGAGAGUAACAUAACCAUUUAUAAUCUUCAUUAUCAUUUUCUUCUGCCCAAAUUCUGUUUUUUUUUUUUUUUUUGGGUAUACGACAUGCCAAAAUUAUUCGAAAUCAUUUUCGAAGAGGUAGUAAAUCAAAUGUACUUUCUGCUUUGAAGCAGUCAAAAGUAGACAAAUCAGUGCAUUUAUUCUGCUAAAACAAUAUGUAAGGGCUGUAUUCUAUAUUUCUACCACUAGACCACUAGACCACUGCUGCUUCUUAAACACAUCUGAUAUAUGAUGUUCAGGAAUUUGUUUGCAUGUAUCAAAUUGUGUUUGAAAUUGCAAUUUGGUGUGCGGCCUUUGCCUUUCUAUUGACUGUUUGAAAUUGGUUGAAUCCAAUAUGUGGUCAUUGUAAGCACUGAUUUUUGCAUAUUUUCCUGGUUAGUGUUAUUAUUUCUCAUUUAAGCUUGUGACCUAAAUGGGUGUUAGGGCAGUGCAUAGGUUGUGUGCAUUUGUUUGGGUCGGGUGUGUGUGAAAGGGAAGGAAGUGAGAUGAGAUGUAGGUCUAAUGUCUAUCUCCAAGUCAUUCUUAUUAUUCCAUAACAAGAGGACUCUUCCUUCUGUCCCCAUAAAGUUCCACUAUUCCUUGAUUUGGAAACCUAACUUUGAGCUGAGGAUGAGAGCUAUUAUGAGCAUGUUGAGAGCAGUGUCAUAAAAGUUAUUGUUGCGGAAAAUGUUGCUGUUGAGGUCAACAGUCAUUGAAAGAAGCCAACACAUGCUUUCAGCCAUGUGGUUUGCUGAGAGCUAAAGUUUGUUGAAUGGAACUGGUUUUGCCUCCGAAAUCUUACUUUUAGAGGGGUACACUUAUGUACACAUGCCAACAAAAGUUAGUUAUAUGAGAUGCAAAAUGCUUUACUUCUCGUUUGAAAACUUCCUAAAAAGUGAAGGAGGAAAAUGUGGAACUGGUUUCAAUUCGGCAUUCUUGUUAUCUUGGGGAAACCUGUUCUAGAGGAAUACGCAUAACGCUUCUUUCUAUCAAAACAAAGACAUAUAUAUCUCGUUUAAGUUGCUGAAUUCCAUUCUGCUAGUUUCUAUCUUGCUCGCAAUUAUUUGUCAAUAUCAAUAGCAGAGUAAGUGAAAGGUAUUUGAAAUUCUAAUUAAUUAAUUAAAGAUAGAAUUCAUUGGUUUAUCAUAGUUGUGUUUCUGGCUUUCUGCAGUUAUAGAAGAACGUUACGACAAUGGUUUGCAAAAGUGAAGAUUUUGUUCAUUGCUUCAUGCUUAUGCAUUAGUUUGAUUAAAAGGUUUAAUCUGGAGACAAAAUCUUUGGGUGCUUCACAAAGUCACAAAAACCAAAACAAGACUUCUCCCACUUGGAAUUUGCUUUACCAAAAAUAGAUAUCUUCUGGAAAUAUUGGAUUAGGCACAGCGCUUGUUGAAUGAAAUGAAAUAGACAUUCUCGCCGAAAAUAGAAAGGUAUUAGUUAGUUUCGUUUCUAAAUCGAAACAUAGGAAUAUAGGAAGAAUACUAUAAAAUGUGCAAUUUCAAAGUUAAAAUUUGCAGUUAGUUGAAAUCAGAGAAAUCCUAGUAGCGUCAUAGAAUUACCAUUGUUAAAAAUACAUAAAAUAAGCUGCUUCAGCAGGAAAGUCUCACAUUGAAGGAAAACAAGAAAUAGCAAACCCGCCCUUUUCUUUAGAAUAAAUCACAUUUCACCCAUUCAAACUGUGGAGCCAUAUAGCGAGCACAACGUGAGCUAUUCUUUCGCCUUUUACUAGAGAAUACCGUGUGCUCACUGCUUAAAACGGCAUACACCAAUUUUUGGAGGGGCUAUUCUACAAAGAAUGCUUCCAAACAAUUCUAGUUAAAAUUUUUCUGACAAUGGCAAAACAUCAAACAAUCGAAGUCGCAGAGAUAUCUAUAUUAAUUUCUGCUGCUAAUGCACUGCUGGUCCUUAUAUACAGCGACCUAGUUUUAUGAUUAUCGAUGUUUCUGAAGAUUGAUAACUAUAAUAAGAAAUAAAUUUACGAGUAACAAGCCACUGUUUGAAAAUAGUUGUAGUUGAUUAACUACCAUGUUUGCCACUACUGGUGGAUUAUUUUGGCUUUGCUCUCUUUAUUUGUGAUCUCCAGGUUUUGCAUUCUUUACUAGUGGAGUUAUUUUUGGAACACCUGUGUUAAAUAUAAAAGGAAAUGUUUCAUGCAAACUUUAUGAUAAAGUUGUAAAAUAAAGAAUAAUACGUUUCAAAGAAUAUAUUACUCAUAAAACUGAUAAUGUUACACCAUGUCCUAACGUUACUCACAUGUUAUGCUUUUAUAAUUCUUUUGAAAAUAUUGUUGUUAAUUUCUCAAUAAAAAUUAUAAAAUUACAUAAGCAUAUGCAACUAAUUUUCGCCCUUUUUCUUAACUAUAUUAUUAAUAGGAAUAGUAAGAGAAAGUAUGAUGAAACUAUUUCAAGAAAGCAAAUAAAAAAAAGCCGACAACAAAAGGAGAAAAAAUGAAUUUUUAUAACAAUUAAGAGGGGAACAUGAUUAUGAAGGAUUUAUUGAUGAAGACACCUCUACCAGACAAGCCAUGCGAGAUAAUAUCCAAUCACAAUAUGAGUGACAUAGAAGACAAGAAUUUAGACAAAAAACUAGUGGUUAGAAUAACAUAUGAAGAGGGAUGCAGCUCUCAUAACUCAGUUGCUAAAUAUUUUGAAGAGAAAACAAGGAAAUCAACUCCAUAUGAGUUUGAAUUUUCAUUAAAAAAAGUUAUACUUGAAUUGGUUAGAGUAAGAGUUCAAGGUAACUAAAAAUAAGUGAUUCAAUUUUUAAGACAUUAAGAAGGAAGGGGGGUGAAUUAGUAUCAAAUUUUUGAUAUAUGAUUGACUUCCUUUUCAGUUAGCAAACUCUACAUGGUUGCAUAAUUUGAUUUCUGUGGCAGUAGAAGUUGGCCAACAUGUGAAGCUUCUAACACCUUAUGUGGUCUCAGAUGUGUAUUUAGAGUCUGAGUAUCAACAAAUUCAUGAAUGUGUUAAAGGAUUACAAGCUCAUUGGAAUGAAUUAGAUGUCACUUUGAUGAGUGAUGGUUGGACCAACAGUUUGAAUCAAAUGCAUAUCAUUAAUUUUCUUAUUUACUGUAGUAAAUGGACCAUUUUUUGAAAAUCUAUAGAUAUCUCAAGUAUUCAUAAUAUAGAUGCAAACUUUUACUACAUAUUAUUGGAUAACACUAUGGAAGAAAUUAGGAAAAAAUACAUUGUUCAAAUAGUCACUGAUAAUGAGGUAGCAAUUAAGGUUGCAGGAAAAAGACUAAUGGAGAAGAGAAAAUAUUUGUAUUAGAUAGCAUGUUUAGCUCAUUGUUUGGACUUGUGCCUUGAAGAUAUUGGUAAGAAAAAAAAUAUGGCAAAGGUUUUGGAUGAUGCAAAAAAAGUGACUUGUUUUAUAUACAAUUACAUUUGAAUUGUUAAUUUAAUGAAGAAAUAUACACAAGGGAAACAAAUACUUUAUGCUGCUUUUACUUGAUUUGCCAUUCAUUUUAUACAGUUAGAAGAAAUAAUGAGGCAAAAGAAAGGUUUGAAAGAGAUAUUCAAUUCAAAUGUUAGUACUUAGUAAUUAAUAUUACUAUUUAAAUCUAACAUCUUUUUAUGAUGUGAUUGUUUAAAAUAUUAAUUUAAAAUAUAUUACUUUAAAAAUUUAUUGAUGAAAAUAUAGAAAUUUAAAGAAUCAAAAUGGAGACAAGAAAAAUCAGGCCUACUUAUGAAGUCAAAAAAAAUCAUUUUGGGAAAAAAAUUUUGAAAAAAAAGCAAGUGAUAUAAUAAAAGUUUAUGAGCUUUUAGUAAAAGUGUUACGCCUUGUGGAUGGUGAUGAAAAACCAACAAUGGGCUUUAUUUACGAGGUUGUGGAUAGAGCUAAAUAAGCAAUUUAGUAAAAUUAUUGUUAUUCUGUUGAAUAUGAAAAGAUUAGCGAUAAUAGAAGGAGUUUCAUGCACUCUGACUUGUAUUUAGUUGGUAAGUAAACUAAGAAUAUAGAUGGUAUUUAAAAAAAAAUGUUUAUUUUUUACACUUAAAUUGCUUAUAUAAUAUUUUUUAUUACUUUAAUAUAAUAUUGUUAUGAAUUAUGUUUAGGUUACUAUCUAAAUCCACAAUUUCAAUUUGGAGUCAAACAUUUUGCAAAUGUAUUUAAAGAAACAUUAAAAGGUAUAAAAACAAUUAUGGAAAUAUUAGAACCUUUUAUAGAUACUCAAAUUAGAAUAAUCAAUUAGGUUAGUAUUUAAUAUUAUUUUAUAACUUUGAAAUUUAUUUUAUGUAUUAAAAAUAGAAUUAUUUUUAUUUAUUCAUUUAUUAUUAUAUUUUUAAUCAAUGUAGUUGUUAUUAUUUCAAAACAAGUAUGAACAUUUGAUACUUCCAGGUACAAAGAGCUUGGAAGCAAAUGAAUCUAAGUACAUAGUAAAUUAAAUAAUUAUAAUUUAUUUAUAUUAUUUAAUUGUAUAGCAUAUUCAAAUUUAAUUUAAAUAAUUUUAUACAGCUGAGUAGUGAAUGAUAUAUGGCACUUGUGUUCCUGAAUUACAAAAAUUAGUAAUCAAAGUGCUUAGUCAAACAAUAUUUGCAUCAAAUUGUGAACGUAAUUGGAGCACAUUUAGCUAUAUUCACACUAAAACAAGAAACAGAUUGAAGUUUAAAAAACUUCAAAAACUUGCAUACACCUAUUACAACAUGAGGCUAAAGAUAAGACAUCAAAAAAGAAUAAGCAUUGACAAGAUAAAUAAUAGUUUUAAUCUAUUAACCUUGACUAUAUUUUUAAAGAUGAUGAUCCACUAACAAAAUGCUUGCAAAAGAAAAAAAAUCAUUAGUUUGAUAGUCAAAACUCUGAUUGGUUACCCACAGAUAAUUUUGAUAAUGAAAUGAAUGUUAAACAAUCACAUCAAUCUUAAGAAAGGAAUGUGUCUCAUUCAAGUUCAAGUUCAAGUCUAACACCAAAUUUGAAUGAUGAUGGUAGGGGUUUAAAUCCAUAUGAUGAUGAUGGUGUUGGUGAUGGUGAUGGUGAUGGUAUAAAUUUUUGUGGUAAUAUAGAUGCAAAUUAACCUUACAACCCACUUGGAGGAUAACUUAGGCUUGUUGCUACUAGUGGACUUUUUAUUAACAUGGUAGAAUAUAGAAUAAAUCUAUCUGAUGAAUAUAGUGAGGGUCAAAGUGCAUGUCUAGCUUGAUAAAAAAAAAAACCCAAGAAGCAUCACUAUGAUAUUUUUAAAUACUAUUCAUCAUCAAUAGGAGACCAAAUUCUAGUAACUUUGAAUAUAGUGAAUCAUUUGCUAGUACUUAAGGACAUUAUUAUCCACCGAAACAACAUAAUUUUCAACCUCCUCAUUAUUAUUCACCUCUAUAUGGUUAUUAUCCACCACAAAUGUAUCCCCCACCUCAAAUGUAUCAUUUACCACAAAUUUAUCCCCACCACAAAUGUAUCAUCUUCAUAUAUAUCCUUAAUCUCAAAUGUAUCAAGAAUAAAGGCCACAGGGAUGAGGAUGGAGUCAACUUGGCUUUCAAAGUGAAGAUAGAGAAUUUGAUUUUCUCAUCAUUUUACCAUGUGAUAAAAUUUGAAUAUAUAUCAAUAAUUGUAGUUGAUGAAAUUUGAAAUUAUUAUAUUUUUAAAUUUAUAAUUUUAUUAAAUAUCGAUGUUUGGUAUUUAACAUAUUAUGUUUUGUUAAUAUUUGAUUUGUCUAGAAUUAAUCUUGAAUAUGAACUUGGCUCAAACAGAAUUUUGUGGAUAAACCAAAUAUUAAUGCUUUAUUAUAAUCUAAAUAAAAUUAUGAAUAAUUUUUUAAAAAAUAAAAAAUAGUGUCAUAAACUAUUUUUAAAAUCAUUAAAUAAGAGUUUUUAUGGGAAAACACUUAUUUACAGCUACUUGUAAUCUGUAUAUUUAUAUUUGUAUCCCUAGAAUUAAGUAUUUGUAUCCUUAGAAUUAAGGACAAAAAAAUUAGGAUAGACAAUCUCUCAAUUAUAGGAUUAGUUUUUUAGGAAGAUUUAGUUUCCUAGUUUAACCCCUAGUUAUAUAAACCUAAGGUUUUUGUAUAAUUCUCAAUUAGCAAUUUUUCAAUAUACAUUUAGUUUCUACAUUGAUUUAUUUAUUAGUUUUUUCACAUGGUAUCAGAGCUUUAGGCUCUUCUUGAGAAGUAAAAUUUUUAGCCUUCAUUGCUGACUUUUCUAGAUCUUUAUUGUCGAAUCCUGUUUAGGCUUUCUUUGUCGAACCCUUUCAAAGAAAGAUAUCACUAUCACCCAAUUUGAGAAAAUGUUAACUGAAAAAAUCAUUGGAGUACUACAGAUGUCUCAGAAACAAGGAGAGUUCGACAUGGAAAAGAUUGAAAAGCUGAGAAAUUUAUUGAAAAUCCUUGAAAAGCCUACUGUGGUAUAUUCUUUGGGUAAAGUUUUUAAUUCAGGUAAGCUUUCGAUUUUCAUGGAUUAAAUGUCUCAGUUAAGCCUAUUACGAGUUCUUGGAUUAUUGACUCAGGAGCCACAGACCACAUGACACAUUUCUCACAAAAGUUUAGUACAUAUAACAUGUGUCAUAGUAAUAAGAAAAUUAUUGUUGCAGAUGGUUCAUUUACCACAGUGACAGGAUUAGGAGAUGUUCAAGUUAAUCCCUCGUUUGUUCUAAAAAAUAUUCUUCAUAUUCCUAGAUUGUUUACUAAUAUGAUACCUAUACAAAAACUUACCAGAGAUAUAAAUUACAAAGUAACUUUUUAUCCCUCUUAUUGUGAAUUUCAGGACUAGAGUUCAAGGAAGAUGAUUGGACUUGCUAAGGAGAAGGAUGUACUAUACUAUUUUGAGACAUCAAAUAAACAAGUAAUAUCAAAAAUAGUUUACCUUUGUCAUUUCUUUAUGAAAAAUCUUCUAAUAAAGACAAAAUUUGACUUUAUCAUUUUUAUCUUGGACAUCUUUCUUUUAGAACCUUGAGAAACAUGUUUCCUUCUUUGUUCAAAGGAUCAAAUGUCAAAGAUUUUCAUUGUGAUAUUUACGAACUUUUAAAGUAUAGACAUGUGUCUUUUCCAAUCAGUAACAAAAGAAGUUUUACUCUCUUUUACUUGAUUCAUAGUGAUAUUUGGGGUCUCUCUACAAUUUUUAAUAUUUUUGAUGCGAGAUGAUUUGUUUCGUUUAUAGAUGAUUGUACCAGGAUCUCUUGGAUUUUUUUACUUAAAUCUAAAUCAAAUGUGAAUAAUGUAUUUUUAAGCUUUCAAAAUAUGAUCUAAAAUCAAUUUAGAGUGAGAAUCAAGAGAUUUAGGUCUGAUAAUGCAAUAGACUACUUCAACCAGAGUCUAUUUACCUAUUUCUAAAAAGAGAAGAUUAUCCAUGAGUCAUCUUGUGUUAAUACUCCACAGCAGAAUAGAGUGAUAGAGAGAAAAAAUAACCAUUUACUAGUCACAACUCGAGCUUUUUUUUUCAAGCAAAUGUACCUAAAUUUUACUGAAAGAAAGUUGUUCUUACUGCCACAUAUAUUAUAAAUAAGCUACCUUCAAGGGUUUUGGGAUUUAAAACUCCUAUGAAACUACUCUUAUAAUUUUAUCCCAACCUCAAUACCAUAAACAAUCUCACACCUAAGAUAUUUGGUUGUAUAUCAUUUGUUCAUGUUCAUAGUCAUAACAGGAAAAAGUUGGAUCCAAGAGCGAUUAAGUAUAUUUUUAUGGGGUAUUCUUUAACUUAAAAAGGAUAUAAGUGCUAUCAUUCUCUUACAAAAAAAUUUUAUGUGUCUGCAGAUGUCACUUUUGAAGAAAGUAAAUAAUUUUUUACUCAACCUUAUCUUCAGGGAGAGAUUUCAUUCAUGAAAGAUAAGGAUAAAAAUUUUUUUUGCUUGAUUUAUCCCAUUCUUUAACAUUUACACCCAUUAAUUCUUCUGAGUCGAAACUUGUUUCUGCUGAACCUAAGUCAAACACUAAAUUUGAGUCUGAACUCAUUCCAAAUAUAAAAGAUGUAACAAAGGAUAAUAUUGUUUUUUAUUCUAUGAAGGAAUUACAAGUGUACUUAAGAAGAAAAGUUUCAGAUCCUCAACCAGUACCAGUCCAAGAAUCUGAUCCUAACUUUGAAAAUGAGGUAACUACAAUUUUUGACUCUAUUUCUUAAAAUGAGCAUGAAUCUUUUAAAACUAUAACUAGUGAUUAUGAUCAACCUAUAGCCAUUAGAAAAGGAACCAGAGAAUGUACUAAGCAUCCACUAUACCCAAUAUCUAAUUUUGUGUCAUUUAAAAAAUUUUCACCAUCCCACAAAAAUAUUCUUGUGAGCCUAAACACUAUUUCGUUCCAACUACAUUAUUCGAGGCAUUAUCUAGUGAGAAAUAGAUACAAGCCAUUAAAAUAAAAAUGGAGGCCUUAGAGAAAAAUCAGACAUGGAAACUGGUAGAGUUGCCUAAAGAAAAAAAUUCAGUGGGGUGUAAAUGGGUUUUCACUGUAAAAUAUAAAGCAGAUGGUACUGUUGAAAGGUAUAAAGCUAGGUUAGUGACUAAAGGCUACACUCAAACCUAUGGAGUGGAUUAUCAAGAAACCUUUGCUCCAGUUAUCAAGAUGAAUACAGUUAAGAUUUUAUUAUCAUUGGCUGCAAAUUAUAAUUAGCAGCUUCAACAAUUUGAUGUAAAGAAUGCUUUUCUACAUGGUGAUUUGGAAGAAGAAAUAUAUAUGAAGGUUCCACCAGGAUUUAGAGAUCAUAUAGAAGCAAACAAAGUAUGCAUGUUAAAAAAGGCUUUAUAUGGCCUUAAACAGUCUCCUAAGGCUUGGUUUGAGAGAUUUACCAAAAUGAUGCUAGCAAUGGGAUAUAAAUUGAGUCAAGGAGAUCACACAUUGUUUGUCAAGCACUCUGAUUCAGGGAAAGUCAUAGUUCUAUUAGUGUAUGUUGAUGAUAUAAUUGUAACUAAAGAUGAUGAAAAAGAGAAAGAAUCUCUAAAAUAGUAUUUAGUUAGAGAAUUUGAGAUAAAAGAGCUAGAGAGAUUGAAAUACUUCCUAGGAAUUGAAGUAGCUCACUCACGAUAUGGUAUCUUCAUCUCAUAAUAAAAAUAUGUGAUGGAUCUUCUGAAGAAAACUAAAAAACUCGUAUGUAAACCUGCAAAUACCCUUAUAGAUUCUAAUCAUAAAAUUAGAGAAGUUAAUAAAGAUGCUACUGUAAAUAGAGAGAUAUAUCAAAGAUUAGUUGGAAGACUCAUUUAUUUCUCACAUACUAGACCUGAUAUAGCAUAUACUGUGAGUGUAGUAAGUCAAUUUAUGCAUAGUCCUAAAGAAGUGCACCUACAGGCUAUCUACCAUAUAUUGUACUAUUUGAAGGCCAAUCUUAGAAGAAGUAUCUUAUUUAAAAAAAAAAUUCAGGGUUAGUUCUAGAAGCAUAUACAGAUGCUGAUUAUGCAGGUUCAGUAACUGAUAGAAGAUUCACUUCAGGCUACUACACUUUCUUAGAUGAUAAUCUUGUGACUUGGAGGAGUAAAAAAUAGAAUGUGAUAGCAAGAUCAAGUGAUGAAGUAGAGUUCAGAACAAUGGUUCAAGGAAUUUGUGAACUACUAUUGUUAAAGAUUAUCCUAAAAAACUUGAAGAUCAAGUGGGAUGGACCAAUGAGACUCUAUUGUGAUAACAAGUCUGCAAUAAGCAUUGCACAUAAUCCUGUGUAACAUGAUAGAACAAAACACAUUGAAGUAAAUCGACAUUUCAUAAAUGAGAAACUAGACAGUGGGUUGAUUUGUACACCUUAUGUAUCAAUCAAGGGUUAGCUGCAGACGUGUUGACUAAAAGUCUCACAGUACAACAUUUCAAGAAAUUAUUUUCAAGCUGGGAAUGGAAAACACCUGUUCAUCAGCUUGAGGGGGAGUGUUGGAAAACAUUUAUUUACAGCUAGUUGUAAUCUUGUAAUCUGUAUAUUUAUAUUUGUAUCCCUAGAAUUAAGGAUAAAAAAUUAAGAUAGACAAUCUCUCAAUUAUAGGAUUAGUUUUUUAGGAAGAUUUAGUUUCCUAGUUUAACCUCUAGUUAGUUGUAUAUAAACCUAAGGUUCUUAUAUAAUUCUUAAUGAGUAUUUUUUCAAUAUACAUUCAGUUUUCACACUAAUUUAUUUCUUAAUUUUUCUACAAUUUUUAUAAUUAUAAGUAUUAUAUUUUAUAAUAAAUUAUGUAAAAAUAAAAAAUUCAUUACUGCGGUGACUAUAAUGAUUACAAUAAUCUUCGUUAUAUUUGAAAAUGCAAUAAAUACAAUGCAAUAAAAUACGUGAUUGUAACCGUAAUUUAAAUCCCAAAUAACAAGAGGACUCUUUCUCUUUACCCCGUUAAGUUCCACUAUUCCUUGAUUUGGAAACCUAACUUCAAGCCGAGGACGAGAGCUAUUAUGAACCUCGUGAGAGCAGUGUCAUAAAAGUGAUUAUUGGGGAAAAUGUUGCUCUUGAGGUCAACAGUCAUUGAAAGAAGCCAACACAUGCUUUCAGCCAUGUGGCUUGCUCAGAGCAAAAGUUUGUUGAAUGGAACUGGUUUUGCCUUCUAAAUCAUACUUUGAGAGGGGUACACUUAUGUACGCAUGCCAACAAAAGCUUGUUAUAUGAGAUGCAAAAUGCUUUACUUCUCGUUUGAAAACUUCCUAAAAGGUGAAGGAGGAAAAUGUGGAACUGGUUUCAAUCCGGCAUUCUUGUUGUCUUGGGGAAGCCUGUUCUAGAGGAAUACCCAUAACGCAUAUUUCCAUCAAAACAAAGGCAUAUAUCUCAAUUAAGUUGCUGAAUUCCAUUCGGCUAGUUUCUAUCGGAUAUCUUGCUCGCAAUUAUUUGUCAAUAUCAAUAGCAGAGUAAGUGAAAGGUAUUUGAAGUUCUAAUUAAUUAAUUAAAGAUAGAAUUCAUUGGUUUAUCAUAGUUGUGUUUCUGGCUUUCUGCAGUUAUAGAAGAACGUUACCAAAAUGGUUUGCAAAAGCGAAUAUUUUGUUCAUUGCUUUAUGCUUAUGCAUUGCUUUGAUUAAAAGGUUUAACCUGGAGACAAAAUCUUUUGGUGCUUCACACAGUCACAAAAACCAAAACCAGACUUCUCCCACUUGGAAUUUGAUUACCAAAAAUAGAUACCUUCAGGAAAUAUUGGAAUAGGCACAGCGCUUGCUGAAUAAAAUGAAAUAGAUAUUCUCUCCGAAAAUAGAACAGGUAUUAGUUAGUUUCGUUUCUAAAUCGAAACAUAGGAAUAUAGGAAGAAUACUAUAAAAUGUGCAAUUUCAAAGUUAAAAUUUGCAGUUUAGUUGAAAUCAGAGAAAUACUAGUAGCGUCGUAGAAUUAUCGUUGUUAAAAAUACAUAAAAUAAUUGUUUUUAAAAUGGUAACGUUCACAGCUACUUCAGCAGGAAAGUCCCACAUUGAAGGAAAACAAGAAAUAAGAAACAUGCUUUUUUAUUUAUAACAAAUCACAUCUCACUUCAGAAAACAUGGAGCCGUGUAGUGAGCACAAAGCGAACUAUUCUUUCGCCUUUUACUAAAGAAUACCGUGUGCUAGCUGCUUAAAACGGCAUACACCAAUUUUUGGAGAGGUAUUCUUCUAAGAAUGCCUCCAAACAAUAUUAGGUAAAUGUUUUUCUGACAAAGGCAAAGCUCGAAAAGGUAUACACAAAUUUUUGGAGCGGAUGUUCUUCUAAGAAAAUUUUUCUGAUGGACAAUCGAAGUCGCAGAGAAAUCUGUACUAGUUUCUGCUGCUAAUGCACUGCUGGUCGUUGUAUAUAGAGACCUAGUUGACAAAGGCAAAGCUUGAAACGGCAUACACCAAUUUUUGGAGCGGCUGUUCUUCUAAGAAAUUUUUCUGACGGACAAUUGAAGUCGCAGAGAAAUCUGUACUAGUUUCUGUUGCUAAUGCACUGCUGGUCCUUGUAUAUAGAGACCUAGUUUUAUGAUUAUCGAUGUUUCUGAAGAUUGAUAACUAUAGUACGAAAUAAAUUUACGAGUAACAAGCCACUGAUUGAAAAUAGUUGUAGUUGAUUAACAACCAUGUCUACCACUACUAGUGGAUUAGUUUGCCUUUGCUCUCUUUUAUUUGUGAUCUCCAGGUUUUGCAUUCUUUACUUGUGGAGUUAUUUCUGUACAAUCAAGCUACCCUAUACAUUGCAUGCAAUUUAGUUUUCGCAUUAUCCUACAGAUUGAAAAUUGAUAGCCAUGUUGAAGCUAAAAAGAACGUACUGUCAUGUUCCUUCUACCAAGCAGCUUCCUGCAUUUUUACCUUGGCAAUUCGUUACAGGUUCUUAGCUCUCUUCUUCAAUUUCCAAAGAAAAAAAUGUGAAUAAAUCUCGAUAUCCUCAGCUUUUUGUUUCAAAUCUCGAGAAAAACACCACCUCGUAGGUAGAGUGAUAUCCAGCUGCUAAAAUCAAAGGAGUCAGUCCCGCAUUUGGAGAAAACCUGAGAGAAUGGAUGGCACUCAUUAUAAAACUGAUCCCUGGAGAAACGUUUAAACAUACUUACUGGACGAGGUCCACGGGUGAUCAAGGAGUCCCACGGCCUAGGCAUGCGGCCUCCAUUGCACUUGGGAGGUGCAUCCGUCUGCGGUCUCCUAAGUAGUAGAUCUACGUCAUAAUUUCUGGUAGUGGGGCCUGCGUUCGCCCAGCCCCUGUCCAAUUCUCAACGAAAUUUUUUGUUGGCACUGGUCAACGUGUUCUUUGGUGCUUAAAAGUUAGCCAUCUGUAAUAAGAAAUCAGAAACUAAGUUUAAUAAUUUGAAGCAUGAAAAUAUAUCAAUGAAUUCAUCACUUUGCCUCACUAUUUUUGUUGAUGUUUCAGCAAGAGGAGGUGAUAGGAAAAAAGUAUGAAUUUCAAGGAGGAGAGCUUCUUGCUAGAUAAAGUGAUAGAUUUUGCCAUAAACACCAGAGAGAAGAAUUCAUCUAAUCAUCUUUGUGAAGCUUGACAGAUUGAUCAAGAAAGAAAUGACUUAAGAUUACGUUAUGUUUAGUAUUUCAGUCUGGUAUAUUUUUCUCAGAAAACACGUUCAAAAUCCCACAUUAAUUGUUCACGAAAUAGGAAUUUUUGUGUUGGCUAUAAAAGAAAUGUUAAGCCGUACCUUUCACAGCCUUGGCUAUUAGGCAUUGACGCAGCCAGUAAGGUAUUAACCGAGGCGCGCAUUUUUCUGGUUGAAAUUUAUUGUGAAUCCCCACCGAGAUUAGCUCUUGGGUCACGGUCUUGAAGUAAAGUCAGGAAUUUUACAUCACUUGAGUAGUAGAGAUGAUAUUGGGAUAUAAGGAUUUACACACUUUUUAUCUUAUGAGAUUUUUUUUGUGAGAUAAAAUUAUGAAGUCAGAGAGACAUUCUUUUUCUUAUGAGAUGCUUUUUAUGAGACAAAAUUAUGAAAUCAGAGAGAUCAGAGCCAACAAUACCUUACAAGGGUGUGAACCGUAGUAAGUAGGUUGAUCUAGAACGUCGUUGGAGUGAGGGAUCCUGAAGUGAAGUCAAAAAUCCCACAUCGAUUAAGUACUAGAGUUGAUUUUGGGAUAUAAAUGUUCACACAUUCUUUUUCUUGUGAGGCGUUUUUUAUGAGAUAAAACCGUGAGGCUAAAAGGGUUAAAGCGGAUAAUAUCUCACAAGAGUGUGGACCGUGACAGGUAGGUUGAUUUGGACCGUUGGAUGAGUGCAUGCCCAGGUUCUGGAGUUGCACAGACUUGGAGGUUGAGUCUCGGCCCUGAUGGCCUUGGAGAAUUUCUAGAAAGGCACUUUUUGUUAGAUUAAUUCUUAAUUGUCUAGUUAUAUUUUAGGUACUAUUUUCGAACCUAAUAUCCAAAUUUUCUAUAAUAUUAUAGGUUCUUUGUUAAUGUAAAAAAAUCUAAUAAUUUCAUUUGAACUAUUGGUAGUUGCUGGGGCAUUACUACUUUUAUUGAAUAAUUAACUUUGUAAUAUGUUAACUUAAUUUCAAAUAUUGUUAAUUUAAUAUAUGAAGUUAUGGGAAAAUACCCUUUUCUUUACCUUUGAAAUUGAAUGAUUUUAAAUUGAAUAUAAAAACAAAUAAAAAUUAAUUAAAAAUAAUUUAAAUAAAUAGUAAUCAUAAAUUUAGGUAGAUGUACAUUAUUAACCCUAAUGAAAACUUUCAUUAUUUUUUAAAUAGCGAAGAGAAUUCUUUUUUUUCAUCGACAUACUAAUGUUGAAAUUUCAUAUAGUCUACUUCUAUGUUUAACUUGAAAGAUCUCUCAAUUCCAAAUCUACUUCACUUAAAAUCAAUCAUAUGAACUUUUUUUAUUUUUUUUAUGGGCAAUAUUUUAACAUUGUUUAUUUUUUUUAAAAAAAUUAUUUCUGAUUUUGUUAAUGCAUAUUUCAUAGUUUUAUUAAAAGUUAAAAUUUUAAAUAUAGAAAACUAAUUAUGAAAUUAAGGAAACCACAAAAUUAUUGCUAUAUGAGAGAAGAUGAUGGAUCAACUUAUAUAGUGUAAAAUUUUUUAGUUUUUUAUAUAUUUUUUUAAUAAUUGAUUUCAAAAUAUCUAAUAGAUGAGAUUAAACAAAUUUUUUUUUCUAUAUUUGCUUGUCUUUGUCAUCCAUUGAAUAUAUUAAAAUCAAGGGUUAAAAUUUUAUAUAAAACUAAAAAGGUUUUACACUGUAUAAGUUGAUUUCACACGAAAAAAAUAAAUAAUUAAAAAUCUUGAGCAUGCUAUAUGGUCAAUGAUCUUUCAUAAUUAUAACUUAUGAUCUUUCAAAAUUAUUUCUAUAUUUUAGUUGGUCAAUGAAUAUAGCAAGUCUAAAGUCAUGUUAUUAAGAAAAUUUUAUGCCUAUUUCUACAUACUUGAAUUAUGAAUUUAAUGCAAUAAACUUAAUAACUAAAUCAAAAACAUAUAAUCAUAUAUUUCUUAUUCUAAUAAGAAAAAAAAUUAAACGGAUUUUUUUGUUUUAUAUAUUUUUAAUUUUAUAUGAGGUACAUAUAAUUAUAUUAAAAGAGAAGACAAUGAAAUUACAUUAAAGGACCUAAGAUAAAUAAGGAGGGAUACUAGUAUAAGUGUUACAUAUUUUAUUUAUAUUUGGAUUAAAAUUAAAGUUAAAACACUUACACUUGGCCAUUUUGAUCCAAGAGUAAAAAAAUGUGUAAAUCUUAUAUUGAUGUAAGUGGAUCCCUCCUCAAAAUAAAUUAAUAGCAUUGUGUGGUCAAAAGUUUACUUUAUUACAACUAAAUCGAUAGACUUUUAGGUUUUUGGAGAGUGACCUUCAAACAGUCUUAACUUGUAAUGGUUCUCAGUUUAUAAUAUGAAUUAGGGAAAUUGUUAUAAGUUUUAAAGAAAAAUUUAUGCAAAGCAAUUACAAAGAGUUAUUUAUUAUUUAUGUAGCAUGAUUUUUAUGUUGAAAACUCUAGGCUUUCACAUUUUGAAAAUUUUAAGCUAAGAUUUUGUAUAGAUUGUAAAAAUUAGUAUAGGAAAAGUGUUGAAAGUGAAAGUUUAGUUGAUAAAGUGUAAACGGCGGUCAAAACAUUACCUAUAUAUAAUAUAUUCUCUAAACUUACAUCAUGGAAAAAAUUAAGCAAAUAUUUUGGCUUAAUUAUUUCCUUUGAAUCAAAUAUGCCUAUAUCGGUUAAUUAAAUAGGAAGUUAAUUCUUACAUUAAAAUUGUUAGUUAAAUUUAUAUGCAAGAUAUAUAUACAUACAUGAACAUAAUUAUAUAUACUUAUUUGUUAAGUGAAAGCGAAAGUGAAAACUCGACUUAAAUUACUGAACGUUGAAUAAGAUCAUAAUACAAAAUUUGUUAGAUUCCAAAGCGUAAGUCCUUUACACCGAAUACAAGAAUUCCUCACUGAGAGUUGUUUAAAUUCCUCACUGAGAGACUUUCUCUCUUUCUCUCUCUAUAAAUAUAUAUUUAAUGGCCGAAUGGCUUUUUUUAUGUCUUAAAAAAGAUGAACAACAAUUCUUAUUAAUUGCCUAAAGCAAUUUACAUUUUUCACAAAAAACUGCUUAAAGGUAGUUUUUCUUUUCAUGGGUUGUAACCACCUAUUUUGGGUGAUUGUGCCUUCAUCUCCCACUAGCAUCAAAUGGGUGCCAAACUCUCAUGAUCUCGAGAACGUUUUCUCUAUUUUUUGUAUCAGGUUCAUAUAAUGAAAUAAGUCGUAUGACCAACAUACUUCAAUAACUCAGUUGCUAUACGACUAUUAGGCGCAUAUAGCUACUCAUAAUCACAUUUAGUCACUUAUACAAUUGUUACAUAUGUAGAGUAACUCUCAAAUACAAGUAGAGUAAGUAUGUAGCAUCCUAGACCCAUUCAGUCACAUUUCAAGUUUUUUUACAAUCUCUCUUAUAUCAUAGUUCAUGAUGUACUUGUGUAUUUACAAUUAUAUUUGACAUUUCAAACAUAAUUGGUUGACCUGUGAAUACAAUCAAAUGUGACACUAGAAUGAUUUUCUCUUCUUAUAAAAUCUCUUCAUUUCAAUUCAACUGCUAUCCAAAUACAUCAUAUUAGAUUGAAUCAUCCAUAACCAUUGGCAAUAAUCCAAGAUAGCUAAUAUUGAACUAAAACUUUAAGAAACUAUUGAAAGACCUUGGGAGUACCAAAUAUGUGAUCUUCUACUCUCAAGGUCUUACACAACAAAAGCAGAGAUCUAUUCUUCUGUAACCCUUGUGGGUCAAACAAUGCACAUGUAAUAUGAAACAUAUGUCACGGAUUACUCUUUUUUUCUCAAGGAGCAUAUAUUUUUCAUCAUUUUAUAUAUCAAUACUAUUCAAGUGAUAGUUUCGAUACUCCUAGUAUCUAACUUGAGUCCAUAACUUUAUUUGAUUUCAUUUAAUCAAUAGGACUUUUACUUGGCAUAUUAAGACAAACAAAGCUAAUUAUGGGUUUAUUUACUUUCGAUCACAAAUCUUAAUAUUAAGUGACCUCAUCUUGAUCCCUUAUCAAGGCGAUUCCAUUUUAAACUUGGGCUCUCGAUCCACAGCUUAUAGCUAAUCUCAUUUUCAUAGUGCCAAACUAUUGAGGCGAUUGCCUAUGUACGAAGGUUAUCAUUUGUCUGACAUACUUUUUCAAUCAUAUCAUAUAUAUUUAUAUACAUAUACAUGUGUGCAUGCAUUUCAAAUAAAGUACUAAACUUUAAUGACAUUAAUUGUAUUCAAUAUAAGUCAACUCAAAUGAAAAAAAAUCAUACAUUGUUUAUAUAGAACUAUUUAAUCAAUACAUAAGCUUCAAUAUCUACACAAUCCUAGAGAUCUUAUAUGGCUAUUAAACACAUCUCUAAAUUUAGGCCUAGUAAAUGGAUCUACAAUCAUCUUAUGUAUAUAAAUGUACUAUAUGUUGACUUUUUUUUUAUACAAUCAUGUUUCUUACAUAAUUAUAUUUGGUAUCUAUAUGUUUGGUCGUAGAAUAAUAUUUGAGAUCCUUUGUGAAUGUAAUUGCAGCUUGACUAUCACAAUUCACCAACGCUUAGUUAGACUUAUCUUUUCUUAAAUUUCGAAUGGUUCAAGAAUUUUUUAAGUUAAACAUCUAUUGUACUACCACUGAAAAUCUUACAAAUUCAACUUCCAUUAUGGAUAAUGCUAUACAAAUUUGUUUUUUACUGCUACGUGAAAUAGACCCAUUAUUCAGCAAGAAAAUAUAGCCAGAGGUAGAUUUUCUUUCAUUUAAAUCUCCUCCCAAUCGACAUUCAUAUAGUUGACCAAAUGUAGAUUACUUCUUUAAUAGCACAACAAGUAAUCCACAUUGCCUUUUAGAUAUCUUAAUAUCUUUUUAACGGCUUUCCAAUGGAGUUGGCCUGGAUUGGAUUAAUAUUUGCUUACCAAGCCCAUGGCAUAGCAGAUGUCUGACCUUAUGCAUAUUAUAGCAUACAUAAAGUUUUUAACAGCACUAGAGUAAGGAACUCUUGCCAUUUGUUCCUUUUCUUGUGAAAUAUUAGGAUACAUUCUCUGGCUAUGGCCUUUACAUUUUGCCAUAAGAGUAUUUAUUGGCUUCAAGUUUUUUAUAUUGAAUUGUUUUAGAACUUUUUUAAUGUAUUGCUAUUGUGAAAGACCUAACAACUUCUAGGAGCGAUCUCUCAUAAUUGUUACACUAAUUAUGUAAGCUAUUUCACCUAUGUCUUUUAUUUAAAUUUUAUGGAAACCAUGUUUUUAUCUAAGCAAUAUACUUUUUAUCAUCGCCAGCUAAUAGUAUGUUAUCUACAUAAAGUGACAAGAUCAUGAAUUUAUCUUCGUCUUUUUUUAUAUACACAGAGUGGUACUCAUCAAUCAUGACAAAAUCAUAUGAAAUUAUUGUUUGAUAAAAUCUAAUAUACCAUUGUUUGAAAGAUUGUUUAAGGCCAUAAAUUAAUUUUAAAGCCUGCAUACUUUAUGUUUUUUACCCUUGUCAAUGAAACCUAUAGGUUGUUCCAUAUAGAUUUUCUCUUCUAGUCCUCCAUUUAAAAAGGUAGUUUUCAAAUUUGUUUGAUAUAACUUUAAAUCUAAAUUGGUUACAAUGGCUAAAAUUAAAUGUAUUGAGGUAAAUCUCACAACAAGAGAGAAAGUUUCUUCAUAAUCAAUUCCCUUUUGUUGAGUAUACCAUUUUGCUACAAAACAGGCUUGAUAUCUUUCAAUUGUCCCGUCUAACUUAUGUUUAAUCUAGAUAACCCAUUUGUUCUUAAUUGUUUUACGUCUUGUAAAAAGAUCAACUAAUUCCCAAACAUGGUUUGAUCUUAUAGAUUCCAUCCCCCUUUCCAUUACUUUUAUCCAUUUUUUUUUACAAAAGAUGAAAAAACUUCUUUAACAUUUUUUUAGCUCUUUUUCAUCUUGUGGGGUAAUCAAGAAUACUUUCUUUUUUAUGUCAAAAUGACAUCGAAGAAUAUUUUUACGAUUACUUCGCUUGACUUGUGAUUCUUGAUAAACUAAUUCAUCAAUUUCAUUAUCUUUAGUCAUGUUCUCACUUGGAUGAUAUACUAUUGGUUCUUGAUUACGAACAUGCUUUAAUUGAUUUGGAACUAACAAAUCAUUUGCUUUUUCAAUUUUGUAAAAACACAUUUGAAUGCUUUGAGUAUCUUACAAAUAUACUUUUUUUAUCCCAAGGACCUAGGUUGCCAUGUGGAUGAGUAGUCUCAUGUAUAUAGGUAACACAACCUUAAGGUCUCAAAUUAUUAAGAUUAGAUUUUUUUCUAAUCCAUAAUUCAUAAGGGGUGGACGUAACAGAUUUGAAAGAUACUCUAUUGAGUAUAUAGGUAGCAGUUAAUAGUGCAUCACCUUAAAAGGUGAUUGACAAAUUUGCUUGGGCCAUCUAGACUUCACCGUUUCCAAAAAAGUCUUAUUUCUUCUCUUUGUAACACUAUUUUGUUAUGGAGUCCUAGGAAUGGUCAACUGCAUAUCAAUACCUUUUUCAUCACAUAAUUUUUUGAACUAAUAAGAUAAAUACUCACAUCCUUGGUUUGUUCUUAAUGCCUUAAGAUUUUUAUCAAAUUGAUUCUUUGCCAAGGUCAUAUAUUUUCUAAAAUACUCUAAUGUUUCAGACUUGUGAUAAAUUAAAUAGAUGAACUCGAAGUGUGUAAAAUCAUCGAUAAAUGUGAUGAAAUACUGACCUCCUAUUCGUGGCCUAACAUUCAUCGAACCACAAAUGUUGAAAUGUAUUAGCUACAAUGAAACUUUAGCUCUAGUUUCUUUACCAAAUGGUUUUCGUAUAAUUUUUUUUUGCUAAAUAACUUUCACAUAAUGGUAAAUAAACUUUCUCAAUAGGACCUAGUAAUCCUUCUUUGGCUAACUAUCCAUUCUUUGUUGACUUAUAUGGCCAAGUCUAGCAUGUCAAAUAUUUACAUCAAUAUUCAUGUUAGAAUUUAUCAUAAGAGUAUCAUAACAUCUAGAUCUGGGGAUCUAUCGCUAGAUAUUGACUUUAGGAGUCACCACCAAUCUUUUUUGUUUAGGUGCGAUUGGUCACCUAAGGAAUCUAUCCUUUCAAAGAAUACCUAAGCUUAAGGGUCUCUAAAAAAAUAGGUUUGGGUCUAUUAAUUAGAACAGAGUUCAAGAAUUUGGUUAUGAGUGAGGAAGGUUAUAAUACCUUCAUAACGCACUUCAAAAGAUGGUACUAACUUGAUUUCGUGUUAUCCAUUAAGCCUAAAAAAUACCAAGUAAUUAAUUAUUAGAAAUUAUUCUUAAUUGACUCCAAUACUUUUGGCAAAAAAAUUAAUUAAAUUUUCUCACCUCAAGAGUAUACAAGAAAACUAUUGUUUCUCUUGUAGAUGCUUCAUCGUCGGAUUAUUUAACAUUUAAAAAUUUUCCAAAAAAAGAAAGAAAAAAAAUAAUGAUCCGACUUUUGAUAUAAAUCUUUUUCUUUUUGUUUUAUAUAUAUAAAAAAACUCAUUGCUUUUAUAUAAGGAAAAUUGAUACUUUCAACUUUUCCUCAAAAUGCUUUUUUUUUUUUAAAUUUUAUUUUCAAGAACAAUUGAUACUUUCAACUUUUCCUUAAAAAUAAUUUUCUAAAAAAUUUAAUUUAUAUUUUUUUCUAUUAUUUUUUUAAAAAUUUAUUCAUGCAAAAAUACUCUUAAAAAUAAACAAACACAUAAAUAAAAUAAAUAAAAUAAAAAAUACCAAAAGUUUUUUUUUGAAAUGGCUCGGUUGGGAAUUCGACGCGACUUGGCAUCAGGCACAGACAACGGUUGGAUGGCUUGAUAUGCGGCUUGACUCAGUGGCUCGGCUCGGCUGAACCAAAGGUAGGGACACGGGUCAGCGAACUUGGGUUGGCGCUUAGGCCGGGUCACCCACUGGCAAAAUGCACGGAUCCUUGGUUUAUUAAUGCCAAAAACGACGUUGUUUAUGGUGCUAUAAAAGGUUAAUUUCAGCUUUUUUUAGUAUAAUUCUCUUCCUCCCUCUCUCUCUACUUUUUUUUUCUCUCUCUCUCUAAGUUUUCUAAAAAUACCAGUUGAAGCUUGUCGGAUUCUAAAAAAUAUGAUCGAAAUCUGAGUUUUUCGUCGAAAAAGUCAUUGAAAAACUUGAAUUUUGCUUAAAAGUUUCACCUGAUUUUGAAAAUUUUCUGAAAAUUUUCUAGAAAAAGAAUUGCCAAAAAUUCUAGAAAAUUUUCUAAAAAAAUGCUAGGAUCCCUGUAGCCCUUCUAAACAAUUUUCUUACUUCUGCUUUCUGUUCUUUCUCUUUCGUUCUCUAUUUUUUGUUCUGUGUCUCUACCUUUGAUCUAUGGAUCUAUUUAUAAGCUUUAAAACCACAGACUUCAAAGCUAAAUAGGAAUCCUAAUUUUUUUUGGACUUUUAGUUCUGUUUAAUCUCUUCCAGUUUAUCUCAAAUUUCUCAACCCAGUUUUACACCAAUUUAACCACCCGUUUUUGUUUUUUCAUUUUUAUUAUUUUUUAUUAAUUAACAAAACCAAAAAAAGAUCCCGAACAGAUUGGGUGUCUACAAAAAGAAAAGCUUAAAUUGUUGUACAAAAUAAUAUCUAACAUAAUAAAAUCAUUUGAUAAAUAUCCAGAUGCAUAAUAAGUUGUAUCCAAAUACAAAUUUAAACUAGUAUUAUUGAAAUUCAAAAUACAUCUUAAACUAAGAAGAACAGUGAUAGAAACCAAAUUUUAUCAAAUAUCAAGAGCAAAAAUGCAUCAUGUAAGAUAAAGGUUUUUUCACCACACAUACAUAGCUUGCAGGUGCCAAUUCCCCUUAUUUUUAUUCAAGAAUUGUUUCUUACAUCGAUCCAUUUUGUUUUUUGUGGAAUCUGACAAAAAUCUACAACGUAUUCUUGUCUUAUGCUAUAUGGUUGAGGCCUUUGAUCUACAAUCCACAAAUGAUGUGAUUCAAUCAUUAAAAUAGUAUUAGAAACAAACACAAUACUUUCAACAUUACGUAAAAAUACUUUAAGGAUUUGUACCUUUUUUGGUUCAUUACAUUCACGAGCAAAAUGACCCAUUUGCUACAGUUAAAGAACUUGACUAUCAAUUCAUUCUUUUUAGGAUAAGCCUUGGGAUUUUAUCUCUUACUGGUUUGGCGAUUCUUUAUGUUUUUAGGAGCUUUCUUUUUGUUCCCACCAUGUGACUUAUGCUUGAAGUAUUAAGUUUUUUUUGAAUUGGAUAGUGCCAUAUAGGCAUUAGCACAAAGCUUAUAUGUUUCCAUACGAUCUUCUUUCAAUUGAAGAUGAUGGAAAACAUUAUCGAGAGUCAUUAUACUCUCAUUAGAAGUAAAAUACACUUUUAUGUGCUCUUAGCUGUGGCAAAAGAAUGGAUAAUAGCUCGAAUCUGUUAUUUAUCUGUCAAAGUAUGGCUAGCCUCUUUUAACUUGCUUGUCAUGUUUGACAUCUCACUCACAUGCUGUCUCAUAUUAUGAUUAGGUUACUUUUUAUAUGUGUUAAACAUGAUAGUAAGCUACCUUAGUUUGGUAACUGAAGUUGCACCAAACUUUGCUUUCAGGGCACUCCAUAUAUUUUUUACUAUUUCAUAAGUUCGAAACUCAUUCAUAAUAUCAUUCUCCAUACUGCUAAGCAAUGUGAUGCAUGCAAUAGAGUUUUUUUUCAAGCCUCAUAAUCCUUUCGGUCCCUCUUAUGCUGAAACAUAUUUUCUUUCUCAGGCUCAUAAAAGACAUUGUUCAGAAUAUCAAGAACCUCUUAUUUUUCAAGUACAUACUGGAUUUUCAUACUUCAGAUCUCAUAAUUAUGCCUAUUCAGCUUUUCACCCUUGUAUAAGUUAGCAAUAAUGUUCUUAAAAGCAGAAGGCAUUUCUAAAUAUAAUUCUACAUUUGAGAGGCAGAUGCACUAAUUAAUGCCUAAUACUGCACACUUCUCAUUUUUUACAAUUUUAUAAAUAAAAUAAUAACAAUUAUUUACAUAAAAAUGAAACUAAAAAGUUAUUGUGUUCGCAAUCAAAUUUUAUUUUUUUAAUGUGUUUGAUUAUAACUAUUUUAUUUCAUUGCGCAAAAUAAUCAUUCUAAGAUAGAAUAAAUCAAUUAUCUUAGAACUUUCACUAACUAUAAGGUUACAUAUUGAUUUCACAAAAGCAAGUCUUACAAAACAUAAUUCAAAUCCAAAAAUAUGUUAAAAAAAAUAUACAUACUAAACGUUAAUUAAAUAUGUUCCUAAUUAUUUCGAAUGACUUGUCUAAGAGUAGUGAUUGAUUUUAAAAAAUUCCUUUGAUAGUUCUGCUUUGACAUUGCCCAUCCAUGGAAAUCUAACAAUUUUGUGUUUUCCAUUAUGGAGACUUAGGCAGAUUGAGAAGGUCACACUCAUCUUGCUUCCGUUCUAACAUAUUCCUUCACAAAAUUCUUAAUUAAUGUUUCAUACUUAGUAUUACUCCAUAAAGACAUCUAAAUAUCUUGAAGAAGAUUCUUUUAUCUAAGUGUCAAAAGUGUAUUUAUUUGCAUUUCGUAUUUGAUCUAAUCAUUCCUAAUGUGCUUGCUAGGACAUCAGAUUAAUUCUUGGAUCAUGUCGUUGGCCUUGAUGAUAUGCUUCUCAAAAUCAUUAUUUGAAUCCAUUUAGUAUUAUCUCAAUUCCACUAUCAACCUUAUAGCUUUUAGAAAUUGUGCUAGUAUCCUUGGAACGAUGAGAGUCUUCACUAAAAUAGUCAUAAUUUUUUGUAAUAACAUAUGACAAAAAUUCAUGAAUUUAUGAGUCAGCAUAAUUCCAAAAAAUAAUUAAUACACAUCUUAAUCAUUCUUGUGUGAUUCAACAUCCCAAAGUCAAUAAAGAUUUUUUUUUUUUUGCUUAAUACCAAUGAAAAAAAUGAUCCAAAAUGGCAACAUCAAUAGCAUUUUCUUAUUCAAGAACUAUCACAACAACAUUAAUUAUAUUAAGAACAUAAAAAAAUCAACUCCUAUAGAUAUACAUAAUCAUGCAAAAACACAUCAUGUUUUGGUUAUUAAAAAUGUACAAACAAACAAGAAAACAAGCCAACCUGGUUCUAAUACUAAUAUAAGAUAAAUUUACAUACAAGAUAUAUAUACGAAAAUAAUCACAUAUACUUAUUUGUUAAGCGAAAGAGGAACUAAAAACCUAGCUUGAAUUACUGGUCAUUGAAUAAGAUCAUAAUACGAAAAUUGUUUGAUUUCACAGUGUAAGUCAUUCAUACCGAAUGCAAGAAUUUCUCAUUGAGAGUUGUUCAAAUGUAUGUCUAACUCUCUUUCCUUUUUCUUCUUUUCUCCUCGUGAGAGACUUUCUCUCUUUCUCUCUCUCUCUCUCUCUCUCUCUCUCUCUCUCUCUCUUUUUAUAUAUAUAUAUGUAUAUUAAUGGCCAAAUGGCUGUUUUCAUGUUUUAAAAAUGAUGGGCAGCAAUUCAUAUUAACUUCCCAAGGCAGUUUACAUUUUUCACCAAAAACUGCCUUUAUCCCAAGGCAAUUUACAAAAACUACUUAAAGGUAAUUUUUCUUUUCAUGGGUUGUAACCACCCAUUUUGGGCGAUUAUGUCUUUAAAAACUUAGAAAUAUAAUACCAAUUAAUUACACUUUGAUUACAUUUUCUUUCUUUUAAUAAUUUUAUUAUAUUUUCCUAAAAAAAAGUAAUGUAAUUAAAUUGGUUAGAAUAAAAUCAAUUAAGUAUUAAAAUUAACUAUGAAAGUGAUUUAAACUACUAUGAAAGAGAUUUAAACUAACUUAUAUCAAUGUAAUUAAUUUGGACAAAAUUAAAUGAAAUUAAAUAAAAAAAUUUAAUAAUAAACACAUGGCAAUUAUUCAAGGUUAUCCAAGUGUAAGCUAUGGAAGUUAAUAAUAUUAUGUUAUUUUAUUUCAUAAAAAAUUCAAGUUAAAAUUUUGAAUUGGCCAUCAUUAAUUACAUUAAAUUCAAAUUUAAGGUUUGAAAAAUUGACUAUGAAUUAAGCGUGAAUAAUAUAAGAAAAUUGUAAUGAUAUUUUUUUAAAAAUAUAAUGGCAUUAAAUUUAGUUGUGAAAAUUAAAAGAAUAGUUUCAAAUUAUUUUAAUAAGGACAAUAAAUUAUUUACAAUUAAUUUGGUGUUCUAGUAAAAAAUUAAUUUUUUGUAUUAAUUAGUAAAUAGAUGUCUUUUAUUUAGAUUAUCCUCAUGUUGAAAAGUGUAUUUUUGUCGUAAAAAAUAUAUUUUCAAUUAUUAUACUAUUUUCCUCGAUAGAAAAAAUUAUACUAAAUUACUAAGAAGACAUAGGAUCACAUAUAAUGCUUGAUUACUUAUAAAGAUGUAUUUUGAACUCAAAUGACACCAUCAAAUUUAGGAAUGAAAUGAAUAAAAUCAAGUGUAAUUAAUUCUUAUUUGUUUUUAUUGUAGAUAGGCAAAUAAAAGUUAUUGAUAUAUAUAUAUGUAUGUAUGUAUGUAUGUAUACACACACAUACAUACAUACAUAUAUAUAUAUUUUGAUGUUCAAAUAUUUUAAUGGCAAGUCUAAUUUUAAUGAAUGCAAACAUGGAAUGACAAAUAAAGAUAAUAGAAAAUAUGGUAAUUGUAUUGAAAUAUGUGAUUUCAAUAAGCAUAUUAUUUGAAUGGCAAAUCAAGUUUUGAAAUAUUAUGAAUGAGAUAUCGCAAAAAAGUUUAAAAAGUAAAUAUUUAAGCAUAUUAAUUAUCUAAAUGCUCCAACAUUUGUAAAUAAGGAAUAUAUAUAUAUGUGGAUAUAAAUGUUUUAUAUUUAUAGUUAACUAAUCAAAUAAUCAAAAUAUUUAUAUUAUGUUCGUGAAACUUUUUUUUAUAAAUUUGUUCAUAAAACGUUUUAUGUGAACACAAUGUCAUUAUAACUUACAAACCAAAGUAUAAAGUAUAUCCAAUACUAUCUAUUACUAUAUCACCACUUCAAACACCAUCUGGUGCUAUAUAAAAUAAUUUGCAGACACGUAUAUUAAAAUGUAAUAAAAAUGUAAAAAAAAAAAUCUCAUAUAUUUUAACCAAAAAUAUAAUAAUAUAAUUCCUGCACACUUAUAAUUUUUUUAACGCCAAUAAUAAAACUUUACAAAACAAAAAAUAAAAAGAAAAAGAGAGAAUGGUAGACAAAAACAUGUAGAACCCAUAAUUUUAUAUUAAAAAUCAACUUUUGAAGCAUCUAUUUACAAUAGUGUGAUAGAAGACAAAUUAGUUAAUAACUUAGAUGUAGACAUUUAAUGUAUUUUAGCGUAAAAAGAAAAGAACUCUUUGCAAAUUAUUUAGUUUUAAUUAUAAAUUUGAAAUUUGACUUUAGAAAUGUAAAGUAAUUAAAAGACACAUGUCAAUUUUUUAAACCCGUCACAUGUAAAAAAUAUAGGUUAUCCACGUAGGAUUAUUUCUUUUUUUGUCAAAAGUUUUGACUUAUAUAUAUAUAUAUAUAUAUAAGAUUUAUAUAUAUUGUAAAUCUACUAAAGGAUUGAUUGUUUCUUAAAUGCAAACACAAAAUCUUAUAUGGCAGUAGGAGAUACCCUAAGCCCUACAUUUUAGAAAAAAAAUUUGUUAAAUAGCAUGAAAUAUAUCAAUAAAAUUUUUUUCUUGUAUAUUAAUUACUAUAUUUGCAUAUAUAAUAACUAAAAAUUGAAGUUUAAUCCCUAUAGCAAGUAGAAUGAAAUUACUUAUCAAAUAAGAUGUUAUGAGAAAAGUAGAGUUUCCAUCCUAUUUGUCUUACUUUAAUUUCGGUUUGUAAAAGAAAAACAAUAACUAAAAGAUCUAGAAUUUUUUUCUAUAAAACAUAAAUAUUAUAUGAUAAUUUAAUAAUUAUACAAUUUUGAUUUAGCCAAUAAGAUUAUGUAUAAUACCAUAAUACCAUUAUUAUAUUUUAUAGCAAAAAAUAAAAUAAUAUAAAAAAAUAAAACACUAAUAGGAAAAUCAUGGGAUCAACAAACAAUAUCACGUAAAGAUGGAGAAGAAAAAGUCAAAAUAACUUAUUAAAAAGAAUCUAGAGAGAGAAUAGGACACAAAAAGGUAAAAAAAAAAAAAAAAGAGUUAAACAAUUAUAUUCAUUGAAAUUAUUACACCAUUCUUAAGAUAGUACUGGUAAUAUUUUUUCUUGCAUAUACAUGAAGAUUUUAAUCAUAAAAUUUUUGUUUUCGUGGUUAAAGAUCAUGCAGGAGGGAAAAUUUUAAAUGUUUUUAUAUGAAUUUUUUUAUUGAUGAAAGAAAUCCACAACGUCAUAAAUAUAAUAUCAUUCAUACCUUAAAAGGGCUCCAAAAUCUAUAUUUCUCACAUCUUUGCCAUUAGAAAAUUAAGCCAUCAAUUGAACAGUGCAAAUAAGGAGAGGAUGAAUCUAUACAUUUUAAACUACAAUUAGCAAAUCAAAUACACAAGUAUUCUAUUCCAUAAGAUGCAUAACAAGAGAAGAAAAAGAAUUAAAAAGACAUAAUAAAAAUUAUGUUAAUUUAUAAGAGAUUAACAAAUAAAAAAGUGAUUAAAUAUAUAACUAAGAAAGGUUUAAUAACAGAUGAUACUGCAUAUUAAAUAUAGAUAUUCAAAAUACUUGAUAUUGACAAAAUUCACUCACCACCCACAAAUCUAUAAAUGUCAAAGCAUACGAAAAAAGCUAACAAAUUGACAUUAAAAAGGAAAAAAAAUGAAAGCUAUGAUCUAUCAAGUGAUACUUACAAACGAUGCAAAUAUUUAAAUAAAAAAGUAAUGGAAUCAUCUUAUUAAGAACCUAAUAUUUAUCAUAUUGAAUAAAAAGAGAGUAAUAAUAGAAUUCAAUGAUAGUAAUUAAUGAGUUUUGAUAGAAAGGAAAAGAUAUAUUUUGAAUUAAUUUAGUAUUCAAUUUUUAAAUUUGAAUUUUUUAUUGAAGAUGAUUAAAGAAAAUGUUUAUAUAUUGUAGAUGUGUUGGCAAAAUUGGCUUGUUAAUUUAAAUUUAAAAAGCAUAUAUGAGGUAAUAUAAAUUAGUUUUAAAAAAUUAAUUAAAGAGAAAAUUAAUUGGUUGGUUUUCAAUGAAUGAUUUUUAUUUUUUGAACAUAUCAUGGCAACCGGUAUGUAAACCAAAAACCUAUUUUUGGAACAUAUCAUGGAAACAUAUCAUUAAAAUUAAGAAUAGUUGUUGAUCUUUUCUCAUAAAAUAAUUGGUUUUUUUAUAAAAUUAUUAGAGGUGAUUUAAAAUAAUUAAUUUUAAAUUAACGCCUACUUUGACCGUUUCCACUUUAGUGCAAUAAUCUUGUUUUAUAUUGGAAAGCCUAUGUUUAAUAUUUUGAAAAGUUUUUAUUAAAGAGUAAAUUAUGCAUGCAAAUAUGUGUGAUUUUAAAUAGAAAGAAAUAUAAAAAAAUGUUUUCAACUAAUUAGGCUUUUUAAUUUAGUUUUGAAUUUCUAGCAUUAUAUAUUUGGCUUAUAUAUUCAUUUAGAUUAAUAAAUGCAUAAAUUAUUUCUUAAAUAAACACUAAAAUACGGCUAUUAAGUAGUCAAUACUUUUAAAGCAUAUUUUUUAUUUAUAGCAGUCGUGUUUGAUGCUUAAAAUUAAGAAUUGAAUUUUUGAAAGUGGUUUAAGAUAAUUGAUUUGUAAUAUAUAUAUAAAUAAAAGGAAAGAAUAUUUUAUGCUUAUAAAAUAAUAAAGAUAUUUAAUUUAGUCAAAUUAAAUCUUUUAAAUAAAUAAAAUUUAUAUAAAAUCAAAUCAAAAUAAUUAAAUGUAGUAGACAUGAAGAAUUUUCAAAAUUAUCUACAUGUCAAUAAUAUAGACUAUUCACAUUGGAUAAUUUUCAUUUUUGCCCAAGGUUUUAACUUUUAUAUAUAUUUAUAUAAGAUGCUAUUUGCUCGUCACCUUAAGCGGCAUAUGCAAAUUUUUGAAAGGGUAUUCCUAUUAAGCGCCUGACACCAAUGUUAGUAUAAAAGUCACUUGAGUUACAUUUGUCUUCAAACUGCUUCUCUACCAUUGUUAGUUUAAAAAUCAUAUUUGUUCUAUUUGUUUUCUAAAUGCAUAAACUUGAUGACAUCUUAUUGGUUUUUUGUUUGAAAUUGGUUGAAUCCAAUAUGUGGUCAUUGUAAGCACUGAUUUUUGCAUAUUUUCGUGGUUAGUGUUAUUAUUUUUCAUUUAAGCUUGUGUCCCAGAUGGGUAUUAGGGCAGUAUAUAGGUUGUGUGCAUUUAUAUGGGUCGGGUGUUGUGAAAGGGGAGGGAGUGAGAUGAGAUGUAGGUCUAAUGUCUAUCUAUCGCCAAGUCAUUCUUAUUAUUCUAUAACAAUAGGACUCUCCCUCCUGUCCCCAUAAAGUUCCAUUAUUCCUUGAUUUGGAAACCUAACUUUGAGCCGUCGACGAGAGCUACUAUGAGCCUGGUGAGAGCAGUGUCACAAAACAAAGACAUAUAUAUCUCAUUUAAGUUGCUGAAUUCCAUUCUGCUAGUUUCUAUCGGAUAUCUUGCUCGCAAUUAUUUGUCAAUAUCAAUAGCAGAGUAAGUGAAAGGUUUUUGAAAUUCUAAUUAAUUAAUUAAAGAUAGAAUUCAUAGGUUUAUCCUAGUUGUGUUUCUGGCUUUCCGCAGUUAUAGAAGAACGUUACCAAAAUGGUUUGCAAAAGCGAAUAUUUUGUUCAUUGCUUCAUGCUUAUGCAUUGGUUUGAUUAAAAGGUUUAUUCUGGAGACAAAAUCUUUUGGUGCUUCACAAAGUCACAAAAACCAAAACCAGACUUCUCCCACUUGGAAUUUGAUUACCAAAAAUAGAUAUCUUCUGGAAAUAUUGGAAUAGGCACAGCGCUUGUUGAAUGAAAUGAGAUAGAUAUUCUCUCCGAAAAUAGAACAGGUAUUAGUUAGUUUCCUUUCUAAAUCGAAAUAUAGGAAUAUAGGAAGAAUACUAUAAAAUGUGCAAUUUCAAAGUUAAAAUUUGCAGUUUAGUUGAAAUCAGAGAAAUCGUAGUAGCGUCAUAGAAUUAUCGUUGUUAAAAAUACAUAAAAUACUUUGUUUUUAAAAUGGUAACGUUCACAGCUACUUCAGCAGGAAAGUUCACAGCUACUUCAACAGGAAAGUCCCUCAUAGAAGGAAAACAAGAAAUAAUAAACACGCUCUUUUCUUAUAACAAAUCACAUCUUACCCUUGCAAAACAUGGAGCCGUGUAGUGAGCACAAAGCGAACUAUUCUUUCGCCUUUUACUAAAGAAUACCGUGUGCUCAUUGCUGAAAACGGCAUACAUUAAUUUUUGGAGGGGUAUUCUUCUAAGAAUGCCUCCAAACAAUCCUAGUUAAAUAUUAGGCAAUCCAGGUUAAAAGCUAAAUAUGUCUCAGACAAUAAUAAAAACAUGAAACAAUUGAAGUUUCAGGCGUAUGUGUAUUAAAUUCUGUGGCUAGUGCACUGCUGGUUCUUACGUUUACAGGGAUCGAGUUUUAUGAUUAUCGAUGUUUCUGAAGAUUGAUAACUAUAAUACGAAAUAAAUUUACGAGUAACAAGCCAUUGUUUGAAAAUAGUUGUUGAUUAACUACAUGUCUGCCACUACUAGUGGAUUAGUUUGGCUUUGCUCUCUUUAUUUGCGAUCUCCAGGUUUUGCAUUCUUUACUUGUGGAGUUAUUUUUGUACAAUCAAGCUACCCAAUCUAAUGCAUGCAAUUUAGGUUUCCAUUAUCCCAAACAAAUUGAAACUGAUAGCCAGUUUUGAAGCUAAAAGAAAUGGUUACUGCCCAUGUUCCUUCUACCAAGCAGCUUGCUGAAUUUUUACCUUGGCAAUUCGUUACAGGUUCUUAGCUCUCUUCUUCAAUUUCCAUAGAAAAAUAUGUGAAUAAAUCUCGAUAUUCUCAGCUUUUCGUUUCAAAUCUCUUGAGAAAAGGCACUUAUACUUCAUAGGUAGAGUGACAUCCAGCUGCUAAAACAAAGGAGUCAGUCCCGCAUUUGGAGAAAACCUGAGAGAAUGAAUGGCACUCAUUGUAAAACUGAUACAUGGAGCAACGUUUAAACAUACUUACCUGGACGGGGUCCAUGGGUGAUCAAGGAGGCCCACGGCCUAGUCAUGUGGCCUCAAUUGCACUUGGGAGUUGCACCUGUCUGAGGUCUCCUGAAGUAGUAGAUCUACGUCAUAAUUUCUGGUACCUGUCCAAUUCUCAACGAAAGUUUUUGUUGGCACUGGUCAACAUGUGUUCUUUGGUGCUUAAAAGUUAGCCAUCUGUAAUAAGAAAUCAGAAACUAUGUUUAACAAUUUGAAGCAUGAAAAUAUAAUAUAUCAAUGAAUUCAUCACUUUGCCUCUCUAUUUUUGUUGAUAUUUCAGCAAGAGGAGGUCAUUGGAAAAAAGUAUGAAUUUCAAGGAGGAGCGCUUCUUGCUAGAUGAAGUGAUAGAUUUUGCCAUAAACACCAGUGAGAAGAAGAAUUCAUCUAAUCGUCUUUGUGAAGCUUGACAGAUUGAUCAAGAAAGAAAUGGAUUAAGAAUGUCUAGUUAUAUUUUGGGUACUAUUUCCGAACCUAAUAUCCAAGUUUUCUAAAUUGUAGGUUCUUUGCCAAAAAAUCUAAUAAUUUCAUUUGAACUAUUGGUACUUGCUGGGGCAUUACUACUUUUAUUGAAUAAUUAACUUUGUAAUAUGUUAAUUUAAUUUCAAAUAUUAUAUGAAGUAAUGGGAAAAAAAUCAUUUUCUUUACUUUUGAAAUUGAAUGAUUUUAAAUUGAAUAUAAAAACAAAUAAAAAUUAAUCAAAAAUAAUUUAAAUAAAUAUUAAUAAUAAAUUUAGGUAAAUGUGUGUUAUUAACCCUAUGAAAACUUUCAUUAUUUUUUAAAUAGUGAACAUAAUUCUUUUUUUCAUCGACAUACUAAUGUUGAAAUUUCAUAUAGUCUAAUUUUAUGUUUAACUUGAAAGAUUUCUCAAUUUCAAAGACAUCUAACUGAGAAAUUUGAGGAGAUGUGAUGUCGUAAAUUGAGGUUUGAGAUAUGAAAAUUAAUUGCAAAUAGAAAAAUUCACAAAGAAGAUAACUCAUAAUAAUUUGAAUAAUAGCAAAAUAUAAUUAUUGGAUUAAAAAAAAUAAAAGUUCACCACCAAGACUAGAAACUAAAUGAUACAGAAACACCACCCUAAGAAUUCUAAUCAAGGAUACAGAACAAUAAAAGUUCAUCACUCUAGGAAAUCCACCUAAGAAAUACAGAACUUGAAGAACAAUCUAAAAGAUUGCUUAAGGAUAAAAAAAACUCUCUUCUACCUUUUACCAAAGAAUAAUAGAAAAUAUAUAAGCUAGGAACAUCCCACUAAGCAUGAAAACUUUCAGAUUGCAUUACUAGAAUCAUGCCUAAAAUCAUGGGAUUUGCAUGUGAACAUAAUCUACCCAUUUACUCUUGCAGUUUACAUGAUAAUGAACCUGACCACAAUUUCAUCCAUAUUCAUGCUCUUCUUUUUCAGCUAGUAUGAACGUAAUCUCCCUUCUCUAGCUCAUCUUAUUUCUUCAUUUAUUUAGUGGAUUUAGACCAAGGAUAGGCCCAUCUUAUUUUUGAAUAAGUCUAUCUUAGUCUUAGCCCAAGUUGUAUGUAGUGCAAACAAUCCGAUGUUAAUCUCCUUUGGUUGGAAAAAACUUGUCCUCAAGUUUGAACUAGCAUUCUCUCCGUGGUAGGGUGACAAAUCAGCAACAUUGAAAGUGGAAGAUACUCUAUAAAUGUCAAAAAGCUUUAUCUUAUAAGCAUUCUCCCUAAUAUGUUGGAGAACUCUAAAUGGACCAUCUGUCUUAGGUUGUAAUUUGUCAAACUUCUUUGAAGGAAACCUUUCUUUCCAUAAGUUAACACACCAAAUCAUGUUCUUUGAACUUCACAUGUCUUCGAAGCAUGAUUAUUGCCCUUUUAUAUUUCUCAUUUUUUUACAAAAUUCUAUUUUGAACCUAUUCAUGAAAUAUUUUGAUAUUCUUGGCUCUUUCUUCUACAUCUUUAUCUAAAUGUUGGUUAGUGUAAAGUUGAAUUAAAUCCAAAGGACAGAUUGCAUUCUUACCAAGAACAAUUUCAAAAGGGCUAUCUUCUUUCUCAACAUGUACAUCAUUCAAGCUAUAUUGUAUAAUAAGUGAGGACUCAAAAUCACCAUAGGUUUUCUUAACACCUUGUUCAAGAUCCUGGUGUACUUCAAUAGGUCCUCUUUCAACAUCUUCAAGAACGUCAUCUUCAACCAACGUAACUAUCUUGAGAUUUGGACACUUAAAAUGUAUAUGCCCAACUCUUUGGCACUUGAAAUCUUUUUGAGUUUUAGUGUUGACAAUACUAGAUUGUGGUUUGUUGGGAAUAACUCAUUCUUUCUUUAGGUAUAGAUCUGAAAGGGGGUUUGGUAGAAACACUGGUCUUAGACAUGGUUCCUUUGUUAAUGUAUUCUUUCACCAAAAGAUCUUUUUAUUUUAAGUUAUGGAGCCUAAAAAAGACAUCUUAUCAAAAGUUAUAUGAGAGAUACUUUCUCUUCAACUCUCUUUUCAUCUUCUCUCAAGUUAUAAUUUUUUUCCUGCUUUCUCUUUUCCUUUGCUUCUUUAGAUUUUCUCACUAAAAGAAUGCAUAUUUUUUUAGUUUGAUGGCCACUAGCUUCAUCUUGCAAUGUUCAAGUGCAUCAUGGUAUUCAAAUAUGUGUUUCACUGUGUGUAGCCAAUCUAAGAAUUCUUCAAGUUGUAUCUUUCCUUUGAACUCAAGAAUUUCUAUCUUCGGAUUGAAUAAGCUAGGUAGAAGUAGAUUUCUACGCAGAUAGUCUUGAACUUACCGUAGGUGAGAUAGGAUGUUAUCAUUAGAAUUAUCGUUAUAUUCAUAGAAUGGAUUGGUUUCUCUUUCAUCUUCUUUGUUUUUUCUUCGUUACCUUCUUAUCUCUUUUUUUUCUUCUUGUAUAUACAGUCGAUACUGUAGUUGAAGGAUCUGUUACUACAUCUCCUCUAUGAGGGCAUCCUUUGGGUCAACAUUGAUAGUUGCUGCAAUGUCAGUGUUGGCUUCAACCUCUUCUAUUAGUGCUUGAAGACGACGAUCGACCAUAGCUCUAAUACCAAUUUGAUGCCGUAUAUUAAGGUUUGAGAUAUGAAGAUUAAUUGUAAAUAGAAAAACUUACUAAGAAGAUAACUCACAACGAUUUGAAUAAUGAUAGAAUAUGAUUAUUAGAUUAAAAGGAUAAAAGUUCACCAUCAAGACUAUAAACUAAGGGAGACAAAAAUAUCACCCUAAGAAUUCUAAUUAAAGAUACAGAAUAAUAAAAGUUUACCACUCUAGAAAAUCUACCUAAGAGAUACAAAACUUGAAGAACAAUCUAAAAGAUUGCUUAAGUAUAAAGAAAACUCUAAUCUGCCUUUUACCAAAGAACAACAAAAAAUAUAUAGGCUAGGAACAUCCCACUAAGCAUGAAAACUUUCAGAUUACAUUGCUAGAAUCAUGCCUAAAAUCAUGGGAUUUGCAUGUGAAUAUAAUCUGCCCAUUUACUAUUGUAGAUUACACGAUAAUGAACCUGACCACAAUCCUAUCCAUAUUCAUGCUCUUCUUUUUCAGCUAGUGUGAAUGCAAUUUCUCUACUCCAGCCCACCUUAUUUCUUCAUUUAUUUAGUGGAUUUAGACUAAGGAUAUGCCCAUCUUAUUUUUGAAUAAGUCCUCUUUAGUCUAAGCCUAAGUUGUAUGUAGUGUAAACACUCCGGUGUCGAGAUGGAAAGCUUUCUUGACUACAAGAUCGAUAUAUGUUGAUAGUCCUUUCAAUCUUUAACCUACUACUACUACCCAACUUGGAAGGCUAUCUGUAAAAAGAAAGGUGAUAGACAGCUGCUUACUGAAUAUUAUUUUUAGAUUUUUUUUUAAUUUGAAGUAUUUUGUUUUUCAAAAACCAAACUCGAUUCUAAUCAAAUACUUUAAAAGGCAUGUCUCACGUCAUACUCAAAAAGCAAGUAGCUGCUUCUCAGGCUUAUAAAGUAGCAUGGAUCAGUGCUCUUAAUUUAAAGUGGUGAGCAUAAAGCCAACCAUUCUUUCGCCUCUGAUUACAGAAUUAGUUUUAAUUUUCUUUGGUUUAAGGAUAUGUAAUUAUAUAUAUUUAAUUAUAUUAUAAUUAAUAAAUUUUAUAUAAAAAUAUAAAAACUUUAAUAUAAAAUAAGUAAUUAGGAAAAAAAAUUACGGAUUAAUAUAUAACUAUAUAAUAACAAAAUUUAAAGAAAGAUAUUUUUUUGUCUAAUUUCAUAUAAUGAUAUUUAAACAAAAUCGAAUAGAAUUUUAUUCUAAAUGGUUGAAAUCUACUUCACUUAAAAUCAAUCUAUCAUAUAGACUUUUUUUAUUUUUUUGGGCAAUAUUUUAACAUUUUUUAUUUUUUUUAAAAUUUUAUUUUUGAUUUUGUUAAUGCAUAUUUCAUAGUUUUAUUAAAACUUAAAAUUUUAAAUAUAGAAAACUAAUUAUGAAAUUAAAGAAACCACAAAAUUAUUGCUAUAUGAGAUAAGAUGAGGGUUCAACUUAUAUAAUGUAAAAUUUUUUAGUUUUUUUUAUAUUUUUUAAUAAUUGAUUUCAAAAUAUCUUAUAGAUGAGAAUAAAUGAAAUUUUUUUCUAUAUUUACUUGUCCUUGUCAUCCAUUGAAUAUAUUAAAAUCAAGAGUUAAAAAAUUAUGUAAAAAUAGAAAGUUUUAUACUGUAUAAGUUGAUUUCUCAUGAAAAAAAAAAUUAAAAAUCUCGAGCAUGCUAUAUGGUCAAUGAUCUUUCAUAAUUAUAACUUAUAAUCUUUCAAAAUUAUUUCUAUAUUUUAGGUGGUCAAUGAAUAUAGCAAGUCUAAAGUCAUGCUAUUAAGAAAAUUUUAUGCCUAUUUCUACAGACUUGAAUUAUGAAUUUAAUGCAACAAACUUAAUAUCUAAAUUAAAAACAUAAAAUCAUAAUUUUCUUAUUAUAAAGAAAAAUUAAGCAGAUUUUUUUAUUUUAUAUGUUUUUAAUUUCAUAUGAGGUACAUAUAUUUAUAUUAAAAGAGAAGAAAAUGAAAUUACAUUAAAGGACCUAAGAUUGAUAAGGAGGGAUACCAAUAUAAGUGUUACACAUUUUAUUUAUAUUUGGAUUAAAAUUAAAGUUAUAACACUUACACUUGGCCAUUUUGAUCCAAAAGUAAAGAAAAGUGUAAAUCUUAUAUUGAUGUAAGUGGAUCCUUCCUCAAAAUAAAUUAAUAGAAUUGUGUGGUCAAAAGUUUACUUUAUUACAACUAAAUCGAUAGACUUUGAGGUUUUCGGAGAGUGACCUUCAAACAAUCAUAGCUUGUAAUGGUUUUCAGUUUAAAAUAUGAGCUAGGGAGAUUUUUAUAAGUUUUAAAGAAAAAUUUAUGCAAAACAAUUACAAUGAGUUAUUAAUUAUUUAUGUAGCAUGGUUUUUAUGUUGAAAACUCUAGGCUUUCAAUUUUAAAAAUUUUAAGCAAAAAUUUAGUAUAGAUUGUAAAAGUUAGUAUGGGAAAAAUGUUGAAAGUGAGUGUUUAGUUAAUAAAGUGUAAACGGUGGUCAAAAUAUUAAUUAUAUAUAAUAUACUCUCUAAACUUACAUCAUGGAAAAAAUUAAACAAAUAUUUUGGCUUAAUUAUUAUUUUUUGAAUUAAAGAUGGCUCUAUCGAUUAAUUAAAUAGGAAGUUAAUUCUCACAUUAAAAUUGUUAGUUAAAUUCACAUGCAAGAUAUAUAUAUAUAUAUGUAUAAACAUAAUUAUAUAUACUUGUUAAGUAAAAGCAGAAGUGAAAAACUAACUUAAAUUACUGGUCGUUGAACAAGAUCACAAUACGAAAAUUAUUUGAUUCCACAGCGUAAGUCAUUUACACCUAAUAUAAGAAAUUUCCACUGAGAGUUGUUCAAAUGCCUAUCUGACUCUCUUUUUUUUUUUUCCUUUUCUUAUCGUGAGAGACUUUCUCUCUCUCUAUAAAUAUAUAUUUAAUGGCUGAAUGACUUUUUUAUGAUUUAAAAAAGAUGCAUGGCAAUUCAUAUUAACUGCCCAACGCAGUUUACAUUUUUCACCAAAAAUUGUUUAAAGCCAGCUUUUCUUUUCAUGGGUUGUAACCGCCCAUUUUGGGAUAUUAUGCCUUUAUUGUCAAACUCUUAUGAUCUUGAAAAUAUUUUUUCUAUUUUUUGCAUCGAGUUCAUAUAAUGAAAGAAGUCAUAUGACCAACAUAUUUCAAUAGUUCAGUUGCUAUACGACUGUUAGGUGCAUAAAACUACUCAUAAUCACAUUUAGUCACUUAUACAAUUGUUACACAUGUAUAAUAACUCUCAAGUACAAGUAGAGUAAGUAUGCAGCACCUUAGACCUAUUCAAUCACAUUUUAAGUUUUUUAUAAUCUCUCUUGUAUCAUAUUUCAUGAUAUACUUGUGUGUUCACAAUUAUAUUUGACAUUUCAAACAUAAAUGGUCCACCUGUGAAUACAACUAAAUAUGACACUAGAAUGAUCUUCCCUUCUUCUAAAAUGUCUCUAUUUCUUUCAAUUGCUAUCCAGAUAUAUCCCAUUAGAUUGAAUUAUCCAUGAGCAUUGGCAAUAAUCCAAGAUAGCUAAUAUUAAACUAAAACUUUAAAAAAUAGUCAAAAGUUCUUGAAAGUACUAAAUAUGAUAUCCUUUGAUCUCAAGGGUCUCACACAACAAGAAGCAAAGAUCUAUUCUUUUGUUACCUUUAUUGGUUAAACAAUGCACAUAUGGUAUGAAACAUAUGUUAUGGUAUUACUCUUCUUUUCUCUGGAAGUGAAUGUUUUUCAUCAUUUAUGUAUCAAUAUUGUACAAGCAAUAGUUUAGAUACUCCCAGUAUCUAACUUGAGUCCAUAACUUUACUUGAUUUCAUUUAAUCAAUAAGACUUCUACUUGGUAUAUUAAGACAAACAAAGUUAAUUGUGGGUUUAUUCACUUUCGAUCACAAAUCUCAAUAUCAAGUGACUUCAUCUUGAUCUCUUAUCAAGGCGAUUUCAUUUUAAACUUGGGCUCUUGAUCCAUAGCUUAUAACUAAUCUCAUCUCCAUAGUGCCAAACCAUUGAGGUAAUUGCUUGUGUGAGAAAGUUAAUCAUCUGUCUAAUAUGCUUUUCCAAUCAUAUCAUAUAUAUAUAUACAUAUAGAAGUGUGCAUGCAUUUCAAAUAAAGUACUAAACUUUAAUGGCAUUAAUUGUAUUCAAUAUAAGUUAACUCAAAUGGAAAAAUAUCAUACAUUGUUUAUAUAGAACUAUUCAAUCAGUAUAUAUGCUUCAACAUCUACACAAUCUUAGAGAUCUUUUAUGGCUAUAAAACACAUCUCAAGGUAUAGGUUUAGUAAAUGGAUCUGUAAUCAUCUUAUGUAUAGAAAUGUACUACAUGUUGACUUUCUUUUGUAUAACCAUGUCUCUCACAUAAUUAUAUUUGAUAUCUAUUUGUUUGGUCUUAAAAUGAUAUUUGGGAUCCUUUAUAAAUGCAAUUGCAACUUGACUAUUACAAUUCACUAACACUGAGCUGGACUCACCCUUCUCAAAUCCCAAAUGAUUCAAGAAUCUUUUAAGUCGAACACCUCUCGUAUUGCUGCUAAAAAUGCUACAAAUUCAACUUUCAUUAUGGAUAAUACUAUAUAAGUCUAUUUUUUAUUGCUACAUGAAAUAGUCCCACAAUUUAGCAAGAAAAUAUAGCUAGAGGUAGUUUUUUUUUCAUUUAAAUCUCCUCUCAAUCGACGUUCAUAUAGUUGACCAAAUACAGAUUACUUCUUUGAUAGCAUAAUGAAUGAUCCACAUUAUCUUUUAGAUAUCUCAAUAUCCUUUUAACAACUUUUCAAUUGGGUUGAACUGAAUUGGAUUAAUAUUUGUUUACCAAAGCCACGGUAUAGUAGAUGUCCAACCUCAUGGAUAUCAUAGUAUAUAUAAAGUUUUCAACAACACUAAAGUAAAGAACUCUUGCCAUUUAUUCUUUUUUUUUUUUGUGAAGUAUUAGGAUACAUUCUCUAGCUAAGGCCUUCACCUUUCAUCAUAGGCAUAUCUAUCAACUUGCAAUUUUAUAUAUUGAAUUGUUCUAGAACUUUUUUAAUGUAUUGCUAAUGCAAAAGAGCUAACAACUUUUUGGGAUGAUUUCUCAUAAUUUUUACACUAAUUAUGUAAGCUGUUUGGCCUAUUUCUUUCAUUUCAAAUUUUGAGGAAACGAAGUUUUCAUCUUAGUAUUAUACUUUUUAUCAUUGCUAGCUAAUAGUAUAUCAUCUACAUUAAGUGAUAAGAUCACAAAUUUAUCUGUCUUUUUUCACAUACACACAUGGUACUUUUCUAUCAUGAUAAAAUCAUAUGAAAUUAUUGUUUGAUAAAAUCUAAUAAACCACUAUUUGAAAGAUUGUUUAAGUCCGUAAAUUGAUUUUAAAGCCUGCAUACUUUGUGUUCUUGACCGUUGUCAAUGAAACCUAUAGGUUGUUCUAUAUAGAUUUCCUCUUCUAGUCCUCCAUUUAAAAUGGCAGUUUUCAAAUCCAUUUGAUAUAACUUCAAAUCUAAAUUGUUUACAAUGGCUAGAAUUAAACAUAUCAAGGUAAAUCUCACAACAGGAGAGAAAGUUUUUUCAUAAUCAAUUUCUUCUUGUUAAAUAUAUCUUUUCACUAAAAAACAGGCUUUAUAGCUUUCACUUGUCCCAUCUAACUUAUGCUUAAUCUAGAGAACCCAUUUGUUCAUAAUCAUUUUGUGUCUUGUAGGAAGAUCAACCAAUUUUUAAAUACGGUUUGAUCUCAUAAACUCUAUCUCAUUUUUCAUUACUUUCAUCCAUUUUUUUAUGAAAAAUGAAAGAGCUUUUUUAACAUUUUUUUGGCUCUUCUUCAUCUUGUGGGGUAAUCAAGAAUGCUUCAUCUUCUAUGUCAAAAUGAUGUUGGUGAAUAUUUUUAUGAUUACUUCACUUUAAUUGUGAUUCUUGGGAAACUAAUUCACCAAAUUCAUCAUCUUUAGUUAUGCUCCCACUUGAAUGAAAUACUAUUGGUUCUUGAUCAGGAACAUACAUUAAUUGAUUUGGAUUUAACAAAUUAUUUACUUCUCAAUCUCGUAAAGACACAUUUUUUUAUUUAUCUCACCUCUCUUUGGAAAUUCUCUUUCAAAAAAGUGGCAUCCCAAGAUUCAAAUUCAGCUACACUCACACUUGAUUGUUCACUUAUGAACACGUAUCCCUUUGAAAGCUUGGAGUAUCUUACAAAUAUACUCAUUUAUUCUCAAGAACCUAGCUUGCCAUAAGGAUGAGUAGUCUCACGUAUAUAGGUAACAUAACCUCAAGGUCUAUAAUUACUGAGAUUAGGUUUUUUCCCAAUCUAUAAUUCAUAAUGGAUGGAUGUAUCCGAUUUGAAAGAUAUUCUAUUGAGUAUAUAGGUAGCAGUUAACAAUGCAUCACCUCAAAAGGUGAUUAACAAAUUUGCUUAGGUCAUCAUAGAUCUCACCAUUUUUAAAAAAGUCUUAUUUAUUCUAUUUGUAACACUAUUUUAUUGUGGAGUCCUAGGAAUGGUCAACUACCUAUCAAUACCCUUUUCAUCACAUAAUUGUCUGAACUAAUCAGACAAAUACUCACAUCCUCAGUCUGUUCUUAAUGCCUUAACAUUUUUAUCUAAUUGAUUCUCCACCAAGGUCACAUACUUUCUAAAAUACUCUAAUGUUUUAGACUCGUGAGGAAUCAAAUAGAUAAACCCAAAGUGUGUAAAAUCAUCGAUAAAUGUGAUAAAAUAUUACCUCUAUUUCAUGACCUAACAUUCAUUGGGCCAUAAAUGUUAAAAUGUAUUAACUACAAUGGAACUUCAGUUCUAGUUCCUUUGCCAAAUAGUUUUCUUAUAUUUGUUUUUGUUAAAUAACUUUCUUAUAAUAGUAAAUAAACUUUCUCAAUAGGACCUAGUAAUCCUUCUUUGGCUAAUCUAUCCAUUUUUUGUUGACUUGUGUGGCCAAGUCUAGCAUGCCAAAUAUUUACAUCAAUAUUCGUGUCAGAAUUUAUCAUAAGAAAAAACUUAGAUUAUUGUACGAAACAAUAUCUAAUAUAAUAAAACCAUUUGAUAAAUAUCCAAAUCCAUAAUAAGUUGUAGCCAAAUACAAACUUAAACUAGUACUAUUGAAAUCCAAAACAAAUCUUAAACUAAGAAAAAUAGUGAUAUAAACCAAAUUCCAUCGAAUAUCGGAGCAAAAAAUGCAUCAUGUAAGAUAAAGGUUUUUCCACCACGCAUACAUAGCUUGCAGGUGCCAAUUCUCUUUAUUUCAAUAUGAGAAUUAUUUUCUGCAUAGAUUUAUUUUAUUUCUUGUGGAGUUUAACAAAAAUCUACAACGCAUUCCUGUUUUAUGCUACAUGAUCCGUGGCCUUUGAAUCUAUAAUCCAUAAAGGAUGUGAUUUAAUCAUUAUAAUAGUACUAGAAAAAAACACAAUAUUUUUAGCAUUACGUAAAAAUACUUUAACGGUUUGUACUUUUUUUGCCUCAUUACAUUUACAAGCAAAAUGACCUUUUUGCUAUAGUUAAAGAACUUAACUUUAAGUUUAUUCUUUUUAUGAUGAGCCUUAGGAUCUUAUCUUUUACCAAUUUGGUCACUUUUUAUCCUUUUAGAAGUUUUCUUUUUAUUCUCACCAUGUGACUUAUGCUUGAAGCAUCAAGCUUCUUUUAAACUAGAUAAUGCCAUAUAAGUAUCAGCAUAAAGCUUAGAUGCUUCCAUUCGAUCUUCUUCUAGUUGAAGAUGAUGGAAAAAAUUAUCAAAAGUCAUUAUACUCUCAUUGAGGGUAAAAUGCACUUUUAUGUGCUCCUAACUAUGUAGCAAAUAAUGGAUAAUAAAUUGAACCUAUUGUUUAUCUAUCAAAGUGUGGCCAGCCUCCUUUAGCUUGCUUGUCAUGUUUGACAUCUCAUUCGCAUGCUGCCUUAUAUUAUGAUUAGGCUACUUUUUAUAUGUGUCAAACUUGAUAGUAAGCUGCCUUAGUUUGGUAAUUAAAGUUGCAUCAAACUUUGCUUUUAGGGCACUCCACAUCUUUUUGACUAUUUUAUAAGAAUGAAACUCACUUAUAAUAUCAUUCUUCAUACUGCUAAGCAAUGUAAUGCAUACAAUGGAGUUUUUUUUUUCUAGACCUCAUAAGCCUUUCAGUCCCUCGUGUGCUAAGACGUAUUUCCUUCCCAGGCUCAUAAAAGACAUUGUUUAGAAUAUCAAGACCUUCUUAUUCUUUAAGUACAUACUGGACUUUCAUACUUCAGAUCUCAUAAUUGUGCCCAUUCAGCUUCCCACCCUUGUUUAACUCAGUAAUAAUGUUAUUAGAAGUAAAAGAUAUUUCAAAAUAUAAUUCUACCAUUCGAGAGAGAGAUGCACUAAUUAAUGCCUAGCAUUGCACACUUCUCAUUUUGCUACAAUGUUACAAAUAAAAUAAUGAUAAUCAUUCACAUAAAAAUGAAACCAAAAGGUCACUGUGUUCACAAUCAGAUUUUAUUUUUUUAAUCUGUUUGAUUAUAACUAUUUUAUUUCAUUACGAAAAAUAUUCAAUCUAAGAUAGAAUAAAUCAAUUAUUUUAGAACUCCCACUAACCAUAAGGUUACAUAUUGAUCUCACAAAACCAGGUCUUACAAAACAUAAUUCAAAUCCAAAAAUAUGUUUGAAAAAAAAUAUACAUACUAAAUGUUAAUUAAAUAUGUUCCUAAUCAUUUCGAAUGACUUGUCUAAAAGCAUGGAUUGAUUUUAAAAAAUUCCUUUGAUAGUUUUACUUUUCCACUGCCCAUCCAUAGAGGUAUAUGAAUUUUAUGUUUCCUAUUACAAAGACUUAGACAGAUUAAAAAGGUCACAUUCGUCUUGCUCCCAUUCUCACAUAUUCCUUCACAAAAUUCUUAUUUAAUGUUUCAUACUUAGAAUUACUCCCUAACAACAUCUAGAUAUCUUGAAAAAUAUUCUUUUCUCUAAGAGUCAAAAGUGUAUCAUCAACAUUUCAUAUUUGAUCUAGUCAUUCCUAAUGUGUGUGCUAUGACAUCAGAUCAAUUCUUGGAUCAUGCUAUUAACCUUGAUGAUAUGCUUCUCAAAAUUAUCAUUUGGAUCCAUUCAAUAUUGUCUCAAUUCCACCAUUAGCCUUAUGACUCUUAAAAAUUGUGCCAGUGUCCUUAGAACGAUGGGAGUCUUCACUAGAAUAGUCAUGAUUUUUGGUAACAACAUCAGAUAAAAAAUCAUUAUUUUAUAAGUCAACACAAGUCCAAAAAAUGAUUAAUAUUCAUUUCAAUCAUUCUUGUGCAAUUAAACAUCCCAACGUCAACAAGGAUAAUUUUUUCAUGCUUAAUACCGAUAAAAAAAUGAUCCAAAAUGGCAACAUCAAUGGCAUUUUCUUAUUUAAGAACUAUCACAACAUUAAUUAUAUUAAGAACACAAAAUAAUGUCAUCUCUUAUGGAUAUGCGUAAUCAUGCAAGAACAUAUCAUGUUUUGGUUAUUAAAAACAUACAAACGAACCAAAAAAUAAGCCAACUUGGUUCUGAUACCAAUAUAAGAUAAAUUUACACACAAGAUAUAUAUAUAUAUAUAUAAAUAUAAUCAUAUAUACUUAUUUCUUAAGCAGAAGAGGAAAUGAAAACCCAGCUUAUAUUACAACAUUUUUAAAAUAGUACUGAUAAUGUUUUUUCAUACAUGUACACGAAGAUUUUAAUCAUAAAAUUUUUGGGGAUGGGCAUUGUUUUUGUGGUUGGAGAUCGUGUAAGAGAGAAAAUUUUUAAAGUUGUUGCAUUAAUAUUUUUUUUGAUAAAAGAAAUCCACAAACUCAAUGAUAUUAUAUCAUUCAUACCUUAAAGGGGCUCCAAAAUCUAUAUUUCUCACAUCUUUGCCAUUAGAAAAUUAAGCCAUCAAUUGAACAGUGUAACUAAAGAGAAGAUGAAUCUGAACAUUUUAAUUUGCAUUUAGCAAAUUAAAUACAUAAAUAUUCUAUUCCAUAAGAUGCAUAGCAUGAGAAGAAAAAGAAUUAAAAAGACAUAAUAAAAAUUAUGUUAAUUUAUAAGAGAUUAAUGGAUAAAAAAUGAUGAAAUAUAUAACUAAGAAAGGUUUAAUAACAAAUUAUAGUUGCAUAUUAAUUGUAGAUAUUCAAAAUACUUGCUAUUGACAAAAUUCACUCACCACCCACAAAUCUGUAAAUGUCAAAGCAUACGAAAAAAAGCUAACAAACUGAUAUUAAAAAGGAAAAAAAGUGAAAGCUACAAUCUAUCAAGUGAUACUUACAAACGAUACAAAUGUUGAAAUAAAAAAGUAAUGGAAUCAUCCUAUUAAGAACCUAAUAUUUAUGAUAUUGAAUAAAAGAGAAUAAUAAUAGAAUUCAAUGAUAGUAAUUAAUGAGUUUUGAUAGAAAGGAAAAGAUAUAUUUUGAAUUAAGUUAGUAUUCAAUUUUAAAAAAUUAAGAAUUAAAUAAGUUUCUUUCUAUAUAAUUAAAUUUUAAAUUUGAAUUCUUUUAUUGAAGAUGAUUAAAGAAAAUGUUUAUAUAUUGUAGAUGUGUUGGCAAAAUUGGCUUUUUAAUUUAAAUUUAAAAAGCAUAUAUGAGGUAAUAUAAAUUAGUUUUAAAAAAUUAAUUAAAGAGAAAAUUAAUUGGUUGGUUUUCAAUGAAUGAGUUUUAUUUUUUGAACAUAUCAUGGCAACCGGUAUGUAAACCAAAAACCUAUUUUUGGAACAUAUCAUGGAAACAUAUCAUUAAAAUUAAGAAUAGUUGUUGAUCUUUUCUCAUAAAAUAAUUGGUUUUUUACAAAAUUAUUAGAGGUGAUUUAAAAUAAUUGAUUUUAAAUUAAUGCCUACUUUGACUGUUUCCACUUUAGUGCAAUAAUCUUGUUUUAUGUUGGAAAGCAUAUGUUUAAUAUUUUGAAAAGUUCUUAUUAAAGAGUAAAUUGUGCCUGCAAAUAUGUGUCAUUUUAAAUAGAAAGAAAUAUAAAAAAAUAUAUGUUUUCAACUAAUUAGGCUUUUUAUUUUAGUUUUGAAUAUCUAGCAUUAUAUAUUAUAUAUUCAUUUAGAUUAAUAAAUGCAUAAACUAUUUCUUAAAUAAACACUAAAAUAUGGCUAUUAAGUAGUCAAUGCUUUUAAAGCAUAUUUUUUUAUUUACAGCAUUCAUGUUUGAUGCUUAAAAUUAAGAAUUGAAUUUUUGAAAGUGGGUUAAGAUAAUUGAUUUGUAAUAUAUAUUUAUAAAAGGUAAGAAUAUUUUAUUUUUAUUAAAUAAUAAAGAUAUUUAAUUUAGUCAAAUUAAAUCUUCUAAAUAAAUAAAAUUUAUAUAAAAUCAAAUCAAAAUAAUUAAAUGCAGCAAACAUUAAAAUUUUUCAAAAUUGUUUACAUGUCAAUAAUAUAGGCUAUUCACAUUGGAUAAUUUUCGUUUUUGCCAAAGGUUUUGACUUUUAUAUAUAUUUAUAUAAGAUGCUGUGUGCUCGUCACCUUAAGCAGCAUAUGCAAAUUUUUGAAAGGGUAUUCUUAUUCAAGUGCCUCACACCAAUGUUAGUAUAAAAGUCACUUGAGUUACAUUUGUCUUCAAACUGCUUCUCUACCAUUGUUAGUUCAAAAAUCAUAAUUGUUCUAUUUGUUUUCUAAAUGCAUAAAAUUGAUGACAUCUUAUUCGUUUUUAGUUUGAAAUUGGUUGAAUCCAAUAUGUAGUCAUUGUAAGCACUGAUUUUUGCAUAUUUUCGUGGUUAGUGUUAUUAUUUUUCAUUGAAGCUUGUGUCCUAGAUGGGUAUUAGGGCAGUGCAUAGGUUGUGUGCAUUUAUUUGGGUCGGGUGUGUGUGAAAGGGGAGGGAGUGAGAUGAGAUGUAGGUCUAAUGUCUAUCUAUCUCCAAGUCAUUCUUAUUAUUCUAUAACAAUAGGACUCUCCCUCCUGUCCCCAUAAAGUUCCAUUAUUCCUUGAUUUGGAAACCUAACUUUGAGCCGAGGACGAGAUCUACCAUGAGCCUGGUGAGAGCAGUGUCACAAAACAAAGACAUAUAUCUCAUUUAAGUUGCUGAAUUCCAUUCUGCUAGUUUCUAUCAGAUAUCUUGCUCGCAAUUAUUUGUCAAUAACAAUAGCAGAGUAAGUGAAAGGUAGUGGACAUUCUAAUUAAUUAAUUAAAGAUAGAAUUCAUAGGUUUAUCAUAGUUGUGUUUCUGGCUUUCUGCAGUUAUAGAAGAAGGUUGCAAAAGCGAAUAUUUUGUUCAUUGCUUCAUGCUUAUGCAUUGGCUUGAUUAAAAGGUUUAAUCUGGAGACAAAAUCUUUUGGUGCCUCACAAAGUCACAAAAAGCCAAAACUAGACUUCUUUCACUUGGAAUUUGAUUACCAAAAAUAGAUAUCUUCUGGAAAUAUUGGAAUAGGCACAGCGCUUGUUGAAUGAAAUGAAAUAGAUAUUCUCUCCAAAAAUAGAACAGGUAUUAGUUAGUUUCGUUUCUAAAUAGAAAUAUAGGAAUAUAGGAAGAAUACUAUAAAAUGUUCAAUUUCAAAGUUAAAAUUUGCAGUUUAGUUGAAAUCAGAGAAAUCCUAGUAGCGUCAUAGAAUUAUCGUUGUUAAAAAUACAUAAAAUGAAUUGUUUUUAAAUAGUAACGUUCACAGCUACUUCAGCAGGAAAGUCCCACAUUAAAGGAAAACAAGAAAUAACAAACACGCUCUUUUCUUUAUAAUAAAUCACAUCUCAUUUUCGUCCAAAACAUGCAGUCGUGUAGUGAGCACAAAGCGAACUAUUCUUUCGCCUUUUACUAAAGAAUACCGUGUGCUCACUGCUGAAAACGGCGUACAUUAAUUUUUGGAGGGGUAUUCUUCUAAGAAUGCCUCCAAACAAUCCUAGUUAAAGUUUACGUACUAGUCAAUCCUGGUAAAAAGUGAAAUAUUUCUUUGACAAUAAUAAUCAAACAAUUGAAGUUUCAGGCGUAAGUGUGUCCUUACAUUUGCAGGGAUCUAGUUUUAUGAUUAUCUGCUGCUAGUGCACUGCUGGUCCUUACAUUUACAGGGAUCUAGUUUUAUGAUUUUCUGCUGCUAGUGCACUGCUGGUCCUUACAUUUACGGGCAUCUAGUUUUAUGAUUAUCGAUGUUUCUGAAGAUUGAUAACUAUAAUACGAAAUAAAUUUACGAGUAACAAGCCAUUGUUUGAAAAUAGUUGUAGUUGAUUAACUACGUGUCUGCCACUACUAGUGGAUUAGUUUGGCUUUGCUCUCUUUAUUUGCGAUCUCCAGGUUUUGCAUUCUUUACUUGUGGAGUUAUUUUUGUACAAUCAAGCUACCCUAUACAUUGCAUGCAAUUUAGUUUUCCAUUAUCCCAUACAGAUUGAAACUGAUAGCCAGUUUUGAAGCUAAAGAAAUGGUUACUGCCCAUGUUCCUUCUACCAAGCAGCUUGCUGAAUUUUUACCUUGGCGAUUCGUUACAGGUUCUUAGCCCUCUUCUUCAAUUUCCAUAGAAAAAUAUGUGAAUAAAUCUCGAUUCUCUCAUCUUUUCGUUUCAAAUCUCUUGAGAAAAGACACUUAUACUUCAUAGGUAAUGUGAUAUCCAGCUGCUACAACAAAGAAGUCAGUCCUGCAUUUGGAGAAAACCUGAGAGAAUGGAUGGCACUCAUUAUAAAACUGAUACAUGGAGCAACGUUUAAACAUACUUACCUGGACGUUGUCCAUGGGUGAACAAGGAGGCCCACGGCCUAGUCAUGUGGCCUCCAUUGCACUUGGGAGGUGCCUCUAUCUGAGGUCUCCUGAAGCAGUAGAUCUAUGUCAUAAUUUCUGGUACCUGUCUAAUUCUCAACGAAAGUUUUUGCUGGCACUGGUCAACGUGUUCUUUGGUGCUUAAAAGUUAGCCAUCUGUAAUAAGAAAUCAGAAACUAUGUUUAACAAUUUGAAGCAUGAAAAUAUAAUAUAUCAAUGAAUUCAUCACUUUGCCUCACUAUUUUUGUUGAUAUUUCAGCAAAGAGGAGGUCAUUGGAAAAAAGUAUGAAUUUCAAGGAGGAGUGCUUCUUGCUAGAUAAAGUGAUAGAUUUUGCCAUAAACACCAGCGAGAAGAAGAAUUCAUCUAAUCGUCUUUGUGAAGCUUGACAGAUUGAUCAAGAAAGAAAUGGAUUAAGAUUACGUUAUGUUUAGUAUUUCAGUAUGGCAUAUUUUUUCCAGAAAACAUGGGCAAAAUCCCACAUUGUCUUGUUCCCCAAACAGGAAUUUUUGUGUUCGGCUAUAAAAGAAAUGCUAAGAACUGAGUUUCUCCCUCUCCGCGCUCGGGUCAGAGGCGCAGCUGGUGAGAUUUUAGCGAAGGAGCGUCUAUUGCUGGUUGAAAUCUAUUUUCAAACCCCUUUAACGUCUGGGUAAGCCCUGGCUUCGGAGAAUUUCUGGAAGGGCUACUUUUGGGUUAAAGCACUGCACGUUCUAAAGCGUUCUGAUCAAUAUUUAAUUGUCAAUAAUGGUACUCUUCUAUUGUAAGUUUUCUGUCGUAAAAUUUAAUAAUUUCAUUUGAACAAUUGGUAGUUGCAGGGGCAUUGCCACUUUUAUUGAAUAAUUAACUUUGUAAUAUGUUAUUUAAUUUCAAAUAUGCUCACAUAUGAAGUAUUAUCGAUGGGAAAAAAUAUUUUCCACUACUUAACUCUCCACUAGGUAAACAGAGUUUUUCACUUCUUUUAUCUAAAUUAAUCUUGAAAUUUAAAAUGAAUAUGAAAAUAUAUAAAAAUUAAUUAAAAAAUAAAAAAUGAUUUAAAUAAAUAUUAAUCAUAAAUUUAGGUGAAUUGCACUUAUUGACCUUUUGAUGAAUUAGUAAAAAUUUUUAUUAUUUUUUAAUUAAGGGAAAUGAUCCUUUCGCCUCAUGGAUAUACUAAUGAAAUUUCAUGCUGUCUAAUUCUAUGUUUAACUUGAAAAAUCUCUCAAUUCCUAAGAAAUCCAAUUGAGAAAUCUGAGGAGGUGGGAAGCUUUCUUUACUACAAGGUAGAUAUAUGCUGGUAGUCCUUUCAAUUCCAAACCUACUACUACUAGUAGUAGGAUAAGAUAAAAAUUCAAAAAAUUCAAAAAUUGAUUUAAAUCCAUAGUAAUAGGUUUGGUUCGAAUCAAGUUUGGAUAUUAAAUUAUACAUUAGAUUCAGAUUAGUUUCGAAUUAAAAGGUGAAAAACUGAAAAAAAAAAUCAAAUCGAACUAAAUUAAAUUAUAUAUAUUUUUUAAUUUUUAUAUAUUUUUAAAAUUUUUAUAAAAUAAAAAUAAUACUUUUAUAUCAAAAUCUACUUAAAUAUAUUAAAUUUUUAUAUUAAAAUAAUACAUAAAAAUUUAAAAAAAAUUAAAAAUCGAUAAAUCAAAUCAAACCAAUAAAAUUCGAUUCAAUUCGAUUCAAAUUGAAUAAAAUUUGGUUUAAAUUUGGAUCAAAUUUUAAAUUUUCAUAAUAUUAUAUAAUAUUAAAAAAAUCAAAUCAAAUUUGAUCCGAACUAAGCUAUUAUGGUCCUAACUAUUACACAACUUAGACGGCUAUCUUUAAAAGGGAAAAAUAAUGGAUGAAGGUAGAGCUGCUUAUUGAAUACUAUUUUUAAAUUUUUUUUUAAAUUGUAGUAUUUUGUUUUCUAAAAACCAAACUCUAUAUCAUCGAUUCUAAUCAAAGACCUUAAAAACGAAUCCCAUGUCGCACUCAGAAAGCACUUAGCUGGUUCUUCACAAGCUUAUAGAGCAUCAUGGAUCAAUGCUCUUCAACUUAAGGAUUUGUGUGGCGAGUACAAAGCAAACUAUUGUUUCCCUUUUAUUAGAAAAUACCGUAUACUUGCCACCUGAAGCGGCAUAUGUUAAUUUUUGAAAUGGUAUUUCUAUUCGAGUACCUUACACCAAUCUUAGAAUAAAAGUCAUUUGAGUUACAUUUGUCUUCGAACUGCUUCUUUACCAAUGUUAGUUCAAAAAUCAAAUUAGUUCCAUUUGUUUUCUAGGUACCUAGAAUUGAUGAGAUUUUAUUGGUUUUUUGUUUGGCAAGAAAACUUGUGAUUGAAGAUGGCUUAAAGACCGGAUUCAAAUUUGUCCUACCAACCAUUUCUUAGCCGACAACGCAAUGACAAGUCCCAAGUGAAAAGAAUUACUUAAGAUUGAGGGGAGUAUUAUGAUAGUAGAAGUAAAAACUUAUAAGUGUCGUUCUUUAUUUAAAAAAAACCUACGAACGACAUGCCGUUACACUAGCUUUGCUUGAGACAAGAUUUGCGGAUGAUCUAAAUAUUAAAUGAGUAGGUUGAUGUCCUGGUAAAAGGGAUACAGAAGAACAUUGGAGUAAAUCAGGUGAUAAUAAAUCCCGCAUUGGCGAAACACUAGUUGAGCAUAGAGAAGCUAUCAUAAAAAAUGAGCAUGGGCCUAGUUUUAAAUUGUAUUGAAGAAGCAUUACUUAUUUGAACGGGAUCAAUGGGCCAUCAAGAUUCUCUACAGCCUAUGUAGCUGCCCUUCAUUGCAUCCUAUGUUAACGUAGGGUAUUGAGGUUAUGCUUCAGUUUCUAACAUCACCUGUAUUUUUACUUAGUUUUGGUCCAAAAAUCACCAAAAUACCCUCAUCUAUAUAUAGUGACAAAUUUGUCCUUUAUCCCCAUAAAGUAAACCAACAAUCAUGCAUGUGUUGGAGAAUAUUAUGCUAUCUUUUUUGGUGAUAUAUAUCCAAAAUUUCAACUGAAAUAAGAAAAAACUGGACGACCCCUUUCUUUAUGUUAGGAUUAAAGUCUUAUUUUCAAAAAAAUAAUGACGGGACGUUUGGUUUACGCAAUUUUAAAUUUUAAGAAAAAAUAUAAUACUCUAAAAGUUUGAUAUUCCAGAUUUUAUUUGAUUUUUAAGACAUUUCAUAAUAGGAUUCAUUUGUUUAGUAUGAGAAAUUUUUAUUUAUUAAUUCAUAUAUAAUUAUUAUAAUCUCUUUAAUAAACUGUAGGCAAUCUUUUAUUUUGUUUUAAUAAAAAAAAUCUCAAAUGACAAAUAAUAUUUUUAGCAAUAAAAGAAAAGAAAUAUUUUAAUUUUUUUAAUUAAAUAUACUCAAUUAUAGUGUUUAACUAAACAUCAAGCCAUUAUUGUUGUAUAAAAAUAUAAAAAAUUAAUUAUAGCAUUUGGAAAAGCUUAACGCCUCAUUUGUUUUUGUAAAGAUUUUGAAAAAUAAGGUAUUUAUUAAAAAAAAAAAAAAAACGCUUUAUUUGAAUGAGUCAAAAAAAACAUUUGUUCAAAGAAAUACUUUAUUUUGAUAUUUUUAUAAAAAUUUUGAAAAAAAAAAUCAAAUAAGACAUUUGUAUAAAAAAAAUCACUUUAAUUGAUAUCAGUUAAGGCAUUUGUAGAAUCAAUUAAGGCGUUUUUUUUUAUAAUUGCUUGAAUUGUUACAUAUUAAAACUGAAUUAAAAUAAAAUAAAUUUUUAAAAAAAACUGAAAUUGAAUUUUAAAUUUACUUUUUAAAAGAGUAAUAGAUAUAUGAUAAAUUUUUUUAUUCAGGUCAAAUUUAGAAAUAAAAUAAUUUUUCUUAUCAAAAUCUUAAAAUAUCGUAAGAAGAUGUGAGUUUCUGAUUUUGAGACUUUAAGAACUAUUGAGAAUCUGAUAUUUUUUCCUGUAAUCGAAUUACUCUGAACUAAUCGCAAAAAAAAAAAUAUCUACCAUCAAAAUUUUCAAAAAAAAUUUAUGGAUUUCUCUAAACCAAACACAUUCUAAUAACAAAGCAAACAAGAUCAAUAAGCGUAUUUACUCUGCGUCACAUUAAUAAUUAGGUUCCAUACAACUUAACACUCUAAUCUCAAGUUAUAACAGGAAGAAGAUAGUAAUUAAAAUGUUGGGUGAGAAAAUCAACUUUAAUGUACCAAAGUAGUAAGAAAGGAUAUGUGAUCUCCAGCCAGCCCUCUGGAUUGAAGACAGCUAGCAAAAGAUUUUAAUUUUUCCGGAAUACAUUCAUCAACUAUGGUUUCUCAAAAAAAAAAAGAAAUUGAAGUUAGAGAUAAAUUUAGUAUUCGUUGACUAAAAAAUAGUGAAAGUUUUGCAGCGUACCUGAUCAGGAGUGAUAGUUAAGUUAUCAUAAUUUAUAUCAACUCUACAGAAUUUGAAACAAAAAACAGUUCCAUCAUUAUAUAUAUGUUGAACAAAACGUCGAAGGAAAGGCAGCAAAUGGAUUGCAGCUUUACUGAUUUGGAUGUAAUCUUGAAGGAAGCUUCAAUUGUCACCUUCCUACUUAACAAACUCAAUCCACUGGCAUUGAACUUGAUCACAUUAACUGCUUUGCUCUUCAUUUUCCCAUGACCCAAUGUUAACCUUAGUAAAAGGCAAACGACAUUACAAACACAGUUUCAUAUAGAAAACGCACAUCAGUGUUUAAAUUCGGUAAUAAGAUAAGAUUCUGGACAUUUGAAUUGUUCAGUUAUGGAAUUUCUCAAGCAACUUCUUGAAAUUGGAGAAUAAGAGUAGUCAAUGAAGCAAUGCUCAUUAGUUUCAUUGUAAGAAAAUCUAAUCAUGAAUUCAUAUACCUUUUGAACCCAAGGUGAUGAAAUCUCUUAAUCCCAGCUUUGUUCUCUUUGAACCCAAGACUGUAAUUGUACUGUUAACUAGCUUCCAGCAACCAUCCACCAUUCCGUUUAUAGAAGCAAAACUGUAACUACAUCCUUUAGUUUAUUUUCUCAAUAGAAUACAACUGAAAGUUUACCUUUUCUAGAUUCAAAGUAGGAUCAGGAGUUGGGUUCUGGGAUUCUAGCAGCUUCACCAGAGCUUCAAUAUCAGUUUUCUUUGAGGAUGGUAAUCCAAAAAUCCCUCUAUUGAUUCCUUUGAAUAUAUACAUGGAUGAAACAAACAUUUCAGUAAUUCAUCUAAAAAAUUUUCACCAUGUUAUUCUUUUAUUGUAAAUAGGAGCUAAAUAAAGAAAACAAAUGGGCUGAAAAUUCCAAUGGCCAUACCGUUGACUUCCUGGAAGAGUUUUGUUUUGAGCUGGGAAAGUUUUUUAAAAUCUUCAUUUACAUCUUCCUCGCCAACUAAGCCAGCGUUCUGUUCAGCAACUUUGGUGGUAUAAGUGGGUCUAAAUCUAUUGCUCCUAGUCAUUGGACAUUUGGCUGAGACCACUCUGCAAGUUCUCAUCCUUUCUUUGAUUUUGUAUAUCCGAUGAACGAUUCGGGGAGCUUGGUUUUUGGCUGGAUAAGCUUGUAGGAAAUGAAAGCAGUCAUUGGCGCAAAAAGUUCUAAUUCCCUUGUGUUUUGGAAAGAAAAAUGAAGCCCAGGUUCAUGGCCAGACGAUGCGAAGUAGCUCAGGACCAUGGCAAGUUUAGCUGGGAUGGAAUCGUCCUAUCCAGUUGAUAAGUUUGAAUUAGCCAACGACACGUUUAGUAUGCGUUUAAUUUUUCUUUAAUUGAGGUUGCAGAUGAAAUCAUGUAAGAUCAGAUAAUCUGAUAAUCUAUCAAUAGAUCACAUAAUUAUUGAUUAAUAUAUAACAUUUGAUAAAUCACACAUUUAUAUGUCAUAUUCUAUCAACAAAUCAUGCAUCUACAUUUGAUAUUCUACCCAACAAGUCACCCGGGUACGUUGAUUCAACAGUAGAACCGCACAGCUGAGCUGUUGGUCAGUAUGUUUAGGGUUUCAAUAUCAAAUUAAAAGGGUAGUUUGAAUUUUAUUUUUUGGGCAGUUGGGAAAGGAUUUCUGCACUGGGAGAAAAAAUUAUAAUCCGAUUCUUCAAAACACACACACACACACUUACCAAUUUCCUUAAAUGCUCAAAUUCGAUGAUAAGAUUGGAUGAGGGGCAAAAUCUAAAGGUAGAAUUGGCACUGCAAUUGUUUUUGGCCAACUCCUUUCAACUCUUUGAACAUAUCAAUCUCCCAUCUUGACAUUAGUUUACUUUUCCAUUCUUUUAGCUAGUCAAGUAUAUGGUUUUCCAGGCAUCCCCAGCAAGCUAUGCAUCUAACGCCCCCAUGUAAAGGUUAUUACAAUUAUAGAGUAACAUUCUAAAACAACUCUUGAAAAGUAGCCAAUUCUCAAGUGGUUAUCUGAGAUCAAAAGUUAAUUCUCAAGUGGCCACAUGAACUCUUAUUUAAAUGUCUGAAUUACUUGAGUAUCUUUCUAAGCAUGUGAUUUAGAUUUUUCUGACUCUUCUUGUUGUUUCCACUGCUCGGGGGUGAGAGCUUUCUUUAUUGAAAGAGCAUGGAUUUGCCUCAUCUCUUCUUCAAGAGCCGCAUUCACUAUCCGGUGUCUCUCCAGAAGCCUCUUCCCUAUGAAUUGUUCGGAUACAAUCUCAAUUGCAAAACUUGCACCACACCUAAUCCAAUUACAAACUCAUCAUAAAAUUUCAAAAAGGUGAAGGAUGGAUUAGUGCAGAAACUCAAAUAAAAAAUGUUCAGAAUAAGCUCACCCGCCAGAUGUAUCAAUUACUUCCUGAAACACACAAGUACAAACAUUAGUUUUCAUGAAAAUAGCAUCAGACAUACAGGUAUCAAGAUAGAAAACAACUCUUAAUAAAUCUUAAGAAGGCUUUCGCCUGUCCAAGUAAUAAAUACAUAUGAAAGCAAUUUAAAAAAAUAAAUAAAUUAAAGUUGGGUGUCAGUCCCAAUUAUAAAUGCAGAUAGAUUUCUAGCAAUCAUCAAUGCAUAAACAAAACUGAUCAGGAAAUUUGAACAAGGAACUAAAGAACAACUGAGUCAAAAGGGAACCCCGUCAGGCAAAGAAGUUGUCAAGUUUGAUUGAACAUGUAACCUCAUAUUCCACCUAUAUUUAUAGGGAAAAAGGAAAACAAUGCCAUAAGAUACUAAUAACCUUUGGGCUAAAUCCUCAUUUUAACAAUAUGAAUCGGAUGAAGGAUGAGUUCAUGUGUUAAAAGCCAUUUGGGUAUAUGGUGCUAUGUUCUAACUACGUGGGAAAUAAGGAAUACAUAAGCUUACAGAAGACAUCCCUCGUAACACACAAAAGAACAGAGCUAACUUAAAAAAAUGUGACACUUCAAAGAGGACAGUACAACAUAACUGACAAACACAAUUAAAAACAAUUAAUCUUUUCCAGCAUAAAACAGUGUACAAGCCGAUUUGGAAAAUGAGCACUAAACUUUCUUCUUCAAGUGGUCUUAUCAUGAUCAUCUGCAUCCUGGUCAGAAAGAUAUAGAAUUUCGAAAAGCAUGCAGCGCACUUCUUUCAGCAGCUAAUCAGAUGCUUUCAAAUACACUGAAAUGUACCACCAUAUUCUAGCAAUGCGAGUAUGGCCAAUGAAAAAAUUGCAAAUAACAAACUUAUAUCUUCAUAACAUACGAGGCAACAAUGGAACAAGUUUAAUUCUCAUAAAAACUCAGACAAUCAUGCUGGGAGAAAUAUCAACUAGAGACUAGAAAGGCACCAUUGCUCCUUGUUAAUAUCUAUCAGUGUAUGUAAACAUGAAGCCUUUAAUGUUGAACCCGACUUUUAUAAAUGUCACUGUCAAACCUUUCAGAAACAAAAAGGAAAAUUAUUAGCUUUUAAUGUUCUCUCCUCAAGAGAAACCAAAGCCAAUAUGAUAGGGUACUAUUCUCGACAUCACUUAAAACUGGGUCCAAGUAGUGGUAAAAUUAAGAUUAAUUCCAAGACCAUUUUCAUCACAAAAGCUUUCUCUAUGAACAAAUGAAGAUACAAUGAUGGUUACAUGUCAAGAAUGAGCUUGGGCCCCUGCAAAGCAGCAAAUUAUAGCUGAGCUGCCUUGUGCUCAAACAAGUGCAUGCACCCUAGAGAUAGCAUCUAAGUUAAAAGCCUAAAUGAGCCCAAUCAUUCCAAAAGAAUGAACAAUCUUUCCACCUCAAAGCAGGAAAGGCAUUAUUCUUUCUCAUUCAACCAACUCCAGCCUCAAGUGAACCAUUAACCAACAAACAUUUCAAGAGUGACACAAAAAUCUUAAACAAUUUCUUCAAAGGCGGCAUGAUUCUCAAUUUCUCACAAAUUCACAACUUGCUUUUCCACAAGUAUUCAACAAAAUUAAAGCUCUACUCAUAUCCCCUUGCAUUUCGCACUACUUGUUUUCACUUAAUCGAUAUCAGAAAAUUGCUAAAAUGUAACUAUGAAAUAAUUGUUCUAAAAAAAAGUAGAACCACGAAUUUUUUCUAAAAUUGAAAACACAUUUAUAAUUUGUAAUUCUUCAAAAAGAAAAGUUUAUUACAAAGUAAAAAGCAAAUAGCUAAAGCAUGUUCAUGGGUUUAUUAUAUUUGUGGAACAUGAUUAGGGAGAAAAAAAAAUAAAGCCAUUUACUUUCAAUUGAUAAGAGGAAACUAAAAAGAACCCAGUUCCAGGUUGCUGACAUUUUCCAACUUUGAUCAGAAUAUAUGUAUAUCAACAAUAACUGAAGAAGAUGAAAUAGAGGCGAGGAGGUUACCAGAUGAGAAGGCUUCAAUUUUGAAUUCAAUGAAGAUUCAACUUGAUCCUUUGUUACUCCCAUCUUCCCUUUCUCCUUAACUCUUUGCGUCUUCUUUUGCUCAUUGGGUUCAACUUCAGGGCAUGAAAAUCAUAAAAUCCAAGAUUCGUUUAUCAAAUUAAUAAAAAAUAAUAAUAAAAAAAAACCCAAAAGAUUCGAUUUGGGUGGAGCAUAUUACAUGCUAGCCAUGGCCUAUCCCUUCCUAAAAGCCCAUUAAGAAUUUAUUCCAGAUCUAUACUUUUUUUUUUUUCAAAAUUUAUUUAAUUUGAAUUAGAAUUCUCAAUUAAUUUAUUAAAUUAUUUUUAAAAUAUAAUAUUUAAUAGAUUUACAAUAUGUUUGGAUUAAAAAUUUUUAAAUUUUGAAAAAAAUUAAAAAUAAAGGCAUUUAAAAUAUAUUAUUUCAAAAUAUUAGUAUUUGUUUGGAUAAAUACUUCUUUAAAAAAAUUGGACUGUUAAAAUUUGAUGAGACAAAAAAUAAUUAUAAAAGAAGAACAAUGAUAUUAAAAAUAAAAGUGUAUGUAUAAAUAAAAUAUGUAAUAUGUGUGUCAUUAUAUUUGUAAAAAUAUAUAAAUAUUAUUAAUAAUCUAAAAAACUAUAUAUUAUAGUUGAAUAUAAUUAUAUUUAUUUUUUGAGUUUAUAUUUUAUGGUAUGCAAUAAAAAGAGUUACACUUUAUGCAGUAGAAAUGAUUGAAAGAGGUGAGAAUAAAAAAAAUUUUAAUUUAAUAGUUAAAAUUCAUAAUAAUUUUCUUAUUUUGCAACUUACCCAUUUGAUUGAUAAGUUUUUAUCCUUAUCCUUUUUUCAACAUUCCUAUCAAGCAAAACCUUAAUAUUUGAAAUUUUUUUAAAAAAUUACCUAUUUAGGUGGAAUUUCAAAAGGGAAUUUGAUUAUCUCAAAUUCUCUCUUGAAAUUGCAUCUAAAUUUUGAAAUUUUUCUUUUAGUCUUAGCCAAACAAGUAAAUUUAUUUUAGAAUUUUUAAAAUCUUGAUUGAAAUGAAAUCUCUCCACCAAAUAUCUCGAUUAAACACAUCUUUAAAAUUUAAAUCAUAAUAUCUUAAACCCUUUCCAUAUAUUCUGUACUGUAACCUCUUUUGUGAAAAAAAAUUUAUUUGAUUUAAGUCAUUACAUUUCAUUUUAAGAAAAUGAUGAUUUUAGGGUUUACAUCCCUAUUUACUUAAAUAUUCUUAUAAGUAUAACAAAAGAAAGUAAAUAUUAAAAGAUUUGAUAUGUGCCAUUUAAACAACCAUUUCAUCUAAAAGGGUCCCUAAUUGGGUAAAUGUUUUAAGGAGUAUUUUCUGUUUGCUAAUAGAUAUGAUUACAAACUAAAUAAAUUUAUCAAUUGGUUUUCAUUAUUUCUCUCCAAAAUUAAGUGCUUUCUUGUUUUGAAGGGGCAGGAAAAUAUGAUUUAAAACAAAUCCAUGGUUAUUGAUGGUUUUUCUUCUUUCCCUUCUUAAAUUUUCUCUCAAAAUUCGAUAUCCAAAUAAGAGAAAUUGAAUAAUUAUGCACCUUUUUAGCUAUUUGAAUCCAUUGCCCAAAAUUAUGAAUGACCAUUAAUUUAAACUUUGAAAGUUAAUAAUGAAUAGUUAACUACAAUUUUUUUAAUUAAAUGUUUGCAAAAAAUAAAUAAAAUUAAACUUGUUUAUAUAAAAUGGGCUAAAGUUCUACCUUUAGUUUUAUUUAUUUAAAAUGCACCAAGCAUUUGCCAACAAUAUUUUUUGAAGGACUUGUUUUAAUCUAACAAACAAAAUUCUAAACCAUUUAUCUUUUCCAAAACCAAAUCUAACAAAUAAAAUCUUUCUCCAUAAAUCGCCUUCAAAAUCAACAAAAAUCAAUUUAAGCAUCACCUAAAUCACAAAAGUAAGCCAUUAACCCAAAAGAGAUUAUUUUAAUAUAUAAGAAUAGACUAUAAAGAGAUGUUAUUGGAAACUUAAUUUUAUAAUGACACAUGUGGAUGUAGGGUGAUCUAAUAAAAAGAGUAAUUAUGAAAUUUGUUAGUAAUUGAUGAAGAUAUUUUGAAGAAGGGUUUGAGUCAUUCAACUAUAAAAUUAAAGGUUUCAAAUUCAACUUUGUAAUAAAAAAAAAAAAAAAAAUCAAACGAGAAAAAAAGCCCAUGAAUUGCAAUGCAUUGGUCGCAAUCACUUUGGUCCCAUUUAUUUGCGUUGGUUUCUUUAUGGCCACCCUCUCUCCUACGGUUGAAAACUUGGACUUUUGCAUUAGAUUAUUCUCCUUAAAAUUUAAUGCUUGCUAAGUAAUACGAAUGGAUGUCCAUAAAUCAUACUUUACGUGAUCCAAUUCUAUACUCUACUUUGAUAAUAUCCUUUUAUUCAUUUAGUUUAAGUGAAAAAAAAACGUUUGAAUUAUAUUAUCCGCUUUAAUUGUAUCAUUAAUUAAGACGUGUAUUACACAAAUAUUUAAAUUUGGGACAAUUGUCGAUAUUAUUUUAUAGUUGAAAUUGUUAAAGAUUAAAAGGGUUAUAAGCGAUAAGAUUUAAAUUUAAAAUAUUGAAUAUCACAUCUUAAGAAUAAUUAUAUAAAUUAAUUGAAAUAAAUUAUGGAUUCAAGAGAUUAAAUAAUGAUAACUCAAGCAUUUUACUAAUCAUUUACAUGAUUCUUGAAAAUGCCAAUAAAAUGUCACUCAUACUUAAGCUUGAGAUUUAUUAUUGUAAAAAAAUUAAAUUAAUUGAAUCCAACAUUUAGCUUAAUUGAUUCAUGUAGAAUAUUAAUUAUUUUUAUAAAAAUAAUAUUUAAUAAAUUUAGAGUUUAAAUUUCAACAUAUACAAUUUUUUUUCAAAUAAUCUAAGCCUAAAAAAUGUUUAUGUUUUACCAAAGUAUUUAGCAUUGAAAAUUAAUCUUAAAUUUGUCUCAAUAGUUUGGUAGUAAUUUAAGAUAAUUUUUUCAUCUUAAGAAUAUUCAUGGAGACUAAUAUCCGCUCUGAAGAGGUUCCGUUAUCAAAUUUAUUAAUUUAUUUUAUUCAAAAAAAUUAAUAAAAUCUCCCAAUAGUUUGGUAGGACUUACUUUAAAGCAAAUCUUCUAAUAGUUUGGGAAGAUUUUAUUACUAAAAUAUUUAUAAAAUUUUUUAAGAAUUUCAUUACGUCUCCCAAUAGUUUAGUAUGACUUAAUCUAUGAAGUAAUCCUCCAAUAGUUUAGAGGAUAAAAAUUAUUUUUUUAUUUUUUUUAUUUUUUGAAAACUGAUUUAUGAAAUUUUUCAAUAGUUUGGUUGAUUUCAUUUUAAAAAUUAAAUCCAUGAAAUUUCUCCAAUAGUUUGGUAGAAUUCAUGAAUUUAUUUUAUAAGGAUUUUCAUUUUUAAAAAAAGAUUUUUUUAUUUAUUCUUUUAGACUUAUUUGAAAAAGGUUUUUUAUUUAUUUCAUAAAUAACUAAAAAAAAUCAUAAUGAUAAGUAAUGUAUUUUUUUAAUUUAAAAUAAGAAUAAUAAAAUAAAUAAAAAUAAACAAAAUAAGAAAAAUAGAAUCAAAACAAAAAAUGGAGUGAAAAAGGAAAAAAGAAUACCUGCGAUCGUGUUGGAUUGUGUAUGGUAAAACAUACAGAUUUAAAUGCCUCAAAUUUAGGCUUUUCUUCAAAAAUGUUUGAGUAUGUUUCUCUUUCUAAAAUGGUUAUUAUUCUAUCUUUUCUCUAAUUGAUUUUCAAAAAUUGAUGAAUAAAUCCUAAAAACUGACAGAAAAUUUUCAAAAACCCAACAAAUUGUCUAGAAAGUUAAACCCAGGAAUCCUUAGAAUGUAAAACCCUACAGAAAUUCAAACUCAAAAACACCAAAUCCCAACUAUAGAAAAUCUAAACAAAUCAAACCUAGAACCUAAAACCUUUUGGUUGCUAAACAAAUUUUCUUUUUUCUCUUAAGAGUUUCUGCAUAAUCUUUUUUCUCCCCUCCAUUUGCUUUGAUAAUAGAUUUAUGUAAGAAUUCAUGUUCCAUCAAUUCCUUUUAAAUUUAUAAUUUUAUUUGAUUUCUGUUUUAAUGAGAAUUGAUUUUGAAAUCAAAUCCCAAAAAUCUCUCCUUAUCAUUUUAAUGUGAAUUGAUUAUGGAAUUAAAUCCUGACAAUCUCUCCACAUCACGUUUAAUACCAAUUGAUUUUGAAAUUAAAUCCCAAAAUUUUCUCAAUUACGAUUGAAGCCUAAUUCCAAAAAAUAUUUUCAGACAAAAUGGGGUGUCUACAGACUCAUUAAUCAAAUCUUAAUUAUGAAACCAUAGCCUUGAUUUUUAUAAUCACUAUGACUUGGAAUCUUAAUCUACAAACACAAAAAUAAGUCCAAAUGUUGCCCCACUCAAGUUUUUGUAGAAUAUUCAAUAUACUCUAAUCAAUUACUUUACCCAAUACUAACACAUAUAUCUUAAAUUAAGCAUAAAUACAUUGCUUUUUUUUUUCUUCUUAUUCUUCUUCUAAAUGGACUUUUCUUUCGCUACAUAAGUUAAAUCCUUUCAAAGUGAUGAAAAUUACCCUUUCAUAAUUUUUUCUUCAAAUGCAAAUAAAAUUGUUAUUAUUUCAAUUUCAAAUAAUAUGAAAACUAGGAAAUUACUACUAUGUUCCUCAAUUAACAAGAAAUGAUAAUUUCAUUUGAAAUUAAGUAUGAUUGAAUGAGUAUAUAUGAUUGUAAGUUGAAACAAGAAUCAUAACUUUUAAAUAUCUUCUAAUUUAUUUUAAUAAAUACUAUUCUUUUCGUUUUUAUUUUAAGUGUUUGUGUUUAACUUUCAUACAUAUUAAAAAAGAACUUUAAUUUUUGUGUAUUUAAUUUUUUUUUGAUCUAAAAGUAUUUUAGACAUUUUGUACAUAAAUAAACCAAAAGGCAAUAGGAAAUGGGACACUCAAAAGGCAAAAGGUAGGCCUAGAAGGUGGCAGGCAAGUUAAUGAAUUUUGGUUGCCAAGACAAAAUAUCAACUUGUAAUUUCCUACUUGUUUCAUCUACACACAAACUGCUUUCUCAAUAACUAUUUUAAUCUCUAUCCAAAAUAAAUGUUAAAAUUCUUUUUAAAAAAAUCAUUAAAAUCUUGAUCUAAUUUUACCCAUCACUUCCAAGAUAUUUACUUAUUUAAGGCCAUUUACCUUUUAUCCUUUAUAUAUGCUUUCAUUGCUCAAAGCCCCUUAUCUUGACCCAAAAUUCAAAAAUCAUGAAUUGGGUUAAAAGACUCAAAACACCAAAAAAAAAAAAGUCAAAAACACCAAAAUGGUGAACCAAUAAAAAAUUAACUUGUCAAAAAAAUGAGAUCGGUUUGAGCUGCAUUUGUUGAGAACUCCUCUCUUUUUUUUUUUUUUUUUGAGAAACCCUAAUGCACCUAUUGCCCUCUGUUACCUACUUAACCUAAUAAACAAUUGCUAGAAUUAUAUAGGAAAAAACAGCCUAGCUUUAGCUGAAAAAGAAAACAAAAAUCACCCAUCACUUGAAGUCUACAAAUUUUACUUUUUUCACAUCUUUAAGAAAAACUGAUUUAAAAUUUCACUUUUUUUUCUUUGGAGUUGUAAACUAUUUUACUGAAGUGCUUUUGAGAUGAUGAAAAAUUCAAGUUUCUCAAAAAAUAAUACAAUCGCCAACAACAUUAGCUUAGAGAAUGAAGAGAAAAUUAAGGUGAAAAAUAAAGAGAUUGAAUAGAAUUCUCUUGGGAACGAUUGGCCAAGGCAAAAGACUUUAGCUUUAUUAAAAAUAAGGUCUGAAAUGGAUGUUGCUUUUAGAGACUCUAGUGUCAAGGCUCCUUCUUUGGGAAGAAGUUUCUAGUUUGCUUUUUUUUUUCUCUUUUGAACUGUGUUUAAUGUUUUUCCCUAGAGAAAAUUAAUUGGAAAAUGUUGGGUUCUAGACUAAAAAUGUAGGAAACAUUUGGUUUGAAUGUUGAGAAGUUGAAUCCCAUCGUUUAAUUAAAAUGUUUUGAAAGAAUUGGUAGAGCUAUUAAAUGUAGUAAAGAAAUCUUAUCAGUAAAUGAUGAUUAUUUUUUAAUAUUAUAUUUGUGUGUUUGUAUUUGUUUAUCUUAAUUUCACUUUCAAUAAUCUUAUCUUUGAAAUUUUUGACUUCUUUAACCCCUUUUAGUACAUUAAUUUAUCAAGUUAAAAUUAUUAAUUUUGAGGUGCAACAAUGGCCAAUGGGGUUGUUUCAUCAAGAAAUUAGUUGAGCUUGGAUAAAACAAAAGUUCUAAGAAAUGUAAGGAGAAGUUCGAAAACAUUUACAAGUACAAUAGAAAAACCAAAUAAGGUCAAUAUAAAAGAUCUGAUGGUAAGAAUUAUCAGUUCUUUGAGCAAUUAUAAGCAUUGGAUCAUCAUCCUUCCAUGCUUCGCCUACCACUAGAAAUAAUAACACCUUAAUAAAACCUUUGAGCAUUAUCGGUGAUGCUAUUCCAUGGUUUAUACGAAACCUUGCUUCAAAAUUCAAUGAAAUCUCUACAUCUACUACUUCUUCAUCAAGUAAGAAUUAGAUAAGACUAGAAAGAAAAAGAGGAACUUGACAAAAUUUUUUUAGAGGUUGAUAUGGGAAAUGAUGGAUAAGUAAAAGAAUUUCAAAAGAAAUAUAUAGAGGCACUAGAGAAGUCUGAAACAAAUAAGAUGACAAGAAAGAAAGCAUAGAAGAUGCAAGAAUUAGCUAAGAUUAAGAGGAAGUAUGAGUUGUUGGUGCAUGAGAGAUCGGUUGUAGUAGUUAAAGAUGCUACUGUGCUUACAUUUCUAUAGAAAUUUUAGAUCAAGCAACUUUAGUGUAAUUGCCUGAGACCCCAUUCCCAAUUGAGAAAUUUGUUGAUAAGUAAAAAAAUAGCAAUGGUAGUGAGAGUUAUAUGCACCUAAGUUUUUCUUGAUGGCCAAAAGAUGAAGUGGAGGCUUUGAUAAGAUUUGAGACUAAUCUUGAUUUGCAAUAUCAAGAUAAUGGAUCAAAAGGGCCUUUAUGGGAAGAGAUAUUGAUAGCAAUGAAAAAGCUUACCUACAAUCAAAGUGCAAAAAGGUGUAAAAAAAUGAAGAAUAUGAACAAGUACUUCAAAAAGGCAAAAAAAAAACAAUAAGAAAAGGCUCGAUGAUUCAAAGACAUGUUUUUACUUUCAAUAGUUAGAUGUUUUAUACAAAGAAAAAAACUAAAAAGGUUAAUGGCUCAGUUAAUUCUAGUUAUGAAUUAAAGGCUAAGAAAAUUUUGAUGCACAAAAUGGGUGCCUAAAAAGAAUGAUUGCAUCAAGAAAUAGUUAUGGAAGAUGGUGAAAGUAAGAAUGCUGAUCAAAAUUAAGAAGAAAAUAAAAACAUUAAAGAAAGAGAUGAAUAUCAAAUUAUGGCUAAUGAUCCUUCUCCAAUGGCAAUUAUUGGUUGAUUGAGACAAAUAAUGAAGUGUCCUUUUUUAAAGCUAAGGUGCGAGUGCCUAAAUUUUAUUAAGUGGGUCAAGGUCUACAGUGUAGUGUUUGUUUAAUAGUUUGGGGGGAGAUUCGGUUUGGGGAAGUUUCUUUUGAUACAACAUUAAGGUAUUUAGGUAAAUGGUAUCUAUUCUUAAAUGUAUAUAUGUUUAUCAUUUGUUUGAAUAAACAUGUAAGGUAGAAGGAGAAUGUUGAGUAAAAAAAGCAUUGGUGUAAUCUUUAACACUAUUUCAAAUAUACUUUUUCUAUUUUUGGCUUUUGAAAGGUGUGAAAAGUGAAAAAUGGUCGGUUGAUUAGUAUGUGCUUGAACCACUUAAUGCAUAUUUGCAUCAGCUGACAUGACAAAAAGGUUUGCACUUUUUGAUAAAGUAGCAGUUAUAUCACUCGUACGCUUCCAGUUGGUGUGAUCGGGUAAGAAAUACCUUUAGACAUCAUAUCUUUACCAUUUUUGCUACAUUUUUCUUAGGUUAUUAUUAGUUCAGUAUUUCCUUAUUGGGUUCACCACUUUAGCUUAGACUUUCCUAAGCUUGUUUUAUAUGCAAUUCUUUUAAUAUGAUUUGAGAGGUUGCAUUUUUGCACUCUCCCAUGUUAUUAGGUGAAUUAAAUUAUUGACUUAUCCUAUAAUAGAAUGUGGUCCGUCAUAGAUUAAAGGCUUUCAUACCAUUAAAUGAUACAUUAAGACAUAAAUAGCAUAUGAUUAUACUAUUAGAUCAUGCUUUUUCCUUUGCUUUUUGGUUUGACUAAUGUUAUGAAAAAUGAAAUAUAAUCCUCAUAUCUGUAUUUGGAUGUUACACUAGGUGUGGUAAUUUACAAAUGAUAGAAUAACACGAUACGCAAAUGAUAGUAAAAAGACAUAAAGAUAUUAAGAUUUAAAAUUUUAAUAAAAAUCAUAUAUAUGUUUAAUAAAAAUAAAAAAUUUAUUUUAUAUUUUUCAUGUCAAUAUAAAAUAUGACAUAUAAUUUUCGUGUAAAAUACAAUAUGGAUAUACGAAUUAAUAGUGUUUUAUAUGACACAAAUACAAAUUGCUAAGUUUAUGUUAUACUUAACUUCUUGUUAAUGCUUUUCGAGAUCUAAUUAAGUUAGGUUACACCUCUAAAUGUUAAGAUACAGUUUGAGUUCAGUUUAUCCAUUUAUGUUUAUUUUUAAAAGAAAAAAGAUUAAAAUAUAUUUUUAUAUUAUUUUAAAAUAUAUUUUAAAAUUAAUUUUAAAUAAGGAUUAAUAUUUAAUAAUAAAGUAUUCUCAUGAUCGAAUUUGAUCCAAACUUGAAAAUUUAUAUUUAAGGCAUAGCCUAAUAGAUUGCCUCACUUGUGAACAAAUUUACUUCUUAUUUUUUAUAAUAAAUAGUAAGAUGUUAGGAUAAAUCAUCGGUUAAUUGAGUAUUGUUCAAAUAUGAAUAGUAAAUUUAUAUUACACUAAAUAGUAUUAAAAAAUAAAUAGUAAAUUUAAUCAAUCUUACCUACAUAAAGACUUUAUCACAUCAAAUGAUAAUGGUCAAAUUAUGUCAAAGAUCUUUGUAUUAUAUAAAAUUUUAGAAUUUAGUUAUUCUAUUGUAAUUCAUAUAAAUUUAAUCCUUUUAGUAGUUAGAUUUAAUGAUCUCAGUCUAAUCAUAAAUGGUGUUAAUUUUUUUCAUUAAAAUCGAUGAUGUGACAUUUAAUUGUUGAUGUAUAUAUUGGCUAAAUUGAUGUGAUUUUAUAAUUGACUAAAAAGAUUUCUGAUGCUAAAGUGUAAUUAAAUAAUGCCACGUGCCAAUUUAAAAUUGUUUAAAUAAGAUUUUGAAAAUUAUUUCUUUUAUUUUUCUUAAACAUAACUAAUUUCCUUUAACAAAAAAUAAAAUUUUUUUCUUUUUCAUUACCUUAACAAAAAGAAACCAAAACCUGUGCCUAGCUAAAUUGUAAACCAAAAAUGAAAGCAAACAAAAAAUCCCUAACACCUAUUUCCUAACUAGUUGAAAAUCCAAAAUCUCUAAUAGUAAACACCCUCAAACCCUAAUUUGAAGUGAAAAUUAUCUAUUGGAAAUGAAGAUGGUUUCGAUAGCAUCAACUGUUUAAAGGAUUCGUUACACACCAAAAACAAGUUCGAGGCCUUGACUUUGGAAUUUCAUUUUUUGCAUUUGGAAUUGGGUUGAGCUUGUCUGAAAUGUCAGCAAAGCUUUGGUGAUUCCAUUUGUUUAACUUGAUUUAUUAAAUUUGUUUUGGCUUGUUUAGGAUUGGGAUUGGAAACUAAUUAUUUUUUACUUAUUAACAUGUUCAAAUAACUAAAUUAAAUGAGAGAAAUCGAUGGCAAAAAAUUCAAAAAUGGUAACUUUGUUUUUUAGUAACAACUCUUGAAAAAAAAAAAGAUUUGAGUUAUUUUCCUGAAAAUUCUCUUAAUGCAAAAAAUACAAAACCCUAAGUUUGAAAAAAAUAAGUCACAUUUAUUUUAUUAUAUUUGAAAUUCGGGUUGAAUGUUGAAUUAAAGUGACUUUAAUUUAACAUGUAUUCUACGAACUUGUGAUUAUAGAGGUCACUUAGUGUAUUAUUAUUGCAAAUGUAACAAUUAUCAUCCAUACAUAGGGUCGACAAUUUAACCCAUUCCCGACGGGUUUCGACCUGACCCGACUCUACGGGAUCGAUUUUUUUUUUUUCGAAAUUCGGGUUUCAGGUCGAGUAAGAUUAUGAAACAAUCGAGGUCGAGUCGGGUUUGGGUUUUAGGCAAACCCGACCCGACCUGAUAUUAUAUAAAAAAUUAUUUUUUAAUUAAUUAAUUAUAUUUAUAUAAUGAUAUUUUUAAAUAUUUAUAUUUAAAAAAUAAUAUUUUAUUAAUUUCGGGUUGGGUACGGUUUAUAUAGUAUCGGAUCGGGUUCGGGUCUGAAAAAACAAAAAAAAAUUCGAGUAGGGUCGAGUUCGGGUUUGAUAACACAUAAAGUUGGGUCGAGUUCUAGGCGAGCAAAACCCGCCCCGAACCCGACCCGAUGCCAACUCUAUGCAUACAUGAAAUAUAUAUGUAUUUUUUGCACAUUGAAAUUGUUUGUAAAGUUAGUUGUGAUGCUCGAAGCCUUUUGAUUAUAAGAUUGUGCUUAGCAUUAUAUUAUAAUGUAUAAAUUAAAGUUUGAUAUAUGUAGGGAAAUCGAUGUUUAUUUUUUGCUUGUCAUGAUAGACUAAUUAAAGAUGAAUAUUUGAAAUUAUGGAUUUUGAUUUAAGGGAUUCCAACAGAGGUUUGAAAAAAAAGAAUUCAAUAUUAAAGGAUGAGAACAGAGCAUUGAGAAGAAUGAAUGCUGAGUCGAAGACUAAAAAUGCUUGUAAAAGAACAAUCAUUAACGUUCAUACCUUACUUGACGAGAUUGUUGUGUUGAAAGUUAAGAAUGAGUUGUUACAAAAGAGAUUGAAAAAUGCUAUGCUAGAUGUAAGAAUGGAAGUAGAAUGUUAUGUUAAAUACAAGAAUGAAAGCAAAGGCAAAAAAGGAUGUAUAAAAUGGCUUUGAUAUUUACAUUGUUAAUGUUGUUAUAUUUUGCAUUUAAAAGUGAGUAAGGAUGAUAUGAUUAGAAACGAUGUAUUGGUUUUGCCAUGAGUAAUUAUGUAUGAAUGAUGUAUUGCUUAAUGAUAUGCUAGCAUCAUCUUUCAUUCAAGUGUAUCUGUGGUACAAAUUUUUUGUUGCAUUUAAAUGUGGUUUUAUUGCAAUGAAUAAUAAAAAUCAAAGUCAUAGCUUGAGCAUAACGUUACAUCAUGAUGUUUUAACACUAAUAUGAGUGAAUUUGGUAUUUUGCAACAAAAUUGGAUGAAAUUUGUUACUAUUAAGGUAUAUAUGAUCAUUUGAAACCAUAAAACACAAGAUGAUUGAUUAAUAAAGCUAUAUCUUUCCAUUUCAAUUUCAAACCAUAAACCAUAAUGUUUGCAACAAAACUUUGUUGUUUGCAUUUACAAUAAAAAAAUGACUAAUGAUUGGUAUUUGGUUUAAAUACCAUUACACACAACAAAAAAUUACCAUAAAUUUUGGUACUAUAAAGCCAUACCAAUAUUUGGUAUGAAUACUAUUACAUACAAUUUAAGCUUGGUAUAAAAAUGCAAAACCUAUAUCUAAAACCCAAAAAAUAAUUUCAAACAAAAUUGUGCAAAAAAGUUGGCUUUUUGUGUUCAUAGCAAAAUAAAUUCUAUUAUGCAAAUUGUCACUGCAAAAAAAAAAAAGUGAAUCCUCAUCCUCAAACUAUUUCCUUCUUUUUGGUUAAAUUUAAUGCAAGAUUUUACUAUGUUGAAAACGCAUCACUUUCUUGUUUUUUCCUACUUGUUGAGACAUUUUUUUAAAAAAUAGACUUAUUCCUCUAUGCUUAAGAACAAAAAACAAAAUGUGAAUUCUAGUAAAACAACCUUGUUUUUAUAUAUAUAUAUAUAUAUAUAUAACAAUCAUGUUUUUAGUAUUAAGGGUUUAAGUGAUUAUCAAUAGUUGAUUUUUAUGAUGUAUUAACUAGACAGGAUGCUUUCUUUUCCUUUAGUUAAAUCACCAGGUUUUUCAAGCUAUUUUACUAAAAUGCAAUAUAUUAAUAGUUGAAUGCCUAUUUUAUAAAGUAAAAGCAAGUCAAUAAUAGCUUAUAUGAAAUAUUGAUAUCCUAUUGUUCGAGUCUUGAAUAACCAAUCCUCUUAAAGGGUGACUGAAUUUUUCUUUCUUCCCUCACAUCUUUCAUUUUUGUAAAGCCUUUAAUUUUUAAUUUGAAUCCAAAUAAGCUUUUAACUUUUAAUUUGUAUAUAAAUAAACCUUUUAAUUUUUUUAUUUGUAUCUAAAUAAACUCUUACAAGUCAAAGUAUAAGAGCUUUAAGAAAAGUGAAAUUGUAUAAGAAUUUUUUUGGUAUUUUAACCAUAAAAAUUUAGAUAUUUACACACAUUUACAUUUCUCUUAGUAAAAAUAAAAAAGGCUGUUUUGUCACUUGUAAUGGUUGACUUUUGUCUUGAAUCUUUACAAAUGUCCUACAUUAACCAUUUAUCUUAGGAUUAAAAAAUUAAAUGAUGUAAACAAAUAAUAGAAUUUAGUAAUUAUAAACUAUAUAUACCUAAGGUUUGUUAGCAAAAUAAAAGAGGUUGUUUUGUUAUUUUUGAGGUUUGCAAUUUUUUUUCUCUUUUUUAUGAUGCCUUGAACUCUUAUUAGUUGCUUAUAUACACAAACAAUUAACGUAAUAUAUUGUUAAUUCAAUUACUAAAAAAUAAGUAAUAAACAAAUUUUUUAUAAAUUAUAAUCUCCUUAGACAUCUUAUUUUAUUGUGUCUUCUUCAUGAAAAAAUUCACGUUAUCUUUCUCUCCACCCAUGACAUCCAUUCUUUUCUUUAAGUGGUUUUUUUUUCCUUUUUUUUUAUAGGUUUACCAAGCAUCCUUUUGUUCAAAAGAGAUAAAACUGGUUUUAUUGAUGUUUUUCGACAGAAACAACUUUUCACUAACUGAGUUUAAUAUAUGCUAGUAUUAGAGAUAGCAAUGAGUUAAAGUGAAACAGAUUCUUGUUUUCCUCGCCUCUGACCCGAAACUACCCAUUUAGAGGUUUUAUUUGGAAAACCCAACUUCGACCCAUUAAAAAAGGUAUUUUUUCCCUAGCUUAGAUCCAUCCCAACUUGAAUUCAAGCUAUUACAAAUUCAAACUUACUACAUGAAAACUUAACAAAUCAUAGUUUAAAUAUAUUACAAGCAUUAAAAAAUUUAACUAAAUUACUCACAAAUUCAACUUAAUACAUAAACUUUUUUUUUAUUAGUAAAACCUCAUUUCAUUGCUAAUUGCCAAAACAUCAUCAUUUAUAUAAAUAUUUUUCAAGAUAAGUAGAAAUAGAGUAUACAAGAACACCUCUGUAUACUCAUCCUAUCACAACAUCCUUUUACGUUAAUGUAGGAGUAGGUAGACCAUUCUUGUUUAGGAUUCCCACCAUAGAAAAUGGUAUACAUAAAAUUUAGUAAACUAAAAUUCAAACAUAAAACAAAUAUAAGUUAAUAAAUAAAAUUUAAACGUAGUACAUGAUACAAGAUAAAUAUCAAAAGUCUAAACCCCUACAAUAAAAAGUUAAAUAAUUUGAACAUCCUCUCAUCCAACGUCUCUUAAAACUAUAAAAAAAUCAUUAAAUCAUCACUAGGUUCCAUAUUCCCAUUCUUCUUUAGCCACACUAGUUUUAUAAAAUAAAACAAUAGAGUGAAUAAAUAAAUCCCAUAAAACAAUAUAUUUAAAAAAUAAUAUAAAAAAGAUAAUAUCAUUUACCAAAUUAGUUAUCUUUUUCUCAAUCUCAUUCUCAUCAACAUCUCUGUAGAAAGACUUUUUUUUCAUUGAAGUUGACCCUAAAAAUGAAAUAACAAAAUAUUAAGAAAUAAUAUAUAAUAAUAAAAUAUAAGAACUAACAACAUGCUAAAACAAAAAAUAAAAUUGCAUAAUAUGCAUUGUUGUACAUUUUUCUUCGACAUAUAACCAUAACCAAUUUUGACAACAUGUUAAAGUUUCUAUAAUUGAUGAAUAAAGUCCAUUACGUUGUAUACUUACUAACCUCCCUCCAAUACAAAAAGUAGAUUAUGAAGUAAUAACAUAAACUGGUAUAGUAUAUAUAUCUCUAAUAGUAAGUUGUAAGGUAGCAAAUUAAGAUCCAAUUAGUUUUCACUGAUUCAAUAUAUCAAAAUCCCUUUUAUUGGUAUGACAUCUUUUUUCGAAUAAUGAUUUAACUUUAAUUUCACUUUUUAUUUUUUUUAUUUGAAACAAAAUCAUCAUUCUUUCCAAAUUUUCAAUUCAGUAACACUAACAUCAUCUAAAGAUGAAAAACUUGAAAUAAAAGGUCCACCCUCUUUUUUUGAAGCUAAUUCUCUUUAUACUCCUUAAGCAAAUCUUGACAUACUUGCAUAAUCUUUUCAAUUUCAAAUUCAGCACUUUCUUUACAAAUUUUUUCAAAGUAAUACUCCAACAACUCUAUGUUGUACCUUAGAUCUAAAAUUAUGGUAACAUCCAUAAUACCAUGCACAUCAUUUCAAUAUUUUUUAAAUUUGCCUAACAUGGUCAUUCUAUAUAUGAAAUAAUUCUAUCAUUACGCAUAGUCCAUUUAUUCAAUAUCAAUAUGAUUUUGCAAAUAUUAAGAAAAUAAAAAUUUACAUAAGCAGAUUUUGUGACAAAAACCCUUCAAUGAUAUCUUAAAACAAUUUCAACUUAUCACAUAACUUUACUACCAUGAUCCAAUCAUUUUCAGUUGGCAAACAUUUAUACAAAAGGUCACUAUGUCAUUACACAUAAGAAAAACAUCUUUAUAAAAUAAACAUGUUCAAAGCAUCAAGUAGGUAGAGUUACAUUGUGUUUUGACAUCAACACAAAUUUUUUAAAAUUGGAAUGCACAAUUGACGCAUUAUCUCUUCAAAUUUUUUCAUUUUUUUGGUGUAGCACCCUAAAGAAAAGACAUGAUAGCAUUACCGACUUGGAUAACACCAACAAAAUUUUUUCAUCAAUAAUGCUAUUACAAAAAAAAAAAAAAGACUUUGCUGAUAGAAUUUUUUGUUGGUGAAGGCCAUUUUUCUAGUAAUGAAACAUAAAUAACCACAAUCAAUUUUUCAAUAACAAAAGCUCAAAAGAAUUUUAAAAAAAAAAAAAACCAAACAGGAGUAUGAAAGAGUGUAAUCCUAACCUGUAAACCCAGUCUCUCUUCAAUGUAGCAAUCACGUUUUAAGGUAUUCAAAAAAUUCCUUUUUCUAGUUCUAUGAAAGUAUCAAUAAUAAUUAAAAAAAAUUAGAUUGUAGUCAUUGUGCGAACAAGAUUUAGUGAUAAAUGAAUGAAAAAAGUAGAAUCUUUGAAUCUAUGUUCAAAACCCUAACAAUCACUCUACCCUCGAACAAAAGUAAAUCGUUAUGCAUUUCAAAAUCCUAAUGAGGAAAGUGGAAUCGAUGGUUUCACACUUCAAAAUCCUUCUUUAAUACCAAUUGACAAUUUUUUAUUUUUGAUUUGGGUUUUCAAUCUUGGUUUAGGAUUCAAGCAUAAGUUUUUUUAAAAUGUUGCUUUAUUAACUUUUUUUUUACUUAAUUAAUUUAGGGAAAUUAGUUAGGUUUAAGAAAAAUAUAUGAAAUAAAUUUCAAAAUUGAAUUUGAAAAAUUUUAAAUUAUCAUGUGGCAUUAUUUAAUUACAUAUUAGCAUCAGAAAUCCUUUUAACCAAUCAUCAUGCUAUGUCAGCUCGAUUAACAUAUAUGUCAACAAGUCAAAUACCAUGUCAUCAAUUUUAAUGAAAAAAUUUGAUAUCGUUUAUGAUUGAACUAGAAUUAUUAAAUCAAAAUAAUAAAAGUAUUAAAUUUAUAUAAAUAUAAUAAAAAAUUAAAUUUUAAAAUUUUUUAUAGCACAAAAAUAUCUACAUAACUAGUUUUUUAACCCAUGCCAUGCGUGGGAUUUUUUUUAUUUUUAAUAAUUAAAAAAAUUUUAUUAAUCUUAAUUUUUAUAUUACUUUAAUAAAAAAUGCAAACAUUUAUUGAUUUAUUAUAUAUAAUCAUACAUUCAUAAAUGUUAAGGUACAACUAAAUAAAAGUUUACACAUAUUGUAAUACUUUUUCAAAGUCAAAACUUUUGUAAAAUUUCAAAGAAUUAUAAAAUUUUUUUCUUUUUCAUAAAAAUUAUUUUUUCAAUUCAUUUACUAAACAAUGAAAAUUUUACUACUCAUUUUUUCUUGUUCGGUCAAAAAAGCAAAGUUCAAUUUUAAAUAAUCAAGAUUUUUAUUAUUGGUUUAUAUGUUUUUUCUAGUGUUAGAAAUGUUGUUAUCUACGCUUUUGGAUUCCUCAUGUAAUGUUAGUUCAAUUUCUUUAAGGUUUACAUUCUUUUUGUGCUUUAUUGUACUCUUAGUCGUAGUUGGAUAUUUAUAACCAUUUCACUACUUUUAAUAAAAUUUUACUUUAGCUUAUUAAAAAGAAAAUAGUCAAGAUUAAUAAUUGUUUAUAUGCUGAUAUGAAUAUAUAAAAAAUAUAUCAUUUGAUUAAAUUGUAAAAGACAUGUAUAUUAGCAAAAUAUUCUUAAAUUAUUAAAUCUUAUAAAGCUAAACCAAAAAUAAAACAUCAAAUAAUAAUAAUAAUAAUAAUAAUAAUAAUAAUAAUAAUAAUAAUAAUAAUGAUGAUGAUGAUGAUGAUGAUUGAACUACAAAACAUAAUUAUUAAUUUGCUCAUAACUAUUAACUUUUUAUUAGUUCUUUUUUUUUUUUUUUUACAUAUAUACUUUAACAUAUGUAGUUGUUUUUUUUAUUAGAACAUAAACCAAAUAUACAAAUUGAGAAUUAUAUAUAAUUUAGAUCUCUUCUACUUAUACAUAGCAAAUAUUCAAUUUAACUAAAUAUAUAUAUAUAAACAUAUAAAUCAAUUUAUUUUAGCAUAAAUCAAAUCUAGAUGCAUAUAUCAUAUAAUGCAAAUAAAACCAAAUAAUAAGUUUGAAGCAACAAAGAAAUAAAGGAAAAUAAUAAAAAAAUAUAGUAUAAAAAAAGUAAUGAACUAUAUUUAUUACAUAGUUGAAACCCAACCAAAUAUGCGCUCAUUUUCCUUUCAUUAUCUAAAUCUAAAAAAAACUAAUGAAAAAUCAAUAUUAUAAAAAGAAAAACAAUCUAACACCAUCACAAACUUAUCUUUAAAACUAAAAAAUAAAAAUAAAAGAAUAAUAAAGGCAUAAAAUGAAUUUACUUAUUCAUGAGUAUAAUGUAGUUAUUAUUCUUUUUAGUUUUUGUCCAUUCCUGUCAAAACCUAUAAACCAUAAUCGUUAAAUAAAAAAAAGAUUAUAUUAUUCAAUUUCUAAAUCUAAUAAUAACAAAUAAAAUAACAUUGGUUCGAAGGUGAUGCACUAACUUUAUAAGUUCUUUAUUUUUAUUUUGAGAUUUUGAUUUUAACAAAUAAAAAUUAUUAAGCUCAUACACACACAUAUAUUUAUACAUACGUAGAGUUAUGAUUAAAUUUAAAAAGAAAAGGAUAAAUUAUGAUUUAAUAUUCAAAAUUUAUGUAAAAUUUUUAAUUUUUGAUAGAGUUUAAUUUGAAUUUAAAUAGUUACCCAAAAAUAUUAAAUUUAUAUAAUUUAUUAAAUAAAAUUAUUUGACAGCAAGUAUAAGUUUAUUAAGUCUAUAUAUAUUUGAAAUUAUUAUUAAAUUAAAAAAGAAAGGUAAUUUAUAAUUUAAUAUAUUUAAAUUUAAAAUUUAUGUAAAAUUUUCAAUAUUUUAUAGAUUUUAAUUUGACCAAAUAUACAAAUUGAAAACGUAUAUAUAAUUUAAAUUUCUUAUACUUAUGUAUAGUAAAUAUCCAAUUUAACUAUAUAUAUAUAAACAUAUGAACCAAUUUUUUAAGAAUAAAUCAAAUCUAAAUGUAUAUAUCAUAUAAUGUAAAUAAAACCAAAUAAAAUGUUGGUAAAAACAAACAAAUAGAUGAAAAAAAAAAAGGAAAUAGAAUAUGAAAAAAAUAACGAACUAUACCUAUUACCUAGUUGAAACCAAUCUAAAUGUGUACUCAUUUUCCUUUCAUUAUUGAAAUAAAAAAAAUCAAUAUUAUAAAAACAAAUAAAAAAAAAACAAUCCAACACCAUCACAAACUUUUUUUAAAACUAAAAAAAUAAUAAUAAAAAAUAAAAGAAUAAUAAAGACAUAAGAUAAAUUUACUUGUUCAUGAGUAUGAUGUGAUUAUUAUUCUUUUUAAUUUUUACCCAUUAUUGUCAAAACUCAUAAACCAUAAUCAUCAAAUAAAAAAAAUUGUAUUCUUCAAUUUCUAAUUUUAAUAAUAAUGAAUAAAAUAACAUUGGUUAGGGGUGAUGUUCUCAUUUUAUGAGUUCUUUAUUUUUAUUUUGAGAUUUUAGUUUUAGCAAAUAAAAAUUUAUUAAGCUUAUACAUACACAUAUAACACACACACACACACACACAUAUAUAUAUAUAUAGAGAGAGAGAGAGAGCUAUGAUUAAAUUUGAAAAGAAAAUAUAAAUUAUGAUUUAGUAUAUUUAAAUUCAAAAUUUAUGUAAAAUUUUUAAUUUUUGAUAAAAUUUGAUUUGAAUUUAAAUAGUUACCAAAAAAUAUUUAAUUUAUAUAAUUUAUUAAAUAAAAUUAUUUGACAGUAAAUAAAAGUUUAUUAAGCCUAUAUAUAUUUGAAAUUAUGAUUAAAUUAAAAAAUAAUUUAUAAUUUAAUAUAUUUGAAUUUAAAAUGUAUGUAAAAUUUUUAAUAUUUUAUAAAUUUUGAUUUGAAUUUAAAUAAUUAUCAAAACAUAUUAAAUUUAAAUAAUUUAUUAAAUAGAGUUACUUGAUAAAUAAUAUAAUAUAAAUAUUAUCUUACGUAUCAUAAAAAGAGACUAUCUUUAUAAGUAUUUAUGUCAGUAUAUUUUAUCUUAUAACUUUAUAUAUUGUAAUAUAAUAUAUAUAUAUAUAUAUUAGGUUUGAUUUAUAAUAAUAUAAAAUACUAUUUUACCAUAGAGACCAUGGGGAUCCACAGUACACUUAAUAAGUGGCGCCGUUCUUCCCUUAACAAAGCCUUGCCUUCUUGCUGUGGGAGGUUCGAGUUUAAAAUCUUUAUUUUACCCCCAAAAGGACAAAACUUAAUAAAGCAAAACGAAACAAAAACAGGGAAAAGAUCAGUCUCACCGUCCUUACUGUUUGACUUUUGCGAUGGGAUUUUCCUUCGUUUUCUUACUUCUGCCACAACAUGUACUUAUGUUUUAAAGCGUUAAAAUUAUAUCCUAUUGUUAUGAGCAACAAAAGGAAAAUGUAAACAAGGCGGAAGAGAGGUCAAGCCUAAGCCUAUACAUAAAUGUUGAGAACAUGGUUAAAGUUUACUAUAGUUAGACAAUAACAACGAUCACUGUUUCCAGGUCAGUAAUCUUUAGAUGUUUGACACAUUAAGUCAUGGAGUUGCUCCCAUUUUAACACUCUUUUAAACCCCCCCCCCCCCAAAAAAAAAAAAAAAGAGAAUGUUUCGCUCCAACCUAAAUCGUCAUGGCCCUUUUACAUUUGUUAUUAUUUUUAUUUGAGUUAAUUAUAUAUUUAGUACUCAAAAACUAUAUUAAAAUGUAUAAAUUAAUACUUAAACUAUAUAUAUAAUGUGCAUCUUAAAAUUUUAAAAUGUGUAUUAAGUUAGUCUAAUUAUUAACACCAGUUAAACUAAACUGCGUAGACGACAUUUACCAAUGAAUAAUAAAAAACAUUAACUAGGAACUUAGAUAUAUGGUAAAAUUUUUACAAUCUAAAAUUAAUCAAAAUAUUAUUUAUAAUAAUAAUUUUGUAUCAAAUAGGAAAGUUGACGGAUAAUAUUAUGAAUUUUAAUAUAUUAAAAAAUAAUUGAUUAAUAUAAUAAUUUAAAAAGAAAUACCAAAAUAGAUAGUAAAAAUCUCGUAUAAAUAGUAGCAUGUUUAUUUGCGUUGAAUUCAUGCCAAUAUAUCCGUUAUUCUUCACUCACUCAUGAUGACUGACAUCAAUCCUUUUGCCUCUUUUACUGCACAAUUCAGAGUUACGGCUUGAAUUGAAUGAAUAAAAAACUUGGAUGUAAGUAAGAUCAAGAACCUAGAAAUACAUGAACUCGCAUGAAUAUUAAUAAAUAAAUAAAGGAUCCUAAGUUUACACUUUAAUGUUACACAAACCAUCUGCCCUCUCUCCAUCAGAUAACAACCAAGAGUUUUAACUACCUUGAGAUCCGAGCACUCAUUAAACUAACUAGUACUCCUACCAAAGGAAGCAGCACCCCUCCCCUCACCAAACCACCCUUAGCCUUUGUUCUCUCUCCUUCUUCGGACAUCAAUGGCAGACUUUGAGCCAACACAUCAUCAAACUCACCACCACCAAACAAUCCCAAAAGAAACUGCUCUCCAAGCAUUAAACACUAUAAUCCAACUUCACUUCGAGAAAACCCUGGAAAAGAAAAGAGCUAUAGACCUCCAAAAGAAGGAGCUCCACAAACUUUUCCAGCUCUUCUUCAUCUUCCUAGCCCUUGUCUUCAUGGCUCAGGCUCAGUCUACUCGUCUCCAGUGCCGCCACUGCUGGGCUCCCAUCACUCUGCUUUCCCUGUCUCAUCUUAUUUUCUAUGUUUCCGUGGCUCAGACCUUGAGGUUCAUAAAUGGGUUCAAGUACCAGAGGAGGUGCCACAAGCUGACUCUUGGGCUGGCUACUGAGAAGCUGAGAGAAAUGAAGUCGAGGAUUAACAAUGGUGAGUUUGUUGAUGGGUUUGGAGAAGAGGGUGAGUUUGAGAUUCAUUACCAGGAGCCUCCUGAGAGUUACUUUGCAAAGUUCAAGAGGAACUGGGCAUUGCAUUUUGGUUUCUUGAUCCUGAUCUACGCCUUCACGGUUUCUUCUUCUGUUGUGAUGCUUUGUUUUUAGGUGUUGGGUCAUUACUGAUCAGGGUCUUUGUUUUGAAUUACAUUUUUAGUGUUUUUUCUUCAACUUUUUUUAACGGGCAGGAAUGUCACUGAUAAGAACAAUUGAUUGCUUUAUGUGUAUAUCUUGGAUUCUUGAGGCUCCAUAUUAAAUUGGAAAAAUUGAAAAUGAUGUGUAUUAUUCUUGCUUUUGAUGUUAUUUUUUCUUUAUGCAGUUUACAUUUUCAUUUUUCCUUUUCAGUUCCAGCUACUGUAGUAGUAUUAUCAUUUUUCAUGGGUUGUAAACUGAUUUAUGCUUUUGAUAAAAAGCUUAAUUCUUAAUGAUGAAGGUAGGGUCUGCUUUUUAUGGCUAGUUUUUGAAUAUACUAUAUAUAAUAUAUAUAUUUCGAAUUCUUGGUUUCUAGCAUUCCUUUGGGGUGUGGAACCUUGGAAAGGGGAUUUUUCACAAGCAAAAGAGAAUUUGUAAAUGGGAAAAUCUUUUUUUGCAACUUUUGAUGAUGGGUAGUUUCUAUACAAGGAGACGAAAGAGAGGAAUAGAGUAUUAACUAAUACACUAUACAAGAUUUCCUGCAGCAAGGAGUGGAAUAGCUUCGGAAUUUUUUUUUUUUUUUGUAUGAAAUUGUUUAGGUGUUAUUAAUUUUUUUAAUUAAAUUAUUUGGGUGUUAUUAAAUUUUAAAAAAUUAACAUAACUUUUAAUUUUAAUAUAUUUAAUAUUAAAAUUUAAAUUUUUUUAUAGAAUUAAAGUUUUAUGAUUUUUAAUAUUAAAAAUAAAAAAAUUUAAAAUAUAAAAAUAAGAAUUUUAGAUAUAAAAAACAUAAUUUUGAAAUAUAAAAAAAUAAAAAUUGGGCGGAGGGAAUAAUUUUUAUUUGAAUUUGAAAUCUGAAAAGAAGAAUGCCCUUGCCAUAACCCCGUCUUGACUGCUAAAUGGGAUUCAGAGAAGAGGCGUACGAGUGAUGCGUAACAUAUUAGUUUCUUGAAUCUUGAGCAAAUGCUGCUCUUUCUUGUCUUGUCUGCUGUCCUUGAUUUCCCUUUGAGUUGGGUUAAUAUUCCGAAUAAUUUAUAGCAAAAUAUUUAUUAUAAUUGUUAAAUUUUAAAAGUUUUUAAUAUAAUGUAUAAAUGAUAAAUUUGUUAAUUAAUAUAAUAUUUAUAUUUAAUGUAAUUAAUUUUAAAUGAAUAUAAAUUUUUAUAUUAAUUAAUAAAUUUAUAAUUUAAAUAUUAUAUUAAAAAUUUUUAAAUUUAAAUAUAUAUUAAUAUUUUAUUAUAAUUCAAAAACAAUAGUUAAUGCUAUCCGUUUUGAGUUUGACUCCGUCUCUCUUUCUCCUACCCUUUCACGAGAAUGAUAAUGGUGUGUCAACGAAAAAGAAGGAAGAAAUGUAAAAUGUCACAUGAAACUACCAAAAAGUUGGCUGCAAACCCAUUUUCAUCGGCAAGGUAAGUGUAAAAGUGCAAUUUCCAUUAACCUCAACGUAACAACUAGUAGAACCUUGCUUGCUUCAUUCUUCCAUUUUAAAACGGUUGAACCCAAGUAUAGAGGACCCACACAUGUGGGGUGACAUUGCUUAGAAAUUCCUCUCAAUCUGGCUUAAUCCCCCUUUUCUCUUAUAUAUAUAAAAAAAUUAAGAUGAGAAAAGAUUUAUUCAUUUUAAGACUAGAGCUACUUGAAAGUUUAUGAGAGAAUUUAUAUUAAAAUUAUAAAUCGCUUAUUAAAAAAUAUAUAUGAUAAUAAAAUUUGAAUUUAAAUUUUAUAAACAAAAUAUUCAAACCUUGUCAAUUCAAUUAACCUUCAUUUGCGACUUAAUACCAUUCACUUAGCAUGAAUCUUACCUAAUAAAGUAUUAUGAUAAGAUUAUUGGCAAGAUGUGGGUAAAAUGAUGAUAGGAAGCUGCUUCUUAAGGGCUAUGAGACCUAGCUGCUGUCGUUUUGGAUAGUACGAUUUUGUUAUCCUUUGUGUCAGGGUGUUCUUUUGUUAGAAUCAAAGGGAUGCCAACAAAGCAGCCAACUAGCUACGACAGCUGCUUCUCUUUCAUCUCUUCAGAGUAGUAACACUAUUUUCUCCGACUUUGGUUUUUUCUUUGACGUCACAAUUAACUAUUCCUCUGAGGAGUUCCAUUUUGUACUUCACAGUUCAAAUGCUCAAUACAAGCUAAGCUGUUUGUUGACAAACCUUGUGAUUAUAGGCAUGUAUCUCUAUUGAUACAAAAUUAAAUUUAGAUCAUAAAUAUUUUCCUGUCACACAAAUUCCAUGAAAUUCGAGUAGGAAAUUAUCGUCAAGAUUUCUGAUCACCUUCUAUUUUAUUGAAGGUUACAAUCCAUGUUCCCUUCUUAAAAAAAAUUCAUGGCCCAUUGCUAAUUGUUGGGCAAAAUACUAAUAUAUUGGCAGAGCCAACUUGGUGAUGACAGUCGAUUAUGAGGAAGAUAAAAAUAGAUAAGAAAAUAAUUCAAUCGUACACUUUUACUUCAUUGUACUGGCCAUUGUCUGAGAUCCCCUAAUUGGAGAUGUAAGCAAUUUGAAUGAACCCCAACCACCUUAGGCUAGAGCAUGACAUAAUGAUUUGUAUGCAUCAACACAGAGCUUAAAUUUCUCUUCAGCCAUCGCCUGCAUACAUGCAUCGAUAUCAUGUAACUAUAACAAAUACAAAUUAAAAGGAAAAAGAUAAGAGAAAUAAAUAACAGAAAAGACUGAUGCCAUGACAGAUCAGCUAUCGUAAAUCAAUAGCAUAAACAUUGUCCUCAAAUAGUAUCCCUUGCCCCCUGUUUCCACUCAAACACCCCAAAAAACUAACAAACAAAAACACAAUGCAUUCAAAACCAGAAAUGAAAAUCCAUAACAUUUUGUUUGGACCAGCAACCAAAAUUAUGCAAGGUUAGAGUGUGAAGGGCGUUGGAAUGUUGGAGAAUAUUCAUAAAACUACCACCCACCACUCAAAAAUAUAAAGUAAUAUAGGAAAUUCUAACUAACCUGUGAAGAACCCUGAUGCUUAUCAGGAUGCCACUUUAAAGCCGAUAAGCGGAAGCUACAAGGUGAUUUUAAUAAUUUUAGAAUACAUGCAUAAAAAGAAAUGGAGCAAGGAAAAGCUGAAAUACGAUCAAUCUUUCAAAUGAGAGGCCUCCCAAAAUUCAAGUUGAAUGAAAGAACCAAAGUACUUACGCAUUUUUAACAUCUUCAAUCUUUAAGGGGCCUGUUGGAGGCAGACCAAGGAUUGCUCUAUCAGAAUGUGUUCCUACAGCAUAUAACUCGUCCUCAGAUUCGGUUUCACUAGUAGUCUCCCACUCUUUUGUUCUUUGAUUAGUCCAGCCUGAAUUUUCUCUCCACUCAAAUCCAGAUUCUGAAGUUUGGAAAGAAUAAUCCCCCCUAGGGGACCAGGUGUACCAUUUGUUCCCAAAUGUAGCUUCAAAGAUUGUGUCAGGAUGAUCACAGUCAUCAGAGAAACUCUCUUCUAAACCUUCCUAUGCAUGUAAAAACAAUGAUAUCAAGUUUGUCAAAUCACACACGAGGGCAAGCACUCAUAAAAUGUUUGCACCUAUAAUCCAGAUGUGGCUUUGGUUUUUAUUUGAAACAUGAUUAGGUAGGUUAUAAUCUCUCACUGUAACAGACCUAUUAAUAAAGGUACUUUCUUUUGAUGAAAACAUCAUAACAACAUCAAAUAAACACACAUGUUACUCUUUAAAAAGGUCACUCUUAAUAUUGGAUGAUGUCUCAGUAUUAUAGUCUCAAACAAUUGGAUGAUAUCUCAGUAUUAUAUACAACAAGAAGAUUUUAAUUUUUGACAAACCAUAGUUCUGAUUUUAAGUAAGUCAUUGCCCCUUAAGUUCAUAUGCAUCCGAUGGACAAAUACAAUCUUUGUGAAAAACGAAAAUAAAAAACAGUUAUAUUUGCUACUCAAGCUGCAAAACAGAAAUCGAUAACUCUUCCAUAUUAUGAUGAGGUCCACAUUCUAUUCAACAAAAUAAAGUUUUUCCACUAAUGGACAUGUGACUGUUACAUAACAGGAAAAUUAACUAGCAUUUCACUAAUGAUAUCGGAUGCUACUUUCAAACAUCCUGCUGUGGAGGCUCAAGGACCCACAUUCAAAUCCCCUUUCCAUCCUUUGUCUUGUUAAAUUGUACCCAAAAAAAUGACAACAUUUCAGUUCCUUUGGUGAUCAUGUCAGUAGUGUGAGGUAAUUACUCAUUGUUUUGAAAUAAAGACAGAUGAAGAAAACAUAAGAUUAGACCAAUAAAGCCAGAUUAUUAGUAAGCAGAAGGAAAUUUUAAAUUUAUUUUAUUAAAACAUUUGGAUCAUACCAGGUUUAAGUCAUCAAAACAUGCUAAUUAUGAUGCUUAGAUCCCCCCCCCCCCACCCCAGUUAGUAGAAUUUAAGACAAAAUGUAGAACCUAGUUCAGGUGAAAACAGUGCAUCAAGAAGGUAAUUUUUUAUCUAAAUUUCAUUUAAAAGAAACAAUAUAAGGAAAGGAAUAAAAAAGAAAGUGGAAGCUCACGUUUUACUUUUUUGUGGUUAGAUUUCCCAGCAUGUCGUCCAGAAAACCUUGUUCGCCGUUUCUUAUCAGAGCCAUCUGAAUCCCGGCCUGCUGUCCUAUCAAAUUUCUGUAGUGGAUCUUCAUCCUAGAUAGAAGCCAAAGGCAUGCAUAAGUUUGUAUUAUAAAUUCAGGUACUACUUAAAAGUGUGAGCUCAAUCUAUGGUACAAUGUAAUGGAGAAGUAGGCUAAAGUUAUUGGUCCCAAACACUUGAGACCAAGGUUGACUUGGGAAAUAAAUAACAUUCAGGCUUUACAUACAGUUGAGUCCACUAGCUUUUAACAAAAUAAGAUCCAACUUGUCAUCACCCAUAACUAAAAGAUUACAAUUUCACUCUAUCAAUGGCCUAACUAAAAUCAUAAGCUUCUUCUAUACUUAGAGCCUAGAUGCACAUUUUAUGGGAAUUUAUAAAACAAAAAUUUUAUAUUAAGUUUACAUUACAGCAAUGCAAAUAACGAAGAAACUCAAAACUAAUUUCAAGGCACACAAAUGUUCAAGAACAAGAAAUAAUCCAGCUUACUUUACUCUUACAACUUUUUUUUAAUGUAAACAUGCUGCAUACUGGUUACUUCUCAUAGUUUAGAUAAUUCAAUGCCAAACCAGGAAAUGUGGUUUAUGAGCCUAAUAGUGAUGUAGGUUGAUUGCAUUGACAUUUUUGCUUACAAGAAUGUAUCCAGUAUCAGCUCCACCAAAUAAAAUAAUUCAGAUAAAGUCCUAUCCUAGUUAACAUGAUUUGCCUAGGGAGCAGCAAAAACCACUAAAAUCCAUAAAUCCUGCUGAUUGAUCAUUAAAAUGGUGUUUAUCCAUGAAUUAUUACAAUAAUCCACAUAUCUUGAAAAGCUUUGGCAAGUUUAGGAGCUAGAACCCACUUGAUCUGGUAGAGCACUUGCUGAACAUUACCAUGGUUGAAUGGAAUCUACAGCUUUUUGAAUAAGAUAAAUUUCGGAGAAUAAUACAGUACAUAAACUUUGAACCCUGCCUCUCAAUGACCAGUUGCAUUAUUAACUAAAAUGGAAAUUAUUAGUCAGCAUUGUGAUUUCUCAUCCAGGAGCUUUCUUCUCUUCAACAACUUAAGUACUACUAUAAUUCUCUACAACCUUUCAUUAAAAAAUGUUUUCAUUAACUCUUGUGGUUUAACAUACCUCAAAAUUAAAAUAAGCAAACACGGAGAUAAAUGGUUAGCAAACAUGAAUGAAUAUGUAAUAAAUAUUAAUAAAUGCUAUUCCUUGUGGUGUUCCUGCUCUCUAAAUAUUUCAAAAACAGAUACUUUUGUGCUCUGACUCUCACUAUAUAAAUUAAUCCCUAGUAUCCACAAGAUGGCACUAUCUGGUAACUGACAUGUCAAAACAUUUACAAUUUGACCAACUCGUAGUCCAUUUGGUUACAGAACACUCAAAGAGUUCUAAUACUUUCAGUGCAAGCCAAAACUAAAUUUGGAUAAAACCAUAUAAACUGGACUCUUGCAAUUGGAACUCCAAAGCACUGGGCAGACUAUUGAUCCAAUAGUUGCAAAAUAAUGGAAAAACUCCUUAAUAAAUUAGAAAAAGCAAAUAAAAGUUGGAACAAGACCAUAUAAAAAACCAAAAAUAAAUAUUUAUCACAAUCUAAUUACGCCAUGAAUAUAUAAACAGUGCAUCAGGAAAAUGUAAGUCCACACCUUCAAUAAGAUAAGGGUUCUACGUCAAACAGAAGUCUAGUUUACCUGAAAUGAAAUAUUUGAGGAACCACUAUUUAAGAGAAGGUCUUUUAGUGCUCUCUUUGUGUCAGCACACUUUUGACGUACCACAUAUCUUACAUAAUUCUGCAUUCCAUAUUUGAAAUGUUAAAGAAGUUUAACUUUUUAUAAACAAAUAAAGGAAGAAAACUGCAAAAAGAAGACAAAAAGUUCAUAAUAAAGCUACAUAGGAAGUAUGAAAUUAACAAAUAGAAAGAUCAUAAGCAUUAGCAGAUAAGGUCCACCACCUGAUCAAUUUGAAAAUACAAAUUAAUCAUGGAGAUUCCUUUUCUGAGAUGCAUUAGGUUUUUAUUUGCACUAAAGAUUGCUGGGAAUGUUCCCAGUCUAAGUAGAAUAAGAUAACUGCUUUAGCAGUCAAGGUUAAAGAUAUAUGAAGAAUAAACCUAGAAAUGUGAUUGAGAAUAAGCUCAGUUAUCCUCAGCAUACAGACUUGACCUUGUAUUUAGUCUAAUAAAAGUUAUCAGAAAAUUACCAAUCGUAAGACAUGCCUAUGUGAAAUACUAGGAACAAGAUAAUUAAGAGAUGCAUGCAUAAAUAAUUUCACAAAAUAGGUGCCUCCAAAGAUGCAUACCUUAGUUGGUUGUUGAGUUCUUCUUUCAUCCUGCAAAAAUAGUGUUAAUUGUCAAACUUUCACAUCAAAGGCAAGACAUACAGCUUUAUCCUAAUUCCUAAACCAAAAUUUUAAUGCAUUACUAAAAUCUAAAGCUCAAUUCUAUGCAGUUGCUGGUGUCCAGAGGGGAAAAGAAGUGGAAAUACUUAUUCACACAGAAUGCAACUUACUUUGAUCAGAACUAGGAAGAGACAGCAUGGGGAAUGAGAUUGAAAAUUGCAAAAACUAAACAUAAUGAAUAUACAAUCAUCUAACAGUUAAGUAAUGUGCUCCAUCAGCUACACGACAAGUCAAUUGAUUAAGUCACUAGACAAUUUGAAGUACCAUUCUUCACUAAAUAUUAAUAUUAACAGUUGCAUCCAUCAAACAUCACCAAGCAGAGAAAUUUAACAUAAGAUCAAGCAUGAAACAUUGAAACUUAAUAUCUAGUUUCGUUUUGAUGUUAGCACACAGUAUCUCGCACAGCAUUCAAAAAACAAGACUAUUUUUUCGUUGAAGAAAUACAUUAUUAUACCAAUUAAUAAAUUCGUAAUUUUGAAUACACUAACAACAGCUCUUCAAUUUCCACAACCAAAAAGAAAAUCUAAACUUUCCCCAAACUCACCCAUAGCAUUCAACAUAUAUAACUAAAUAAAACUUGGGAAAAAAGGGAAAAGACUCACAAAAUUCCAUUUGCUCUUCCAUUUCUCACAGGUAACAGGCGUAGAAUGAAAAGAAGCAACGUGGGUUGUUGCAAAAGUAGCCGUGGGUUUUGAAGGUAAAAAAGCUAGAAGCAAUGACUUGUUGAGUAUCAGCACGUUUCGCCAUCUGGGUAUUUGCAUAAUCGAGGAAAUCAAGAGCAAAACCAACUCUCUCCAAAAUUCACAGCACCAAUCAAUUAAGACUGUCCUCAGGCAGAGGAAAGUUUUCUUUUUGAUGGUAAAAGGAAUUGGCUUUAAAUUUUAAGUGACAAAAAGGUAAUCUCCUCUCCGUGGUCGACGAGAACAAAGAAAGAGAUGGUGUCGUCUCCUUCGGUUGUUGUCUCUCAGUUGCUUUGAAUCUCUUCAGGUGUUGGACGGCACGGCAGAAGAAAGUCGAAACAUGUCUAAGUUCAAACUUCGAAGCAAAGAUUUUGGGUUGGAUUCCUUGCUUGUUGUUGCGCCAGUUCAGAGAAGCCGAGAAAAGCACUGAAUAGGUGAACUCCCAAGUCAAGGCAACUCAACCCAGCAAUUGGAAAUUGGGUGGACAUUUGUUUCAGCUGACCCAAGUAUUUGCAAGCUUUCUUCGUUACAAAAAUUAUUUUUCAACUUUUUAAAAUGAAAAAUACAUCACAUUUAUGCUUAUUUAUAAAUUAACAGUGAAUUACGAUGUCCCAAGUUAAUGAAUAAAUAUAAAUUUUUAAAAACUCUAAAAUAAAAAAUAAAAAUAUGAUUUUAAAAAAAAUUUUGUUAAUAAAAUAAUAUCAUUUAAUUUAUUAAAAAUGCAUAAAAUUUAUACAUAAAAAAAUAUAUCAAAUAUAAAUUCUUAUUAUUAUUCGGCUGUCAAAAGAUCAAUAACUGAUUUUGCGGCUUUUAUUUCUUUAUAAUAGGAUGGUCCAUUAUGUAUGUUUGGAAAAACUUGAAGCAAAUAAAAGUUAGUAGCAAGGGUGAUAAUGAUUCAGUUCUUUAAAUAUUAUAUAAUAUUAUAAAAAUUUAAAUUUCAUCCGAAUCUGAAUUGAUUCAAAUUUUAUUGGUUUGAUUUAUAAAUUUUUAUUUUUUAAUUUUUUAAAAUUUUAGAUAUUAUUUUAAUAUACAAUUUUAAUAUAUUUAAAUAAAUGUUGAUAUAAAAUUAUUAUUUUUAUUUUAUAAAAAUUUACAAAAUAUAUAAAAAUUAAAAAAUAUAUAUAAUUUGAUUCAAUUUAUUUUUUUUAAUUUUUAAUUUUUUAAUUCAAAAUCCAAUCCAAAUUUAAUAUAGACAUUUAAUAUCCAAACUUAAUUCGAGCCGAAUCGAAUAUUAAAAUUUUAAAUCAAUUUUUUAAUUUUUUAAUUUUUUUUCUCACCCCUAAUUAGUAAAUUAGUAGUUGUUUAUUAAACUUGGAAUAAGAAAACCAUACACUAUCAUAACGGUACAGCCCCAUUCCUUAAGAAGAAGAAGAAAAAAAAAAAAACAGAGGGAAAGAAAUUUCAUAGCUGCCUAAUGAUUAAGACAAUUAAUAAACCAAAAAAAUUAUCGUCAUCAACAUAAAUCACAUGGUACUAUUUUUUUUGAGAACAAAAGUUAUAAAAAUGAUAAUUUUGUAAGUGACCCAACAAUUGAAGUGAGGAUUUUUUCUGUCAAUAUCUCAUAUCAAUGGCUUAGCCUAAUAUAUAACACUAGUCUUUUUAACCCGUGCCAUGCACGGAGUUUUUUUAUUAUAUAUGUUUAUAGUUUAAAAUUUUAAUUUAUAUUAAUUUUUAUAUUAUAUAUAAAUAAAUAAAAAUAAUCAUAAUUAUUUAUAAUUUGUAAUUUAAAAUUAAAAAAAUUAUUGAUAUAUAAAUUAUUAUGAAGAAUCUAAAUAAGUAUUAAAAAAGUUUUAGAUUAUGAAAGUAAAAUUAUAUACAAAUAUCAAUGAGAAAGUUAAUUUUUUAUUCACAAUUACAUAAAUUUUUUAAAAGUAUAUAUUAUUUUAGUAUAAAAAUUAAGAUUUACACAUGUGAUAUAUCAUAAAAGAUUUUUGGAUAUUUAAGUUUGAAACUUUAUCUUGUUAAACUUUUAUGAAGAAAAGAAAAAAAUAUUGAUUGUGAGAAAAAAUCAUAAAUAUAUAUUUAAUAAUUAUUUAAUUUAAAAAAAAUAUAAAAUUUUAAAAAUUUAGUUUAUCCAGGUUUAAUUUUAAAUUAAGAUAAAAGAAGUUAGUAUAAUUUUAAAUUUAGAUAUGUGUGUAAUUUUAAAUUGAUAUAAAAUAUUUUUUUAUUUUAAAUUAUAAAAAAAUAAAGACAAAAAUUAGUAAAUAAUAUAGAUUCAACCACAAAUUUUAUUUAUUUAAAUUUAUAUGAAUAUUAAUUUAGACAGUGUAUAAUUUUUUUAUGAUUUUUAAGAUUUAGGAAUUUAACCUUUAAAAACUAUUUGAAUUGGAUAAGAGUAAAAUAUGAGAAGAUAUAUUUUAUUAGAUUUAAAUUAAGAUAAAUCUUAUAUAUUUGAAAAGAUUUUGAUAAAUAUAAAUUUUGAAACUUUAAAAUUUUGAAAAAUUAAAUAAUUGAUUUAAUAAAGUUAUUUGAUAAUAUCUUACAUGUCAAAAAUAUAAGUUGUCCAUUUAAGUAUUUAUGUAAAUAAAUUUUAUCAGAUUUUUAUGUAUGUUGUAAUAUAAUAUUAUAUAUAAUUUGCUUACAAAUUUGAAUUUAUUUUGAAAAGAUUUUUUUUAGUAGAAAAGCAUCAAUUUAAAAAUAAAAGUAAAAGUUAUAAAAAUUAGGAUUUGAAUAAUUCAACUUAUUAAAUAUCAUGAAUCAAUCAAACCGUUUUCCUGCCACUCUCCAUUAAUAUGAGGCGAGGGAUAGACGGAUUUGGUUUGAGAAAAAUAAAAUAAUUAAUGGAAAGCAGAUAUAUAGGCACAUCGCAUCUUAAUUCUUAAAUCUUAAAUAGUUGCCUUUAUGAAUAUCAUUUCACCAUAUUCCACCGCCCUGGAAACAAACACAACUCUCUUCAUGUUCUUUCAUUUCCUUAUUUAUUGUCAAAUGUUUGAAAAAAUUAUUUUAAAUUAAUGGCUAAGCUAUAUUUAUACAAUUGAUCAGUCAUUGAAUAAAUUCCUUAAUUCUCUGUUAUUUUUAUGCUUUCGAUGAAAUAAAAUGCAACCUCAAAAGUGAGCAUUAUGCAAUAUAACUACGUAAAAAACUUGACAGAAAAUAACUCUUUUAGAGUCCAUUUCCAUGCAUUCCAUGAUCCAUGUUCCUUUCACAUUACAUCUAUCCAUGGCUAAUUUAAGAGUCAGUAAAAAAACUGUAGCCAACUUAUAUCCUCGUUUUUUUUUUUCAUGUAAUAAUAAAAACUAUUGAAUCAAGUUCUUGGAAGAAAUCUUUCAAUCUUUUUCUGCUGUUUGUCUAUUUGUCUAUCUCUUUGCAUUGUUUCUUUACCGCAGAACAUUUGUCGGAAGCCAACGAAACUUAAAAAAUUUUCUUUCUUUUCCCUAUAAAUCUCCUAAAUCUUCUCUUUCUCGCUUCUUCAAUCUUCCUUUCACUCACACCAAACAGGUCAAGAAAAAUAAAAAAAGAAACAGUUUUAAAGAAGAACGUUUAGAAUAGGCUUCCUGGUUUUUGAAAGCUGAAUAAACAUGGGAGGUUGCGUUACCAAGCCUAAGGUUUUGAAGGGUGAUGAAGGGGAGGUCCCAGCUUCGGUCCGCCUCCUGAGCAGACGAAAGAGCAUGGACCUGCGGUUGCUGAAGCAAAGGAGUCAGCUUUUGUUGUUGCUGGAGGUGAAAAGAAGGUGGAAGCAGUUGAUAUUAAUGAGGUUGUUAAGGCCAAGGACGUUGAUGAGGUCAGGAGGUUUUUAUUGAUGACAAGGUUGAUGAUCAAUCAAACAAGCCACAAUCUCUUAGUAAUUUGUUCAAAGAGGUAUCUGUUUCUAAUUUUAUGAUCUCUUAGCUAGUAAUUUCAAUGGAACUGCUUUUUUUUUUUUUUUUUCUAAAUUUAAUGAGUUUUAUCAAUGGGAUUAUUGAUCUUUGGAUAACAAAUAGGUUGUUAUAUUAAUUUCCAAGCAUUUUUCAAUUGGUUGAUGCUUCAAUGCAAUUUGAUUAGUGCUUGAUAUGAUUUCGUUAAAGCAGGGACGAUGGGAUCAUUCCUUUGAAUACGGUCGCAUCUGUCUUUUCAAUAUGUUGGUUGUUUAACAGCAUCUUUAUCCUGCCUUUUUCAUUGAAUUAUAUCACUGGUUUUGUACCGUUUGGUUGAAAGUAAAGGAAAGAUUGAAAAAAAACGUAAAAUAAUUCCUCGUAUGGUUCCUGUUGAUUUGGUAUUGAAUAUCAAGAUUCGAAGCAUGAGAUUAAAAACAAAACACAAAAGGAUAUUUCUCAAUAACCAUAUUUAAACUGACCCGUCUUUUUGUUUGUCUGAUAUCUUGUCGAUAUCAAUAAUUUACUACUCCUAACACAUUGUGGUGAGUUUUUCAAUACCAUGUCAAUGAAUUUCAGGCAUUAGUUGUUUGCUUUGAUUUCAAAUUACAAUGACACAAAUUAGAUUCUCGACUCUAUGAAAACUGAAAUGUAUAUUUUCACCAUGAGCUACUGGUGCUGAAUAGUUUUUGAUCCAAGAUCUGUAAUAAAUAUUUUCAUAAAUUAUACUAUGAGUGCAUUGAAAACCAUUGUUGAGCAGCAUACUUGUCGCUGGGCUCUGGGCACCAUAUAAUGCCUUAAAUUAUUGGUUUUUAGGGGAAUGCACCAAUUCAUUGAAUACUUCCUGUUCUGGUUUGUUCUGUUCAUUGGGAUAAUCUACUUCAAGUGAACUUAUUGAUGAUGUUAAUAGGUGCUUUAUGAUUUGUUAUCAUUUUGGAAUGUCUCUGAAACUCUUUCUAGACAUCUUUAUCUGUAAAGCUUCAUCAAUGUGCAUCCUUAUGUUUGUUUUCUUCUCAGUAAUAUUGCACUGUGGAUCCAAACUCCAAAGCAUGAAAAGCGUCAAAAGUUAGCUGAUUUUAUUUUCGGCAAAUUAUUGGUUCAUAUUUUUCCAAUAAAGAUAUGCUAAGCAGAAUUGAAGUGUUCUGCUAUUUGUUCUGAUGAAAAUGGUUUCAUCAAAAUGGGAUUAAUGUAUUUUUGUCACAUAUGCAUUACUAAGAAGAAUGGCCAAGGAAAACUUAAUUAAGUUUUAGCUCGCGCAACCCCUUGCCAUAUUCUAAGGCUGUGCCUUAGAUGUACCAAAAAAUAAAUAAUUAGGAGGUUUAUAUGUUGGAUUAAAGAAAUUAACUGCAACUUGUACAAUGGUUCAUUCAUGCACUAAAAAGGAUCCUACAUAAUAAGUAAUGCAGCAUUUGGCAUCAUUAAAUGAUUUUUGUUUCAUAGACUUCAGCAACUGUGGGGUGCUUUUUUUCUUUGCAGGAUAAAAGGGGUCAGUAGAGAGUGACAACGCACCGCCGGAGCCAAUGAAAAAAGAACCAAUGGAGCCAGCGAAACAAGAAUCAUUGGAGACAGUUAAACAAGACUCAUUGGAGCCAGUGAAACAAGAAUCACCGGAGUCAGUGAAAAAGGAGCUAUUAGAGCUAGAGAAGCAGGAACCAUCAGAUACUGAGAAACUAAAAGAGGUGCAUGUGAUUAAUAAUCAGGAAAGGGAGAAACCUGCUAACCCAAUUGAACAGAUCAACAAGCCAUAGUCUGUGUUAAUUGCUCUCGGAAAGAUUGAAUCAAAAGAAUCAAUUGAAGCCGCACCAGCACCUAAGCCAGCAGCAGCAGUGAAUGUGCCUGAGACACAAAACAAGUAAACACAUCGGCUGACGGUAAGGAAGAUAAGACAGAGGUAGCAAAGUGAAGUUUGAACUGUAAUGUUGAAUUAAGUGUGAUACAGGGAGAAUGAAAAAGACUGAUACAUAGUUGGCUGGAUAAAACACGUUCGCUUUUACUCCUACGAGGUGAGGCUGCUGGAGAUAUUGUUGGACAAAUCAAGUAGUUCACUUAGUUUACGUGUUUUUGUUGUUCUGAAUAUUUAUUUUUCUUUCAUCUGUGUUUGCUUUCGAUAUAUUCUAAUUGUUUAUAUGGACAUAUGGGAUCAUUGAAUAUAUGAGCAUUGAUUCUGUUUAUGCACCAGAACUCUGUUUUUUUUUUCUUUCUACCCAAUGCUACUAUGACCCAAAUUAUGAACUUCUAGCAGCUAUGCAUUAGCAAGAAACCAAAACAAAAAGCUAAGAAAAGCUUAAACAAAACAUGUUGAGAUUGAUUUCCAUUUUGUUUAAAGGUUUACUGUAAACAUCUGCCAGUUCUUUUGAUUAAGAUAAAGUUGCAAAUGUACGCAGGCCAUAAGUUCCACUCUUUUUAGUUCAAGUUUAAUAUUCUUCUCAGAUCAUUGAGCUUGAGGGUCCCUAUUGAAGAUAAAGCUGCUGCCUUAUCUUUAACUGCAAAGUCUUUGAGAUAAGACUCUUGUUUAUAAAGUUUCUGAUAGGUUGAUAAUAACAGUAUAUUCAAUUAUUUACUUCACAAAUUGUAUGUUGUAAUCAUGUAAAUAUGACAAAUACAACAAGACUAGCCGGCCAACUGUACUUCAAGGGGGGCAAUCCCUUAAAAAAUUCUGUAGCUUGUGUACUGACAGUAUGAAAAACGAUUAGAGAUAGUAAAAACUACAACUAAUUAUGAUUCUAGCAAUAAUUAUUUUGGUUGCUCCCCUUAAUAUUAUUAUCGUAAUGUUAUAAUUAAGGGACAACUUGAUCCCUAAUCAUUGUAAUAUUUUAAGUAGAAAAUACUUCACAAAUCCUUCAUUAUAUUUUUUUUCUUUUUCUUUCCCUUUUGAAAGGGUUGGUGGUGCUGUACUGUUUGAUUAAAAAAUUACAGAAUUCCAUCCUUCCUCAAUUUUCUUUAAGAAUUAGAUGGGCAAGAAUGUUUGUGAUCCUUUUCAGGGUCGUAAACCAGUGAUAAUUAUGUUGCUGGUUCAAGCAGUAUGUGCUGCAGUAAAUGUCUUCUACGAAUUGGCUGUAAUUAAUGGUAUGAGCACGAGGGUACUCAUUUCUUAUAGAUUUAUCUUUGCCACUGCUUUUCUAGUUCCCCUUGCAUUGAUGUUAGAAAGGUAACUUCAUAUUUUUCUUUUAUACGAGUGUUUCUUUGGUCUCUAUAUUUCUUGUACUUUCUUUUAAAGAACUAAUUUUGCUCUUUUGGUCUAAUUACACAUGAACACAACUUAUCCAGAUAGCAUUGUCCAAUCCAUCGUUGGAAUUAUUAUUCAAUAAUUAAUGUUAAUGUCUUUUUUUUGGAUACUUGAAUAUUUUUAUUCCAACAUCCAAAAGAAGAAGAAUAUAUCUCCUACAUUAUAAUUUAUAACAGUUCAACACAAAAACAUCACCAGGAAUCUAGUCCUAGAUAAGUACAUAAACUUCUGUUCAAAUGUUUAGGAAAGCUGGAAACUUUAGUUCUAAUGUCCGCAGUUAUUUGUUGAAGAACAAUGAUCCUUGGGAGGGAUUUUAUUGGUGUGCCAGAAAGAGUUCCCGGUUUGCCAAAUGGGGUAGAUAUGAGCUUUCCAUUCAAUUCUCAGAGUCAGUGCAAGGGAGGCAGAGGAUUUGCCUUGGAAGCUCUAGCAGCCCUUUGUAGCUCUGUAGACCAAUCUCUACUAAAUGUGCUCUCUGUAUUUAUCGUCUUCAUUACACAAGUAGCAAUUUAUCUUCUGAAGUUGAAUCGCCCAUGAAUUAAUUAAUUCUGAAUAGAGUGGUUAGUCUGUCCACGAUAGCCAGCCAAGCAAUGGAGGAACGUGAUUGGGGUCCUAGAUUAGCCCAUGUCAGAAAACUUUAGGCUUAUUGAUUCUCGAUCUAUCCCAAAUGCAGGCAGCUGUAUAAACUCCAGAUUUUGAAGCUUCCCCUUUCUUAGAUGUGCCUUGAAAUUUCCGACUCACACGACCAAACCUACUUUAUUGAAGUAUGCAAAUCUAGAAUAUCCAUUCUUUACAACUCUUAAAGGCAGCCACCUUUGUUGAUCAAUAAAGGUGUGCCAUCUAUCUUUAUUGAUUCAACAAACGUUUGUCAUUCUUUUCCUUUUAGCAGCCUUUGGUUUUUUCAAGCAUGAUUGGCCAAGUUUUGCACUGCCCUAUAAAUAUGGCAUUUAGCCAAUCGGUUAAUACACCCUAUAUAAUGAAUUACAAACAGAAGACCAAAUGCCAAGAACGAGUGUGGCAAAAUUGAUGCUAAGGGAGAGUGCCUUGAGCUGUGUCGAGUGCUGAGAUGUGUUAAAAACACAAAUUAUUAAUUGCCCAAUGGGCCAUGGGCUAAAAGCAUCAAGCUGUUAGCUGUAAGGUGCCUAAUGAAAAUGCCGAUAGACAAUAAGAGGUAGUGCAAUUGGGUGCCGUUAUGAGCCUUUAAGUUCCAAAGCUUUUAGAGAGAGUUUUCGGUUAGAGCAUAUAGCUCUUGGGGUUGAGUGUUGGUGAGGCCAUUUUCGGGAGUGUUUGUUAUUUAGCCUCUUAUAUCACAAUAAAAUGAUGUCACGGUUAAGCUAAUUUUCUCAAUAAAAUAGUAUCAGAGCUUCUCCAUCCUAACAACCUUUAAUCAUUUCUGGCUCAGAGCGAUAGGUACAACCGCAAGAACAGAAGCUCUUAUGAUCGGUAUAGAUAGUAGGCCUAGACCCAAGCUACCCGUAGAGAGCCUGCUUUGCUGACAAGAGACCAAAUAUGCUUUAAGAUACAAGAAAACUAUAACUUUACAAACUAGUAAAUCAUUUAACUUAAUUUGUUCUUCAAUAUCAUUUUAUCUAUGAUGAUAUGUAUGCAUGUUCCGCAGUUCAUCUUGUGAAUCUGAAUUCUCUAUAUAUAUUUAGAGGAAGAGUAAGUGAAAACUGACAUGGAAGAUAGCAUUUCAAGGGCUCUUAUCUGGGUUGUUUGGGUAAGAAUAACAAAUGAUAACUUGCAAUGAAUUUAUCAACAGUAAUGACCUUUCAGGCGGUCAAGAAAUAGAGAUUAACUAAUUUUUUUAAGGAAAACAGUUGUGUAAUUCAUUCGAGCAAAGUUCCUAACAAGGUAAAUAUGAGGUUUAAAUUUUGUUGCAGGGGAGCAUUGGGCCAUAAUUUAUUCAUUGAAAGCUUGGCCUUGACAUCUGCAACAUUUGCUACAGUCAUGUCCCUUUUAAUUCCUCUUGUUGCAUUCAUCAAGGUCGUAAGCUUAAGGUAUUUUCCCUAAAACUAUUUGACUAGUGCUUUUGCAUUUAGUUUUUUUGCUAUUUAUUUCUUAUUUUUAUUUUUUAUUUUCUACUAUAAAAAAUAAAAAGCAAAUAAUAAAAGCAUCAAUCAUAUGAAGCUAAGAUUAUUAGAAUAGAUUUACUUCGUAGAUAUCCAAUACAAGGAAUAGAUCAAGUUGAUUGACUCAAGGGUUUUGUUUUUCAGACUUAAAGGCUACCAAGAUUUCAAUCAUAUUCACCAAAAAUAAAAAAUUUAAUAUUUUUUCGAUAAAUCACAUAAUUAUUGAUACUGUAAAAGUUUUAUUAAGCAAUGAUUUUUAAUAGUAUAGUUUUUUUUUUUAUGACAUGUAACGGAUUACUUAUAUUUAUAAGAUAAAGAAGUUCGAAUAUAAAAGUUGUUUCUGAUUAAAUUAAAGAUUUACCAAAAAUAUAAAUUACAAUGAUUAUGAAAAAAAUAUAGAUUACAAAUACAGUUUAAAGCCACUUGCAAAAGAAAAAAAGAAAAUUCCCUUUCCCUUUGUCAGGUUAGAGAGGUUGGCAAUUAGAACGUUGGCGGGGAAGGUCAAGGUGGUGGGUUCUGUCUUGAGCAUGGGAGGGGCGAUGGUUCUUACUUUCUAUGAAGAGCGAGAGAUUAACCUUUAGUCAACCAAUAUAAACCUGGCUAAACAUGAUGGUGAUCAUGCAACAAACACACAUACUUUGCUUGCUAAUAAUCAAGUAUUGGGCUCAAUGCUGGGUAUAGCAUCCUGCGUCUCUUUUUCGGUUUGGUACAUAAUUCAUAUAAGUUUCCAAGUAGCAUUCCAUCUGAAAUGUUUAUUACUGACUUUUAUUUAUUUAUUUUUUUCCUAAAGAUACUUUAGCAUUCCGCCUAAAAUGAUUAUCAGUAUUUACUUUUUCUUUUACUUUUAUAAAAAAUAAUUUGAUAUAUUAUAAGUAUAAAAAUGUUAUAUAUUGAUAUAUUAUAAAUGAUCAAAUCAUUAUUUGUUUUAAUAUAAAUAAAUAUUUAAAUUUUAAAAUAUUUAUUUUUUUAAUUUUUAAAAAUUUAAAAUUAUUAAUGAUGAUGUGAUAAUUUAUAAUAUAUUAAUAAUGUAUAUUGUAUAAUAUUAUAUAUGAUAAUAUAUCAAAUAUAAAAAAACUUUCUAUUUUUAAAUUAUGUUUGUCUUAAUCCUUCAAUUUUCUUUUUAUCAUUUUAAGCUCUAUUUUUUUAAUUUCAAAUAAAUCUAAUAUAUAUAUAUAUAUAUUAUAACAACAUACAUAAACAAGUUUGUCACAUAGAUACUUAUGUGGAUAACUCUCUUAAAUGAUACAUAGGAUAGUUUUUAAAAGAAUAAAAUAAUUUCUUUUAAUUACAAAUAAGUUAAUUUUAAAUUUAUUCAAAUAUCAAAAUUAUUCAAAUUAUAAUUGAAAAUCAAAUCAAUUUAGAGAUAUAUUAUUUUAAAUUAAAAAUAUAAAAUAUGAAUUUUACUUUUUUAAUAAAUAAGUUUAGUUGUUUACCAAAUAACCUUAUUUAAAAAAUUAUUUAAUUUUCAAAAUCUUUCAAACAUAUUUAAAAAAUUAAAAAAAUUAUCGUCCUAAUUUUUUAAAUAAUAAGAUCAUAAAAAUAAUUAUAUCCAUUUGAACUAUAAUUAUCAAAUUUGUAUUUCAAAUAAAUGCAAAAAAUUUAAUAUUAUCUUUAUUAGUUAUUAUAUCUAUUUUAAAUUUUAAAAAAUUAAUUUAAAAAUUAUGUAUUUAAUCCUAAUUGACACUAAAGAAUUCUUAAACUAUAAAUGUAAUGUAUUAUAUAUCAUUUUCUAAAAAAAAAAUUUCAAUUAUUUUUUUCAAGGUAUAUCCUAUUACUAUUGUAAUUUUUUUUAGUUAUAACUUUUUUACAAGAUAUAUUUUAUUGUUAUUACAGAUUCAUUCUUAUGAAAAAUAAUUUUUUUAAUUUAUUUUUUCUUCUUUUACAUUUUUCUAAUAUUUUUCUUAUUUUGCAUAAUAAUUUAAUCAAGAUUACUAAAGUGAAAAUAUAUGAAUACUUCUUUUAUUAUUUAAUUAUCAUUUAGUAAUAUAUAUUUUUAUUUUUUAAGAAAGACAUAAUUUAUUUUUAUUUGAUAUUAUCUUACAUAUAUAUAUAUAUAUAUAACUAUGAUUGUAAACAAAAAUAUCCAAAAGAAAGACAUAAUUUUUUUUCUAUUUUUAGAAAGUUUAUUUUUUAAUAACAAAUCAAUACAUAUAUAUUUUAUAUAUAUUAUGAGUUUUAAAAAUUUAAAUGUAAUUUUGAAAAAAAAACUAAUAUAUAUUCAUAUUAAAUAAAUAAAAUUAUUUCGUAAUUAUAAUAUAAUUUAAUCAUAUUUUAAUAAAAAGGUCACGUGAUGCCACAUGACAUAUCAUUCAACCAAAUAAGGUAGUCAACUAUCAUGUGGUUGAUAACAGUCACAUGAUAGUCAACUAUCACGUGAACUACCACGUGAGUAAUAGCAUAGCAAUCCAACAGAAAAUUUUCCUUUCAUUUCUCGUUUCCUUUCUCUCUGUACAAUCUCUUUCUAGAUUUAAAGCUUCAAGAACCAUAAACCUCUUUGUCUAAAAUCCAAUGCCAGAUGUUGCAUGGUUAUCGUUCGGUUGCAGCCGACCGUCACUCGACAACGCUAGAAUUACUCUCCUUAAUCUCUUUUACCCUUUAUUUGACUUUAAAAAAAAAAAAAAAAACCUAAAAAUCCCUAGCUCAUUGAAUCCCGCUGCCUUCGUUAGAAUUUAGAAACCAUGUUUCUCUCGCCUUCAAACGCUGUGGUGACGGCUUCCUUGUCCUUAACAACUUCAACUUCAAUCUUACUAGCCCAAAAAGAGUGAAGAGGAGGCGGCAGCAUCAGGCAAGGCUGUGAACUUUGUAAAGGAAAGAAAGACUAAGUUAAAUUUUCAAUGGCUCGAGAGAAAAUUUUGAUGAGGCAAUAUGUUAUGAGAUUCUUCUCUUAAGUAUCCCAUCUGAUCAUUGCUAGUUAGGGAGGACCACAUUUGGUGGACCAUAGGCGUAGGAAAGGUAAGGCAAGUGUGGGUGAGUUUGGUGCUGGUAAUUACUCAUGUAACAUCAGAGAUCAAGUAACGAAAUUUAAAAUUUUUAAUUCCCAAUUGAUAGGAUUACAAAUAUUGCUAUAUAUGCACAUUCAUACUAACAUAAAAACAUUAAAAAAAAAAAAAUCAAGAAUCAUACUUAAAACCCUAAAGUAUUACUCAACUAGGAUUUUUAUCGGAAAAUCUUUAAAACCUUCAAACUAAAUUAUAGCAAACCAUUUUAUCUAAUUCUCUAGCUUCCGAUGAUAUCUACACAAAUAAUUAAAGAAAAACCUUAAAAAGAGCUUGGGCUAGCCAAAACCGAGACUUAAGAGGGAGAGGCAAGGCUCUUUAAAUAGAGGAAUUUAUCAUCCACCAAUCAAAAUUUUAUCCUAAAUAAGAUUGUAUUUUGCUACCUUAUAAUAGGACCUUUGGACAUAUUAAUUAUUUCAAUUAAGUACUUAAAUUCCAAACUUGAUUUCAAUCAAGGUUCAACUUGAUUCUCCCAUUUAAUUUCUCAACUUAAUUAUUCUUAACAUGCUGAUCCAUUAGAUCCUUAAUAAAUUGAGAAUAAAUAUAAGAUUAAAUGGAUCGAACUCUUUUUCUUCAUUAUUAAUUCUCUAAUUAAUCAAUUUCAUAUUUAUAAAUCAAAAUUAAAAUUUAGUAAUGCAUGAUGACCAUCCAAAUAUUAAAAACAGUUAAAAAGGUUUAACUAACAUAUUUACUCUUGGUUAGGGGGAAUAAUGGUUUGGAUCAAUUCAGUUUUUUUGAUAAUGUAUAGUAUUAUAAAUUUUAAAAAUCUAAUUCAAAUCCGAACCGAUUUUUUUAAAAUCAAUUCAAAAUGAAUUUUACUUAUUCAAUUCAUUGAUUUUUUAAAUUUAAUUUAUUUUAAUUUAUUUAUAUUAUUUUAAUAUGAUUUUAAUAUAUUUAAAUAGAUUUACAUAUAAAAUAAUAAUUUUUAUUUUAUAAAAUUUAAAAAAUAUAUAAAAGCUAAUAAAAGUAUAUCAUUAAGUUCCAUUUUUUACUUCAUGAUCUGAAUUUAAUAUAUAUAUAUAUUUAAUAUUCAAAUUUAAUCCAAAUUAAAUAAAAAAAUCAAUUCAAACUAAACCAAACAAUAUAAUUUUGAAUCGAUUUUCAAUUUUUUAUUUUUUUCAUCCAUACCCAUGGUCUUAUCACAUAAUUCUAUCUUUCAUCAUUAUAUCGCAAUAGAACUACAGCAUGGUUCAAUGUCUAUUCUAUUUGUCCUAUCUAUUUUGAUUCUUGAUUACAUGAAGCUUUCACUCAUUGAAUGAAUCUUGAACUCCUUCAAUUUCAUUCUACUUCAACUAGAGAUUUCCUGAGUUAAUAUUUCUUAAAAAAUACUGAGAUAUUCCCUCGAUCAUUGAGGGUCAUAAAUCUUAUUUGGAAUAUUCCUCUAACUCCAUAUGAUUUAUGCUAUAUCCAAUAUCCAUCCUAUUAAGCAUCCUCGGUUAGAAACGUAUAGGAUUAAUAUUAACGUAUAACACUUGUCAUACAAGCUAGAUAAUGGUCUCAAGUAAAACGACCAGUACUUAUGCAACCAUCACAUGAAAAUAUUGUUAUAUACACUUUAGUGAUGAAAGUAAAUAUUAUUCUCAUAACAAGUCAUAUUCAAUGAACUUGUUAAUAUAACAAGCACAUACAUAUUCAGCUCAAUUACAUCUGUACUUCAACUUAUGUGAUUAAUUACUUAUUUCACAGGUAAGAGUAUAAACAUGUAUCAAUCUCAAAUGUUUAUAUCAAUAUAAGUGCCUUAAUGUAUAAAUGUAGUGCUUUUUUUCUAAGUCAAAAUAUAUUGAAUGGAAUUAAGGGUACAAGCAGACAGAUACAACCAAAUAGGUGUCACCCACCAAAAUGACAUUUGAGAAAAAUAUAUAUACACUAUAAAUGAGAGACACUCCAUCCAUACCAAAACCAUACCUAAUAACAGGGAAUACAUUACCACCACACCAGUGGCAUCUCAACUCUAUAAAUGUAAUGCUUAAUGUGACAUAUUAUCCAAAGCCAAUCCGGUUGGUCAUAAGGAAUACAUUAACAGCCGGUGCAUGCUACAUGCAUGUUGGCAGGGUUGCUUUUGGCUUUGGUUAAAUCUUAGAUCUAGAGAUUUUAGGGCUUUUAAGAAAAUCCAAGCCAAAUAAAGGAUAGAGGAGAUCAAGGAAAGUUUUCAGGUGUUUGUUGGGGUAAUUCCAACGAUGUCGAGCGACGAUCGGCGACAACUUUGUAGUGAUCGAUGUAACAGUUCGAUGUCGGAUUCUGGGCCAUGAGGUUUACGAUUCUCGAAGCUUUAAAAGUAGAAAGGAAGAGACUGUAGAAAGAGGGAAGAAACAAUGAAGAAAAAGAUUUUGUUGGGUUGUCAUGUCACCAGCCACAUGACAGUUAACUACAACAUGGAAUGUCUCAUGACAGGUUUUACUUAUGUGGCAUGCCGCAUGGCAGUUUCUAAUGGACCAUCAGUCACGUGACUCUUUUCCGUUAUACAUUGGUAAAAUUGACCCAAAAUAAAAGAUGAGAGAUCAAAAUUAUUCAAAUAAAAAUUGAGGGAUCAAAAUGACUUUUUCACGUAAUUCAAGAGUAAAAAUAUUUUUAUCAAUUUUUUAACUUAAGAAAGAGUGAUUCAAACCCUGAGUUUUAAAAGAAGAUCAUAUACUGAUUAACUGCCUAACCCAAAUGCUUUGGUUGCAUUGUUUUCUUGUUUUUAAAACAUAUGUUAUGAAUGGUUUUUCCACAGGCCAAGUUGAAUGAAAAUUAUCCUUACAAAUAUUCGUGUACUGCUUUGAUGUGCAUCACAGCAUCAAUUCAGGCAACAAUUUAUACCAUAAUUGUUGAUAGGAAUUCGUCUGCAUGGAAGCUUGGUUGGAACAUAAGGCUUUUCAGCUGCGUUUACACUGCAAAAGCAAAUUCCCAGCCAGCAAAAAUUAAUGUUCUGACAGAAACAGAAAAUUGCACCUUCAUUGAAUUUAAUAAUUAUAUAUAAUAAUUUAGUUUAUUGAUAAAAUAUUCCUUGUAUGAACUCUUAUUGCAAGGGAACCAUUGCCACAGGAUUAAUGACUGUUGCUUUGACUUGGUGCAUGCGGUUGAGGGGACCCUUAUUUGUGUCUAUCUUCAUGCCUUGUACGCUGAUAUAUGUUGCCAUUGUCGAAUAUUUGUUCUUAAACGAGAGGCUACAUCUAGGAAGGUUUCCAACUCGAUCGAUCAAUUUCAAAUUAAAGUCCAAUACAUUUCUUUAUAAACUGUCAUUUUUUCUUGCAUCUCUUUUUUAUUAAGAUAAUUAAAACGUUAUAUGUUGCAUGUAACAGCAUUUUAGGUUCGGUGAUCAUAACGAUGGGAUUAUACGCUGUAUUGUGGGGAAAAGCAAAAGAGACGAAGAAUUCAACGCAACUAGCAGUACAAGAACAUCCAAAGGAGUUUGAAGCUGUGGAAUACAGGCAAGGAGGCAAUCAAAUUUCUAAUACAGGCAAAGACAUUUAGAUCAAUGUAGUUAAUGAUCAAAGAGAUGUUGUAUUUUCUGAUGCCAAGUGAUAAAAAACAUAGCACAUGCUGUGUUUGAUAUGUUUACAAAUCCAUGUGACGGAUUGGGUUGCUUUUUUGGGUCCCUAAAAUAAAAAAUUCAAUUAUCCAAAAUUUAAAAGAAAAACAUAGCACAUGCAUGUUUCCAUAGCUAAUUUAUGGCCUUAUUAUAUAGAUUGUUUAACGAUGUUAUUUGUGCAACACAUGGCUAAUUUAAGUCCUUACUGUAUUUUGAUUAUAUUGAGCUUUCCAUUUAUGUAUAAAAAAAUUGAAAUAUUAAUAUACUAUGCCUUUUAUAUAUGAUAUUUUUGCUUUUUCGUCUCUACUUAUUUUGGGGGUUUUUUAUUCUUCAUCUGGUUCGACUGGGUCUGGCAUUAGACUGGAUUUUUAAGAUCAAGCUUGGUUUAAAAUAUUAUUUUAUUAAUAAAAAUUUUAAAUUAACUUUAAUUUUGAAAUUUAUUUAAAAUAAUAAAUAUUAAUAUAUAAAUAUUUUUUAAAUUUUUAAAUAAUAUUUUAAAUAAUAAUGGACAUAAACAGACUUAUACAGACAAAUUGAGUCUCUCGACCUGGCCCAACCUAAUUUCGUCGAUGAACAUCUCUAACUUCAUGCAUGGUGAAAGGAUAAAUCAAUUGAGAACCAAUUAAGCCCCAAAAGAGAUGAAAAUGAAAAGUUAGAACCUAACAAGUGCGAAUCGGGCCCAAUGGCUCAAAAUCAAACCCAAAAACAAAAAUAUAAUUGGAAAAAAAAAAUGACAGAGGAAGAAAACGAGCACCACCAAAUGAAAUUGCCAACACCCUACCAAAUUCUAAAGCUUGAAUUUCAAACUGAAAAAGAAAUUCUAAAAGAAAAAAAUAUUCUCAAGAUAAACAUUAUCAGAAACAAAUAUAUACCACAUGGCAAGACAUGGCCCAUGGGCAAGACUUUCCCUCCUCAUCCUUGUAAGUCCAUGCAUGCAGCACACGUAACAUCCAAGUGGGACAAACACUUCCCAAUUCUUCACGUUUUACUUAAUUAAUUUCAGUUUUGGAAGGAGUUCUAUAGCACACUUUUUUUUUUUUUCAUUUGUGGCACUUGGUUUAACUAAGUGUACUAUAUAUAUGGUAAAAGAGUUAAGAGAACUUUUCGUAUAAUUUUUUUUAAAGUUUUCUCGAAAAUAAUUUCAUGGGUAACAAUAUUUGUAAUCCUCGUGUCAAGGGCUAAUAAUGAUUUAGUUUGAUCAGGGCUCUGGCUUUUGAGUUGAUUUCAAUUAAAUAAAUAAUACUGUAAAAAUAAUGAAAUAUUAAAUUAAAGAAUAAAAUUGUUAGUUCAAAUUUUUUAUAAAGUUAUUGAAGUCAAUUAUUUUUAUUUUUUAUCAUUUUUAAAAUUUACACUUUUACAUAUAAAUAAAUAAAUAAAUAAUAUGCAACAUCUUACGUCCAAUUAUUGAUGUAGGGUAAAAAUAAAUAUAAUUUUUUUACUAUUAGACAAGAAAUAACGGAGAAAGGGGAGAUGAACAUGACAGCAUGCAAAAGUUGAUAAUGAUCUGCCCCAAUGACAGGGGUCCUUUUCAAAGGAAAAUGUUCCUAAAGUUCUGAAGUAGAAGGAAUUCCACAUGAUGACGGUGUUUUGGUGAAGAUGAGUUGGCUCAUGAGCCGGAGGGUGAGCAAAAAUUGGUUUGGGUUUGUAGUUAGAAAAUAUGGUAAGAAUGUCGGAGUUUAUUACGUUUUGAUGUUUAAAUUAAUUAGGAGGAUUAUAAUUUUCGAAAGAAAAAAAUAAGUUACAGAGAGUAUAUGAGAAGCUAAGAGUUUAGAAUGUGUAUUUGAAUUUUCUUUUUACUUUAUAUAUGAGUUGAUGGAUGAAAAUAUUAUCAAAGUUGAUGAUAAUUGAUAGAAAAUUUAUGUGGAGUUCAAAAAUGAUCCAUGUGGAUAAGUAUGGAUAACAUUUAAUGAUUCUAACAACUUAAAAGCAAAUUAACUUAUUGUGAAAUGAUGUAUUGAUGAAACGUUAAUAAAAAUUAUUGGACGAGCUGUAUUUACAGGUGAAAAAGUCUUGGUAAGUGAGCAACUCAGGAUCGAGCUUAUAUUGUGUCGAUGAAUUUAAAUAUUAAUCUUCUUUAAUGAUAACAUGAUAAUCAAAUAUGCAUUAAUUUUGCAAGCAUAAAACUUGAACUUAUUAUCUAGACGAUUAUGCGUAACAUUAUAUUUGCACUUAAAAGCAUUAGAAAUCAAAAUUUCAAGUUGGAGAAGUUUAGUAUUCAAAGUUUCAAAACUGAAAAAGGGAAUUAAUGGGUUUAUGUAAUCCUACUAUAAUAAAAUUUCAUAUAUAACAAAAAAAAUUAUUGAUGCAGUAGGUUAAUCAUUACUUAGAGCUCGCUUACUUUUGAUUACAUUAUUAACAUCCAAAUGAAUUUUGAAAUUCAAAGUUUUAGGAAGUGAGGAAUUUGGCUAAGGUUAGUAUUGGUUGUGAAUAAAUUUUAAAAAAUAUAUAGUACGGUGAAAUUUGUCAUUAUAUUACAAUUCAAUAUUGAAUUUUAUCACCUUAUUUUAAUUUUAUUGAAUUUUAUUAUUGUAUUUCAUUUUUGUUCAUUAGACAAAAGAAAUAGAACUGCAAUUUUGUUCAUUGUUAUUAAAAAUUUUGUCACUAUUAAUUUCUUUGAUUUUUGAAUUAAAAAAAACAAAAUUAAAAUACUUUUUCAAAAUAUUCUGUUAAUGCAAAUGAUAAAUUUUAUUAUUUUAUGAAAACAAAAUUAAUAUAAAAUGAUUAUAAAAUUCAAUGAAAUUGAACUACAAAUUAAUAAAAUCAAUAUUGAUUCUUAAUAUUAUGACAAAUUUGAUCUUAAUUAAAAAAUGCCUAUUAUGUUUUGUAGUUUAUCAUUCGAAACAAAAAAAAAAAAUUGAUCUUUUGAGUUUAGGUUUCAAACUCUGAUAGUUUUAAUUUUGGAAUGAACUCUAAUUAAACUUUAUUAACAAUUCAUCGGUCAAGAAAAAACAAAAAAGUUUAACUUUAGACGUUGGCAAACACCCAUUUUUUAAAAUUAAUCCACCAAUCAUUUUUAAUACUAUAAACACUAUUUUUUUUUAAUUUUAAUUUUUAUUAUUUAAAUUUUUUUUCUUCAUUUCUGCGUUUGUCUUCUUCUUCCUUUCUUUUUCUUUUUUUCUUCAUCUUUAUCUGAUUCAAAUCUGGUACACAAUCUCUAAAGUCAAAAGCACCAUUGAUAGCUGCCAACAAUCGACAAGCCACCAAUCGCGGACAGUAGGUGUGAUUUUUCAGUUGAAAAAUAGGAUUCGAAUUUCAAAAAAUCUGAGAUUUGAAUCCCAACAAGCUCUAUAAAUAAAGCUUGCAAACCAGACCAAAAAAAGAGGAGAAAGGGAAGCACAAAAAAAAAAAGGAAAAACGAUAAAAAAAAAGAGGAUUCUGCCAAAAAAAAAUUUGCAGAAACACAAAAAAAAAGAGAAGAAGCAAAAACAGUCCCCUGGAACGGGAAGCCCAGCACCAAACUACACCUACAAAGACACCCAACGAAAACAAACUAGAAAACACACAAAAAAAAGUGUUUUUUUUCACCGAAACUUUGAGCCUCGAUCUACGCUGAUUGGGGAUGUUUCCGGUGAAAAGGAGACCGGAUCUGGAAAGAAGGCGUCUAGAGGAGUCUUCGGUGACCUUCUGACCAUUUUUCGAUCACCGGCGACAACCGCCGACGGUAGAGUAGGCGGCGGUCAGACGACGAUCGGCAGACCCCUCCCCCAGCCCUCUCUCUCUCUCUCUCAUUUUUUUUUCCUGAAACAGAAGCCAAAUGAAUAAAAAAAAACCCUCAGCUAUAUAUAGCAAAGCAAAAACUCAAAACAACAUCAUUUAGGAAAAGACCCAAAACGACGUCGUUUCAGCCAAGGAGGAUCCGCGUGUCAACCCGCGACCCGACCCGGGGUCCACGCACCCGACCCGGACCCGUUUUCUUCAUCUGCCUCUGACUGAUCUAACUGGAUCGGAACUGAAUCGCCCAGACCAAAUCGAACCGGUACUGAACCGCCCAGAUCAAGCCGAACCGUCAGACGAACCGCCGAACCGAACCAGACGCUGACCAGACUGUUGACCGGUCCGGUUCAGGUAAAAAAUUUUUUUUAUUUUUUUUAUAUAUUAUUUUAUUAAUAUUUAUGCAUAUUAAACUAUCUAUAUUUGCUAGAUUAAUUGAUAAAAUUGUGGUUAAAUUUUUUAUGUAAUUAUGUUAAUAAACUUUAAAAACAAUUAUAUAAAAACAAAUUUAAUAAUAAUACUAAAGCAAUAAAAAAUGUAGAAAAAGAAAAUUUUUAUCCGACGAUGAGAUUCAAAGGUAUUCCGAGUAGUGAUACCUACGAAAUCUCUAUGUGAGAAGAUUUUUUAAGUACUACCAGCGUAUUGGAGUAUUUAUAAAAAAUUUUUAAUGCAGUAAAAAUUUUCUUUUUUUAAAAUAAUAAAUAAAAAUUGAUUAAUAAAUUAAAAAUAUAAGUAAUAAAAAUAAGAAGAAAAGAAAUUUAAUCCAAUUAUGGAUUUCUAAAAAUAUUUCGAGUAAAGAUGCUUUAAGAAAUCUCUAGGUGAGAAAGAGUUCUUUAAAUGUUACCAACGUACUGGAACAUUUUAAGAAUUAUUUCAAUAAAAAAGUUUUAAUUUAUUUUUCUCGAGGAUAAAUUUUUUUUAACAUGACAUUUUCUUACGAAAAAUAAAUUCGAGCUCCCAAAGAUGAGAUUCUAAAAGUAUUUCGAGUAGAGAUGCUUUAAGAAAUCUUUAGGUGAGAAAGAGUUCUUUAAAUGUUACCAACGUACUGGAACAUUUUAAGAAUUAUUUCAAUAAAAAGGUUUUAAUUUAUUUUUCUCGAGAAUAAAUUUUUUUAACAUGACAUUUUCUUACGAAAAAUAAAUUCGAGCCUCCAAAGAUGAGAUUCUAAAAGUAUUCCGAGUAGAGAUGCUUUAAGAAAUCUCUAGGUGAGAGAGAGUUCUUUUAAUGUUACCAACGUACUGGAACAUUUUAAGAAUCAUUUUAAUAAAAAGGUUUUGAUUUAUUUUUCUCAAGAAUAAUUUUUUAAAAAAAAAAUCAAGGAAAUUAUUUUUUGAAUACUGAAAAUAAGACUAUUUUUAUCAAAAUCAAAAGAUAACACGUUGUUAAUUGGUACCGUUUUUUUACGGGCGCUGUGGGGGUGCUAAUCCUUCCCCACACGUAACUGACUCCCGAACCCAGACUGUUUCGUAGAUCGUAAAAUUAUCUUUUUAAUAAAUUUUAAUUAAUUUUAAGAUUUCAUUAAAAGGAUAUGUUUUAAUAGGUGGCCAAUCGCACCUAGCCAAAAAAAGAUUGGUGACGACUCCGUUAUUUUUUAUUUUGUUUCCAAAUUCGUCGGGCGGACACAAAAUCGUUACGACAGCUUGGCGAUUCCGCUGGGGAUGCCUUUUGUUUUCGAGAGUCAGGCCAAAAUUAACUACUUGUUAUCCUUAAAUUUUGAUUUAAAACAGUCUUAAUCAAUUUCUUAAAUCUUUAUUUUUUAUUUUUAGUAAAAAAACAAAAAAAAAUCAAAAAACAAAAAGCAAAAAAAUUCACACACAUUUCUCUUACUAUGCCUCUUAUGUUUUAUUUUGUAUAUAUUACUGUCAAUAAAUUAGGAUAUAUUUGCACACAAUGGCACGAUGCAUCUCAUACAUGAGCUCUAUACCCGGGCUCCGUCUUUUAUAGGAGGAAGUAAAGUACCUAUUGCUCUCGUGAGGUGAUAACCUCCACAAUGGCAAGCGAAAUACUUUCACUCGAAUUGAACCAUUUCCGUUAGUAGCUUGUAAUGGGUGAGGAUCGAGAUGCAUUACUAGUCCAAUAUGGACGACAGUGAGGAACAAUUUGGGAACCUUUAGACCUUGUCAAUCCAAACCCAGCAUAUAAUAAGCCUAGGAAACCAGCCUUAUGUAGAGCUCCAUCCACUUUCUUGUAGAAAACAACUAAGAAUAAAAGUUGUGUAUAAUACAAAACAAAACAAAACAAACAAAAAAAUAAAAAAAAUAAUAAAAAAAAACAAAAAAUGUUUUUUUUAAAACCAUCCUCACAUUAACUCAAUUUUGUUUCUUUUUUUUUUUACAUUAAUCAUAUCAUACAGUUUUGCAUCGAGAUAUUUGCUCUAGGACAUUUCUCUCAAAAAGUUUUCAUGGAUCCCGUAGAACUACAGAUUUGCUCAUCCUCAGUCAGUGUGCCAUGUGAGUCAUAUAAUGAAGUACAUGUUUGGUCGAAAGAGGCUCAACAAAAGAACGGAGAUUGUUUGCCUACCAGUUAUGUGUCUAAGUUAUCCGAGAAGGUGCAUUUAGAUCUCACACAGAAUGAUUUAAAAGAGUUAGCUGUUGUCUGGGGUCAGUUAAGUGAGGGAAGAAAAAAAAGCUUUUGUAAAAAGUAUGGGUAGAUUGCAUCCCUCAUUUCAGUAGUGGUUGAUGAACAGCUGGUCAAAGCAGCUAUACAGUUUUGGGAUCCAUCCUAUAGAUGCUUCACUUUUAAUCAGGAAGAUUUGAUGCCAACCAUCGAGGAGUAUUCGAUUUUGCUCGGGAUAGAACUACAAUGUCCGAAUAAAGUAUUUACCCGAAAGCCAAAAUCAGGUUAUCGUAAAAAGUUAGCCAAGCUUAUGGAGGUUAAAGUAGAAACCAUUGAUUCUUUUGUGAAGUCUAAAGGUGAACAUCUCGACAUUCGUUGGGACUUUUUUCGAAAUUUCAUUCAGGAGCAUUUGGAUAAUGAUCAAGGUAUGGAUGUGUUUGCUCUAGCAUUGUAUGGCAUGGUAAUCUUUCUGAAGACUUUGGGUUACAUUGAGAUAACUGUGGUAGACUUUUUCGAGCAAAUUAAAACCCAAACAAUUAAUCCCACUCCAGCAGUCCUAGCCGAAACCAUCAGGUCAUUGAAUUUCUGUCGACGAAAUGAGAAAGGUCGAUUCAUAGGAUGUGCAUCUCUAUUAUACGUAUGGGUCAGAAGUCAUCUCAAAUGUGGGAAGAGUGUAUUUUUGAAACCAUAUCUUCGAAAUAAAGCACCACUCGAAGAGUUUUGCAAAAGCCAAUGGUUGACAUUAAAGACCAAAAAAGAAUGGGUCUUUUUCUUGCGAAAGAUUACUGAGGAGGAAAUCGAAUGGAUGGCGCCUUGGAUGCCUCGUGUGCCCUUGUUGUAUCGUGGAGGAAAUGAGCCAUGGAUUCCGUUAUUAGGGCUAUGGGGCAUUGUAAGUUACGCUCCAUUGAUGGCACUUAGGCAAUUUGGUGCAAAACAGUUUGUUCCUGCUACUCAUGGUCUGGUCCAAGUAGAAUUCAUUUAUGGGAAAUCAAAUCCAUCAAAAAUCUCGGAACAGUUGAUCCAAGCAUGGCAGAGAACACAAAGAAUGAGGUUAGGACCUCUCAUCGAGAAAGUCACUUCNNNNNNNNNNNNNNNNNNNNNNNNNNNNNNNNNNNNNNNNNNNNNNNNNNNNNNNNNNNNNNNNNNNNNNNNNNNNNNNNNNNNNNNNNNNNNNNNNNNNNNNNNNNNNNNNNNNNNNNNNNNNNNNNNNNNNNNNNNNNNNNNNNNNNNNNNNNNNNNNNNNNNNNNNNNNNNNNNNNNNNNNNNNNNNNNNNNNNNNNNNNNNNNNNNNNNNNNNNNNNNNNNNNNNNNNNNNNNNNNNNNNNNNNNNNNNNNNNNNNNNNNNNNNNNNNNNNNNNNNNNNNNNNNNNNNNNNNNNNNNNNNNNNNNNNNNNNNNNNNNNNNNNNNNNNNNNNNNNNNNNNNNNNNNNNNNNNNNNNNNNNNNNNNNNNNNNNNNNNNNNNNNNNNNNNNNNNNNNNNNNNNNNNNNNNNNNNNNNNNNNNNNNNNNNNNNNNNNNNNNNNNNNNNNNNNNNNNNNNNNNNNNNNNNNNNNNNNNNNNNNNNNNNNNNNNNNNNNNNNNNNNNNNNNNNNNNNNNNNNNNNNNNNNNNNNNNNNNNNNNNNNNNNNNNNNNNNNNNNNNNNNNNNNNNNNNNNNNNNNNNNNNNNNNNNNNNNNNNNNNNNNNNNNNNNNNNNNNNNNNNNNNNNNNNNNNNNNNNNNNNNNNNNNNNNNNNNNNNNNNNNNNNNNNNNNNNNNNNNNNNNNNNNNNNNNNNNNNNNNNNNNNNNNNNNNNNNNNNNNNNNNNNNNNNNNNNNNNNNNNNNNNNNNNNNNNNNNNNNNNNNNNNNNNNNNNNNNNNNNNNNNNNNNNNNNNNNNNNNNNNNNNNNNNNNNNNNNNNNNNNNNNNNNNNNNNNNNNNNNNNNNNNNNNNNNNNNNNNNNNNNNNNNNNNNNNNNNNNNNNNNNNNNNNNNNNNNNNNNNNNNNNNNNNNNNNNNNNNNNNNNNNNNNNNNNNNNNNNNNNNNNNNNNNNNNNNNNNNNNNNNNNNNNNNNNNNNNNNNNNNNNNNNNNNNNNNNNNNNNUGAAACCCAAAUGAAAAGUUUGAGUCUGCAAAUGUGCUUUUAUCCUUAGUUUGAGUGUGGGACAUUUUCUCUUCUGAAUGUUCUCUAAGAAAAUCCUAUAAAUCAUUUAACUGAAGUAGGGUCCUUGAUCGAAAAUGAGUCAUGAAUUUCAUCUCCAGAGCCACUAUCAGUCAUUUUAAUAUUAUCUGAAAUUGGAGAGAACGCCAUAUAUCCUGUAUCAUGGUCAUUUUUCAAUCGGUUAUCUUCCUCUUUUCCUUUGUUUUUUCUCCUCCAUGUGGGUCUAGUCUGGAAAUGCAAUUGCCUGAUGACCAGAAUUGAAGAGAAACGGAUGCCAUUGCCUGACCAGCAGAAUUGAAAAGAAAUCUCAGUGGGAUGUUUAGAUUUAUUUUCGUUAAAAGGUAAACAUCAACCUUUUCAAUAAAGUUUGAAUCUGUAAGUAAGCGUAAAUAUUCGGAUAAUCUUCAACAAACCAAAAAAAUCUUUUUACAUUUUGUUUUUUCUUUGUUACCUUUGUGAUUUGACUUCGUUUGAUGAUCUCGGUUGGGGUUAAUUUGAAAAGAUUGGUUUAUUAUUGCCAUUGACAACUUGGUUUCUCUCUUUAAACAAUUAUUUGGAACUAACAAUAAGUUUACAUACGUCUUUGGUAAAGGCAUAAAGCACAUAAGCAUUAAAGAAAUUCAUCAUACAUACAUAAAAAGGAUAUGAAAAAUAUCUUUCAUUUUUUAUGUUAUUCAGAUUCGAAUGUUAGAUAUGUUAUAUGUACAAUACAAUAAUGUAUUUUUUUCAAUUAAUUCUUUUUUAUAUUUGGAUUGUCUAACCUCCAUAUCUACAUUCAUUGUAUAUAUAUCAAACACAAUUACUUUAAAAGAAACGAAGAAUCCAACAAUUAACAUAGUUCAUUGACGCCUAGACCUUAACCUUCAUAUUGAGCCCCUAGUGCUUUUUAGUUUAUCCUCUUCUAUUCUUCUAUGGUGCUUUUUAACUCCUCUUUUGAUUGUCUCUGCCUUGGGCCCCAAAGGCUUUCAAAAUUUUUGGCGGGGUCUUGGCCCCCACACGCUUCCACAACGGUCCGCCAUGUAGUUUCAAUGAGGGACUUAUCCAGAAGCAAGGAAAGAAAGAAACAGAACUAAUGGCAGAC
This 287344-nucleotide long non-coding RNA is filed under the name Durio zibethinus. RNAcentral describes it as "long non-coding RNA (DZIB_LNC000321)". The stretch from base 189789 to 189906 matches the Rfam family "U5 spliceosomal RNA". The record is from RNAcentral. Lineage: Eukaryota; Viridiplantae; Streptophyta; Magnoliopsida; Malvales; Malvaceae.